This 239302-nucleotide long non-coding RNA is filed under the name Gossypium barbadense (sea-island cotton). RNAcentral's name for it is "long non-coding RNA (GBAR_LNC016635)". The record is from RNAcentral. Lineage: Eukaryota; Viridiplantae; Streptophyta; Magnoliopsida; Malvales; Malvaceae.
GAUCCUGUGAUCAAAUUAUUGUCAAAGAUUUUGAGCACUUCAAGGUGUUUUAAGCUGCAAAGCAUUCUAGGGAUUGGGCCAGAGAAUAAGUUUUGUGACAAUUCUAGUUCCUUAAGCAUGGAAGCAUUGGAGAUAGAGUUGGGAAUGUUUCCGCUAAGUUUAUUUCUCCACAAUAAAAGAAUCUCAAGCUUUGGAGCAUUGGUGAUGGGUGGUAAAUUACCUGUAAAAUAGCAUCUUUUAGUAUACAUAUUCAUUGAAUACCAAAUUUACAAAAUAUAUAAUACAUUAAAAUAAAAACUGUACAACUUUAAAUCAAUUAAGAAUAGAAUUUUGGCAUGGAAAAAUGUGAUGAAAUCACUUAGAAAGUUGAGACAUAAUAAGAAGUUUUAAGUAGUAAUUAUUCCUUGUGAUUUGUAUAGAAAAAACAUAUAAUACACUAACAAUUUUUUAAAAAUAAAAAUAAAAGUUUGGCAUGAGAAUGUGGCAUCUAAUCCAUCUUAAAAAUGAGUCUGACACUGAAUAAUAAUUAGUUAUGAUUUGGGAAAAAAAUGUUAAAGCCAUUGUUUUUAAUGUAAACUGGUAUGAUUUUUAUCUAUUGGGUAUAUUAUUUAUUUUUAUUAAAUUAUAGUGUAAAAUUUAAAGAUUAUUAUUUGCUCAAAAUUUUUGUAUUUUUCGUAUAUUUGAAAUUUAAUCUUUAUAUUUUUUAUUUUCUGUGAUUUAGUCUCUCUACUUUUUGAAUUGUAAAUUUUAGGUUUAUUUAUUAAUGCUGUUAAAAAGUUUUUGUGUUAGUAUGGCAUUUUGAAAAAUAAAAUAAACUUGAUAUCUAUGUUUUUAAUUAUUCCAAAUAUUGUUUUACUAUUUCAAGAUAAAUUAUUUGUGUCUAGACCAAUAUCUUAAGAACUAUUAUUGCAUGUUUAAUUAUUCUAAAGAAUUGUCGAUUGAGUCUUAGCUUGAUUGGCAUGUGCAUUGUUGCCAAUGUAGGAGAAUGUGGGUUCAAGUAUGCUGAAGUGUAUUAUCCUUCUAUUUAUGAAUCAAGGAGUUGGCAAAGUAUUAUAUUUUGAUAUAUUUUAGAAUAUUAAAAAAUUAUUAAAAUAUUUUUUUAUAAAAAUUGGUUGUACCACAAUAUACAUCAAAUUUUUAAUUUUUUUAAAAAUAUUAGCGAAUUUAUAUUUUAUUUCAAGUUACACAAUUUUUACUAGUUUUUAACUUUUUUUUAAAAAUUUUUAUCGUCUUUCAUAAUUUCUAAUAAAUUUUUAUAUAUUUUUGACAAUAUUUAACAAUUUCUAACAAUUUUUAAUAAUUUUAUUAUUAAUUACAAAUUUAAAAAUUAACACAUUUUUAUUUUUUAAAACAAUUUUAUAUUUAUAAUGUAGUUGUUUUUUUUAUAAUUUUAUUUGAAAAUUUAAAGCUUUUUUGGUUUUUUUAAGAUAAUGAUGCCAUCAUGAUGUCAUCAUAUGCCACAUGGCAAUUUAUGAUUAGUUGGAUAUCUCAAUCUAUUUUUUUAACGUCCAAUUGACUAAACCAAGAACACCUGAUAAUGUUAGAGACUACACUAGAAAUGCUUGAUAAUAUUAGGUACUAAAGUGGGCAAAAACUCAUUAAGGACCAAAGUAAAAAAAAAAAAAGAGCAAUAUGCUGUAGGGAAUAAAUGCAUGAAUUUUGAGAAACUUUUGAACUAAUAAUUACAUAGUAAUUAUUAGUGAAUUUGUUAUUUUAAAUAUUUUUAUUACUUUUAGGAUUUAUCAUAUGUAUGGAUAAGAAUUUUGGUUUUACUAAAAUAUUUGGUUAAAUAAAUUCAUAAAAAAAUUUAGCAUCCUUAUAAAUAACAAUUUUGAUUCUAUUAAAAAAAUCAUUUUAAAAAAUAUAUAAUAAAAAUUUAAAAUUUAUAUUGAAUUACUUUAUACGUAAAUUAUUAUUAGAAACGUUAUCAUACACAUAUGUAUAUGAGAACUACGUAUUUAGAACAUAAAUUUAUGUUUGAAAAUAACUUAUGAUAAAUAAUGAAAUGUAUAAUUUGAAACUAUUUAAUAAUAACACAUGGCAUAUCUACCAUAUUAAAAAUAAAAAUAGAUUAAAUUGUAAGUAAAACAUAAUUUAAACAUAUGGAUACAUCAAAUUAAGAAUACUAAAUGAAUACAGUUAUUUAUGAUGAUGUUGUUGUCAAUUCUUAAGUUGGUGUCGAGUUAAUUUGUGACAUCAUAAUUUUAAGUGAUAAAUUUAAAGUUUUAUGUAUUGAUGUGGAUUCAAAUAUCACCAUAACUUUUUUAAAAUAAAAAAUUAAAUUCAACACAAUAAAAUGAAACAAAUUCAACACAAUGUUUUUGGAGUUUGCAAAAAAUUAAAGUGAAAAACAUACCUUCUAAUUUGUUGUCAUAUAGAACUAUUUCUUCGAGCGUAGUUGAAUUAAAAAUACUUGAUGGAAUCUGGCCUGCACACAUAGUCGAAAAUUGAAGUGAAAAAUACACCUUCUAAACUGUUCAACUAAAAAUACUUUAAGCAUAUUUUUUUUUCCAUCAAAUUAACUAUUUUGCCUUGAAUGAAAUAAAAUGCUCUUACUUUUGUUAUCUAUUACAAAUCAAACUCUUUUGUGAAUAAAAUAUUACCAGAUAAUUCAUUCCAACCCAGGUUAAGCCCUUCAAGCUUGGGAAGUUGUUGACACAUAUCAUUAGGCAAACUACCUGAUAGGCUAUUGCUGGAGAGGUCAAUGGUCUUCAGAGAAGAAAUGUUGAAGAUCGAAGUUGGAAUUUGACCUGUAAGGCCUUUAGUUGCUUCAAUAUCAAGCAGUUCCAAACCAAGAAGAUUACCGAUUUCCUUAGGAAUUUGACCUGCAGACAUAGUUGAAAAAUCAAUGUUUUUUAGCAUAUAUUUUUCAUCAAAUUAACUAUUUUUCUUCGAAUGAAAUAAAAAGUUCUUCCUUUUGUUAUCUAUUACAAAUUAAACUCUUUCAUAAAAAAAUACUUUAAAUUCAAGAAAUUAAGGAAAUUGAUUACCUUUUAGAUUAUUAAACCCUAAAUAUAAUUCCUGGAGUCGUGUUAGAUUUCCAAUACUUCUUGGAAUGAUCCCCAUAAAUUGAUUACCGAACAAUGACAAAUUUUUAAGGUUGUUGCAUUUGCCCAUGCCAAAUGGAAUGUAACCAGAUAAUUCAUUCCAACUCACGAAAAGCCCUUCAAGCUUGGGAAGAUGUUGACACAUAUCAUUAGGCAAAGUACCUGAUAGGCUAUUGCUGGAGAGAUCAAUAAUCUUCAGAGAAGAAAUCUUGAAGAUGGAAGAUGGAACCUGACCAGAUAAUUGAUUGAAUCCUAAGUUCAAGAUCCCUAGAUUAGACAUGUUAACAAGUGUUUCAGGGAUUGUGCCUGUAAAGUUAUUAUUUUUCAUUUGCAGCCUUCGAACUCUCUGUAAAUUCCCAAGCCAUGAUGGAAUUUCCCGAUUAAGACGGUUGUAGCUUAAUUGAAGGAUCCUCAAACGAUGCAAUUGGCCCAAUUCUUUAGAGAGAUGGCCAUAGAAAUGGUUGCUACUCAAGUCGAGAGAGACUAGAAAUGAAAGAUUUCCAAGGUGUGGAGGGAUAAUACCCCUAAGAUUCAUGCUUGUAAGAUUCAAUGCUAUAACUCUUUUAUGGAGGAUGCCACAAGAAACACCAAUCCAAUUGCAAACAGAGGUUGAGGCUGUCCAAUUGUCUGCCAAGACAUUUUGAGGACCGGCAAUGCGAUCCUUAAACUCGAGAAGUGCAAACUGAUCAGAGUUGAGAUUCCUGGCUGUCAUAGCCAAGCGAAGUACGGAACAUGGUAUGAAUAAAGCUAAGAGAAGAUGAAAGCAAGUGUUGUAGUUCAUGAUUGCAAGACGGAAUAAGGCAAGAAAAAAGGAAAAAAAAAGUAGGAAAAGGGAAGUUAAGUUGAUAAAAUAGUUUGGAUGAUGAAGAAAAGCCCAGAGAGCAUGCUUUAAUAUGUUUCAACCCUCGCACACUUGAUAAACUUGAUAAAUUUAAGACUACCCUAAAAAUUAAAAAGGAAAACAAAGUUUUGAUGAGAUUUCAAAAAAAAUGUCAAGUAUUCUUCUUUUAAAAAUACGUACAAAGAAGCGAAUUUUCAAAAUUUCUCCUAAAUUUUCUUCAAAUUACUCCACAUAAUCCAUUAAAAAAACUUAAAAAAUAUAUUUUAUUAAUUACUAUAUAUUCUUUUGUUUUCAUAAUAAUAAAUUGUUUAAAAUAUGCUAUUAGUGGCCGUAAUUUAAAGUUUAAAAAAAAAUCCAAUCCUCCUUUUUUUUAAUUUAAAAAUUCUAAUCCAAUCAUUUUUAAUUCCAUUAAAAAGUUUUCAACUUAAUAGAUUUUUUAUUAUCAAUCUUAUGCAACAUUAUAUGAAGGCAGUCUACUCAGCAUAUAUCCAAGUUUACAGAUUUUAAUAGAAAAUACUUACAAUCCUAAUGGUAGGACUAAGUUUUUUAAACUAGAAAAGUAAAAAAAAAAAAAACUUAAUUUUUAACUUUUUUAAGUACAAGGAUUAAAUUUUAAAUGUUGUCAAAGUACAAGCACUAACAAAAUAUUUUGAUCUAAUAAAUGUAAAAAAGCAUUUUAAACAAAAGAAGGUUGAAAUAAUCUAUUUGUCCUUAUACUUUGAUAAAAUUUGAGAUACCAUAAAAUUUGUAUCUUUUUUCGAAUUAUUUAAUGACAUUUCAACAUUUUCAUUCAAAAAAAAAUAUCAUUUUGAAUUUGAUCUUUUUCAAGAUGAAAUAUUGAAAUGAUGUUAAAUUAUUAGAAAGAGAUACAAGUUUCAUGGUGUCCCAAAUUCAUUUAAUCUUAUCUCUCUAAGAAAGCUGAAUUAAGAUAUUAAUGACAUCAUUUGAAACAAAGUUUUAGGUCAAAUUAUUCAUCUAUUCCUUGUAAUUGUUCUUUAAGGUGAAUUUCAUUAUUAUUCUUUUAUUUUCUUUGGCUUAAAUACACAAUUACUCCUAAUUUUAUCACAUUCUCCUUAAUUGGUAUUUAUAGUUUAUAAAAUUUUAUAAAUAUAUUAUUUUUUAAGAAAUUAUAAGAAGAUUACAAAAAUUCCAAAAUAAUAUAAAAAAGCUAAGAAAAACCUAGAAAUUCAAAAAAAAAAAUCAUGUUUUUACAAAUUGGAAAAUACCUAAAUUUACUUUUCAGCCCGUCCGAUGCUAUGAAAGAAGAAGAAAGAGAGUCUUUGCUAACAUUUUUUUUUCUUCGUCAUCUCUAUGUUUCUUGGCAAAUACAAUGAAAGAAGAACAAAGAAAACUGUUGGCUAUUUAUUUCCCAAUAAUCCUGAAAUUACUUGCCAUAGGCGUAGAAUUUGCUAACCAAUUUUCAAGCAAUCUGACAUGAAUUCUUGUUAAGUAUGACUCCUAUUUUCAGUCAAAUUUGAGAAAUAAUCUUCUAGUUAAUUCUGUUUAUUUGUUUCAAUCAAACACUGAUUAGUUUAGAUUAUUUUAUUAUUAUUUGACAUAUGAAUUUAGCCUAUAAAUAGGUUAUUUUACAACCUUAGAAAAUACACCCAAUAGAGUUUAGAACUCAUAACAUAUUUAGAGAAUUUUGUGUUUACGUUUUGAGAGUUCUUUGUUUUCGGAUUUUCGGGGUUUAGUUUUUAUCUCCAUCUCUUGUAUUCUUUGUUCUUUUGCCAUUAUAAUAAAAUUAUCUUUACCCGUGGUUUUUUAUCCUUUUUGGAGGAGUUUUUUCACGUUAAAUUUGUGUGUUCAAUUUCUCAAUUUAUUCCGCUAUUUUGUUACUUGUUGCUUAAUCGGGUCGAUCCCUAACAAUUCUCAAUCACAAUUAAUUGAAUUCAAGAUAUAUUUGGAUGAGAACACAAAUAUUUCAAUUUUACCACAAUCCAAUGUUUGGGAUGAUUUGGGAUAAGAACUCCAACAUUUUAAGAUCACAUUUUCUUUUAUAAUUUCAGGCUUAUCAACUAUUUUGAAAACAACAAAACGUCUUACACCAAAAACUAAAAAAUUAAAACGUCGACAUUAAAUUUGUUGGUAUGCAAUCAAUUUUAAGAUGGGUCUUGGAGUUAUAUAUCACUUUAGCAUUGACUUACUUUUCUACUCUUAGUCUUCUCCAAUAAGUUAAAUAUUUCAAUUUUAACAGCACUGACAGGUCUUUGGGGUAGGGUCCAGCAAAACUCAAUAGAAACAGAUGAUAUAGGCAGAGUUGGCUCGGCCAAGUCGAGUCGACUUGUUCAAAUUAGUUAAAUUAGUAAAUUUUAGGGUGCAGUUAGAACUUUUUUUUUUUUUUUGAGAUGCUAAUAUUAAAAAAUUUUAGUUGCUAAAACAAAAAAUUUAUAUUUAAAAAGGAAUAAAUUAAAUUAUUAAGUUUUUCAAGUUUCCAUUUAAUCAAAGGUUAAAAGGACUAAAUUGAAGCUUUUUAUUUUAAAGAAAGGCUGAAUGACAAAUUGCCCAAAGCCCAUGCCCCUAGCUAUAUGCCCCUGGUAAAAUCAAUUUUAAAAUUAGUUAUAAUAGUUGAAGCGAAUUGAUUAUUGAGUAUUGAAAUACAUAGUUCAACAAAAUAAACAAACUGACAAAUUUUGACCAAAAAAAAAAAUCAAAGGUGAUAAUAAUUAAAUUAUAAAAUUUAAAUUGAGAAAAUAGGGGAUUGAAUUUAUAAUUUUUAAAGUAUAAAGAAUGAAUUUAUAACUAACAUCAUAUUUUAACCACAUAAUAAAAGUAGUUAUGGAGAGGAUCAUGUAAAAUAAUGACCUGAAUAAUUUUAAACGUCUCAUCCUUGCAAAAAUGAAAUAAUAGAAAAGAAAGAGUAAAGAGUAGCCAUUUUAUGAAAUCUAUAAUUCCAACUGUGAAUAAAAUAUAAAUUUUAUGAAUGUGGACAAGCCAUUUUAUUUAUAAUUUUCUGUGUUUUUCUGACUUUUUUUUAAGUCAUUUUCUUUGUUUCCUAACCAAAAAGUUUGCCCAUCACUUUCAAUAUAAAUUUAAAUCUAAAUUUUCUUUUUAAAAUAUAAGUUACUCGUCACAAUUCAUCUUUCGAAAACAAUUUGCCAUCACUUUAACAUACACUAACUUUUCUAUGAUUAGUCCUUGGUUUGCUUUGGGUGCAAUCUUCCAACUAGCCACAUCCUUGGUUUUACUUUCCAACAAUUAGUGUAUCACGGGUUUUGUUUUCUUUAAAAAAAUAUUUUUGUGGAUAUUAGGAGAUAAUGAAAAUUAUUUUACUAUUAAAUUUUAAUAAAACUGGAAAAUAAGUAAUGUCUUUUAAGUGAUCACAAUUAAACAUUAGAUUUUUAAUUUUAAAAUUUUAAAAUUUUUUGAUAAUUGCAUAAUUAAUAAGGUACCAAUUUUUUGAUAAUGCUAUAAUCUUCUCCACACAUAAUCGACUCUUGAGCAUGAUGGAUCUAGACCUUAUCCUGUAUUCUCGUACCACAAAUUGCUUCGAGUGUGGGUUCAAACAAUCACAAAUUAAACACAAAAUCAGAAAUGAUUUAUUACUUUCAAUAGCAAAGUAAUUCUCUCUCAAUAGAAACCAACAGAAUUGUAAUUCCGAAAAAUAAAAUUUAUUUUUUGAAAAUAUAUUCUCACUACUUCCUAGCAUAAUAACAAUAUUUAAAACUUAUGUCUUGUGUUAAUAGCUCUACCAGUACUAUCCAUUUAUAGAGAGAGACACAAGAAUCCUGGUUGAAUUAGUAAAACACGAGUAAUAUUUAUUUCAUAGAAAACAAUAUUCUACCCUAAGUAGAUCAAGUUUGGAUGACGCAUGGGUCGAAGUUCAAUCUAAGAGAAAAAAAUAAAGGAAUUUUCUUUGUAAAGAAAAUUUGAGAUUGUACUAUUUUCGAAGUUAUAAAUAAAAUUAUAAGCCAAACUUUCAAGUCAAUUUUUGACUCGAAUUUUGUACGUACAAAUUUCUAAUACACUUGGUGGGACAUUCUUUGACUUUUAUCUAUUCUCUCAGAAAGUUAAAAGUUAAAAGUUGCAUUAAACUCAAAGAAGAUAAUCAUUAGUAAACCAGCUCACAAGCCUGCUCAAGCUAAUCCUACAACUCGUUCCACUUCAUCAUCAAACACCAAUGUUCUUGCUUAUCCUUAUGGAAUUAAACAAAAGACAAAAGCUCUUUAAGAGUUAUUUGAACAGACAAAAGAUUCAGACGUGUUGAGAUGGAAAGUGACAAUGCAAUGUUGAUUGAAGCUAUUCGUAACCGGUUGGCUACAAUAAGUAGUGUUGCUGAAGUAAGACAGAUUCACGAUUGGUGUUCUAAAAAUUGGGAAGUCAAAUUUUGAUAUAUUUAGUAGAAUGCCAAAAAAGUUGUUGAUUGCAUAGCUAAGGCAGAUGGAGGAGUAAUUGAGCAGCUAGUUUUUUGGAAGAUCCUCCGCAUUUUGUGAGAUGUUGGCUUGAAGAAAAUAUUAGACAAUCGCUGGUGACUUAUGAUAAUUUUCAUUUGGACUGAUGCUCGCUUAGUUUUCUAAGGUUAUGUUCAACCAAAAAAAAAUAAUUUAAAUAUGUCUAUAUUAUCAUAGAGUUAGCAUUUAGUGUAUAAAAAAAUAGUGUAUAAAAUUUUUUCAAUUGCAGUUUAGUUCCACAAAUACUGACGAUGAACCUUAAAACGAAAAUGAAAAUUACAAAAAGAAAAACAAACCACAUCUAUUAUCAAACCAGCAAUCCGUGUCUAAACUUAAAUUAACAAAAUUCAUCAUGCAACUCGGUACACUAUUUUAUAAUAUAUAUAUUAGAUUUAUUCUUGAUGCACAUGUUUUAUUAUAGUUAAAAAUUAAAAUAUAUGAUUAACUGAGUUUUAGUUGAGUUAGUAUUGGUAUUAUAUCAGUGUAGAAAAAUGUGAGUUCAAUCGUACUUAAAUAUGUAUCCUCCAACUCAACAGUUGGGAAAAGGUUAUUGAUAAUUAAAUUACACCAAUUUUUACAAUAUCUAAAAAGCAUUCAUAAACAUAUUCAUAUUGAUGGGCUCUUUCAUUAUUAAACUUUUUUUCUCUCACAAGUAAAAGUACUUGUGGUGAGGAUCAUGUAAAAUAAUAAACUGAAUAAUUUUAAACGUCUCAUCAUUGCUAAAAUGAAAUAAUAGAAAAGAAGACAUUUUAUGAAAUUUACAAUUCCAACUGUGAAUAAAAUAUAAAUUUAUGAAUGUGAACAAGCCAUUUUAUUUAUAAUUUUCUGUGUUUUUCUUCUUUUUCUGACUUUUUUUUAGUCAUUUUCUUUGUUUCCUAACCACCAUGAAAUUACUUGUCACAAUUCAUCUUUUUAAAUGAGAAGCAUUUUCCACAAUUUGCCAUCACUUUAACAUACACUAACUUUUCUAUGAUUAGUCCUUGGUUUGCUUGUCACCAUGAAAUUACUUGUCACAAUUUUCCACAAUCUUCCAACUAGCCUCAUCCUUGGUUUUACUUUCCAACAAUUAUUGUAUCCUUCUCAUUACUUGUACUUACCCGACUGAUAAAAAAUUCACUGAUCAAAUUAGUUCAAAGUUUUUUUUUUUUUUCUAAAUCAUGUGAAUUCACGAGUUUUUUUUCUUUAAAAAAUAUUUUUGUGGAUAUUAGGAGAUACUGAAAAUUAUUUUACUAUGAAAUUUUAAUAAAACUGGACAAUAAGUGAUUUAUUUAAAGGGAUCACAAUUAAACAUUAGAUUUUUAAUUUUUUAAUUUUAAAACUUUUUGACAAUUGCGUAAUUAAUAAGGUACUAAUUUUGAGCGUUGUAGGAGUGCUAUAAACUUCACUACGCAUAAUCGACUCUUAAAUCCACCUUUUUCUCUAGAAUUAUAACAAAUUUACAAAAUGAUUUAAUGAUAUUUAAUUAUUGACCGGUAAAAAAAUUAUAUCAUAUAAAUUCCGAAUUAUUAAUUAUAUAUCUACAUAUUAUAACCAAUUCAUCUUUCAAAAUUAUUUCCUUAUAAUUAAAGCAAAAAUUAUAUUUAUAAAAUUCUAAAUAUAUUAUAAUUCUUGUAAAUAUAUAUAUUUAUAUAUAUAAGUUCAAAUUGUAAUAGAGUUAACAUUUAAUGUAUAAAAAAUGUCUUGAAAAUUAUUAUUUUUUUCAAUUCCAAAAGAACUAUUCCAUUUAUAGAACCAUAAAACUUUAAAAAUAUAAACUCUAUUAAAUAAAAAUAAUAAUAUAUUUAAACAAUAAAUAUUGACUUUAUUUUAAAUUGACAUUAUCUAAUUCUUUUUAAUAAAUAUAGCUAAGCUUUACAUUAAUAUACAUGAUUUAUUUGUUCGUGGUUGUUAUUAUUAUUAUUAUUAUUAUUAUUAUUAUUUCUAUGAUUUUUAUAUCAUACUUAUCGGACUACAAUCAUAACCAUGUCUAUUAUCAUUUGAUAAAAAAAAUUAAGUGUUGAGUAUAAUGACAAGGCACGUUACACUCUUAAGGGGAGAUCAAGGUUUGGACAAGGGAAGAAUAUCAUUUAAAUUUUGGAGACAACAUUCUUUAAAUGAGCAACCACAAACCCCGAUUAUGAACCAUAAAACGAGCAUGAAAAGUACCCAAAAAAACAAGUUUAUUAUCAAAAUAGUAAUCCAUCCAAGGAUUAAAUUAACAAAAUUCACCAUCCAACCGUGUAGACUAUUAUAUAUAUAUAUACCAUAUUUAUUCUUCAUGCAAAUGUUUAUUAUAUUUAAAAAUUAAAAUAUAUGAUUGAUUGAGUUUUAGUUGAGUUAAUAUUGAUAUUAUUGUCAGUGCAAAAGAAUAUGAGUUCAAUCAUGUUUAAAUACAUUUUAUACUCCAAUUUAGGAGUUGGAGAGGAUUCUCAGUAGUUAAAUUAUAUCAGUUUUUGUCUAUUUAAAAUUGAUUUAUAAAUAAUAUAAGUAGAAAAUUUUAUAAAAAUAUACAUACUCAUAUUGAUUGGCUUUUUCAUUAUUAGACAUUUUUCCCCAUAGGUAAAAGUAUUUAUCGAAUUCAAAUUUUGGGUUUUAAAUAAGGGUUUUCGGAUUUUUUUUUAACAUUUGUGAGAGUUUUUGCCAAAUUUUAUGUUUUCAAAAACGCAUAACUAAGUUGAUUUUUAAUUAGUUUUUCAAAUGAGUCAAUGUAAUUCCUUAAAAAUCUAGUGAUAGCGUCUAGCCUGGGUUUGGGGGUGUUACACUGACGUUACUAAAGUUAAUCUUAAUCUAUUUAGUCUAGAUCUGAACAUUAAUAUUCUCUUCCAAUAAAAAUAAAGAUCAUCAAAUUAUUACAAUUGUGAAGCCAGACAAUCAUAUUAAAUAAGCAUAAAACUUAAUAAAUAAUUAGCGAAGAUUGAAACAAUCAAAGAAAAAAUAAAUUAAUUAACUAAGAAAUAAGGAUCCAUUAUUGUUUCAAGAAAACAGAGUUUAGUUCAUAUUGAGUUGAGAAAACCAAAAAUUAGAUUCAAAACAAACUUGUGAUAAGGGGAACAAUGUCAACAGAUCAUAUUCAAGUUGUUCGACUCGAGAAAGCAAGAUUCGGAUUUGACCUGAAAAGAAGAAACCAAACAGAUUAGGAAAACAAGAAAAAAACAAAGAAAAAAAAAUAAAAUGAGAAAUUUAAGAAUAAAGAAUAAAUAUUAAAAAAUAAUAAAGAAAUAAAUAAAUUAUAGAAUAAAAAGUGGCAGAUGGAAUGAAUAAAUGAUGGAUAUGACAUAUAGAUGGAUAAGUGUCUGAUAACCCUUGAAAAAAAGUUAUAUUUUGUUAGGGAUCGACCCGAUUAAGCAACAAGUAACAAAAAAAGGGAAUAAAUUGAGAAAUUGAACACACAAAUUUAACGUGAAAAAAACCUUCCGAAGAGGAUAAAAAAACCACGGGAAAAGAUAAAUUUACUAUAAUGGCAAAAGAACGAAGAGUACAAAAGAUGGAGAUAAAACUAAACUCCAAAAACCCGAAAAUAAAGAACCCUCAAAACGUAAACACAAAAUUCUCUAAAUGUGUUAUGAGUUCUAAUCUCUAAUGUGUGUCAACUAAGGUUGUAAAAGAGCCUAUUUAUAGGCUAAAUUCAUAUGUCAAAUAAUAAUAAAAUAAUCUAAACUAAUCAGUGUUUGACUGAAAUAAAUAAACAAAGUUUAACUAAAAGAUUAUUUUUUAAAUUUGACUGAAAAUAGGAGUCAUACUUAACAAAUCUCCACCUUGACUCAUAUUUCUACAAUGCCAUCUUUGCCAAAGCCCGCUACGAGCCUAUCUUGAACUAUACAGGGAAUUAACUGAGUCGAAUCUGUGCUUAGAAACUGGAAGACUUCUAGCUUUCGACUUGUACACUGCCAAAUCAAAACUAACCCGAGUUUGAUUUUCACGAACACAGUGUCCUAACUUUUCAAAACCUGCAUCCAAAAGAGAACCUCUCUUCAAUGAAACGGUCAUACAUUUUUCCCUCCUAUGACCAAGUUGCCUCUGCUCCAAACGAGUUGACUUCGACUCUGUAACAGACGAGGGAUGUCCGAUUUCACCGGUCAUUGUAGAACCUUCCAGAAUAUAAAGACUGCCAUUUCUUUUACCUUUGAACAAAAUGAGAGCUCCACGAGAUACUUUAAUGCUGCUCGACUCGAUGUUGAUUCUGCAUCAUUUCAAGUCUAAAAUACUCAAGGAGAUGAGAUUCUUUCGUAAAUUAGGUACAUACCUGACAUCUGAGAGUGUCCUAAUCGUCCCAUCGUGUGUCCUAAUUUUAACAGUACCAACACCAAUUACCUUACUAGAUGAAUUGUUUCCCAUGCGCACAACUCCACCUUCAACCGAACUGUAUGUGGAGAACCAUUCUCUAUUGGGACACAUGUGGAAAGAACAUCCCAAAUCUAGGAUUCACUCGAACGUGAGCUUGGAGUUAUCACUCGUUGACACUAACAAGAAAUCAUCACCACUUUCAUCGAUCAAAUUAGCACUAGCUACAUCUUCCUCGUUACUCUCAGCAGCUCCUUUAUUUCGCAGUUUAUAACAAUUUGCUUUGACAUGACCUAACUUUUUACAAUAGUGACACCUUUUGUCUCGUUUCUUUGAUGCCAUCAAAAUGGAAGAUUGCCUAUCUGCCUUGCUAUCUAAAUGAAACUCAUUUUCGAGUUUGUCUCUACUCAACAAAUGACCCUUCACAUCUUCGAACGAGAGUUUGUCUCUGCCAUAGGGUCUCCUUGAAAGAUUUGUAUGAAGGGGGUAAAGAGCAUAAUAAUAGCAUAGCUUGAUCUUCAUCAUCAAUAUGAACCUCAAAGUUCUUUAAAUCAUUUAAAAGAAUAAUGAAUUGACUGAUGUGAUCUCUAAGAAGCUCACAUUCGUUCCUGCGAAACGUAAAUAGACGUUGUUUCAACAGUAAACGGUUAGCCAGAGACUUAGUCGCAUAAAGAGUUUCUAACCUUUUCCAUAAGGUGGAUGAGGUCUUCUCCAUCAAUACCUCCUGCAAUACCGUAUUCGCGAGGCACAACUGGAUUGCAGACAAGGCAUUUUCAUCAAGCUCUUCCCAUUCUGUUUUAUUUAGAUUCUCAGGCUUUUUUUGGUAACAACCUUUUUCAAACCGGAUUGAACUAGAAUUGCCAUCAUCCAAACUUGCCAUAGAUUGAAAUUGGUCUCACCAUCGAACUUCUCAAUUUCAAACCUUGUUGUUGCCAUAUCUGAAUGGGCUGAUUUAUGAAAAUUGAACUAGCUCUGAUACCACUUGUUAGGGAUCGACCCGAUUAAGCAACAAGUAACAAAAAAGGAAAUAAAUUGAGAAAUUGAACACACAAAUUUAACGUGAAAAAAACCCUCCGAAGAGGAUAAAAAAACCACAGGAAAAGAUAAAUUUACUAUAAUGGCAAAAGAACGAAGAGUACAAAAGAUGGAGAUAAAACUAAACUCCAAAAACCCGAAAAUAAAGAACCCUCAAAACGUAAACACAAAAUUCUCUAAAUGUGUUAUGAGUUCUAAUCUCUAAUGUGUGUCAACUAAGGUUGUAAAAGAGCCUAUUUAUAGGCUAAAUUCAUAUGUCAAAUAAUAAUAAAAUAAUCUAAACUAAUCAGUGUUUGACUGAAAUAAAUAAACAAAGUUUAACUAAAAGAUUAUUUUUUAAAUUUGACUGAAAAUAGGAGUCAUACUUAACAAAUCUCCACCUUGACUCAUAUUUCUACAAUGCCAUCUUUGCCAAAGCCCGCCACGAGCCUAUCUUGAACUAUGCAGGGAAUUAACUGAGUCGAAUCUGUGCUUAGAAACUGGAAGACUUCUAGCUUUCGACUUGUACAUUGCCAAAUCAAAACUAACCCGAGUCUGAUUUUCACGAACACAGUGUCCUAACUUUUCAAAUCCUACAUUGAAAAGAGAACCUCUCUUCAAUGAAACCGUCAUACAUUUUUCCCUCCUAUGACCAAGUUGCCUCUGCUCCAAACGAGUUGACUUCGACUCUGUAACAGACGAGGGAUGUCCGAUUUCACCGAUCAUUGUAGAACCUUCCAGAAUAUAAAGACUGCCAGUUCUUUUACCUUUGAACAAAACGAGAGCUCCACGAGAUACUUUAAUGCUGCUCGACUCGAUGUUGAUUCUGCAUCAUUUCAAGUCUAAAAUACUCAAGGAGAUGAGAUUCUUUCAUAAAUUAGGUACAUACCUGACAUCUGAGAGUGUCCUAAUCGUCCCAUCGUAUGUCCUAAUUUUAACAGUACCAACACCAAUUACCUUACUAGAUGAAUCAUUUCCCAUGCGCACAACUCCACCUUCAACCGAACUGUAUGUGGAGAACCAUUCUCUAUUGGGACACAUGUGGAAAGAACAUCCCAAAUCUAGGAUCCACUCGAACGUGAGCUUGGAGUUAUCACUCGUUGACACUAACAAGAAAUCAUCACCACUUUUAUCGAUCAAAUUAGCACUAGCUACAUCUUCCUCAUUACUCUCAGCAGCUCUUUUAUUUCGCAGUUUAUAACAAUCUGCUUUGACGUGACCUAACUUUUUACAAUAGUGACACAUCUCGUUUCUUUGAUGCCAUCAAAAUGGAAGAUUGCCUAUUUGCCUUACUAUUUAAAUGAAACUCAUUUUCGAGUUUGUCUCUACUCAACAAAUGACCCUUCACAUCUUCGAACGAGAGUUUGUCUCUGCCAUAAGGUCUCCUUAAAAGACUUGUAUGAAGGGGGUAAAGAGCAUAAUAAUAGCAUAGCUUGAUCUUCAUCAUCAAUAUGAACCUCAAAGUUCUUUAAAUCAUUUAAAAGAAUAAUGAAUUGACUGAUGUGAUCUCUAAGAAGCUCACCUUCGUUCCUGCGAAACGUAAAUAGACGUUGUUUCAACACUAAACGGUUAGCUAGAGACUUAGUCGCAUAAAGAGUUUCUAACCUUUUCCAUAAGGUGGAUGAGGUCUUCUCCAUCAAUACCUCCUGCAAUACCGUAUUCGCGAGGCACAACUGGAUUACAGAUAAGGCCUUUUCAUCAAGCUCUUCCCAUUCUGUUUUAUUUAGAUUCUCAGGCUUUUUUUGGUAACAACCUUUUUCAAACCGGAUUGAACUAGAAUUGCCAUCAUCCAAACUUGCCAUAGAUUGAAAUUGGUCUCACCAUCGAACUUCUCAAUUUCAAACCUUGUUGUUGCCAUAUCUAAAUGGGCUGAUUUAUGAAAAUUGAACUAGCUCUGAUACCACUUGUUAGGGAUCGACCCGAUUAAGCAACAAGUAACAAAAAAGUGAAAUAAUUUGAGAAAUUGAACACACAAAUUUAACGUGGAAAAACCCCUCCAAAGAGGAUAAAAAACCACGGGCAAAGAUAAGUUUACUAUAAUGGCAAAAGAACGAAGAGUACAAAAGAUGGAGAUAAAACUAAACUCGAAAAACCCAAAAACAAAGAACCCUCAAAACGUAAACACAAAUGGGUGUCAACUAAGGUUGUAAAAGAGCCUAUUUAUAGGCUAAAUUCAUAUGUCAAAUAAUAAUAAAAUAAUCUAAACUAAUCAGUGUUUGACUGAAAUAAAUAAACAGAGUUUAACUAAAAGAUUAUGUUUUAAAUUUGACUGAAAAUAGGAGUCAUACUUAACAUAUUUCAUGCCUUUAAACCUAACUAAUUGUUUGUACUUAAGUAUAUUUUUUUCUUUUUAAGACAUUGUAGCGAACAUUUUUAAUAUUGUAUUAGGACAUAGACUAUGUUGGAAUUAGGUGCUUUUAAUCUCUUGUGGUGGAGUUUUUGUGUGUUGGUAUGGCAGGAACAUGUUUUAAAACGAGGAAAUAAAUGAGUGAAGUUUUGUUAGGGAAAAAGUGCAAACAGUUUGCCAACACAGAUGUCGUGGCAAUGCCGGGAAGACCAAGUUCAUAUUUUUUGUGCAGCAAUCCCGGUUCAAACUCAAACUUGUAUGAGAUAAAUCCCCCUAAAAGAGGAGAAGAUAAUCACAUUGCUGUUAGCUGACCCUAGCCUAAUCUAUCUAUUAAAGCCAAUGAAAAGGAUCUCACAAAGGGUAGAAAAAAGUGAGAGAGAUCCUUAGGGAUGAAUAAGGGUUUGGCUGCGCAAAAGAACAGAAGUCGAAGGGAAUCAUUCUUAGCCAUCACAGAACGUUGUGCUGCCAAAGUGUGGACUAGGCAAGUGAAAGAUGUUUCCAAAAGUUCUUCUGUUAUUUCCAUUAGUGUUCCUUCCAAAGAUUGAAUUGAAGUAGUUGAACACAAUGUCGGAUAAUAUUUUGGUUUGAAAUUUUAUUUCCCAGCUUAUGAGCUAAAUCUCAUAAGGUUAGGAUUACUUUCGAUGAAACCUUAAAUUUUUUUAUAGAUGAAGUAUAUAUCUAAUUUACAUUAUUGUUUCAUUUGAUUGUUCUAAUUUCUUAAUUAAAAUGCAAAUGAUCUCUAGACAUAGAAGACUGUUCGCAUACUUAUAAAUUGAUUGUAAUUAUAAAAGGGUUGGAUUAAAAUUAAAUGAAAUGAGCAGGUAUUUGAUAGACACUUGUAGUCGACUCUAGACAUAGAGUCACGAUCAUACAGAAGAAGCCCAUGCAAGAUAUCGAAAAAGCCUUUAGACACCAGGCAAGGCAACUUGAGGUUUUUCUCUCACGAGAGGCAGACCAUUUUAGAACUCUUCUGUGUUGUAAAGUAGAUACAAUUUUGCCAAGACAAUAUUGACAAUGAGGGUUGAUUCUGGGUAAUCCCGACCUUCCAAAUCCACUUCGUAUAUCCUUUAAUCUUUUUCAUAAUAUCUUUGCCACAUAAUUAUUAGUUAUUUAUUUGUUCAUUUACAUAAUAUUCCCAUAGUAAUUCUCAUAAUUGCCAUUAUGUUUCUACUCUCGGUUGGCCAUAGCAUUACUAAUUAUUCAUUAAUUCCACAUAUUGAUUACAUCAUUAAUCUACUCAUUGUCAUUGCAUAUUUAUCAUUGACUUUGUCAUAGCAUUAAUUGCAUUUUAUUAUAAUAACUUGACCAAUUUUGUGCCUCAAUCCGAUUUUCGUGGGAACAAUACUCACUCAUCACUUUAUUACUUGAUUCAACGUGUAUACUUGCACAAAUCGCAUAUCAUUUCACAUGCGACAGUGUCCAAUUUAACCUUUUGAGAUAUAAACUCAAACAAACUCAAUUAAUGGCUUUAAUCAACCCACCAAGAAAUAAUAAUUGGCAAAUUGAAGGAUGAAGAAUGAAUUCCCAUGACUCCUUAAAGAAAAUUGAGAAGAAAACUGCUUCUAAAAAUUACAAGAAAUAAUCUUGCACAAAGAAACUUACCCUCAGAGUUGGAAAUUUUAGUAAUGAGCAAAAACAAUUGUGUCUCUAAUGAACAUGAAGGGGCCUUUACAUAGGAUAGAUAAGUACAUCCAAAUAAAAUUUUGAAGUAUAUUAAAACUUUAAUUAAUGUAAGAAAAAAAGUAAUUUUCAACUAAAAUAGUCAUAAUUUCUAUAAUAAUCCCGUCUAGAAAUUCUGCUCACAUAGCCAUCACUAAAAUAGUCAUAAAUUGAGCUCUUGAACUCGAAAUUGAAUGAAUAAAAGUGUGUUUGAAAGUUAAGUAAUAGAUCUUAGAACUCCAUCAAGACAUAUCAAUCAAAAAAUGUCUGGAUCCCAUCCAAAAAGUCAUUGCAAGUUAACUAAUUUUCCAAACUUGAAAAUUGACAGCUUCGGGGAAUGGAAUUUAAUAAAGUUCACCCCAUCUACUCAAGUAUAAACUUGCAGUGGUAAAAAGUAAAAAUAAAUAAUCUAUAGAGAAACUAGUUGAAGAAUUUAUGACAAUUUAUUUAGAUCUUUUUUUCUUCUAGCCUUUGCAAACUUGAAGUUUCCCUUGGUGUGAGAGAGUUGUUCCUUACCCUCUAAGUUAUUUUUUUUCUUUUCCUUUUUUUUUCUUUCUCUUCGAUCUUGUCACCUAAGGGUGUUCAAAUGAUUGAUUCAGUUAAUACCCGAACAAUGCUAUCAUUAACUGAAAUUUUGAAACCUUAAUCGUUAAUGAAACCAAUUUUUUGUUGAAACCUAUUAACCGGCCGGAUUGAUUUCGGUUAAUUCAGGCGGCUAGCCGGAAUUUAUACAUUAUUUUUUUCAAACAAUUUUAAAACAAAGAACAAUCCAUGACAACUUUUUCCUUGUUUUUUAUUCAAAAAUUAUUAAAAGAAUUUUAAAAAAUAACAUAAUAACAACACUAAAUUAAAAACAUAAUAGCAUUCAUUACAUUACAAAGCAUAAUUUCUUUUUUUUUUUACUUUUUGUUGACUUUUUAGUUUAAUUUUAGUUUUUUUUUUCAAAUAUUUUUAGUUUUCAUAUUUUUGUUAAGCUUAUUAUAAGAAAACUUAUAAAUCCAUUAGUUUUUAUAUAUUAGGUUUGUAUAAUGUAUUGGACCUAUCUCUAACAUAUUGGGCCUAUAAUAUAUUUUUAUUGAUUUCGGUUAAUCAAUUAAUUUGGUUAAUUAGUCGAUUUCAAACUAAACUAAUCGAUAAACAAAAUUUUCUAAAACAUUUAACCAACUCCCAACCAAAUUAGAUUCGUUGAUCGACUGCUUAAUCAAAUUAAUCAUAUGGUAGAAUGGCAUGUUUUUGGAAUGGCUAUUUGGCAUUAUUGGUAUAGGUUUAAGUUAUGAUCUAAAGAUGUUGAAUUGAAUUAAGUUUGAUAUGUAUACUAUGAUGUCUUCAUUGGCAUAUUGGUUAGAUAUUAAAGGAUGGUUGAUUUGGUAUGUUUUGAAAAUGGUUCUUGGUAUGUUUGAUCUAAGUUGAUUAAAUGAACUUGUAAUGUUGAAUGGUAUAAUAUUUGUUGUUACAUUAGUUAGUCUUAUAGGUUGAUGGAAUUGGUAUGUUUUAAAUGUGUUUAAAAUGUGUUUUGAUUAUUUAAAUGUUUGUGGAAAUGGUGUGUCUUGGUGUACAAGAUUUGAAAUUGAAAUGGCUUGAUUUAGAAAGCAACUUAUGCUGCACACCGCCUAGGACAUGGGUUGUCACAUGGCUGUGUGUCAUUAUUGUUUUAGGUACAGGUUUCACACAAUCUAAGACUUGGCUCACGACAUGGCUACGUAUCAUAAGUCAAUAUGUAACACGGUUUGGUACAUGGCCUGUAACACGACCGUGUGUCCAAACUUCAAAUGUUUACACGUCCUGGGCUAUGUCACACGACUUGGCCACAUGGCCGUGUGACCCUUGUUUUAAAGUUUUCUGAAAUUUUCUAUUUUAUUUCAAAUUGAUCCUAGAAUAUUCUCAAACUAUUUUUAGGGCCUCGUAGGUUCAAAUUAAGGCCCACAAAUGUAUGCUUGCUAUAAUUAAGUUGUGCUAAUUAAUGUUAUUAAUUAAAUGGCAUGAAUAUUUUAUUGUAAGUUAAAUUUUUUAAUUUGUCCUAUAAUGCUCCGUAACCCAAAUCAAGUGACGGAGAUAGGUUUGGGUGUUACAAUUUUGGACUGUAAAUUUGUUUUGAGGCUUUGUUCUUUGGUUCUUGCAAUGUUUGUUGGAUUUUAGUGUUUUAACAUUAAACUGCAAAAUUGUAUGAUUUAACAAACUAAAAAUUAGGUUUUCAAAAUUAAAACUCUAGAAAUUUUCAUUACAAAGAUUAAGUAAUCACUUAAGUGUUUUCCCAUAAAUAAUUAAAUGGUUUUUAACAAAUGUUUUCCUUAGUUUUGGGAAUGAUAUGCCAACAUUAGUACUUUUAAAACACAUGGUUUUAAAUAAGGGUUUUCAAACUUUGGUUUUUUAACAUUUGUGAGAGGUUUUUGCCAAAUUUUAUGUUUUCAGAAUGUGUAACUAAGUUGAUUUUAAUUAGUUUUUCAACGAGUUUAUGUAAUUCCUCAAAAAUCCAGUCAUAGCAUCUAGGCCGGGUUUGGGGUGUUACACUAACAUUACUAAAGUUAAUCUUAAUCUAUUUAGUCUAGAUCUAAACAUUAAUAUUCUCUUCAAAGAAAAUCAAGAUUAUCAAAUUAUUACAACUUGGUAGGCAGACAAUCUUAUUAAAUAUGCAUAAAAGUUAAUAAAUAGUUAGCGAAGAUUGAAACAAUCAAAGAAAAAAUAAAUUAAUUAACUAAGAAAUAGGAUCCAUUAUUGUUCCAAGAAAAUAGAGUUUAGUUCAUAUUGAUUGAGAAAAUCAAAAGGGAGAUUCAAAAAACACUUGUGAUAAGGGGAACAAUGUCAAUAGAUCAUAUUCAAGUUGUUCGACUCAAGAAAGAAAUAUUUGGAUCUAGCCUGAAAAGAAGAAACCAAACAGAUUUAGGAAAAAAAGAAAAAAAAGAAAAAAACUUAAAUAAUAAAUUUAAGAAUAAAUAAUAAAUAUUAAAAAUAAUAAAGAAAUAAAGAAAUUAUAGAAUAAAUAGUGGAAGAUGGAAUGAAUAAACGAUGGAUAUGACAUAUAGAUGGAUAAGUGUCUGAUAAUUCUUGAAAAGAGUUAUAUUUCAUGCCUUUAGACCUAACUAAUUGCUUGUACUUAAGUACAUUUUGUUGCAUUUUAAGAUAUUUUAGUUAGUAUUUGUAAUAUUGCAUUAGGAUUUAGAUUGUGUUGGAAUUAGGUGUUUUUAAUCACUUGUGGUGGAGUUUUUGGUGUGCUGGUAUGGCAGGAACAUUAUUUAGAACGAGGAAAUAAAUGAGUGAAGUUUUGCCAAUGCAAAAGUGCAGAUAGUUUGCCAGCACAGAUGCCGUGGAAAUGCCGAGAAGACCAAGUCAACAUUUUUUUGUGCAACAGUCCCAGUUCAAAUUCAAACUUGUACCAAAUAAAUCUCCCUAAAAGAGGAGAAGAUAAUCACAACUUGUUAGCCAACCCUAGCCUAAUCUAUCUAUAAAAGCCAAUGAAGGGGAUCUCACAAAUGGCAGAAAAAAGUGGGAGAGAUCCUUAGGUGUGAAUAAUGAUUCAGCUGUGCAAAGGAAAGGAAGUCAAAGGCAGUCCCUUUUAGCCAUCACAGGACGUUGUGCUGCCGAUGUGUGGACUAGGCAAGUGAAAGUUGUAUCCCAAAGUUCUUUCGUUAUUUCCAUUAGUGUUCCUUCAAAAUAUUGAAGUAGUUGAACACAACGUUGGAUAAUAUUUUGGUUUGGAAUUUUAUAUCCCAGCUCAUGAGCUAAAUCUCGUAGGGUUGAGAUUACUUUUGAAGAAACCUUAAACUGCUUUUAUGAAUGCAAAUGAUCUCUGGACAUAGAAGACUGUUCGUAUACUUAUAAACUGAUUCUAAUUCUAAAACGGUUGGAUUGGUUGGAUUAAAAUUAAAUGAAAUGAGCAAGCAUUCGAUAGACACUUGUAGUAGACUCUAGACAUAGAGUCACGCUCAUACAAAAGGAACCCAUGCAAGAUAUCUAAAAAGCCUUUAGACACAGGCAAGGUAACUUGAGGUGUUGCUCUCACGAGAGGCAGGCCAUUUUAGUACUCUUCUGUGCUUUAAAGUAGAUAUGAUUUUGCCAAGGCAUUAUUGAAAAUAAGGGUCGAUUUUGGGUAAUCUCGACCUUCCAAAUCCACAUCGUAUAUCUUUUAUUCUUUCCCAUAGUAUAUUUGCCACAUCAUUAUUAGUUAUUUAUUUGCUCAUUUACAUAAUAUUCCUAUAGUAAUUCUCAUAAUUGUCAUUACAUUUCUACUCUCGAUUUGGCACAACAUUACCAGUUAUUUAUUAAUUCCACGCAUUGCUUACAUCAUUACUCUACUAAUUACCACUGUAUAUUUACCAUUGACUUUCCCAUAGUAUUAAUCGUAUUUUAUUAUAAUAACUUGACCAAUUUUGUGCCUCAAUUCGAUCCUCAUGGAACGAUACUCACUCAUCACUUUAUUUGUAACAUCCCAAACUUGGAUUAGAAGUUAUGACUGAAUCCGGCGAUAUCACAUGGAAAGGGAUUUGAAGACAAGAUUGUCGAGUUUAAAAACCAUUAUAGAAAGUUAGCUUUUAUUUAAUUCGGGAAAAAAACUAGUUGAUUUUCUUUAAAACUUGUCUCUUAGCAGAAGCUUUUGUAACCAAUUAAUUUACGAAAAAUCGUUUCUAUUUACAAAAAACUUUAGUAGGAAAAACUAUGUUUUGUGGAGUUGCAGUUUUUAAAAGAAACCCAUAAAAAAAGUAUAAAGUCCCAAAUUUAAAACCAACCAGUCCAUAGUCUAGAAGAUACAUCAAAAACUCCAAANNNNNNNNNNNNNNNNNNNNNNNNNNNNNNNNNNNNNNNNNNNNNNNNNNNNNNNNNNNNNNNNNNNNNNNNNNNNNNNNNNNNNNNNNNNNNNNNNNNNNNNNNNNNNNNNNNNNNNNNNNNNNNNNNNNNNNNNNNNNNNNNNNNNNNNNNNNNNNNNNNNNNNNNNNNNNNNNNNNNNNNNNNNNNNNNNNNNNNNNNNNNNNNNNNNNNNNNNNNNNNNNNNNNNNNNNNNNNNNNNNNNNNNNNNNNNNNNNNNNNNNNNNNNNNNNNNNNNNNNNNNNNNNNNNNNNNNNNNNNNNNNNNNNNNNNNNNNNNNNNNNNNNNNNNNNNNNNNNNNNNNNNNNNNNNNNNNNNNNNNNNNNNNNNNNNNNNNNNNNNNNNNNNNNNNNNNNNNNNNNNNNNNNNNNNNNNNNNNNNNNNNNNNNNNNNNNNNNNNNNNNNNNNNNNNNNNNNNNNNNNNNNNNNNNNNNNNNNNNNNNNNNNNNNNNNNNNNNNNNAGUUCUACACUUACGCCCAUAUAAUGCUUCAUACGGUGCCAUUCGUAUACUUGACUGAUAGCUAUUGUUAUAAGCAAAUUCAACCAAUGGUAGAUAUUUCUCCCAACUGCCUUUCAAUUCUAAAAUACAACACCGGAGCAUAUCUUCAAGAAUUUGAAUCACUCUUUCCGAUUGCCCGUCAGUUUGCGGAUGAAACGCAGUACUGAAAUUCAAUUUUGUACCCAAGGCUUCCUGCAACUUUAUCCAAAACCUCGAAGUAAAUCUCAGAUCUCUAUCCGAUAUAAUAGAUUUAGGCACCCCAUGUAAUCUCACUAUUUCAGCAACAUAUAAUUCUGCCAACCUGUCAAGUGAGUAAUCAAUGCGUAUCGGAAUAAAAUGAGCCGACUUUGUCAAUCUAUCAACAAUUACCCAAAUAGCAUCUUUCUUCUUUGGAGUUAAAGGCAAUCCUGUCACAAAAUCCAUCGUAAUACUAUCCCACUUCCACUCUGGAAUCGUUAUCGGUUGAAGUAAACCCGAUGGUACUUGAUGCUCAGCCUUCACUUGUUGACAGAUUAAACACUUUGAUACAAAUUCCGAGAUAUCCUUUUUCAUGCCUGGCCACCAAUACAACUUCUUCAAAUCAUUAUACAUUUUCACACUACCCGGAUGAACUGACAAGUCACCACUAUGUGCCUCACAUAAAAUGGUCUGAAUUAACUCAUCAUUUCUUGGUACACAUACUCUAUCCCGGAACAUCAAGCAAUCAUCUGAACCAAUUUGAAAAUCUGAGUCAACACCUGCUUCACACUGAGCUCUCUUGGCUUGCAAUUUACUGUCAUUCUUUUGAGAUUCCCGAAUUUACUGAAGAAAUAAUGGUCUAGCUCUCAAUUCAACCAACAUUGAGCCAUCAUCAGAUAAAGUUAACAUCGUACCCAUAGCUCUCAAAGCAAAUAAAGAUUUUCUGCUCAAGGCAUCAGCAACCACAUUAGCUUUCCCGGGGUGAUAAUCAAUCACUAGCUCAUAGUCUUUGAUUAGCUCGAGCCAUCUUCGUUGCCGCAAAUUCAAAUCUUUUUGGCUCAUCAAAUACUUCAAACUCUUAUGAUCAGUGAAGAUUCGGCACUUUUCACCAUACAAAUAAUGACGCCAAAUUUUUAAAGCAAAAACAAUGGCAGCCAAUUCUAAAUCAUGCGUCGGAUAAUUCUUCUCAUGCGGUUUCAAUUGUCUCGAAGCAUAAGCUAUUACUUUGCCCUCUUGCAUUAACACACACCCAAGACCAUUCAACGAUGCAUCACUGUAAAUUACAAACUCCUUCCCGGACUCAGGUUGCACCAACACUGGCGCCUCAGUCAAUAAUGCCUUCAACUUUUCAAAACUCUGUUGACAUUUAUUGGUCCAUUCAAACUUGACAUUCUUCUGCAGUAACUUAGUCAUAGGAGAAGCAAUCAUCGAAAAUCCCUUGACAAAGCGUCUGUAAUACCCAGCUAAGCCCAGAAAGCUUCUAACUUCUGUCACAUUCUUUGGUGGCUCCCAAUCAACAAUUGCUGAAAUUUUGCUUGGAUCAACCCGAAUACCUUCACUUGAAACUAUAUGUCCCAAGAAUCCAACCUCACGAAGCCAAAACUCACUUUUGCUGAAUUUAGCAUACAAUUUCUUUUCUCUCAGAAUCUGCAACACAGUUCUUAAAUGUUCUGCAUGCUCAGAUUCAUCCCGAGAAUAGAUUAAAAUAUCAUCUAUGAACACCACCACGAACUUAUCCAAGUACGGCCGAAAAAUUUGGUUCAUCAAGUCCAUAAAAAUAGCUGGAGCAUUUGUUAACCCAAAAGGCAUUACCAGAAAUUCAUAGUGUCCAUACCUUGUUCUAAAGGCGGUUUUCGGCACAUCAGACUCUUUAACUCUUAACUGAUAGUAACCAGACCUCAAAUCAAUCUUAGAAAACACUGUUGCCCCUUUUAAUUGAUCAAAUAAAUCAUCAAUUCUCGGCAAAGGAUACUUGUUCUUUAUAGUCACCUUGUUGAGCUGACGAUAGUCAAUACAAAGUCUCAUAGAGCCGUCCUUUUUUUUCACAAAUAACACAGGAGCACCCCAAGGAGAAAAACUCGGUCUCACAAAUCCUUUAUCUGUCAACUCUUGUAACUGAGCUUUUAAUUCCUUCAACUCAGUCGGAGCCAUUUGAUACAGUGCAAUAGAAAUCGGUGCAGUACCAGGUAACAGAUCAAUAGAAAACUCAACUUCUCUAAUCGGAGGUAACCCAGGCAAUUCCUCUGGAAAUACAUCUGGAAAUUCACAAACUACCGGCACUGAUUCAAGCUUCGACCCAGUAAUAUCCGUGUUUAGCACAUAAGCAAGAUAAACUUCACAUCCCUUUCUCAAGUAUUUCUGAGCAGACAUGUGCGAAAUCACCAUAGGCAACUUAUUCGGCUCCUUUGUUUCAACCCGGAGAAUUUCACCGUUUUCACAAUUUAAUUCAAGAAUUUUCUGUCUACAAUUUCCCUUGGCAUCAUGCAAUAUCAACCAAUCCAUCCCCAAAAUAACAUCAAACUCAUCAAAUGGUAACAACAUCAAAUUAGCCGGGAAACAGUGGCCUUGAAUCAUCAGGGGACAAUUCUUGCAAACCUUAUCGACUAAGACAUAUUUGCCUAAAGGAUUUGAUACUUUAACUACAAAUUCAGUUUUUUCAACAGGCAAUUUCUUACUAGACACCAAAUUCAUGCAUAUAUAUGAAUGAGUAGAGCCGGGAUCAAUCAAAGCAAUAACAUCAAUAUCAUGAAGAGAAAAUGUACCAGUAAUCACAUCGGGAGAUGAGGCAUCCUCUCGAGCGCGUAUAGCAUAAGUCCUAGCAGGCGCUCUAGUUUCUGAUCCUCCAGCUGUAUCUUUUAUCACACUCUUACCACUGGCUUUGCUUCCCACAUUUCUCGGUGGUCUGCCUCUACUGACAACAUCACCCGAUCCAGCUCUUUGUAAUCUUUCUUCUUCUAUUCUCUCAGGGCAGUCUUUUACAUAAUGCUCUUGGGAACCACAUCUGAAACAAGCUCGUUUAAAUCCCCAACACUCACCAGUAUGUCGCCUGCCACACUGUUGACAUUCAGGUCUGGUGUUUCCUACAUUACCCACACUUGCCACUGAGGUAGCUCGAGUUGUAGUUCCGGAAUAUGACCUCCCUCGGUCUCUGCGUGAAUACCCAACUGAACCGGUUGGUCGUGGAUCCAUCCCUUUAAACUUCUUCGGGUGAGAUUGAAAUGUUCUGCCCAUUGACCUCUUCCUUACAUCUCGAGCUUCCAUCUCUGCCCUUCUCUUUUCUCUACUCAGCUCUUCAGCUUUGCAAGCACGAUCAACUAAUACCACAAAUUCUUUUAACUCUAAAAUUCCAACAUGUAAUCUGAUGUCUUCAUUUAGCCCCUCUUCAAAUCUUUUACACAUAAUAGCCUCCGUAGGCACACAUUCCUGGGCAUAUUUACUAAGCCGGACAAACUCCCGUUCAUAUUCUGCUACUGACAUUCGGCCCUGUUUCAAUCCGAGAAACUCUUUGCGCUUCUGAUCAAUAAACCGUUGGCUUACAUAUUUCUUUCUGAAUUCUUCCUGAAAGAAGUCCCAAGUAACUCUUUCUUUUGGAACCACCGUUAUUAAUGUUUUCCACCAACGGUAUGCCGAAUCCUUCAAUAAAGACACAGCACAUUUCAAACAUUCCUCAGGAGUACAAGAUAAUUCAUCAAAUACCUGGAUAGUAUUUUCAAGCCAAAACUCGGCUUUUUCCGGAUCAUCAUCAACAUUGGCCCUGAAAUCUUCAACCCCAUGCUUUCGAAUUCUAUCAACGGGUGGUUUACUUGAUCUCACCAAUUCAGCACUUCGUGGAGCUACGGGGACCGGCGGAGGAAUAGGAGGGGGUGGAGGAGGUGGAACAUUCGGAUUUACACGGACAUAUUCUGUAUACCAAUCACUCAUCAUUCGGAGGAAGGCUUCUCGAGCCUCAUCCUGUCCAUGUGUCUCAUGUCUACUCUCUUCAUGCGCGGUCCCUUGUGUGGGAACCGGCGUGUUACUUUCAACAUCAUCUGCCAUACUUCGAUUAGGAUCCAUUUACUAUAUAAAACAAAAUUUUAAAUUGUCAGAAAUCAUCACACUAUCACAAUAUAUUGAUGGCAUGUAUAGACUGACUUUCACACAUAUUUUAUUGGUCCGAGAACUGACUAAACCGUAGCUCUGAUACCACUAAAAUGUAACACCCCUUACUCGUAUUCCGGCUCGGAACAGAGUAUGAGGUAUUACUAAGUUUUUUAAAAAAAAUUUCGACAGCAUUUCUUCUUAAUUUUGCUUAAACCUCCUGCAAAUUUAAAUCACAAUCCAAUAUAUAUAUAUCAACCAAACUCAUUUAUAAUAAUACUCACAAUUUAACUAUUAAUGAACACCACAUUUUAAAUCAAACCAUAACAUAUAUUUACAUGAUGAUUCCAUAUUUCAUAGGUCGUCUAUACAUGCCAUAAUUUUCCGGAACGAUAGUAGCAAAAUACCCCAAGUGUGAAGGAUAGUGUGGAUGAUUGUCUGACUUCGUUCCAAAUUUCCGAGUUGUCGGAAGUCACUAUAAUCAAGGGAAAAAUAAAAUCGAGUAAGCAUAUAGCUUAGUAAGUAAACACAUGAUAAAUAAGUAAUUACUCACAUAACUACACCAAAAUAUAAACUUAUUCAUGAAUAACUUCAUUGUUUAGGCAAUUUCCAGCAAACUGUUUUUCUGCGUCAUAUUCGCUAAUUUAUUUUUAUCCGGAGCUACAGGGCUCCAAAUUGAGUUUCGUAAAUUUUCCCUGAAACUAGACUCAUAUACCAUUUCACCAUAAAAAUUUCAGAAUUUUUUACCCAGCCAAUUAGUACAUUUUAUUCAUUAAAACUUCCCCUGUUUCACUGCCCAACGGUUCUGACCCUUCCUCAAAAAAAUUCACUUAACUCUCUGUACAAAAUUUUAAAAAUGGUUUCGCUUGUUUCUAUUAAAAAUAGAGUCAAUAAGGAAUCCAGGAAUAUAAAUUUCACACCAUAAUUAUUUUUGUACAAUUUUUGGUGAUUUUCCAAAGUUAGAACAGGGGAUCCCGAAAUCAAUCCAGCCCUGUUUCAGUAAAAUUCAGAUAUCUCCAAAAAUACAACUCUUUUGCUUAUUCUAUUUAUUUCAUAUGAAAAUAGACACAUUCAGCUUCAAUUUCAUAUAUUAUUCAGCUUCCCAUUCAUUUUCCACCAUUUAUGGUGAUUUUUCAAAGUUACCCAUCUGCUGUUGUUCAACACAGUUUAUAACUAAAUCGUUCCUUUUUUCGUUUUUGAUAUUUUCUCCCAUCUCAUACAUGGAUCGAUUUAGUAUCCAACUCAAUAUUUGCCCCAUAAAAAUUUCCACCAUAUGGCAAUAUUCACCUUCCACACUUUUUCGUUGAGCACUCGGAAUGUUAACCGUUAUUGGUGGAUCUCGCACUUAGCACCACCACUUAAUCGGGGAAUCAGCACUUAGCAACCCCUUGGGGGAAUCAGCACAUAGCAACCCCCUUUUUAUUUCAGAGAUACGGUGGAUAUCGCACUUAGCACCACCAAUGAACCGGGGAAUCAGCACUUAGCAACCCCUCGGGGGAAUCAGCACAUAGCAACCCCCUUUCACAUUUCAAAGAUACGGUGGAUAUCGCACAUAGCACCACCAAUGAAUCGGGGAAUCAGCACACAGCAACCCCUUUAUGUACAACAUACUUCGGCUUAUUCCGAGUGUUCAACCCAUAAAUCAUAUAUUGCAACCCUUUACCACAUUUCCCGAUUUAACAACAUUUUUAGGAUAUGGCCAAACAUUUAUUUUAAUUCCAAAUAAAUCUCAACAUAUAUCAAUUAAUGUCAAAAUAAUACAUCAAGUCACGUGUUUACUUACCUCGGUGCAAAAUAUCGUAAUUUUGCACUUCACUUCACUCCACUAUCUUUUCUUUUCCUCGUUUGAGAUAAUCUUCACGUCUUUCUUGAUCUAUAAUAGCAAAUUUAACUCAUUUAAUGUUCACAUUCAUUAAAAUAAUCCACCACCCAACUUUUUGAAAAAUUACAAUUUUGCCCCCAAACUUUUGCAUAAUUACACUUUUGUCCCCAAGCUCGGAAAUUAAACUUCAUCACUUAUUCUUAGGUUUUAUGACAUGCUGAACAUUUUUCCCUUCUAUGGCAACAUCAAAUUCUCACUCUAACAUACACUUAUGAACAAUAAUUAUUUUUACCGAUUAUGCCUAUUUACCCGUUUUCGCUUAAAAUCGCUUAGCAAAAGUUGUUUAACAUAAUUUAUAGCUUCAUAUUCCACCAUAAAACAGAAAAAUAAACACAUUUCACCUAUGGGUAUUUUUCCAAAUAUGAGCCCUAACACGAAUUAUUGCUAGAAUAAGCUAAAUCGAGUUACGAGGAUUCCAAAAAUGCGAAGAACAUUAAAAACAGGGCUAGGAUGCACUUACUAUGAGCUUGAGAAAGCAAAGAAAACUUAGCUAUGGCUUCCUUCAAAUUUCGGCAGCAACUAAUGAGGAAGAUGAUGAUUUUUGUCAUCUUUUUCCCAUUUUAUUUUAUUUUAUUACCAAAUGACUAAUAUGCCCCAUUUAAAAAAAUCUAUUUCUCUCAUUUCUUAUGUCUAUUUUUGUCCAUCAACUAACUAAUGGUCUAAUUACCACAUAAAGACCUCUAAUUUAAAAUUUCAUAUCAAUUAGAUACUUCUACAUAUAGAACUCAACUUUUACACUAUUUACAAUUUAGUCCUUUUGACUAAAUUGAGUGCCCAAACGUCGAAAUUUUCGAACGAAAUUUUUACGAAAAUUUUCCGUGAAAUUGUAGACCAUAAAAAUAUAAUAAUAAUCAUAUUUUCCCUCGUCGGAUUUGUGGUCCCGAAACCACUAUUCCGACUAGGCCCAAAAUCGGCCUGUUACAUAUAGGCUAUUAAAAUGGUGAAAUUAUAUUUUUACAAUAGUAAAAAUUACAAUUUAAUUUCACCCCUAAAAGGAUUUUUUGGCUUCGACCCUAAUAAAAUCUUUGGCAAAAGAUUAAAAUAAAAUUAUACCGUGAAUGGAAAAAGAAACUAAGAAAAUCCAAUCUAACAAAGAAAAUAACUUUGUUUAGCAACCUUUGUUUGAUUAAAAAUGUUGAAUUAAAAAUUCCAGAAUAGAUUAAAAAUUAUACCGUGAAUGGCAAAAGAUUACAAUUUUUUUGGUAAUAUUUUAAAAUUCCAGAAUAGAUUAAAAAUGUUGAAUUAAAGAUAAAAUUAAUAACCACAAGUGUACUCAUUACUCACCAUCUCUGUUAAAAAUGAUCGAUGUUGUUUAGCAACCUUUGUUUGAUUUUCUUCAGCUCAACCACAACAUCUUUCAUAUCUUUUCUUUCUUCCGGUAACUCAGCUGAACAAUUCAAAGCCAACUCCAUGAUAGAUGAAAUACAAUUUGCUUUAACAACAAUGUACUCAUCCUCUCUUCUUAAUAAAUCAACAUCUGCAAUUUCUAUCGCUCCUUUCGGCAAUGAACUUUCCAUCCAAUGCCUUAUACUCUCUUCUUCAACAAAAACAUUACCAGUUGGCUUUUUCUUUGUGAAAGUUUCUAUAAGGACGAUCCCAUAACUAUAGACGUCAGAUUUUAUAGAAACGAUUCCUGCUGAUCCAAAUUCUGCAUUUCAAGUAUAAUUACAACAUCAUUCAUCCUCAAUUAUUUCUAAAAUGCUUAUUCAAAUAUAUAUUCACAUCCACAUGAAACAAAAAUAUAAAAUGCAAAUUAGGAAAAUAAUCAUACAAAAAUAAAAAAUAAUUCACCUGGUGCCAUAUACCCGAUAGUUGCAAGAGUCAUGGUUUGCUUCAUUACUUCACCUUCUCCCAACAAUUUGGCAACGCCAAAAUCUCCAACAUGUGCAACCAUGUCUUCAUCUAGUAAAAUAUUGCUUGGUUUUAUGUCACAAUGAAUAUAGGUGUUGGAUGUCCAUUGUGGAGGUGUUCUAUGCCUACCGCAACAUUUAUCAUUAUGUCGACCCUUUGUAUGAUAUCAAGGAAACAAUUUUCAGAAUGUAACCAUUUCUCAAGGUUUCCAUUAGACAUGUAAUCAAGCACCAAGGCUUUGAAGUCAAGACUUGAGCAGCAAGUAAUGACCUUCACAAUAUUACGAUGAACUAUAUUACGCAUAGCAUCACAUUCAAUGUCAAAACUCCUAAAUGCUCCCUCUGUUUGCAAAUUGAAAACUUUUAUUGCAACUUCCAUUCCAUCUGAAAGCCUCCCUUUAUAUACAUAUCCAAAACUCCCUGAACCAAGCAUAUUGCUUUCCUCAAAUCCAUUAGUUGCUCGUGAAAGUUCAGCAUGUGAAAUUCUUCUCGGUGUCUUCAAAGACAACAAAUCAUCUUUAAUUGGUAGAGCUGUACUCCUUCUUUGGCAUCUUCUAUACAUAAUAGUUAAGACUAUUAAUACUACGACAAUACCAAUUGUUGGUAAACCAUACCUAAAAGCAUGCAAUAUAAUCAUUUGGGAGUUUUUGUGGAUGUCGUUUUUACAAGGUGGGACUAGCAGUCUAGGUGGACCACAAAGUGCAUAAUUCUUUAUGAAUGAUGUGCUAGAAAAGUUUGAAAAACAUCCUUCGCUGGGAAUUUCCCCUUCAAGUCUAUUGAAAGACACAUUAAAAUACUUUAGAUAUAAAAGCUUCUCCAAAGAUUUGGGAAUGACUCCAGAGAGAUUGUUAUUGCAUAAAUCCAAGAAUUCCAAACUAAUCAACCCAUCAAAUGAUUCAGGGAUAUGACCAUGUAGUAUAUUAUUUGAUAAAUCUAAUGAAACCAAAGUUAUAAGACCCCCAAAUGUGGAUAAGAUAUCCCCCGUGAGAAGAUUCCUUGAUAAAUUUAGUUUCAGUAGACUCCUCAAAUUUCCGACAUCAAUAGCAUGUGAAUUGUGAAGAUGGUUUGAUGAUAAAUCUAUUUUUAAGAUAUCUUGAAGAUUCCACAAAGUUGAGGGUAUUGCGGAACUCAGUUUGUUGGAAUCUAAGUAAAGAUAUCCCAAAGAAGUAAUAUUACCCAAACAAGAGGGUAUGGAUCCAUGUAGCUUAUUCAACCCUAAAUACAUCUCGUAUAGUCUCUCCAAAUCACAAAAACUUUCUGAGAUGGGCCCUCCUAAUUUAUUAGAGGAAAGAUCUAGACCUUGGAGAUUUCGCAGUCCUCCUAUUGAUGCUGGAAUGAAUCCACUUAAUUUAUUAUGGCGAAGUUGUAAAAGCAAUAGGUUGGUUAAGUUACCUAUUUCCAUAGGAAUAAUGCCUUGAAGCUCACAAUUAGAGGCAUAAAAGUAUUGAAGGGUUUUUGAAAGGUUCCCGAUAUAAGUAGGAAGAACACCACUCAAUGGAUUUCCUGAAACAUCUAUUGUGCUCAAAUUCCUACAAUUCGUCAAAGAAGAAAGAAAGCUCCACUCAUGAUCGGUAGAAGAUCCUGUGAUCAAAUUAUUGUUUUUGAUUCGGAACCAUUCAAGGUGUCUUAAGUUGCCAAGCGUUUUAGGGAUUGGGCCAGAGAAUAAGUUAUGCGCCAAGUCUAGUUCCUUAAGCAUGGAAGCAUUGGAGAUAGAGUUGGGAAUGUUUCCGCUAAGUUUAUUUCUCCACAAUAAAAGAAUCUCAGGCUUUGGAGCAUUGGUGAUGGGUGGUAAAUUACCUGUAAAAUAUCAUCUUUUAGUAUACAUAUUCAUUGAAUACCAAAUUCACAAAAUAUAUUAUACAUUAAAAUAAAAACUGUAAAACUUUAAAUCAAUUAAGAAUAAAAUUUUGGCAUGGAAAAAUGUGAUGAAAUCAAUUACAAAGUUGAGACAUACUAAGAAGUUUCAAGUAGUAAUUAGUCUUGUGAUUUGUAUAGACAAAACAUAUAGAUUUGGGAAUGUGGCAUCUAAUCAAUCUUAAAAAUGAGACUGGCACUGAAUAAUAAUUAGUUAUGAUUUGGGAAACAAAAAGGUUAAAGCCAUUGUUUUUAAUGUAAACUGAUAUGAUUUUUAUUUAUUGGGUUAAUUAUUUAUUGUUAUUAAAUUAUAGUGUAAAAUUUAACGAUUAUUAUUUGCUCAAAAUUUCUGUAUUUUUCGUAUAUUUGAAAUUUAAUCUUUAUAUUUUUUAUUUUUUGUGAUUUAGUCUCUCUACUUUUUGAAUUGAAAAUUUUAGGUUCAUUUACUAACACUAUUAAAAAGUUUUUGUGUCUAGUAUGGCAUUUUGAAAAAUAAAAUAAACUUGAUAUCUAUGUUUUUAAUUAUUCCAAAUAUUGCUUUACUAUUUCAAGAUAAAUUAUUUGUGUCUAGACUAAUAUCUUAAGAACUAUUGUUGCAUGUUUAAUUAUCUAAAAAAUUAUCGAUUGAGUCUUAGCUUGAUUGGCAUGUGCGUUGUUGCCAAUGUAGGAGAAUGUGGGUUCAAGUAUGUUGAAGUGUAUUAUCUUCUUAUUUAUGAAUUAGGGAGUUGGUAAAGUACUAAAAUUUGAUAUAUUUUAAAAUAUUAAAAUUUAUUAAAAUAUUUUUUAUAAAAAAUGAUUCUACCACAAUAUACAAUUUUAAUAUCAAAUUUUUAAUUUUUUUUAAAAAUGUUAGCGAAUAUAUACUUUAUUUCAAGUUAUGCAAUUUUUACUAGUUUUUAACUUUUUUUCAAAUUUUUAUCGUCUUUUAUAAUUUCUAAUAAUUUUUUAUAAUUUUUUUACAAUAUUUAACAAUUUCUAAAUUUUUUUUAAUAAUUUUAUUAUGUAUUACAAAUUUAAAAAUUAACAAAUUUUUAUAUUUUUAAAAAAAUUAUAUAUUUAUAAUGUAUUUAUUUUUUAUAAUUUUAUUUGAAAUUUUAAAGAUUUUUUUGGUUUGUUUUCUAGAUGAUGAUGCCAUCAUGAUGCUAACAUAUUAUGAUUAGAUAUCUCAAUCUAUUCUUUUAACGCCCAGUGAAUGAAACCAAGAACACCUAAUGUUAAAGUGGGUAAAAACACAUUAAGGACCAAAGUUAAAAAAAGAAAAAGAAAAAGAGCAAUAUGCUGUAGGGAAUAAACUGUGCAUUAAGCCAUUAAAAAUAUAUGUAUAAUAUAUAUAAAUGCAUGGAUUUUGAGAAACUUUUGAACUGAUAAUUAUAUAGUCUUUGUUGUUUACUAUAUUAUUGAAUUUGUUAUUUUAAAUUAAUUUUAUUACUUUUAAGAUUUAUAUAAGAAUUUUGGUUUUACUAAAAUAUUUGCUUAAAUAAGUUCACUUCAUAAGAAAAUUUAGCAUCCUUAUAAAUAACAAUUUUGAUUCUAUUAAAAAACUUAUUUUAAAAAAUUAUAUAAUCAAAAUUUAAAAUUUAUAUUGAAUUACUUUAUACUUAAAUUAUUAUUAGAAACUUUAUCAUACACAUACGUGUAUGAGAACCACGUAUUUAGAACAUAAAUUUGUGUUUUAAAAUAACUUAUGAUAAAUAAUGAAAUGUAUAAUUUGAAACUAUUUAAUAAUAACACAUAGCAUAUCUACCAUAUUAAAAUAAAAAUAGAUUAAAUUGUAAGUAAAACAUAAUUUAAACAUAUGAACACAUCAAAUUAAGAAUACUAAAUGAAUAAAGUUAUUUAUAAUGAUAUUGUUGUCAAUUCCUAAAUUGGUGUCGAGUUAAUCUGUGACAUCAUAAAUUUAAGUGAUAAAUUUAAGGAUUUAUGUAUUGAUGUGGAUUCAAAUAUCACCAUAAGUUUUUUAAAAAUAAAAAACUAAAAUACCUUAAAAUACUAUAACUUAUAUUAAAUACGAAAGAGUAUUUUUGUAAUUUUCCUAACCGAGUUGGUGCCCGGUUGACUCAUGACACCAACUCAAUUAAAAGAUUUAAUAAUAAUAUAGAUAUUCACGUUAAAAAAACAAAAAAAAAGUACUUUAGUUCCAAAUAAUUAUAUAACAAGUAAAUUUAUAAUUGAUGAAUAAAUUUAUAGAUAAUAUAUUUAUAUGAUCUAAUAUAUUAUAUUAAUAUUAAUUAUAUAUCAUCUACAAUCUUUGAAGAUCAAUUUAUUAAGUAUCAAGAAAAGAAAAAAAUGAAAUUGAGUUAACACUAAAUCAAUUUUUAGAUUUUGUACAGAUGAUUUAAUGAUGAUAAAAAAAUUAUUAGCACUAUUUUUGAAUUAACAAAAAAUUAGUGAUAUAUUUUAAUUAUAUUUAUUAUUUAUUAUUUUUAAUAAUAUUUUUUAAAAUUAUAUGAAGUAAAAUUAUACUGUAUACUAAAUAUGGUACAUAUACUUUAAUUGUAACUUGAAAAUUUAUUAUAUAAAUUAAUAUAUUUUAAUUAUAUUCAACCAUUUGAAUAACAAAAUAAAAAAAAACUAAUUAGAAUAAUUUUUAGAAAAAAGAAAAAACAUUAUUUAAAGGCUAGUUAAAAAUCACGUGCAACAGGUGAUAUGAGAAUCUAUGUAUAUAAAUGUGUAUAUAUAUAUCGUUGUUUCAUUUUUUUUUUAAAUAAAUAUAUUUUCCACAUUGGUUUCUUUUCUUGUACAGACAAAGGAUUUCUAAUGAUUUUAAAAAAAAAAAUUUACUUAUAUAAAAUAGAUCAGUUUAUUCAGUAAAAUAAAUCAAUUCAUAUAAAUGUUAUUGUUUAUUAUCAGAUUGAAAUGAUAAAAGUAUAUGACAUAAAUAGAAGAAACAAAUUCAACACAAUGUUUUCCGAGUUUGGAAAAAAUUAAAGUGAAAAACAUACCUUCUAAUUUGUUGCCAUAUAGAGCUAUUACUUCGACCAUAGUUGAAUUAAAAAUACUUGAUGGAAUCUGACCUGCAAACAUAGUUGAAAAUUGAAGUAAAAAACAUACCUUCUAAACUCUUCAACUAAAAAUACUUUAAGCAUAUUUUUUUUCCCAUCAAAUUAACUAUUUUGCCUUGAAUGAAAUAAAAUGCUCUUACUUUUGUUAUCUAUUACAAAUCAAAUUCUUCUAUGAAAAAAUAUUUUAAAUUAAAGAAACAAAGAAAAUUCAAUAUCUUCUAAGUAAAGCACUUCAAGCUUGGGAAGAUCAUUAGGCAAACUACCUGAUAUGCCAGUGUUGGAGAGAUCAAUGAUCUUCAGAGAAGAAAUGUUGAAGAUCGAAGUUGGAAUCUGACCUGUGAGGCCUUUAAUUUCUUUAAUACUAAGCAGCUCCAAACCAAGAAGAUUACCGAUUUCCUCAGGAAUUUGACCUGCACACAUAUUUAGUCGAAAAAUCAAGAUGUCAAACUGCCUAUAUUGUUAGCAUAAGUCAAAGAGGUUUUCGUUUCUGCUCUACAGUAAUUUGGAGAUGUUAGAUUUAAUAUAUUUCAGCAUAUGUUUUUCAUCAAAUGAAAUAAAAAAGUUUUUCCUUUUGUUAUCUAUUAAAAAUCAAACUCUUUUAUAAAAAAAUACUUUAAAUUUAAGAAAUCAAGGAAAUUGAUUACCUUCUAGAUUAUUAAACCCCAAAUAUAAUUUCUGGAGUUGUGUUAGAUUUCCAAUACUUCUUGGAAUGAUCCCCAUAAAUUGAUUAUAGGACAACGACAAACUUUUAAGGUUGCUGCAUUUGCCCAUGCCAAAUGGAAUGUUACCAGAUAAUUCAUUCCAACUCAGGUAAAGCUCUUCAAGCUUGGGAAGAUGUUGACACAUAUCAUUAGGCAAACUACCUGAUAGGCUAUUGCUGGUGAGACUAAUAGAUUUCAAAGAAGAAAUCUUGAAGAUGGAAGAUGGAACCUGGCCAGAUAAUUGAUUCAAUUCCAAGUUCAAGAUCUCUAGGUUAGACAUGUUAACAAGUGUUUCAGGGAUUGUGCCUGUAAAGUUAUUAUUUUUCAUUUUCAGCGUUCGAACUCUCUGUAAGUUCCCAAGCCAUGAUGGAAUUUCUCCAUUAAGACGGUUGUAGCUUAAUCGAAGGAUCCUCAAACGAUGCAAUUGGCCCAAUUCUUUAGGGAGAUAGCCAUAGAAAUGGUUGCUACUCAAGUCGAGUGAGAGUAGAAGUGAAAGAUUUCCAAGGUGUGGAGGGAUAGUACCCCUAAGAUUCAUGCUUGUAAGAUUCAAAGCUAUAACUCUUUUAUGGAGGAUGCCACAAGUAACACCAAUCCAAUUGCAAACAGAGGUUGAGGCCGUCCAAUUGUUUGCCAAGACAUUUUGAGGACCGGCAAUGUGAUCCUUAAACUCGAGAAGUGCAAACUGAUCGGAGUUGAGAUUCUUGACUGUCAUAGCCAAGCAAAGUACGGAACAUGGUAUGAAUAAAGCUAAGAGAAGAUGAAAGCCAGCGUUGUAGUUCAUGAUUGCAAGACGGAAUAAGGCAAGAAAAUAAAAAAAAGUAGGAAAAGGGAAGUUGAGCUGAUAAAAUAGUUUGGAUGAUGAAGAAAAGCCCAGAGAGCAUGCUUUAAUAUGUUUCAACCCUCGUACACUUGAUAAACUUGAUAAAUUUAAGACUACCCUAAAAAUUAAAAAGGAAAGCAAAGUUUUGAAGAAAUUUCAAAAUAAAUGUCAAGUCUUCUUCUUUAGAAAAUACGUACAAAGAAUCGAAUUUUCAAAAUUUCUCCUAAAUUUUCUUCACGUUACUCCACAUAAUCCAUUAAAAAUACUUAAAAAUAUAUUUUAAUAAUUACUAUAUAUUCUUUUAUUUAAUAAAUUGUUUAAAAAUGCUAUUAGUCCCUGUAAUUUAAAAGUUAAAAAAAAAAUCCAAUCCUCCUAUUUUUCUAAUUUGAAAAUUCUAGUCCAAUAAUUCUUAAUUCCAUUAAAAAAUUUCAGCUUAAUAGGUUUUUUAUUAUCAAUCAUAUGCAACAGUAUAUGAAUGCAGUCUACUCAGCAUAUAUCCAAGUUUACAGAUUUUAAUAGAAAAUACUUACAAUCCUAAUGGUAGGACUAAGUUUUUUAAACUAGAAAAGUGAGAAGACUUAAUUUUUAACUUUUUAAGCACAAGGAUUAAAUUUUAAAUGUUGUCAAAGUACAAGCACUAACAAAAUAUUUUGAUCUAAUAAAUGUAAAAAACUUUUUAAACAAAAUAAGGUUGAAAUAAUCUAUUUGUCCUUGUACUUUGAUAAAAUUUGAGAUUUAGUCCUUAUAUUUAAAAACUUAAAAAUUAAGUCUUAUUGUUUUUAUUUAAAAAUCUUAGUCCUAUCCUUAAUUUUAUUUUAUCAAAAUUGGUCAACUUUACAUAUUAAUUAGGUUUCCCUUAUAUGUCGCGGUAUCAAUCAAAACUUAAUUAAUAUCCAUCAAUAUCCAUCAAUACGUCAUACAUAAAAAAAGCAAGCAUAAAAUACAGUUAAAAGUCCUCCUUUUAUUAUUAAAUGUUUUAUUUUAGUUAUUUUAAUCAAAUAUAUCCAAAUUACAAUAGAGUUAACAUUUAUUGUGUAAAAAAUAUUUUAAAUUUUUUUUUCAAUUUUAGUUUAAUUCUAGAAGAAAUAUUUCAUUUAUAAAAUCAUAAAACUUUAAAAAUAUUAACUCUGUUAAAUAAAAAUUAUUUUUUUAAAUAGUAAAUGUUAACUUUAUUAACACAAAUGGGCCUCAGUAAUUGACAAGCUCUUCCACAAACUGUGGAAGAUUUGGGGAUAAAAGCUUCAAUAAUUAUGGAGUUAUAGUGUAAAUUUGCCACUAUAUUAUAAGUGUAUUGAAAUUUAUCACUAUAUUUUAUUUGAUGUUUAUCAUUACACUUUGAAAAUAUAAGUAAAUUUACCAUUUAACUCAGAUUUACCUUUGCAAGUAAACUUAAAAUUUUAUUUAAUUUUGUCACUAAAUUUGAUUUGUUCAAUAUAGAUUUUGGUGACUUAAAACUCACUAAAUUUGAUUUUUUCAAUAUACAUUUUGGUGACUUAAAACAAAAUUAAUAAAUAAUUAUUCUUUUGGAUAUCUUUUUAAUGUUUAAUAAUAAGUUAAUUUAUAAAAUAUACUGUCAUUGGACACAAGCCUCUAAGGCGGUGAACCACUAAUCAAAUUAAUUUGGAGAUAUCUUUUUUUCUAAAUAAAGUGAAUUUACGAGUUUUGUUUUCUUUUAAAAACAUUUUUAAUAUUUUUGUGGAUAUCAAAAAAUUUUUCAAUAAGAAAUUUUAAUUCACUCGAAAAGUUAGUGUUUUAUUUCAAGGGGUCAUAAUUAAUCAUUAGAUUUCCCAAUUUUAAAUUUUAAAUUUUUCGACAAUUGCGUAAUUAAUAAGUACCAAUUUUGAGUGUUGUAGGGCUAGUACAAUCUUCCUUACACAUAACCGACUCUUAAACCUACUCUUUUCUCUAGAAUUCAAUGCAAACAUCGAAUUUAUCUUUUGAAAAGAAUUUUAAAAUAAUAUAAAAGGUGUUUUUUUAUGACUGAUCACACUUAACAAAAAUUUAAAAAUUAUUAAAAAAAUUUCAUUUUGAAAUUUAAAGUGAUCUAAAAACAUAUUUUUAAGUGCUUUGGACCAUCUGUUGCUGAUUUCCUUAUUAUAUUAAAUGUUUGCAAUCACUCCUAAUAUAUUGUGCUUGAGUUGUGACAGAGCAAAUCGCCAACGUGCCAUAUUGAUCUAUUGAUGCUGAAACUGAAGUUUUUGUUAUAUUGAUAGAGCUUGUCCUUCAACGCAUACAACGUGUUUGUUAUUUUUCUCCCUUCAAAUUGUAUGAUCUUAUUUAUUUAAUGAAUUAAUGAAUUUCCCUUUUAAAAAGAUAUAUUUUUAAAAUUAAAUACUUUAUAAAAUAUUUAAAACUACUUAAAAAAUUGUAAGCCUUAAAACAAUCAACAAAAUAUAUUUUUCUCUAAAAAAAUCAAUAAAAAUAUGUUUAAAAUUUUAUAUGAAAUUAAAUUUUUUUUAACAAUAAUAUAUUUUAAAAUUAUAGUAACGCUAUAAAAUAUAUAUAUACAUAUAUAUAUAUAUUUACUAAUUAUAUACACCUUUCCAUACAUCCUUUUUCUACAUAGAAUUUCAAAAGUAAAUGUGAAUUAAUGUAGGCGUAAGAAGACUUACAGGUAAGUCACCCAACGAAAGUGUCCUAAACCGACUUAUGGAAGAAUCAAACAAUAAUUUUGUAUCGUAUAAUAUAUUUAAUUACAUUUAUUAGUUUAUCAAUCAAAACUUAAGUAGAAUCCAUCAAUAUUUCACACAUCAAAACCCAAACAUAAAAUUCACUUUUAAAUUAUUCGGGGAAUAUUUGUAUUAUAGGAAAUGGAUUAAAUUAGACUUUUAUUAUUAAAUGUAUUAUCUUAAUCUUUGUAUUAGGUAUGAAUGAUAUCUCUUAGAUUGAAGCUAGAGCUAUUCUUGAAUGAUUGAAAUUAAGAUUAAGAUGUGUUGAGAUGGAAAGUGGCAACACAAUGCUGAUUGAUGCUAUUUGUAAUGGGUUGGCUACAAUAAGUAGUGCUGCUGAAGUAAGACAAAUUUAUGAUUGGUGUUCCAAAAUUUUGGGAAGUCAAAUUUUGACAUUUUCAGCGGAAUGCCAAUAAAGUUGUUGAUUGCAUAGCUAUGGCAGAUGGAGGCAUAAUUGAGCAGCUGGUUAUCUUGAAAGAUCCUCUGCAUUAUGUGAGAUACUAGCUUGAAGAAGAUAUUAGACGGUCACUGGUGACUGAUGAUAAUUUUCAUUUGGACUGAUGAGCGCUUAAUUUUCUAAGCUUAUGGUCAACCAAAAAAAAUAAAUAAAUGCGUCUAAAUUGUAAUAGAGUUAACAUUUAGUGUUUAAAAAAAUCUUAAAAUUUUUUUUUCAAUUGCAGUUCAAUUCCAAAAAUAUCGAUGAUGAACCCGAACAUAAAAAUUACCAAAAAAAAAAACACAUCUAUUAUCAAACCAACAAUCCAUGUCUAAACUUAAAUUAACAAAAUUCGCCACCCAACCCAAUACACUAUUUUAUAUAUAUAUUAGAUUUAUUCUAGAUGCGCAUGUUUUAUUAUAUUUAAAAAUUAAAAUAUAUGGUUGACUGAGUUUUAGCUGAGUUGAUAUUGGUAUUAUUGUUAGUGUAAGAAAAUUUGAGUUUAAUCGUGUUCAAAUGUGUUUUAUCCUCCAAUUUAAAGGUUAGGAAAAUAUUAUUGAUAAUUAAAUUAUACCAACUUGAUGAUAUUAAAAAAAGGAUGUAUAAAAAAUAUAAGGGAGAAAAAAAAAAGGAGAAACAUAUUCAUAUUGAUGGGCUCUUUCAAUAUUAGACUUUUUUUCUCUCACAAGUAAAAGUAGUUAUGGAGAGGAUCAUGUAAAAUAAUAGCCUGAAUAAUUUUAAACGUCUCAUCAUUGCAAAAAUGAAAUAGUAGAAAAGAAAGAGUAGACAUUCUAUGAAAUUUAUAAUUCCAACCGUGAAUAAAAUAUAAAUUUUAUGAAUGUGGACAAGCAAUUUUAUUUAACUUUUUUUAAAGUCAUUUUGUUUGUUUCCUAAUCACCAUGAAAUUACUUGUCACAAUUCAUCUUUUUAAAUGAGAAACAUUUUCCACAAUUUGCCAUCACUUUAACAUACACUAACUUUUCUAUGAUUAGUCCUUUGUUUGCUUUGGGUGCAAUCUUCCAACUAGCCUCAUCCUUGGUUUUACUUUCCAACAUUUAGUGUAUUACGAGUUUUGUUUUCUUUAAAAAAUAUUUUUGUGGAUAUUAGGAGAUAAUGAAAUUAUUUUACUAUGAAAUUUUAAUAAAACUGGAAAAUAAGUCAUUUAUUUUAAGAGAUCACAAUUAAACAUUAGAUUUCCAAUUUUUUAAUUUUAAUUUUUUUUGACAAUUGCAUAAUAUUUUGAGCGUUGUAGGAAUGCCAUAACCUUCCCUACGCAUAAUCGACUCUUAAGUAUGAUGGAUCCUAGACCUUCUCCUCUAUUCUUGUACCACAAAUUGCUUCGAGUGUGGGUUCGGAAAAUCACAAAUUAAGCACAAAACCAAAAAUGAUUUUGUAACACCCCAAACCCAGCCUAGUCAUUAUGGAUUAAUGUAGACCUGAGAAGACUUAAUUACAUUUAUUAGUUUAUCAAUCAAAACUUAAUUAGAAUCCAUCAAUAUUUCACACAUAAAAAACCCAAACAUAAAAUUCACUUUUAAAUUAUUUGAAGAUAUAUUUGUAUUAUAGGAAAUGGAUUAAAUUAGUCUUUUUAUUAGUAAAUGUAUUAUUUUAAUCUUUUUAUUAGGUAUGAAUGAUAUCUCCUAGAUUGAAGGCAGAGCUAUUCUUAAAAGACUAAAGUUAGGAUUCAGAUGUGUUGAGAUGGAAAGUGACAACGCAAUGUUGAUUGAAACUAUUUGUAACGGGUUGACUACAAUAAGUAGUGCUACCGAAGUAAGACAGAUUCACGAUUGGUGUUCCAAAAAUUGGAAAGUCAAAUUUCGACAUAUUCAGCGGAAUGCCAAUAAAGUUGUUGAUUGCAUAGCUAAGGCAAAUGGAGGCAUAAUUGAGCAGCUGGUUAUCUUGGAAGAUCCUCCGCAUUAUGUGAGAUGCUAGCUUGAAGAAGAUAUUAGACAGUCACUGGUGGCUGAUGAUAAUUUUCAUUUGGACUGAUGAGCGCUUAAUUUUUUAAGCUUAUAUUCAACAAAAAAAAAAUUAAAUACGUCUCAAUUGUAAUAGAGUUAACAUUUAGUGUUUAAAAAAUAUCUUAAAAAUUAUUUUUUCCAAUUGCAAUUCAAUUCCACAAAUAUCAACGAUGAACCUGGACAUAAAAAUUACAAAAAAAAAAAAACACAUCUAUUAUCAAACCAGCAAUCCAUGUCUAAACUUAAAUUAACAAAAUUUGCCACGCAACCCGAUACACUAUUUUAUAUAUAUACUAGAUUUAUUCUAGAUGCACAUGUUUUAUUAUAUUUAAAAAUUAAAAUAUAUGGUUGACUAAGUUUUAGUUGAGUUAGUAUUGGUAUUAUUGUCAGUGUAGGAAAAUGUGAGUCUAAUUGUGCUCAAAUUUGUUUUAUACUCCAAUUCAAGGGUUAGGAAAAGGUUAUUGAUAAUUAAAUUAUACCAACUUUUAUGAUAUUAAAAAAAGGAUUUAUAAAUAAUAUAAGGAAAAGAAAAAAAGAGAGAAACAUAUUCAUAUUGAUGGGCUCUUUCAAUAUUAGACUUUUUUUCUAUCACAAGUAAAAAUAUCAAAGGUGAUAAUAAUUAAAUUAUAAAAUUUAAAUUGAGAAAAUAGGGGAUUGAAUUUAUAACUUUUAAAGUAUAAAGAAUGAAUUUAUAACUAACAACAUAUUUUAACCACACAAUAAAAGUAGUUAUGGAGAGGAUCAUGUAAAAUAAUGACCUGAAUAAUUUUAAACGUCUCAUCCUUGCAAAAAUGAAAUAAUAGAAAAGAAAUAAGUGUUGGGUGUAGUGGCAAUGUACAUUAUACUUCUAAGGGGAGAUCAGGGUUUUAUACAAGGGAAGAAUUUUAAACCUGCUUUUUUCUCUAGAACUCAACGCAAACCUCAAAUUUAUCUUUUUAUAAGAAUUUUAAUAUAUCUAUAUAAAAGGUGAUUUUUUUGCCGAUCACACUUAACAAAAUUUUAAAUUUUUUUUUUUGAAAUUUAAAGUGAUCUAAAAACAUAUUUUUAAGUGCUUUAGACCAUCCUGUGUUGAUUUCUUUAGUAAUUUGAUUUGUUCAAUAUAGAUUUUGGUGACUUAACACAAAAUUAAUAAAAAAUAUUUUUUCAGAUAUCUUUUUAAUGUUUAAUAAUAAGUUAAUUUAUAAAAUAUACUUUCAUAGGACACAGGCCUCCAAGGCGGUGAACCACUAAUGAAAUUAAUUUUGAGAUACUUAAAUUUGUUUUCAUCAAUUAAGAAAUUUGAAAAAUUGUUGAGACCUCAUGAUUAUCUUUUAUAAUUUCAGGCUUAUCACCAAAAAACUAAAAAACAAAAUCGUCGACAUUAAAUUUGUUGGCAUGCAAUCAAUUUUAAGAUGGUUUUUGGAGUUAUAUAUCACUUUAGCAUGGACUUACUUUUCUACAGUUAGUCUUCUCCAACAAGUUAAAUAUUUCAAUUUUAACAACAUUGACAGGUCUUUGGGGUAGGGUCGAGCAAAACUCAAUAGAAAUAGAUGAUAUAGAUUGAGUUAGCUCGGCCAAGUCGAGUCGACUUGUUCAAAUUAGUUAAAUUAGUAAAUUUUAGGGUGCAGUUAGAAUUUUUUUUUGUUUUGAGAUGCUAAGAUUAAAAAAUUUCAGUUGCUAAAACAAAAAAAUUGUAUUUAAAAAAAGGCAUAAAGAAAGGCUGAAUGACAAAUUGCCCAAAGCCCAUGCCCCUAGCUAUACGCCCCUGGUAAAAUCAAUUUUAAAAUUAGUUAUAAUAGUUGAAGCGAUUGAUUAUUGAGGAAUGAAAUACAUAGUUCAACAAAAUAAAUAAGUUGACAAAUUUUGACAAAAAAAAUCAAAAAUAAAAUAAUAGAAAAGAAAGAGUAGCCAUUUUAUGAAUUUAUAAUUCCAACCGUGAAUAAAAUAUAAAUUUUAUGAAUGUGGACAAGCCAUUUUAUUUAUAAUUUUCUGUGUUUUUCUUCUUUUCCUGACUUUUUUUUAAAGUCAUUUUCUUUGUUUCCUAAUCACCAUGAAAUUACUUGUCACAAUUCAUCUUUUUAAAUGAGAAACAUUUUCCACAAUUUGCCAUCACUUUAACAUACACUAACUUUUCUAUGAUUAGUCCUUGGUUUGCUUUGGGUGGAAUCUUCCAACAAUUAGUGUAUCACGAGUUUCGUUUUCUUUAAAAAAUAUUUUUGUGGAUAUUAGGAGAUAAUGAAAAUUAUUUUACUAUGAAAUUUUAAUAAAACUUUAAAAUAAGUAAUUUAUUUUAAGAGAUCACAAUUAAACAUUAGAUUUCCAAUUUUUUAAUUUUACAAUUUUUUGACAAUUACAUAAUUAAUAAGGUACCAAUGUUGAGCGUUGUAGGAAUGCUAUAACCUUCCCUAAACAUAAUCGACUCUUGAGCAUGAUGGAUCCUAGACCUUCUCCUCUAUUCUCGUACCACAAAUUGCUUUGAGUGUGGGUACGAACAAUCACAAAUUAAACACAAAACCAGAAAUGAUUUAUUACUUUUAAUAGCAAAGUAAUUCUCUCUCAAUAGAAACCAAUAGAAUUGUAAUUCCCAUAAAAUAAAAUUUAUUUUCUGAAAUAUAUUCUCACUACUUUCUAGCAGAGUAACAAUAUUUAAAACUUAUGUCUUGUGUUAAUAGCUUUACUAGCACUAUCUAUUUAUAGGGAGAGAGAUGAGAGUCCUGGUUGAAUUAGUAAAACACGAAUAAUAUUUAUUUCAUAGAAGACAAUUUCAUAGAAAACUUAUGUCUUGUGUUAAUAAUGUUGAAUUUGUAUGUACAAGUUUCUAAUACACUUGUUGGGACAUUCUUUGACUUUUAUCUAUUCUCUCAAAAAGUUAAAGUUCAAAGUUGCAUUAAACUCAAAUAAGAUAACCAUUAGCAAACCAGCUCACAAGCCUGCUCAAGCUAAUCCUACAAGUCAUUCCACUUCAUCAUCAAGCACCAAUGUUCUUGCUUAUCCUUAUGGAAUUAAACAAAAGAAAAAAGCUCUUUAAGAGUUAUUUCAAUAGACUUCUUUAAUGGUAAAUGACAAUCCACUCUAUUGAUGCUUCUUCGCCCAACUCAUGAUUUAAAAGAAGUUUAUACUCAUGGAUCAAGUGUAGCUCACCAGUUAUCAUUAAGGAGAAAAAAGAGUCAAUCAAGUGAAAAUUAUAUUCCAACAUCCCCCCUGAACCAAAUUUUAGAGUGAUGAAUGUCAUGACAACUGACACUACAUUCUUAGAAGAAUAAGUAGAUCUCUAGCAAAAACGAUGGAGAGUCUUACUACAAGCAUAAAAGGAAUGGAUGAUCAAAUUGAACAUCUUAGAGGAAGUAACCAAACCUUUUCCUACGAAACUCAACAUCCUCUUCACAAAGUUGUUGGAAUCAAAAUUGUUGAAGGACUUUAAAGUGUUUCUUUAGAUCAAGUUAAGGAGCUCAUUAAAGAAACCAUUAAAGAUCAAGUCAAAAGUGUUGCUCUACCUUCAUAUACAUACUUGAAGCCAUACAUUUGAAGGGCUUAUCAUUUGAAUAUGCCUGAACAUUAUCCACCUCCAAAAUUGCAAUAGUUUGAUGGUAAAGGAAAUCUAUGUAAACAUGUCGCUCACUUCGUGGAAACUUGUGAUUGCGUCGAUGUAACACCCCACUCGCGACCUAAUCGCUGGAUUCGAGAAGAGAGAUACCGAAAUCAUGUUGGAAAAAUCUAGUUUGAAAAUGGUUUUAUUUAUAGAGGAAAAUAAAAAUUUUGAAAACUGACUCGGUUUGUGAUAUUUAUGGCAAUAAAUGUUAAACUGAAAUCAUAAAUGUGCUUUUGAAUAAGCAAAUCCUUGAUGUUUUCUAGCUUUAAACCAAAUUAUCUUCUUCACUAUUCUCAUACCACAAAAUGCUUUGAAGUGUGGACUUGAACCAAUUGAAUCAAAACACAAAACUUGAAAAAGCUUUUUAUUCUUUUCGGGGUGAAACCUAAAAUUUUCUCUUAUUUAAUAGAAACCAGUAGAAAUGUUUAUUUUGGAAAAAUAUAUUUAAUAGUUAAGAAUAAAUUCUCCUUAUUUUUCAAUAGAGUAACAAUCUCUCAAAGUUGUAUAUAAAUCCCUACUGAUGCCAGAUAUUUUUAAGAAGAGAAGAUAGAACCCUUGUGGAAUUGUAGAAGCUUAUUUCAACUAGAAAAAUAACUUCCUACUUAGAGUAGGAGCAGGUUGGAUGGCAUCCCCUGUCGCCCCUUCGUUUUCCAUGAAGGGAUUUUGGAUCUCUCUCACAUUAGAUCCAACUAUGAGUGCUUUUCGAGCAUUUAGACUCAGUACUUUGUAAUUUGACCCAACUCAAUUCUAUUUUUUUAUUUCCCAAAAUAAACUUCAAUAUUUUAUAUUAAAUAAUUUUCUCAUCCAAAUUUUACCCUCAAUAGAAUUUUUGAGAAAAUAUAUUUAAUAUUUCACAAUUCAACUUGUUCAUUAUGAUCGAAUGAUUUAUUUUCAUUUUCUAGAUUUUAUAUAGCUGAAAAACAUAAACUCAUUCUCCUGAUCAUUUUUAAGUAUAUUCAUCUACAUUUGAAAAUGAAUCAUUUCUCAUUUUCGUUUCCAAAUGAUUUCAUUUCUCCAUUUCGAAGAAAUGUAUAAUCAUUCCUGAAUGUUUGUCAUUUCUUUAUUUCUAUUCAUUUCGAUUCAAACAUGCAAUUCAUUUAUGGUUUCAACGAGCUAGUGAAGGGACUAAUUGGACAUAUACAAUUAGGGCUCAAAUGAUUUAUAUUUGAAGUUUCAACUUUUCAUCUAUUAAUUAUAAACUCAUUUAGUCAUGAAGUCAUUCCACUAUAGUAUCAUGGCUGAGCUUGUGGUUCCCCAAACUUGGACGAGACAGUCUGACCCAAAAUUUGAAACUUACAUUAGCCACCAAAAUGAUUCUCUGUUAAAAUACUACAAAACAGACCAACCAACCAUGCAGGCCACACAUUUUCAACAUAAAUCAUAAUACAAUUAAUCCUAAUUGCAUGCCUUUCUAAACAUACCAUAAAAAAUGAAGAAAAAAAAUUCAUAUUUAGGUCACCUGUGAACCCACCCACUUAGAAACCUAGUAGCACGCAUCAACUUGGCGAGCACCAGCUGAAGACCUCCUCGCGACCCCCAGCUCAUUGCUAGCCCUACGAACCACUAGUUUGCUACUACCCUGUGAUCCCUAAAUAUUGGCAAACCUAGACACACAACUCCCCUUUUAUUUUAAUAGACUACUCAAGUCGUUGGCUCACUUGCGAACUCCUCUAUUUAGUGAACCUACCUAAUAAGGCAAACUCACUAUCCUGACGUACGCAUUAACUAUGGAGAACCUUCUAUUGCUUGGCGUACUCCCUCCUAAUGGCAAACACUAGGUUAUAUAGGGCUAGUCUAUACUAGCGGACUCCCUAUACUUUGGCGAACACUCUAUUAGGGAACUUAUGGUUUUUGGUGAACACACUUUUGUUUGGCGAAACCUACCUUUGGUGAACUCACCCCUAUUGUUGAACACUGUGUUAUGGUAAGGUCCUAUUCCCUUAUGACCCCUGUCUCACACUAUGCUAGGUUGGCUCGUAAGUAUUCUUUCAAUGCGUUAUUACUUCUAUAACAUGCAUUCUAUGUUAUCACUUUAUCUCAACCAAAAAAUUGGUUCAAGGGCGUACCUCAAAAUUCGGCGAACUCCUUGUUUUACAUAAGUAUGUUAGUUCAUCAAUUUACCUAGCAAAAUCAUGUAUUAUAAUCCAAACAAUCAAGCAUUCAAUCAAGCACUUAUAAAGUCUAAAAAUCCAAAAUUUAAAUAGUUCGUAAUAUCUGUUUACAACUUGUCAAAGUUUAUUUAAAAAUUCUAGGUCUACAUCUGAUUCCUUAGGAUAGUCCCACAUUGCCUUCAACUAUAGGGUUUGUAAAAACAAAUCACGUACUCGAAUGGAUUUGCCUUAUGUUGCAUCACUAGAUUGCCAUGCUUCACAACUAGUCACGUGAACUACUUAUCUGCAAGAUAUAUGCAAGGAGUGUGAGCUUAUUGAAGCUCAGAGAAUGCUUAAGCACACAACACAUAAAACACAUCAGUCAUGCUAAAAUUUAGACAUGUUGUAACAAUUCACAUAAAAUAUAAUAAUCAUGCUCGUCAUAGUAAAAUAAUGGCAAUUUGUGAAUAUGAAACAUAAUCAUAUUAUAUAUGCAUUGGAUAAGUAGAUCUUUAGAAUACUCCAAAUGACAUAGAGAGUCAUGCGCUAUCUUUGAUAAGUGUAGUAUGAAUGCUCACACUCUCCAAACACUCCAUACUAUCCUCAAAAUUGGAGCUAAGCUCGACAUUCCCUUAUCUCUCCAAUGCUAUCUUCAGGCCAUAAUGCCCCAUCAUAUAGUAAAAAUGGUGAGUACUCACAAUCCUAUGACAUGCCAAUGAUAUCUAACGGUUUCAAGUGUUCACAAUGCCAACAUAUGAUUUUUAUUUCAUUCACUUUACACAAUUUAAAAGGCCCACAAUAUAGUAGAUCUCACAUAUAAUAGUUCUUAAUAACACAACUCACAUUUUUGUAGGGCUCGCAUGAUACAUAAGUUCGUAAUAACAUAGAUUCGCAUAACACUUAUGGCUCACAUAUAUUUAGGGCUCGAAUGCAACAUUUGGGUUUCCAUAUAUUUAAACUAGCAUAAUACAGGGGCUCGCGUAACAUGUUUUGGCUUGCAUGUAAUAUAGGGCUUGAUCACAUAUAUAGGUUUGCAUGAUCUUAGGGUUCGCAUCACAUAUAUAAGUACGCAUGAUACAUGGGUUCACUCAACAUGUAUAUAUAAACUUGCACAUCAAAGUAUAGGCUCGCAUGCAUUAAGGUAAUAGAUUUUGCAAACAAUUUAGAGCUAGCACACAUCUUAGGCUUGCAUACAUACAUGUUAGCAAGGUCUGCAGGUCACAAAUCGGGGCUCGAAUAACUAUAGAGGCUUGCAUAGAAAUAUAACAGUGUUCGCAUAUCAUUUUAAUCAGCUUCACACAUUAAAUCAGAUAGUUUGUAUGCCUUACUUGGCUUUCAUUAGCAUGCGAACUCUUGUUUUUGACGUAGUGUGUAAGGACACUCACUAGUUGUUUGUUGAUACUGUCAAACCUAUACCACAUUUUGCUUGACUUUUUCCUUGCUUGUAGAUGCACCUUUAUAUUGAGAGGCUUUGCAUAAAACAAGAAAAUAUACAGAUUGCUACUUUCACAAACAUAUUAACCUUCUUAACUAACAUAGCAGCUCACCACUUCUAAAUUUACCGAACUCACCUCAUGUGACCUUAAACUUUUAGUUACUUUAUUUUAGUUCAAUUAAAUCCCCAAUUAUUACUUCCUAAUCUCAUAAGUAAGGUUUAAUUAUAGAUCUAGGCCAUUAAUUUUAGUCAAUUCUUAAAAUCAACAUUUUUCAAAAAAUCAUGCUCAUUUUCUAUCUCAAGAAGAAAAAUCACUUGAUUCAUGCAAUUCCUUUAAGGAUUUGUUAAAUCAAGUUUAUAAACCUCUUAAUUAUGCCAAAAUGAGUUAAAAAUUAUUUUAAAAUCAUGACUUAGCUCACUAUUAUGAGAUUCACCAUUUUUUUAUAUAAACCAAGCUUUAAAGCCAUAGAUCCAAUGAUUUCUCUUGAAACUUCAGGUGCAGUGCACUAACUAUGAAUAAUGUGGACUGAAUAUGUUUUUGGUACUCCAUGGAACUCCUCCUUCAACCACAAAAUCCCAACCCAAUUUAUAUGCAAUAUGUCACACAAUCUCAUACAUAAUCCUAUCUUAAUACUUUUCACAUUCAUUUGACAUGCUCAGCAUGUCCUCAAUAAUCACAUACUUUCAUACUUUUAGAAAAUGGAAACAGUGUUCCAAAGUUUCAAUUACCAUUGUGUUGGUAUCAAUCAAUAUCAUUCAAUUACACAUACUUUAUAGAUUUCCAUUGUGUUUAAAUAGCACCCUUUUCAAUACACAAUAUAAAAAAUAUCUCAUGCAUUUAAUCAUACAUAAGCUUUAUAUCUCAACACAUUAUAUCAUUCAGUCAAACAUUCUCAUAUCUUAUAAUUCAAAUAUGCAAUUACAAACUCAAUCAAACAUUCAUACUAUCAAACUAGCAAUUUUGCCAACAUGUUAAUCUUUUAAGGCUCAAAACAUAAUUGGUUCAGCCACUCACAAAAUCAAUAAUUUGGCUAUUAAGCCAAUCCAAUCAACAAGCUAAUUUAUCACAUAUAACAUGAUAUUUAACAUUUUCAAAAAAAAUUAUAAGUUUAGGACCCACGCAUUAUUUUUUGCUUCCUCGCAACAUACUAGCGAAUCUUCCAAUCUUCCUUAAUAAUUCCUUAAACGAACCUAAACCAAAAUGAAGCAUAAAUUCAAUCAAUUUACCAUUAAGCCAACCCCCAAACACCCACUUGUGAGUUCAAACUGAUCAUUGAAAUUAAAACUACUUUAUGAAUCCAAACUAGUUAGAUUCCUUAAACUGUAUCGAUGCAAAUCGUACGUACAAUCGUUCUUCACCUUUAUGGAUGAUUGGGGGUGUUUGGGUCAGCACCUAAUUCAAUAAUAUACUGGAAAAUCAGUAGUUAAUCAAUGAUUAACUUUCUUUAUUUAACCAAUUCAUAACCUUUACCCAACAACUAUGCCAAAAUAACAAACUAGUUUACAAUUAAUCGUACUUAUACUUCUCAAAUUAUAAGAUUCGAAUGGCUAAUUGAUCAAGAAUGUCUUUUGUAACAUCCCAAAAAUUAGGUUAGAAGAAAUGAGAUUUUGAAACCAAGAGUGGUCAUCCCUCGAUUAUGAGUUUAUAUCUUGGAAAAUUUGACAAGUAAAUUGAUCUGGCUUAAUGGUUAAUUGCUAUGGUUAUAUGUGUUAGGUUCUGGGUUCAAAUCUUGUUUUUGGAAAAUUUGUUACUUUUCUUAAACCCUUACCUUGAAUGUUUGGCUUUUAAGUUAAAUUUAGUCAAUUGAGGUCAAGAAUGAGCCUGUUGGUUUAAUGGUUAAGUUUCUGCAUAAUCCUUGGUCUUGUGUUCGAAUCUCAGCGAAAGCAACAGGGAAUGUUUUGUUUUUGAAUUUUUUAUAAGGUAGUUAGUUUCGAUUGGUUAUUUAAAGCCUUCUAGAAACCUCCGUUGCUUUUACUUUUAUUUUGUUCUUUCUUUUUCUACAAUGUUUUCUAUCAUUUUGUUUUCGAUCUUCAGUUUCCUCAUUUUGGUUUUUUAUUUUCAAGCAACCUUCUUUUUGUUAUGUUACGUUACACUAAUUGUGUAUAAGGUUUAACUUCUCCUUCUAGUUAAUUUGCUGGUUGGUAAGUUCAAUUUAAAGUUUUGGUGUCGAAAGUUCUUUAACAUAACUUCAAUUUUGGAAUGUUAGUUUCUAGUGGUUUGACUGCGAAUUAAUCGUUUGUUAGGGAAUUGCUUGUCGUUUAGGGACCUGAAUUUAUCCUUGUUACUCCUACAUCGAGUUCGUAUCAAGUGGGUAUCAAAAAUAUCUUCUUCUUCAAAUUUUAGUCGUCGAAGAAUAGGACUAUCAAUGCCACAUGGUCAUGCGCAAACUAUCUAGGUACAAUCUGUAUUCUAUUAAGUUUGUUGGUAUGCCUCUGCAUUACUCUAUUGAUAAAGAAUAUGUGACAUUUGAUUAUGUUAGAUUGGUUGUUACUGAUUCUAAUUUAUAACCCUCUGUUUUACUUUAUAGAUGUGGAAUACACAAUAUCUGAAAAUGUUAGACUAAUUGUUACUGAUUCUGAUUUAUUGUCGUGCAUGUGACUUCAUGGCAAAUAUGAUAUGAUCUGUUGAGGUUUGAUAGGUCUAUUUUCCAAAACAUGGACUCUCAUGUCUCCUAAUUCUGUUAUUGAAAGAUAUCAUAACUUACAUGCUCAUCACUCUGAUUCUGCAUAUGUAUGUCAUGACACGUUGCAUGGGAUUUGGGUUGAUGUGAAAGGUAAAAGUUACUGGCAGUUAAUGAUCCGCAUUAUCUGAGGUUUAUCCUCAAUUCUGUUUCGGCAGCUUAGUUGUACUAUAUUAACUUGACCACAUGUAACCGAUAUGGCAGUCUUAACUACAAAAUUCUAGUGGCACCAUCCACAGUUAUCUGUUGGUGUGAUUUGGCUAGACGAGUUCUGAGGGAACUCUAUUUUGGAUUGUAGUGGAGUUUUGGUAGGAUGUUUUCUGAUAAUUCUGCAUUCUGAUCUAUUUGAGAAAUACAACAUCUUCAUAACACAUUUUCUACUUUGCUCUAUUCUGUUCUAUUCUGUUCUGCUCUCUUCGGUUCUAUUCUAUUUGAUUUGUUAUGUUCUGCUUCAUUCUGUUGUGCUUGGUUCUAUUGUACUAUCGUUAUGGAAAUUUUCAUGAUAUUCUCGAUCUAUUCCAUACUAGCUAUAAAACUAUUAUUAAGUUCUUUGAGUUACUUUGAUUUAUAUAAUAAAAUCUAUUUAUUUGUAUCUAAGUUUGGUUAUACGCGACGCUUGGUAGUUCUCCCUUUGUCUUAUCUUAAUCUAUUUAGGUGGAUGUUUUACAUUGAUAUAACUAUGAUUUGAUCUUUUAGGUUGUAAUUUGUUUUUGGACUUGCAUUGCUUUUCUUUUGAUAAUCUCAUCAAUAUUUGUCAUUUUCUUACACAAAAAUAAAAAAACCACCUAAGUCGACUAAAAUGAAUUUCUGGUUUUCAAUGUUAAAAUUUUGAAAAGAAAUUAGUUUUCUACAUGUUGGUGUAGCUCGUCCAAAUUUGACUUAAACUUCUAGGUUGGGUUUGGGGUGUUGUAUCUUUCCAUAAUUAACAUGUGAUUAAUCUUUUAUUAGGAGGAUUCAAGAACUCAACUUAAUGAUGGAAAAAUAUAGGUAAGAACCAAGAAACAAAACAACCCCCUUUCUUGCACACAGGCGUACGCACCACCACCCAUGGUGGCCAAAAUUGGGGAAGAAUUUUAAAAUGGUUUGAAAUCUCAUUAAAAUCUAGAAAAAUACAAUUGAAUUCAUUUAAAAUCCCCCAAAUUCCAGAUCUAAAAAUUUUUCUUUUUAAUUGACAAAAUUAAUUAAGAAUUUGAAGAGAAAAGAGAUCUUCCCAAGCUAGUUAAAAGAAACGACAAUGACACUUUCUUGGCAAUGUUCAAGAUUGAUCUUGGGUUCAAGAUUUUAGAAUUGGGGAUGAUUUAGAUGAGAAAAAAUGGUAGGAAUAGAGUAAAGGAGAUGGUGUACAAUCUUGAUGCAAAAAGAAGAAGAAAGAGUUGGUAAAUGGGAGGUGUAGGCGACGACAACAAUAGGAGAAAGAAAGAAAAUUAAAGAGAAAAGUGGAGAGGAAGAUGGUGAACGGAUAGAGUAGGGAAAAUUUGAAUUAAAGGCUGAAAAAUACAAUAAAAAUUUCUAUUUAUACUUAGGGUUCAAGGGUAUGGAUCGCACAUACAUUUAAAAAAAUAAAGGAUUUUACGAAAUUUAAAAUUUCGUAAAGGAAAGGAUUCGAAAUUGGGACCUCAUUUAAUUUUCAUGUGUUCUCAUAUUUCUUUUAACCAUUAUGAUAUUUUCUCAUUCUUAAAAUCAUUUUACAAGAUUUAGUUUAAAAAUAAGGCAUGCCACAUUCUAGGGUUUAAGGCAAAAUUAGCAAAAUAAUAAAAAUAGUGAGAGAGAAGGGAUUUGAACUUGGGUUUCAUGGAAUGUUUGACUAACACUUAUCCAACAAACCAACACCUUAUUGAUUUCCUAAAAAUGCAUAGAUAAUCUCAAAAAUUAAGGCAUGACCACUCUUUCUCGAUUCACAAACCCGAUUAUGCUAAACCCUAAUUUUUGGAAUGUUACAAGGUAAGUUUGUAGUGUAACAAUAUAUAUGUGUGUGUUUUAGGGAUACGAUUGGCAUGCCAAUAGGGUUAGUAUGCAUGCUUGUACUGGAUCACACUUUGGUUCUUCUCUUUACACUUUGGUGCCUCUCUUUGCACUUCAGUGCCACUGUAUUUGCACUACAGUGCCUCUAUUAGCAUUUCGAUGUUUGGGGGAAACCCAAGUAUCGAAGUCAUUUUGCUGUAGUUCAACAUGCUGUGAAAUUUUAUGUUUAAAUGUUAAAUUACUCUUGAAUUUGAUUUAUAUACAAUGAUAUAUUUGUGUAUCUAUGUACAUAAGCAUUGAUUGCUUUGGUUUGAGCCAUUGUUUAUAUUGAAUCAUAUGAGAUGAAUGUUUUGAUUACUAUAGUUUGAGAAUAAAUAUUAAUUCCUUGGUGUAAUUAUAUGAUUCAUAUGUCUUUAAACAUGUUAUCUAAUUAUGUUUAUGGUGUGUUUAGAGAAUUAAAUUAUUAUAUGAGUAUUUUCCAGGUAUUCAAUGUUGUUUCAUUUGGUUUAAUGGGUAAAUAAAGCUUUAAAGGGUAUGUGAUUACACGAAAUGCACUACGAUAUUUGAGCAAUGAUAUGGAUCAUGAUGAAAUGUUUAAUUGAAAAGGAAAUAUGGUUUAGUAUAUAUAUAUGAGUGGUGAAUUAUGAAAGUGAAAUAUAGAUAUGUUAUAUACCAUGUUUUAUUCAAAUUAUAUAUGAUAUGUUACACCAACUAACCUUGUGAGGUGGUGGGUAUAGGAAAGGAAAGUUGGCUUAAAACAUAAUGAAAUUAUGCCUGCCUUUUUAACAUAAAAUAUUCAGUAAAUUAAGUUUCCUUUAUAUGAACUUACUCAACAUUAGUUGCUUGCAUAGUUAUUUUUCUUUAUUUUAUAGUUCAUCAGAAGCUCGACCGGUUGGAAUCAUGUCAAAGCACGAUCACACUAUCCAUUCAACAUUUUGAUAGCUUUUUUUAUUUUGGUAAAUGGUUAUAAAUGACAUGUAAUAGGGUUUAAAUGUCAUUCUAGUGAUUUGACUUGUUUUGAGUUGUGUCAAACUUCUUGUGAUUGAUGUUGUUAGUUGUUGGCAUGUAAAUAAUGGUGUAAAUAUGUGACAGCCCAAAAUUGACCCUAGUCGGGAAGUGGUUUCGGGACCGCUAAACCGAGUCACCGAAAGGUUUGAAUGUGAUGUUUAUUAUCUAGAAUAUGUAAUAAUGAAUGUGUGAAAAUUUCAAGCUUCGAUUUAGUCGAUUGCAUGCGAGUUUAGUCAAUAGGACUUAUAUGAGAAAAACUUUAAAAUGUGAUAGGUCAAUGCAUGAGGACCUAUUAGUGCAUGUGGAAGAAAAAGGGGACUUGCAUGUCAAAUUCCCCCUCCCUAAUAUGUAGUGGCCGGCCAUGCUAUGGGUGGAAACAUGUCACCAACAUGUUGUGUUAGUGAUGUAUGGUAAGGAAAAUAAAAUAUUAAGCAUGAUAAUUAAAAUAAAUUAAAGAAAGGAAUUAAACAAUGAAAAGGAAGGGUGAUGAAAAAAAUGGUCUCAUCCAUACCCCCCCCCCUUGUUGCCGUGAGUUGAGGAAAGAAAACAAAAAAAAAUGUGUGUUCAUUCUUGAACACCUUUGGCCGAAUAGAGGAAAGAAAGGAAGGGGAAGAGCUUGAGAAAAUCGGCUAUGGUGGUUUGCUAGACUAAGGUAUGUUUGAUGUUGUUCUUGAGAUGCAUGCAUGUUUUAGUAGUUGACUUGAGUUCUAAAAACCCAUGGUUCAAUUUUGUGGAUUGAUGAAGAUUUUGUGUUUUGCCAUUGAUGAGUGCUUGAGCUUUUUGAUAGUUGUUGAUGAAAAGUGAAAGAUAUGUUAAAGAUUAAUAUGUUUUGUGUUGAAGUUUUUGGUGAUUUUGAGUAGUUAGGGCUAUAUUACAAAAACAAAUUUUUGAAGGACUCAAAGGUGAAAUAAAUGAGAUGUAUGGACUUAUAUGGGCACUAGGAAGAUUCGGCCCUUAAGGAGUGUGACCAAACUUUGUGUAUUUUGUGUUUUGUGGAAUAAAGACUAAAUUGUGAAAGUGCGAAAUAUUAGGGGUAAAAAUGUAAUUUACCCAUUUAUGCGUUAUUAGACUAAAUUGAAUGAAAAUAUGUUAAAUUAAGGCUUGGCAAGCUAGCUAUUAAGGUGAAAUGCUAAUGUUAGUAUUUGAUUCGGUAAUAAUCUGUUUGGGGACAGCAGCAGUAAGGUGAUUUUGGAAAAUCGCCAUAAUUUGUAGGAGUUGAAUUAGAAGCUGAGUGAAUUAUGCCAUUAAAGCUUGAAGAGUCUAUUUUCUUACAAAAGAAACUAUGAAAACAAAAGAGUUACCGAUCUUGAGAUAUUUGAAGUAUUGUGGGGCUGAGUCAAAAUGACUACUAGAUUCCCUGUUCUGUUUUUAGAAAAUCAUUAUAAAUUGUACAAAAAUUAUUAUAAGAUAAAAUUUAUAUGCUUAGACUCCUUAAUGAGUCUAGUUUCAAAUGAGAUCAAAUACAACACAUUUUGAAUUCUGUAAAAUGAGAAAUUUGAUUCGUAGUGAAGAGUGGUCAGAAUAGUCAAACAGUGAAACAGGGGAAACUUUAAGAAAAAUCUGGUAUUGAUUGGCCAAGCCAAAAAUUCUGAAAAUUUUAUGGAUGGAAGAUAUAUGAGUCUAUAUUCAGGGAAAAUUAACAGCUAGUGAUUUGGAGUUUUGUAGCUCCAGUUAUAAACAAUUUAGCGACUACUGCUCAGGAAAACAGCUCGUAGUGAAUAUGUGAUUUUGUUGUAAACAUUAAUGAAAAUUUGCCAAUGAGUUAUUUAUUGACUAUUACAAAGCUUACUAUAAUCUAUGUGUGUGAAAGUCAAAUCAAUAUAUAUAUUAUUCUGAAAGUAAUACUUGAAUAGUCGAUUAAUGACUAUUUUAAGUUAUUGAUUUGGCUCAAGGAGUUAAAGGAGGUGAAUCGAGCAAAGGCAAAGAAAAGGUUAUCGAGUAGCCGAGUUGGAACCGUCUUACCCAACACGAGGUAAGUCAUUAAGCAUGUAGUUGGUAUUAUUUCAAUGGUCAUAAUGUUUAUGUAUUGAUGCUGAAUGGAAUGAAUAAAUAUACAUAUAUAUAUAUAUAUGUGCAUGUACGUAUGUGAUGAUGAGAUUGUUGAAUGAAAGAAAAGAGGUAAGAUGUACUGAGUUGUUGAUCUCGGCACUAAACGUGCGGGAUAACCAUUUAUGACCAUGAGAUUGGCGCUAAGUGCGCGGGAUUAAAUUGUACAGCACUAAGUGUGCGAUUUGACUAUGUUGCACUAAGUGUGCGAAAUGAAUAUGAUGCACUAAGUGUGCGAAUUGACCAUGCGGCACUAAGUGUGCGAGUUUGACUAUGUAGCACUAAGUGUGCGAUUUGAUUAUGUAGCACUAAGUGUGCGAGUUGAUUAUAUAGCACUGAGUGUGCGGACUCGAUAUACAUUCGUGAAUCAUUAUGGACACUAUGUGUGCGACACUAUUGAGUCGAUCGCGGACAGCGGAUCGGGUAAGUGUCUUGAGUACAUGGCUAAUAGGUGCUAUGCUUAUACUUGGUGUUGAGCUCGGUAAGUUUGAACCUAUGUGACAAAUAUACUUGAAGUCACGUACAUAAAAUUUAUCGUAGGAUUGGUGAAAGGCCGUUUAGUCGUUUGAUUGUAACGAAAAUAAAUUGAUUUAUGAAAAUGCUUCAAUGUCCUAUUGAUGAGUAUAUGGAAUGUGAAUGCAUGAAUUGAUAUGAAAUUGAAUUGAUAGGUUGGAGGAACUAUGGUAUGGUUCGGAAUGGAUGGAGUAAUUAGCCUCGUUCCAUUUUGUUUUCUCUUGUGAUAAUGUUAUUGAUGGAUGGUAGUGCAUAGCUUAUGACUUACUGAGUUAUAAACUCACUCGGUGUUUCCUUGUCACCCAUUAUAGGUUGCUUGGACUCAUCUAUUUUUUUGCGUGGUCGGGCCGUCAUCGAAGUCAUCACACCGGAUAGCAAGUUUUGGUACUUUCUUCUUAGUUGGCUUAGAAGAACAUUUUGGCAUGUAUAAGCUAUUACGUUGUGUUUGAACUUUGGCAUGUAAACUUUAAGCCAUGUGAAAAUGGCACGAAUGUUCGAUUGAGUUGGAUCAAGGGUAGGCAUGAAAUGGACCUAGUUACUUUCGUAACAGAUGCUGGCAGCAGCAGUGUCAUGAGAUUGAAAAAUCAUUAAAAAUAGUAGGAGUGGAAUUAAUUGAUGAAUAAAUUAUGUAAUCGAAGCUCGAUGAGUCUGUUUUCAUGAGGAAGUAACGAAAAGAUCAUAUGGGCAGUAUAUUAAGAGAUAAUCAGAUUUUUGUGGGACAGGGCCAGAACGGUUUCUGGAUUCCCUUCUCCGACUUUGGAAAUUCAUUACAAAUUAACCAGAGAUAAUUAGGGGUCGUACCAUAUAUGUACAGAUUCCUCUCUGAGUCUAGUUUUCAUAGAAAUAAACGGCAUCAGUAUUGGAGCCCCGUGCAGGGAGAUAUCCAAGUCGGAAUGGGAAAAGGUCAGUGUAGUCGACCCCUGCAACUGGGGAGACUUUGACUAAUAAACUGUACUAAUUGGCCCGACCAAAAAUUCUAGAAAAAAAUACAUAGAUGGGCACAUGAGUCUAGUUUCUGGGAAAAAUUACGAAACUGAUUUUCGAGUUAGGAAACUCAAGAUAUGAUUUUUAAAACGACUAGUACACGGAUUGGGCAGUGUCUGGAAAAUAAAUUUUGUAAGGGGUUAAAGCCAGUUAACACCUCGUGUUCGACUCCGGUGUCGGUUUCGGGUUCGGGGUGUUACAAAAUAUGUGUGGUUGGACCCUUAUGCAUGCUUUAUUGAUUAAAGAUAUCAUAUGGUAAAAUGGCAUGUUUUUGGAAUGGUUAUUUGGCAUGAUUAAAAUAGGUUUAAGUUUUGAUCUUGAGACGUUGAAUUGAAUUAAGUUUAAGAUGUAUAUUGUGAUACCUUCAUUGGCAUAUUUGUUAGAUAUUAAAGGAUGGUUGAUUUGGUAUGUUUUUGAAAUGGUUGUUGGUAUGUUUGAUCUAAGUUGAUUAAAUGAACUUGUAAUGUUCAACGGUAUAAUACUUGUUGGUACAUUAGUUAGUCUUAUAGGUUGAUGGAAUUGGUAUGUUUUAAAUGUGUUUAAAAUAUGUUUUGGUUAUUUCAAUGUUUGUGGAAAUGGUGUGUCUUGGUGUACAAGAUUUGUAAUUGAAAUGGCUCUAUUUAGAAGCAACUUCUGCUGCACACUACCUGGGACACGAGUUGUCACAUGGUUGUGCAUCAUUAAUGUUUUAGGUGCAGGUUUCACACAAUCUAAGACUCGGCUCACGACACGGUCUGGGCUAUGUCACACAGCUUGGCCGCAUGGCCAUGUGACCCUUGUUUUCAAGUUUUCAAAAUUUUCUAUUUUAUUUCAAAUUGAUCAUAGAAUAUUCUCAAACUAUUUUUAAGGCCCCGUAGGUUCGGAUUAUGGCCCGUAAGUGUAUGUUUGCUAUAAUUAAGUUGUGUUAUUGAAUGUUAUUAAUUAAAUCACAUGAAUAUUUUAUUGUAAGUUAAAUGUUUUAAUUUGUACCAUAAUGCUUUGUAACCCUAAUCUGGCGAUGAAGACUAGUUUGGGGUGUUAUAAUUUUGGACUGUAAAUUUGUUUUGGGGGCUUUGUUCUUUGGUUAUUGCGAUGUUGGUUAGAUUUUGGUGUUUUAACAUUAAACUGCAAAAUUGUAUGAUUUAACAAACUAAAAAUUAGUUUUUCAAAAUUAAAACUCUUGAAAUUUCAGUUGCAAAGAUUAAGUAAUCACUUCAGUGUUUUUCCAUAAAUAAUUAAAUUUUUUUUAACAAAUGUUUUCCUUAGUUUGGGAAAUGAUUUGCCAACAUAUGUACUUUUAAAACACAUGAUUUCAAAUUCAAAUUCUCAAUUUUAAAUAAGGGUUUUCAAACUUUAGUUUUUUUUAACAGUUGUGAGAGGUUUUUGCCAAAUUUUAUGUUUUCAGAACAUAUUAGUAAGUUGAUUUUUAAUUUGUUUUUUAAACGAGUCGAUGUAAUUCCUCAAAAAUCCAUUCAUAGCGUCUUAGUCUAGAUCUAAACAUUAAUAUUCUCUUCCAAGAAAAAUCAAGAUUAUCAAAUUGUUACAACUUGGUAGGUAGACAAUCAUAUUAAAUAAGCAUAAAACUUAAUAAAUAAUUAGCGAAGAUUGAAACAAUCAAAGAAAAAAUAAAUUAAUUAACUAAGAAAUAGGAUCCAUUAUUGUUUCAAGAAAACAGAGUUUAGUUCAUAUUGAGUUGAGAAAUCCAAAAGGGAGAUUCAAAACAAACUUGUGAAAAGGGGAACAAUGUCAAUAGAUCGUAUUCAAGUUGUUCAACUCGAGAAGGAAAGAUUCAGAUCUAACCUAAAAAGAAGAAACCAAACAGAUUUAGAAAAACAAGAAAAACAAAGAAAAUAACUAAAAUGAGAAAUUUAAGAGUAAUUAAUAAAUAUUAAAACUAAUAAAGAAAUAAAGAAAUUAUAGAAUAAAUAGUGGAAGAUGGAAUGAAUAAACGAUGGAUAUGACAUAUAGAUGGAUAAGUGUCUGAUAAUUCUUGAAAAGAGUUAUUUUUCAUGCCUUUAGACCUAACUUGUAAUGCCCCAAAAAUCCCUUAUAUAUUUAUUUUCGUAAGUUUGUAACAGAAAUAUCUGUUAGCUUUAGUGGUUAUAUGCUUUGGGAGUGUUUAGGAGGUCCCAAGUUGAAACCUUAGCUUGGGCAAUUUUUUUUUGUUUUAAAUGAAUAAAACUCUAUCUUUGAUUAGUAGGCUUAUAAAUAGAUGUUGGUAAAAAAUGUCAGAAUGGUUUUACUGGUUUAGUGGUUAAGUGGGGUGUAAAUAUGCAGGAGCUCUUAUGUUCGAAUCUUUGUGCGAUCAAGAGCAUUUAUUUUAUUACUUGUGUCGUGUAGGUAUUUUGGUCCAGCCAAAAUACUGAAGAGGUUGACUAAGGGUUGGUUUCGGUUGUUGAGAGGUUUAUGGUGGGUUAGUAGAGAGGAUUUUAAGGAGAAAUUUUAGAGAUAUGAAGAGAGAGUUAGUGCCGAAUUGAAUUUCUUUUGCUUUCUCAAAUUUCAGCUGGGGUUUGAUUUUUCUUUUCAAUUUGUUUCUAUUGACUGUUUUCCAUUCUAGAGGGUCAAAUAUUGCUGAGGGUUCCUACUAGUUUCUUUUUUUUCUUUUUCUCUCUUCUCUCUUUCGACUUUGUUCUUCCCAACUGCAAAAGUGCUCUUCCCUAAACUGUUACUACCGUCUACUUUCUCUUUUCCUCCCUUGCUUUUUUUAUUGUCGAAUUUUGGGUUCUUUAUGCAUUUAAUUCUAAUGUCAAUUUAUCACUUCUCUACCAAAAGAUUAUUAUUUUCUCUCAUUGAUUUUCGUUUGGUUCAUCCUUGCUACCAGAAGUGUGGUUGCCCUUCUUUCUUGGUUUCGUUUGUCAUCAUCUGCUACAUGUUCUUUAACACUCUUUUGGUAAGUGUUCGUUUCUUCACCGCUCAGUUACUUGAAGUUAGUUUUUAAAUGGUUGUGUAUUGUUUUGAAUAAGAAUCUGAUAAAUCGUGUGUUCCAACCCUAUUUAGAUCAGUUCAUGGUGGUGUUUAUUGAUGAUAUACUGGUGUAUUCGAGAACUAAGGAUGAGCACGAUGAACACCUCAGAGUGGUUCUACAGAUUCUACGAGAAAAAGAACUGUACGCCAAGUUUAGUAAAUGUGAGUUCUAGUUAAGUGAAGUAACGUUUCUGGGACAUGUGGUUUCUACUGAGGGGAUUAGAGUUGAUCAUCGAAAGAUUGAGGCUGUCUUGGAUUGGAAGCAGCCUAAGACUGUAUAUGAGAUCUACAGUUUUCUCAGAUUGGCAGGGUAUCGACAAUUUGUGUAAAGGGUUUUCUCUAAUUGCCGUACCCUUGACUAAGCUGCUACGUAAAGGCUUACCGUUUAACUGGACUGAUUCAUAAUAAGAGAGCUUUGAGAAGCUCAAGACUGUACUGACUGAGGCCCCUGUUCUAAUAUAGCCAGAGUCUGGAAAAGAGUUUACUAUUUACACUGAUGCAUCACAUGUCUGUUUAGGAUGUGUGUUGAUGUAAGAAGGUAAGGUGGUAGUGUACACGUCUCAUCAGCUUAAGAAUCAUGAGGUGAAUUAUCUUACGCAUGACUUGGAGUUGAAGUGAUUGAGUAUAAUAACAUUUAACAUAUUAGAGCCAAUUGGUUGUCCAUAAACAUAAAAAGGUGACCUUAAUGAGAUACGCCAUAGACUCAAAAGUGUAUCAUUUACACUGAUCACAAGAGCCUCAACUACCUCCUCACUCAUAAGGAGCUGAAUCUUAGGCAACAUAGAUGGAUUGAGAUGCUUAAGGACUACGACUGUACUAUUGAAUACCACCCUGGUGAGGCUAAUGUGGUGGCUGACGCACUAAGCCGUAAAACUAUGACUGAACUGAGGGUGAUGUUUUCUCGCCUUAUUUUAUUUGAUAAUGGUAGUCUGUUGGCCAAACUUCAGGUUAAACCGAUUUGGAUAGAGUAGAUUAAGUGUAUACAAGUAGAGAAUGAGUUGUUGGGUCUUCGUUUUUGACAGGUUGAGAGUGGGAAUACCAAGGAUUUUAGACUGAAUAGUGAAGGGGUGCUCUAUAUCUGUGGGAGAAUCUAUGUAAAGACCUUCGUGAGUUAUACUAGUGGCCAGGUCUUAAAUGAGAAUUUACUAAAUUUUUGGCUAAGUGUCUGACAUGCUAGCAGGUUAAGGCUGAACAGCAGUUACCUUCGGGAUUGUUGCAGCCAGUCAAGAUUUCAGUUUGGAAGUGGGAGCAUGUAACUAUGGAUUUCAUUAGUGGGUUACCCCUCACACCCACUAAAAAGGAUUCGAUGUAGGUCAUCGUGGAUUGAUUGACCAAAUCCGCCCACUUCAUACCAAUUUGUACUGAUUACUCUCUGUAGAAGCUGGCUAAAUUGUAUGUGUCUGAAAUAGUGAGAUUACAUGGGGUACCGAUUUUAAUAAUAUCUUAUAGGGAUCCUCAUUUCACAUCUCGGUUCUGGAAGAAGCUAUAUGAAGCUUUGGGUACAAGAUUGGAGUUUAGUACUGCGUUUUAUCCUCAGACUGACGGUCAGUCAGAGAGGGUGAUUCAGAUACUAGAGGAUAUGUUGAGAAGUUGUGUGAUUGACUUUCGAGGUAGUUAGGAGGAUUACUUACCGCUAGUAGAAUUUGCAUAUAACAACAACUAUCAGUCUAGCAUUCAAAUGACACCCUAUGAGGCAUUAUAUGGUCGUAGGUGUCGCACACCUUCAUGUUAGACUGAGUUAGGCGAGCAGCGUAUUUUGGGGCCUGAACCAGUUUCUGAUACAGAGGAUAAAGUUAGACUAAUUCAGGACCAACUGAAAGCGAUAUCUAAUAGGCAUAAGUCCUACACCGAUCUAAAGAGUCGAGGGAUUGAGUAUUCUGUGGGGGACUUCAUUUUUCUCAAGGUCUCACCAUGGAAGAAGGUAUUAAGGUUUGGUCGUAAGGGCAAGUUGAGCCCUAGUUUAUUGGGCCCUAUCGCAUACUAAAACGUGUGAGAUGAGUUGCCUACCAGUUGGAGUUACCUCUAGAGUUAGAUCGGAUUUAUGACGUGUUCCAUGUCUCUAUGUUGAGGUUACCGCUCUAAUCCUACGCAUAUUAUUCCUAUUAAGGAAAUCAAGGUUAGGCUAGAUCUAACCUUUGAGGAGGAGUCAAUUCAGAUAUUGGAGUGAGAUAUAAAGGUUCUAAGAAGAAAAUUCAUCCCACUAGUUAAGGUUAUUUGGCGUAACCAUAGCACUGAGGAGGCCAUAUGGGAGUCUAAGGAUGUAAUGCUUUAGCAGUAUCCUCACCUAUUCUGAUCAGGUAAAUUUUCAAGGCCAAAAUUUUCUUUUAGGGGGUAGAGUUGUAGCGCCCCAAAAAUCCCUUAUAUAUUUAUUUUCGUAUUUUUUAUACAAAUAUCUGUCAGCUUUAGAGGCUAUGUGCUCUGGUAGUGUUUGGGAGGUCCCAAGUUCAAGCCUUAGCUUGGGCAAUUUUUUAGUUUUAAAUGAAUAAAAUCAUAUCUUUGAUCAAUAGGCUUAUAAAUAGAUGUUGGUAAAAUAUGUCAGAAUGGGCAUGCUGGUCUAGUGGUUAAGUGGGGUGCAAAUAUGCUGCAGGUCUUGUGCUUGAAUCUCUAUGUAUAGAGCAUGUUGUUAAACUGUACUACAUGCAUAUAUGAUACCAUGAUAUGACAUGACAUGAUUGUGUGGUGCAUGGCAUGGGGAUAGGUUAUUAUUGAUCGAAGGAAGUGUACUGGAAGGCUUUGAGCCUAACUUACUGGCAGCUCAGCUGCAUAUUACUGUAUAGUGUCGCCAUUGGUACUACUUAGAGUGUAGGGAUGGGUGGGUUGAUUAUAUCCCCACAUGAAGUGUAGGGUUGGUCGGAGUUGGUGUGUAGAGGUUGGCUAGGUAGGACUUGUAUACUGCAUAAUCUGUUAAUGUACUGAUUGCUAAUAUUGUAAUGGGCCAAGGCCCAAAUGCAUGAUUACUUUUGUACUAAGAUGGGCUAAAGCCCAAACCAAUACUGUCACUGAUACUGGAAAGGGCUUAGGCCGGACUGAGUUUAUUCUGUUUUCUGUCUGAUUAUUUUGUGUACUGUCUAUUUGUUUGCACUAGGAAUAUCACACUGAGUUUUGAAAACUCACCCUUUCUGUUAAUCUGUGUAGGUAAUCCCCAGUCGUAGGUAGAUCGGUGUGGCGGAGGAUUCAGCGGUGGCCACACGACUCCUUUUUAUUGUUUCGUAUCUAAUGAUAUUUAUUUUUAAGUCUUUAUUUGGGGUUUUUAUCUGUAAUAAUUGCUGCUAUGGAUUUUUUAUUUAAAUUUGGAUUUAACACUACUUCAUGUUUACAUCUGCUAGAGGUAGAUAUAGCACGGAUUUUUGAAAAGAAAUGCAUGUGUUUUAGCAAAAUACCCCAAUGUCACAAACUGUUUUAAAAAGCUUCCGCAACGUAUAAUGAUUUGCAAACUAACAAUUGAAUAAAAAUCACUAUUUUGGGAUUAACAAAAGAUAACGACGACCUCUAAUCGAAAAAUGUUUUAAGCAAAGUUACCAUUUUUCAACAUGAGCUUCGGUUUUGAAAAAUACCACCAUGUGACAUCGCCAAAUUCGCCCGUAACAUCCAGGCUGGGUUUGGGGUGUUAGAUAACUAAUUGCUUGAACUUAAGUACAUUUUGUUGCAUUUUAAGACAUUUUAGUUAGCAUUUCUAAUAUUGCAUUAGGACUUAGAUUGUGUUGGACUUAUGUGUUUUUAAUAUGGUGGAGUUUUUUUGUGUGUUGGUAUGGCAAGAACAUAUUUUAGAACGAGGAAAUAAAUGAGUGAAGUUUUGUCAGGGAAAAAGUGCAGACAGUUUGCCAGCACGGAUGCCGUGACAAUGCCAGGAAGACCAAGUAAACAUUUUUUUGCGCAACAGUCUCAAUUGAAAUUAAAACUUGUACCAGAUAAAUCUUCAAAAAAGAGGAGAAGAUAAUCACAAGUUGUUACUUGACACUAGCCUAAUCUACCUAUAAAAGCCAAUAAAGGGGAUCUCACAAAUGGCAGAAAAAAGUGGGAGGGAUCCUUAGGUGUGAAUAAGGUUUUAGUUGCGCAAAGGAAAGGAAGUCGAAGGCAGUGCUUUUUAGCCAUCACAGGAUGUUGUGCUACCGAAGUGUAAACUAGGCAAGUGAAAGUUGUUUCCCAAAGUUCUUUCGUUAUUUCCAUCAGCGUUCCUUCAAAAUAUUGAAGUAGUUGAACACAAUGUCAGAUAAUAUUUUGCUUUUGAAUUUUAUUUCUCAGCCCAUGAGCUAAAUCUCGUAGGGUUGGGAUUACUUUUGAUGAAACCUUAAACUAUUUUUAUGGAUGCAGUAUAUAUCUAAUUUACUUUACUGUUUCAUUUGAUUGUUCUUAUUUCUUAAUUAAAAUGCAAAUGAUUUCUAAACAUAGAAGACUGUUCGCAUACUUAUAAACUCAUUCUAAUUCUGAAAGGGUUGGAUUGGUUGGAUUAAAAUUAAAUGAAAUGAGCAAGUAUUCGAUGGACACUUGUAGUAGACUCUAUACAUAGAGUGACGAUCAUACAGAAGGAACCCAUGCAAGGUAUCUAAAAAGUCUUUAGACAUAGGCAAGGUAACUUGAUGUUUUCCUCUCAUGAGAGGAGAGCCAUUUUAGUACUCUUCUGUGCUUUAUAGUAGAUACGAUUUUCCCAAGGCAUUAUUGACAAUAAGGGUCAAUAUUCGGUAAUCCUGACCUUCGAAAUCCACAUCGUAUAUCCUUUAUUCUUUUCCACAUCAUUAUUAGUUAUUUAUUUGUUCAUUUACAUAAUAUUCCCAUAGUAAUUCUCAUCAUUGUCAUUACAUUUCUACUCUUGGUUUGACACAACAUUACCACUUAUUUAUUAAUUCUAUGUAUUGCUUACAUCAUUACUCUACUAAUUGCCACUGUAUAUUCAUCAUUGACUCUCCCAUAGCAUUAAUCGUAUUUUAUUAUAAUAAUUUGACCAAUUGUGUGCCUCAAUCCGAUCUUUAUGGGAACGAUACACACUCAUCACUUUAUUACGUGAUUCAACUGUAUACUUGCACAAAUCGCAUAUCAUUUCACACACGAUAGUGUUCAAUUGAACCCUUUGAGAUAUAAACCUAGACAAACUCAAUUAAUGGCUUUAAUUAACCCACCAAGAAAUAAUGAUUGGCAAAUUGAACGAUGAAGAAUGAAUUCCCAUGACUCCUUAAAAAAUUGAGAAGAAAAAUACUUCUAAAAAUCACAAGAAACAAAUCUUGGACAAAGAAACUAACUUUCAGAGUUGGAAAUUUUAGUAAUAAACAAAAACAAUUGCAUCUCUAAUGAACAUGAAGGGCCUUUACAUAGGCUAGAUAAGUACAUCCAGAUAAAAUAUUCAAGUAUCUUGAAACUUUAAUUAAUAUAAGUAAUAAGUAAUUUUAAACUAAAAUAGUCAUAAUUUUCGUCAUAAUCCCGUCCAAAAAUUCUGCUCACAUAAUCAUCAUUAAAAUAGUCAUAAUUUAAGCUCUUGAACUCAAAAUUGAGUGAAUAAAAGUGUGUUUCGAAGUUAAGUGCUAGAUCUUAGAACUUUAUGAAGACAUAUCAAUCGAAAAUUGUCCGGAUCCCAUCCAAAGAGUCACAGCAAGUUAACUAAUUUUUCAAACUUGAAAAUUGGCAACUUCGGGGAAUGGAAUUUAAUACAGUUCACCCCAUCUAUUCAUGUAUCAACUCGCAUUGGUAAAAAGUAAAAAGAAAUAAUCUAUAGAGAAAAUAGUUGAAGAAUUUAUGAAAAUUUAUUCAAAUCUCUUUUUUUUCUAGUCUUUGCAAGCUUGAAUUUUCCCUUGGUGUGUGAGAGUUGUUCCUUACCCUCUAAGUGAUUUUUUUUCUUUUUCUUUCUCUUCGAUCUCGUCACCUAAGGGUGUUCAAACAAUUGAUUCAGUUAGUACCCGUGCAAAACUAUCAUUAACUGAAAUUUUGAAACCCUUAAUCAUUAAUCAAACCAUUUUCUUUUUUGAAACCUACUAACCAGCUUGAUUGAUUUGGGUUAAUUUGAGUGGUUAACCAAAAUUUAAACAUUGUUUGUUUUUGUUCAAACAAUUUUAAAACAAAGAACAAUCCAUGACAAUUUUUCCUUGUUUUUUAUUCAAAAAAAUUAAAAGAAUUAAAAAAAUAACAUAAUAACAACACUAAAUUAAAAACAUAAUAGCAUUCAUUACAUUACAAAGCAUAUAUAUAUAUUUACUUUUUCUUGACUUUUUAGUUUAAUUUUCGUUUUAUUUUCCUAAUAUUUUUAGUUUUCAUAUUUUUGUUAAGCUUAUUAUAAGAACACUUAUAAAUCCAUUAGUUCUUAUAUAUUGGGUUUGUAUAAUGUAUUCGACCUAUCUCUAAUAUAUUGGGCCUAUAAUAUAUUUUUAUUGAUUUCGGUUAAUCAAUUCAUUCGAUUAAUUAGUCGAUUUCAAACUAAAAUAAUUGGUAAACAAAAUCUUCAAAAACCUUUAACCAACUCCAACCAAAUUAGAUUCAUUGAUCAACUUCUUAAUCAAAUUAAUUAGGUUUGAUAAAUUAAUUCGUUAAAACUGAAAAAUGCACACCCCUAUCAUCACCGUUGUUUUUAGGGAUUUUAAUCAUGUUGCUCCACCUGAUGCAGAAGUUGAGGUGGAAUGAACUACUUGCUACCAAAAUUUUUGAAUUAUAGAGCAUGCUCUACCGCAGUGAAUCAAAUUCGGUGGAGUGGAAGACUUUUCUUUACUACUUUAUGCUCUAUGCUCCAAGUCUUCUAUUCUUCUUCUGAGACCUAAAAUGGGAAAAAAAAAGAAGAAACAAGUCUAAACUAACUUUGAAAAUUAGAAAUUCUCAACAAAAUUGAAAUAAAAUAUAAUUAAUCCAUAAAAACUAUAAAAAAUACAAUAAAAACGAACCUAAAUACUAAAAUUACCUCCUAAAAAGCUAUGGAAACUAUACUAAAAUAAUUCUAAAUAUGAUAGUUAUCAAAAAUGACAUGAGGAAGCCAAUCGAGUAGAUGCUUUCAACUAUUGCAAAUACCAUUAGUCGAUUAGCCAUCAUCUUGAGAACAUCAUAGAGUUGAAAGAAAAAAUCAUACAACUCCAUAAAGAAGAAAAAAUCAUUUUUGAAAAAGAAUUGGCAUUAUCAAACUUGACAUCAAUGCUUUGGUUUCUCAAUACAAUAUUAUGGACAAAUUCAUCAAAUUUGGCUCUUUCAAUCCUAUUACACUAGCUCUAAGUAGAAGUAAGAUGGUGAGUUUCGAAGGGAUUGAGGGCAAUCAUCUAUUUUUGGAAUAUCAGAAUGGUCAUGAUUGGACUCUAGCCACAUGUCAAAGAAGCCAAUGAAAAGCAUCUCUCCUAGGUAUAAGCUUAUAUUAUCACAUUGCUCCUAAGCAUGAGCAUAAAUCGUUCAUCCAGAAUGAUGAUGAUCCUAAGCAUAAGCUUAAACUAUUCAUCUAAUGCUCCUAAGAUGGAGCUUAAUCUAUUCAACCUAAACGAUCAUGCUUUAAGCACAAUCUUAAACUAUUCACAAAAAAUAAAUGAUGAUCCAAUGAAGCAUGAGCUUAAACUAUUCAUACAAAAUAAGCGAUGACCUUCUAAGCAUGAAUUUAAAUUGUUCAUACAUAAUAAAUGAUGAUAUUACUAAGAACAAGCUUAAACUGUAGUCUAAAAAAUAUUGAACUAUAUUAUAACUUGAUCUUUUAAAAAUGAAGGUACGUAGAUAGCUUGGUUUCAUUGCCAAGUUCAGUCUAAUUAAAUAUGUUUAUGGUGUGUUUAGAGAAUUAAAUGAUUAUAUGAUUAUUUUCCAGGUAUUCGAGGUUGUUUCAUUUGGUUUAAUGGGUAAAUAAAGCUUUAAGGGGUAUGUGAUUACAUGAAAUGAACUAUCAUAUUUGAGUAAUGAUAUGGAUGAUGAUGAAAUGUUUAAUUGAAAAGGAAAUAUGGUUUAGUAUAUAUGUAUGAGUGGUGAAUUAUGAAAGUGAAAUGUAGAUAUGUUUUAUACCAUGUUUUGAUUCGAAUUAUAUAUGAUAUUUAAACCAACUAACCUUGUGAGGUGGUGUGUAUAGGAAAGGAAAGUUGGCUUAAAACAUAAUGAAAUUAUGCUUGGUUUUUUAACUUAAAAUAUUCAAUAAGUUAAGUUUCCUUUAUAUGAACUUACUAAACAUUAGUUGCUUACAUAGUUAUUUUUCUUUAUUUUGUAGUUCAUCAGAAGCUCGACCGAUUGGAAUCAUGUUAGAGCAUGAUCACACUAUCCAUUCAACAUUUUAAUAGUUCUUCGUUAUUUUGGUAAAUAGUUGUAAAUGACAUGUAAUGGGGUUUAACGGUCAUUCCAGUAAUUUGACUUGUUUUGAGUUGUGUCAAGCUUAUUGUGAUUAAUGUUGUUAGUUGCUGGCAUGUAAAUAAUGGUGUAAAUAUGUGUGAUCGGACCCUUAUGCAUGCUUUAUUGAUUAAAGAUAUCAUAUGUUAAAAUGGCAUGUUUUUGGAAUGGUUAUUUGGCAUGAUUGGUAUUUAUGAUCUUGAGAUGUUGAAUUGAAUUAAGUUUGAUAUGUAUAUUGUGAUACCUUCAUUGACAUAUUGGUUAGAUAUUAAAGGAUGGUUGAUUUGGUAUGUUUUUGAAAUGGUUGUUGGUAUGUUUUCUCUAAGUUAAUUAAAUGAAUUUGUAAUGUUGAAUGGUAUAAUAUUUGUUGGUACAUUAGUUAGUCUUAUAGGUUGAUGGAAUUGGUAUGUUUUAAAUGUGUUUUGGUUAUUUCAAUGUUUGUGGAAAUGGUGUGUCUUGGUGUACAAGAUUUGAAAUUGAAACGGCUUGAUUUAGAAGCAACUUAUGCUACACACCGCCUGGGACAUGGAUUGUCACAUGGCUGUGUCAUUAUUAUUUUAGGUAUAGGUUUCACACAAUCUAAGACUCAGCUCACGACACAGCUGUGUAUCACAAGUCAGUAUGUAACACGGUUUUGUACAUGGCCUGCGACACGAUCGUGUGUCCAGACUUCGAAUGUCCACAUGGUCUAGGCUAUGUCACAUGGCUUGGCCACAUGGCCGUGUGACUUUUGUUUUCAAGUUUUCCAAAAUUUUCUAUUUUAUUUCAAAUUGAUCCUAGAAUAUUCUCAAACUAUUUUUAAGGCCCCGUAGGUUCGGAUUAAGGCCCGUAAGUGUAUGUUUGCUAUAAUUAAGUUGUGUUAUUGAAUGUUAUUAAUUCAAACACAUGAAUACUUUGUUGUAAGUUAAAUGUUUUAAUUUGUACUAUAAUGCUUCGUAACCCUAAUCUGGCGAUGGAAACAAGUUUGGCGUGUUACAAUUUUGUAUUGUAAAUUUGUUUUGGGGCUUUGUUCUUUGGUUCUUGUGAUGUUGGUUGGAUUUUGGUGUUUUAACAUUAAACUGCAAAAUUGUAGGAUUUAACAAACUAAAAUUAGGUUUUCAAAAUUAAAACUCUGGAAAUUUUUGUUGCAAAGUUUAAGUAAUCACUUAAGUGUUUUUCUAUAGAUAAUUAAAUGGUUUUUAACAAAUGUUUUCCUUACUUUUGGAAAUGAUCUGCCAACAUUAGUACUUCUAAAACACAUGAUUUCAAAUUCAAAUUCUCAGUUUUAAAUAAGGGUUUUCACACUUCGAUUUUUUUUAAACAUUUUUGAGAGGUUUUUGCCAAAUUUUAUGUUUUCAGAACGUGUAACCAAGUUGAUUUUUAAUUAGUUUUUCAAAGUAGUCGAUGUAAUUCCUCAAAAAUCCAGUCAUAGCGUCUAGGCCGGGUUUGGGAUAUUAUACUGACGUUACUAAAGUUAAUCUUCAUCUAUUUAGUCUUGAUCUAAACAUUAAUAUUCUCUUCAAAAAAAAUCAAGAUUAUCAAAUUGUUAAAACUUGGUAGGCAGACAAUCAUAUUAAAUAAGCAUAAAACUUAAUAAAUAAUUACCGAAGAUUGAAAUAAUCAAAGAAAAAAUAAAUUAAUUAACUAAGAAAUAGGAUCCAUUAUUGUUUCAAGAAAAUAGAGUUUAGUUCACAUUGAGUUGAGAAAACCAAAAGGGAGAUUCAAAACAAACUUGUGAUAAGGGGAAUAAUGUCAAUAGAUCAUAUUCAAGUUGUUCGGCUUGAGAAAGAAAGAUUCAGAUCUAACUUGAAAACAAGAAACCAAAAAGAUUUAGAAAAACAAGAAAAAACAAAGAAAAUAACUAAAAUGAUAAAUUUAAGAAUAAAUAAUCAAUAUUAAAAAUAAUAAAGAAAUAAAGAAAUUAUAGAAUAAAUAGUGGAAGAUGGAAUGAAUAAACGAUGGAUAUGACAUAUAGAUGGAUAAGUGUCUUAUAAUUCAUGAAAAGAGUUAUAUUUCAUGCCUUUAGACCUAACUAAUUGUUUGUACUUAAGUACAUUUUGUUGCAUUUUAAGACAUUUUAGUUAGCAUUUCUAAUAUUGCAUUAGGACUUAGAUUGUGUUGGAAUUAUGUGUUUUUAAUAUGGUGGAGUUCUUUUGUGUGUUGGUAUGGCAAGAACAUAUUUUAGAACGAGGAAAUAAAUGAGUGAAGUUUUUUCAAGGAAAAAGUGCAGACAGUUUGCCAGAACAGAUGCCGUGACAAUGCCAGGAAGACAAAGUUAACAUUUCUUUGCGCAACAGUCUCAGUUGAAAUUAAAACUUGUACCAGAUAAAUCUCCCUAAAAGAGGAGAAGAUAAUCACAAGUUGUUACUUGACACUAGCCUAAUCUAUCUAUAAAAGCCAAUAAAGGGGAUCUCGCAAAUGGCAGAAAAAAAUGGGAGGGAUCCUUAGGUGUGAAUAAGGUUUUAGCUGCGCAAAGGAAAGGAAGUCGAAGGAAGUGCUUUUUAGCCAUCACAGGAUGUUGUGCUACCGAAGUGUGGACUAGGCAAGUGAAAGUUGUUUCCCAAAGUUCUUUCGUUAUUUCCAUCAGCGUUCCUUCAAAAUAUUGAAGUAGUUGAACACAAUGUCGGAUAAUAUUUUGCUUUUGAAUUUUAUUUCUCAGCCCAUGAGCUAAAUCUCGUAGGGUUGGGAUUACUUUUGAUGAAACCUUAAACUAUUUUUGUGGAUGCAGUAUAUAUCUAAUUUACUUUACUGUUUCAUUUGGUUGUUCUUAUUUCUUAAUUAAAAUGCAAAUGAUUUCUAAACAUAGAAGACUGUUCGCAUACUUAUAAACUCAUUCUAAUUCUGAAAGGGUUGGAUUGGUUGGAUUAAAAUUAAAUGAAAUGAGCAAGUAUUCGAUGGACACUUGUAGUAGACUCUAUACAUAGAGUGACGAUCAUACAGAAGGAACCCAUGCAAGGUAUCUAAAAAGUCUUUAGACACAGGCAAGGUAACUUGAUGUUUUGCUCUCACGAGAGUCAGGCCAUUUUAGUACUCUUUUGUGCUUUAAAGUAGAUACGAUUUUGCCAAGGCAUUAUUGACAGUAAGGGUCGAUUUUGGGUAAUCAACUUUCCAAAUCCACAUCGUAUAUCCUUUAUACCUUACCAUAGUAUAUUUGCCACAUCAUUAUUAGUUAUUUAUUUGUUCAUUUACAUAAUAUUCCCAUAGUAAUUCUCAUAAUUAUCAUUAGAUUUCUACUCUCAGUUUGCCACAACAUUACCAAUUAUUUAUUACCUCCACGUAUUGCUUACACCAUUACUCUACUAAUUUCAACUAUAUAUUUAUCAUUGAGUUUGCCAUGGCAUUAAUCGUAUUUUAUUAUAAUAACUUGACCAAUUGUGUGCCUCAAUCUGAUCCCCAUGGGAACGAUACUCACUCAUCACUUUAUUACGUGAUUCAACUGUAUACUUGCACAAAUCGCAUAUCAUUUCACACACGACAGUGUUCAAUUGAAACCUUUAAGAUAUAAACUCGGACAAACUCAAUUAAUGGCUUUAAUCAACCCACCAAGAAAUAAUGAUUGGCAAAUUGAACGAUGAAGAAUGAAUUCCCAUGACUCCUUAAAAAAUUGAGAAGAAAAAUACUUCUAAAAAUCACAAGAAACAAAUCUUGCACAAAGAAACUAACUUUUAGAGUUGGAAAUUUUAGUAAUAAACAAAAACAAUUGCAUCUCUAAUGAACAUGAAGGGCCUUUACAUAGGCUAGAUAAGUACAUCCAGAUAAAAUAUUCAAGUAUCAAGUACAUCCAGAUAAAAUAUUCAAGUAUCUUGAAACUUUAAUUAGUAUAAGUAAGAAGUAAUUUUAAACUAAAAUAGUUAUAAUUUCCGUCAUAAUCCCAUCCAAAAAUUCUGCUCACAUAAUCAUCAUUAAAAUAGUCAUAAUUUGAGCUCUUGAACUCAAAAUUGAGUGAAUAAAAGUGUGUUUCGAAGUUAAGUGCUAGAUCUUAGAACUUUAUGAAGACAUAUCAAUCGAAAAAUGUCUGGAUCCCAUCCAAAAAGUCACCACAAGUUAACUAAUUUUUCAAACUUGAAAAUUGGCAGCUUUGGUGAAUGGAAUUUAAUAAAGUUCACCCCAUCUAUUCAUGUAUCAACUCGCAUUGGUAAAAAGUAAAAAGAAAUAAUCUAUAGAGAAAAUAGUUGAAGAAUUUAUGAAAAUUUAUUCAAAUCUCUUUUUUUUCUAGUCUUUGCAAGCUUGAAGUUUCCCUUGGUGUGUGAGAGUUGUUCCUUACCCUCUAAGUGAUUUUUUUUCUUCUUCUUUCUCUUCGAUCUCGUCACCUAAGGGUGUUCAAACAAUUGAUUCAGUUAAUACCCGUACAAAACUAUCAUUAACUGAAAUUUUGAAACCCUUAAUCAUUAAUCAAACCAAUUUUUUUGAAACCUACUAACUAGCUUCAUUGUUUUCGGUUAAUUUGAGCGGUUAACCAAAAUUUACACAUUGUUUGUUUUUUUUCAAACAAUUUUAAAACAAAGAACAAUCCACGACAAUUUUUCCUUGUUUUUUAUUCAAAAAAAUUAAAAGAAUUAAAAAAAACAUAAUAACAACACUAAAUUAAAAACAUAAUAGCAUUCAUUAUAUAUAUAUUUACUUUUUCUUGACUUUUUAGUUUAAUUUUAGUUUUUUUUUUCCAAAUAUUUUUAGUUUUCAUAUUUUUGUUAAGCUUAUUAUAAGAAAACUUAUAAAUCCAUUAGUUUUUAUAUAUUGGGUUUGUAUAAUGCAUUGGACCUAUCUCACAUAGUCAUCAUUAAAAUAGUCAUAAUUUGAUCUCUUGAACUCAAAAUCGAGUGAAUAAAAGUGAGUUUCUAAGUUAAGUGAUAGAUCUUAGAACUCUAUGAAGACAUAUCAAUUGAAAAAUGUCUGAACUCCAUCCAAAAAUUCACGCAAGUUAACUAAUUUUUCAAACUUGAAAAUUGGUAGCUUCGGUGAAUGGAAUUUAGUAAAGUUCACCCCAUAUAUUGAUGUAUCAACUUUCAUUGUAAAAAGUAAAAAGAAAUAAUCUAUAGUGGUUAGUGUUUUAAUGGGGGUUUUGUGUUUACUCUCGGUUAGGGGAAGGGCAAGAAGAGUUGGUACUCCUGCAGCAAUUUGAGCGUUAAGGGUGUCUGUUCGUCGGCGGUAAGGUUUCAAAUUCUUUGUUGGUUAUUGUAAGGCUCCGUUUGUGGAAUGGUUUUGGAUUGAGUUUCGUAAGUGUACUGAAUUUGGGCUUCUGGAUGCUAUUUCUUAGGUUCGAUGGUCUCGGGGGUGCUUGUGCAUCAAAACGAUAUCAGGUGUGUACCCGAAAUGCAGAAAAUCGAGCUUCGAUGAAAUCUAAAACACCUUACUAUCGACACCACAAGGGCAUGUGCCUGGCCGUGUGGUUGGCUGUGUGUAGGACACGGUCAUGUGUUUGACGAGGGUAGGGUCGUGAGGAAGACAUGGCCGUGUGACGAUGUGGGCCCGCAGGCUAGGCCAAGUUAGGCUUGUGGGUUUUGGGCCACAUGUGCAUGUGGGUUUUGGGCCAAGCCAUGUGAACCACAUGGACAGGGCUAAUCUGGGUGUGUUGACCACAUGGGCAUGUGGGCCCGAAAUUCUAAAAUUUUUCGUAGGGUCUCACAGGUCAUUUUGGUCGACUUUGUGCCUACCGUAGGGUCAGUAAGGGCUAACCAAACCCUAAAACUAUGUGAUCUGUUAGUUUGAUAUUUGUUCUAAAUAUGAUACUACUAUGCAUGUCUGAUUAGUCUGGUGUAUAUAUAUAUAUCUGAUAUAUAUGUAUGAGCAUGUGAGCAUGAUAACUCUGAUUAUAUAUAUCUGAUUGAGGUGGGAUUUCUAUAUGUGGAGGAAGUGUUCUAUAUGGCGGUCAUCGCCUAUGUUCUGGCAGCUUGGCUAUACAUUAUCUGACAUGUAUCGUAAUGGCACGAUAUGGUGUGUAGGGAUUGGUGGGUGUUUUUAACCCCACAUGAUGUGAUGGGAUGGUCAGAGUUGGUUUGUAGAGGAUGGAGUUAGGAUUCUGUAUUUCUAAUAUGCAUAUAUGUUCUAUUAUUUGAAUCUAUAAAGGACUUAGGUCUGAAUCUGAAUCUGAAAUUGUAUCUGAUCGUGUAUGAGUUUAUUGCACGUAUUGCAUGUAUUUUUCUGUUGGGUUACACACUGAGUUUACGAAAACUCACAUUUGUUUGUCGGUUUUGUUUAGGUAAUCCACAGACUUAGACGGGUCAGUGUUACGGAGGCUCAGUGGUGACCACUUGAUUGAGAACUAUUUUACUUAGUAAAUUAUGUUUUAUUUAUAAUUUCGAUUUCAUUUGAGAGUUUGUAAUUUUUGGGACUCUCCGGACUGCUGGUUUUUAUUUUGGUUUUGGAUGCGAUUUUAGACUCUUUUGUUGCGAUGCAUAAUGGAAAACACGGUUUUAUGAAAACAAAGGUUAUUCUGAAAAUACGAACUGGAUUUCUAAAAUAUAACGGUUCAAAAACUUCUGCUAAAAAUCAUGUUUUGGUAAAUAAAUGAAUUAAGUAACACUUUCAAAAAUGGUUAUAAAGAAAUAUGAACUAUGAAUCUUUAAUGAUUUGACAAAAAGACCUUAUUUUCAAAACCAUACAUUGUGACCACUCCAGAUUCAGCUAUAACGUCUAGACCGAUUUGGGGUGUUACAGUAAGGAUGAAAAUUUAAGGGGGAGUGAGCUAUGGCGCUUAGUAUGAGUUCAUUCACAAUAAAUUCAAUGCAAACGGUUGGUAGGACACAUUAAAUAAUAUCACAUAAAAUAAUCACAGUCAGAUAAUAGUUUAGAAUGUCGGUUUUACAAUUUAACCACCAAUAUUAUCACAGUAUUCACAGUUGUAAUUUCAGAAUAUCAAAUUUUCACACCAUUCACAAUAUUUAGAUAUAUAUAAAUAUAUCAUAACAGAAUUCCAGAUUUGUAUGCACAUGAUUUAGAAGAUGCCAUACAAUUUCGGGUUUUAACAGAAUAAAUCCUACCCCACGUUACAUACCAUAAUGGGAGUUCCCCUAAACUCCCUUCUCCAACACACUGGGUACCACUACUGGUUUACAAAUAAUAACUAUCAUUUGGCUGUGGACACACAGCAAUCCCCCACAAUUGGAUUCUAGAUUUGGUUGUGGGUUCACAGCAAAAAAAUCUACAAAUGAAGCAUGCUUUUGCCUGUAGAUUAUACAACAUAUACCCAUAGUUGGAAUCUGCCUUCGGCUGUGGACACACUGUAACACCUCAAACCUGACCUGGACGUUAUGGCCGAAUCUUGAGGAAUUACUUUAACUCGCUAGAAAACCCAAGAGUUUACUUUGAAAUCAUGUGGUUAAACUAGUGUUCACUUUGAUAAAUCGUUUUCCAGUUUUAGGGAAAAUUAUUAUUAAAACUACUACUUUAUUACAAUAAAAAAUUAAAGUGAUUGUAUCAUUUUGUAACGGAAUCUACUGAGCUAUAAGGUUUUGAAAAUCGUGGUUUAAUUUGCAACAAAUCAUUUUGCAAAUAGAAAUUUAAUACUACUUAAUUUGGAAAAGCAUGCUAAAACGAAAGCAAAGUCCAAACUAAUUUACGAUUUAAAUUCUUAAAAGUCCAAAUUAAACAUAAAGUCAAUUUAAACCAGUUUAUCGAAAGUGUAACACCCCAAACCCGGCCUAGACAUUAUGGCCAAAUCUGGAUGUGUUACAAAAAAAAAGUUUAUAAAACGACUUCCUUGUUAUUGGCAAAUCAUCGCAACCAUUAUUACAUAGUAUGUCUGAUUUGUUUGGAGAACUUUUUGAUAUACUUAUUUGAUUUAAGAUCGUUGCUUGCUUAUGCCUUUCUAUUAAACCGAAUGUUUUGCAGUGGAGUUUCUUUAAAAUGUCAUAUUUUGGCAAAUCAAAUUGUUUCUUGAAAAUCGUUAUUUCAGAAAAGUUGUCAUUUUCAGGAAAACUAUUUUAUCGGUUGUUACGCUUAGAAAACCAAAAUAAAAUCCAAAACCAAAAAUAGUCCCAAAAAGUCCAAAGAGUCCCGAAAUUACAAAACUCUCAAAACCAGAAAAGUUUGAACUAAUUUUAAAAGAAUGAAAAUUUAUAGAAAUAUGGUCAACAUUGAGCUUCCGUCACACCGACCCACAUAAAUGUAAGGGUUACUUGAACAGAACAAACAAAUAGAGAGUGAGUUUUGAAACUCAGUGCGUAACGCGAAUAUAAACAAAAAUUUAGAAUCAAUCUAAUGCAUAACAGAUACAAAUGUAAACCUUUUAUAGAAUAAGAAUUAUACAGAUACAAAUGUGCAAAAUCCUACCCUCGUCCUCUACACACCAAUUCUGACCAGCCCAUCACACCACGUGGGGUAUAAAACACCCACCUAGCCAUACACACGGUAUAGUGUUUAUACGACACUUUUCAGAAUAAUCGCAGUAGAGUUGCCAGUAUAUAGGUGAGAUAUUUCCUCACACAGAACACUUCCUCCUCAUAAUACAAAUCCCGCUCCAUAGCCAGAUACAGACAGAAUAUUAGGUAAAACAAAUUAACAGAUACCAGAGUUAACAUAUCAUGCAUGAGCGUAUAACAAAUAUUACACAUGCUUGUACAUAACAGAACAAACCAUACAUACCGUAUUCCAUAAUACUCAUAUAAAUGUUAUUUUUUAAAUUGUAACAAAUAUUAUUAUUAAGAUGUUUUUCUUUUUAUAUUUUUAUAAAAAUAUAUUAAAAAACAAUUAGAAUAAUUUUAAGAGAAAAAACACUCAUAAAUAGUAGAAUUUAAUCUAAAAAUAUCAAAGUUUUAAAGCCUCAACUUUAACAUUUCAACCAAAAUUCCAUUAGUAUAUAAAUAUUUCAUAAAUAUAGAUUUUAUAUAAAAAAUUUAUGUUAACUUUUUUUUAACCCGCAUCACAAGUAUACCAUAUUUAGAGAUAUUCAUAGCUAGGCAGCCCACUUUGGGUCAAGCUUGAGCUUAGGUUUUAUCUCAAGUUGGCCCAAUUUAACCUAUUUUACUAUUUAAAAAUAUAAAUAUAUGUUAUAUUGAUAUUUAUAUAUUUCUAUAAUUAAAUUUUAAAUAAAUUUAUUGUUAACUUCUAAACAUAAAACAAAGAGAACUUUCACCCAAGUUAUAAGUUUGUGGUUAGACAGCCGACUUUCGGGGCAGGAUUCAGCUUACGUUUUUAAUCUUGGGAUUUAACAAUAAUAAAAAAUUUAAAAAUAAUAUUCUAUUAAUAUUUAUAAAUUUUAUAAAUUUAAAUUUAAUUAUAUUUUUUAAACAGUAAAAUGAACCAUUUAUAUGGGCUAAUUAGAGUUAAGUUUGGUUUGAAUCAAGGCUUAACUUUGACCAAAUCCAACUAAAAACACCUCUAACAAUUAUCUAGUAUUGUUUUUAUGAAUUGAAUUUUAACUUCUAAUUUUCAAUUUUAUUACAAAAUUUCUUUGCGGACGAUAAGAAAAUAACAUAUUUGUAACUUCUUCACUCCGACGUAAAGGUUAAGUCUGAAUUUGGAUUACAUCGGCCAUAAAUAUGGCCUAGCAGGAUUAUCGGAGUUUUUAAAAAUAGACAUCUUUAAAACGUUUGUUUAAUUUAUAAAAAAGCUUAUUUAAUUUCCAAAUUAUUUAUUACUUGAAAUCUUAAUUACAUUUUAAAAGCAGGAAGUGGUAACUAUUUAUUUUUAAUAAAAAUCGGGGUUCAUGUAUAAUUCAUUAAUAACCGUAAUUCGAAAACAUUAAAACUUAAAUUAAAUGUCAUGCAAAACAAAACAAACUUAAAUCUAAAUCUCAUGCCACAGUGCAAAACAAUUUAUUGUAGUCUUAGAAAAUAAAAAAAAAUCAUAUAAUGAACCUAAAAUAAUUUUUUUUACUUUAAUAAUGUGUCAAGACCUUACAAAUGUCACGCCCACGUUCAAUCCUGGUGGGUUAUCUAUAAGGAUGAAAAUUUAAGGGGGGUGAGCUUUGACGCUUAGUGUGAGUUCAUUCACAAUAAAUUCAAUGCAAACGGUUGGUAAGACACAUUAAAUAAUAUUGCAUAAAAUAAUCACAGUCACAUAACAGUUCAGAAUGUCGAUAUUACAGUUUAACUACCAAUAUUAUCACAAUAUUCAUAGUUGUAAUUUCAGAAUAUCAAAUUUCCACAUCAUUCACAAUAUUAACAUAUAUAUAAAUAUAUCAUAAUAGAAUUCUAGAUUUGUAUGCACAUGAUUUAGAAGAUGCCAUACAAUUUUGGGUUUUAACAGAAUAAACCCUACCCCACGUUACAUAUCAUAAUGGGAGUUCGCCUAAAAUCCCUUCUCCAACACACUAGGUUGUGGAUAAACCAAUACUCAUCCGCAGAUAAUAACUAUCAUUUGGCUGUGGACACACAGCAAAUCCCCACAGUUGGAUUCUAGGUUUGGCUAUGGGUUCACAGCAAAAAGUCCUGCAAAUGAAGCCUAUUUUUGCAUGUAGAUUAUACAACCUAUACCUGCAGUUGGAAUCUGCCUUUGGCUAUGGAUGCACUAUAACGCCCCAAACCUGACCUGGACGUUAUGGCUGAAUCUUGAUGUAACGCCCUAAAAUUUCUAAUUCUAUUAUUGUAAAAAUAUGACACAAAAUAUUUGUCUGCUUUAGUGGUUAUGUGUUCUGGGAGUGUUUGGGAGGUCCCAAGUUCACGUCUUUGCUUGGGCAAAUUUUGGUAUUUUGAAUGAAUUAGGCUUUACUCUUGUUCAGUAGGAUUUUAUUUGAUUGUUGGGAAAAUUAUAUCAGAAUGGGCUUGCUGGUCUAGUGGUUAAAUUGUGUGUUAUUAUGGUGAAGGUCUUGUGUUCAAAUCCUUAUGUAGGCAAAGGUAUUAUUAUUAUUAUUUUUGCUCAGAUUUCGGGAUAUAGUUGUGUAAUAGGGGGAUUCUGAGUAGUGGAUGUGUAGUGGGAAUUAGGGGAGAAGAUUAAGGGGUUUCGGGAUUUUAUUUUAUUUUUUCCCAGAACGGAAUUUUGACUCUCUUUUCCAAAAAAAUUCUGUCGUCUAUUCUUCUCCCUCUCCUCUUGUCGAUAUUCUCUAAGUUUUUUCAUCUUUCUCUUCUUUUUCUUCUUCUUGAUUUUUCCCUAAUCCAUUUAUUUUUCCUUCAUUUUCGCACGCGAUUAGUGCUCGCUUAGUUUCGGUAAGCGUUUCUCUUUGUUUUUAUCAUGAAUCUCCUAGGGACUAAAGUGGUAAUUUUUUUCUCUGCGAUUUGGGCAUAAGGGAAGGCUCGGACUGGUGAAUUCAGUAUUCUCAUCUUAUCAAUAGUUAAAUGGGGGGUUAUCGUUGGUGGUAUGUUGGGUUUCUGUUCGUUCUUGGUUGUCAAUUCGCUUGUAAAUCCAUUAAAUUGAUGUUUAGUAUCUUGAUUAUAGGCUUUGGAGUGCUUGGGGACUGUUUUAGCAUCAAACAAAACCAGGUGUGUACCCGAAACGCAAAAAAAAAGGGAUUCGGUGAAAAGUUAAAAUUGCUUGCUAUUUGGACAGCAGCAGUAGACUAAUUUUGAAAAAUCACCAUAAAUUGUGGAAAUCGAAUUAGAGGAUGAAAAAAAUAUGAAAUUAAAUCUUAUUGAGUCUAGUUUCUCAUAGAAGAAACGGUGUAAGUAAUGGAAUUGUAAAUCGUGAGAUAUAAUAAACUUUGUGAGACAAGGUUAGAAUAAAUUCGGGUUCCCCUGUUCUGAUUUUGGAAAAUCAUCAAAAAUUGGAGAAAAGUAAUUAGGAAUUAAAAUUUACAUGUUUAAAUUAUUAAUGAGUCUUUUUUUUCAAUAGAAACAAAUGGGAACUUCAUCCAAAUUUUGUACUAAAAGAUAAUUAAUUUUUAGCAAAGAAGGGUCAAAGCUGUCAGACAGCAGAACAAGGGUAAGUUUGAAGAUUUUACUGUACUUAUUAGCUGAACCAAAAAUUCUAAAAAUUUUAUGGUAGAAAGGUAUUUGAGUCUAUUUUUAAAGACAUCAAGCGAAUUUUAAUUAGAAAUUCUGUAGCACAAGAUAUAAAUAAUUUAGUAACAGUGACUCAAGUAGAAAGCUUUGAAGGAACACAUAAGUAAAUUGUGAUAACAUAUAUGAAUAUUUAGCUAACACAGGUUACACUGAAAAUGGAUCACGUGGCCAAGGCCAAUUUGGGCCGAGUGGGCCACGUGGGCGUGUGAGCCCAUUUUUUUGAAAAAUUCUGUAAGGUUGCACGGGUCACCCAAGUCGACUAUGGACCUACUGUAGGGUCAGUAACCUUUACUUAGACGCCUAUAUGUGUGAUCUGUCUAGCUGAUUUCUAUAACGAGCAUGACUUAUAAUAUCUAAAUGUAUGUACUAUUAAUUGCAUAAUGGCAUGGCAUAUUUUGUAUGUUGCAUUGCAUCGGGGUGGGUUGAUGAUAUUUGGAGGAAGUGUCUAAAGGGAUAUUAAGCCAGUUAUCUGGCAGCUCAGCUGCAACCUUCUGAUUAUGUGUCGAUUUCAGUAUAGCAUGGUGUGUAAGGAUGGGUGGGUUAAUUUAAUCCCUACAUGGUGUGUAGGGUUGGACGGAGAUGGUGUAUAGAGGCUGGUGGGUAGGAUUCUAAUUUACUAUAUCUACAUUCUGAAUCUGAUAUGGGCCAAGGCCCUAAUGUAUUUCUGAGACUGUAUCUGAACGGGCUAAGGCCCAAACUGAUUGUGUGAUGGGCCUAGGACGCAGACUGUAUCUAACUGAAUUCUGUUGAUUAUUUGUAUGCAUGUUUUCUAUGGGGAUUACACACUGAGUUUGAGAAAACUCACCCUUUCUCUGUUUAAUCUAUACAGGUAAUCCCCAAACUUGAUGGGUAGGUGCAGCGGAGGAUUCGACGGUGGCCACACGUAAAUUUCAGACUGUUUUCUGUUAAUGCCUAGAAUUUAUUAAUUAUUUGGGGUUUUUGAUGUAUCUUCUGGACUAUGGACUAGUAGGCUUUAAAUUUUAGACUUUAUACUAUUUUUUAUGUUUUUUUUAAAACUGCAACUCCACAAAACACGGUUUUUUUCUAAAAAAUAAGGAUUUUCGUAAAUAGAAAUGAUUUUCCCUAAAUUAAUUGGUUACAAAAGUUUUCUCUAAGAGACAAGUUUUAAAGCAAAUCAACUAGUUUUUUUUCAUAAUUAAAUAAAAGUUAACUUACUAUAACGAUUUUUCUUAAACUCGACAAUCUUGUCUUCAAAUCCCUUUUCAUGUGACAUCACCAGAUUCGGCCAUAACGUCUAGGCCGGGUUUGGGGUGUUACACCUGAUGAGUUACUUUAAAUCGCUUGAAAACCUAGAAAUUUACUUUGAAAUCAUAUGGUUAAACUAGUGUUCACUUUGAUAAAUCGUGAAAGUAUGUGAUUAUUGAGGACAUGCUGAGCAUGUCAAAUGAAUGUGAAAAGUAUUGUGAUAUGACUAUGUAUGAGAUUGUGUAACAUAUUGCAUAUGCAUUGGGUUGGGAUUUUUUGGUUGACGGAGUAGUUCUGUGGAGUACCGUCGGCAUAUUAAGCCCGCAUUAUUCGUAGUUAGUGCACUGCACCUGGAGUACUGAGGGGAUUGGUAAUUUUAUCGCAUAUUAUAUGUUAUUGGUGAUUGUAUAGCACUAUUUGAUAUCCGACAGAUUUUUUGCAUUAUUGAUUAUUCGGUGGUUUUACCACAUUGAGCUAUGCUCAGAAUGUUUUAGAGUUUGGUAGACGGGUUCUAGGGAACACGUGGUGUGUAGCGGAUGGUAUGGGUAGGAACCUUUUUGCAUUGCAUCAUGUGCACGACAUAUUCGAAUGUUAUUGGUUUAUGCUACGUAUUGUAUUUUUUUGUAUUGAAUGGUAUCAAAAUUAAUGAUUGUCACUCGAAUGAAUUAUGAACUAUGCUCAUACACUGUUUGACAUCAAUUUAAUAAUGGCUAUGUAACGAUAUGAAAUUCCUAUAAUGGUUUUAUUUUCUUCUAUUAAAGCUAAUAUGUUUCACUGUAUUUGAUAUUUAUGUUUGUUUAAAUAAUUGUUCGACUCACACUGAGCUUUUCAUAAGCUCACCCCUAAUAGUGUUAAACUUUUCACGUAAACCUCGAAAUUAAGACCAGACUUGGCAUUCGAAGAAUCACCUUGGACCUUGAAUUAUUUUUCUAAUAAGUAUUAAUCAAUCUCUAAUGGUUUUGGUUUGUAAUUUUUAAUUAUAUCUAGUCUGUGGCUUGAUAACUUUUCUUUUGGGAUUUUUGCAUGCAUGGAUUACUCAAGCAUAAUAACCGGAUAAUGCAUGAUAUCAGGCUUAAGUAAAAUUUGAUAUUGUUCCCUAGAUUCUGCUACAUUGCAAAGGAUUUGUUUUUGAAAAACAAAUUGAUAAGGUAACUAAGUUUUUAAAAUGACUUGAAAAAUGGUUUUUCCCCUAGAUUAGUUUAACAUCAAAUUUUUUUUAAAGGAGAGCAACAAGCAAAUGGUUUUUCUAAAACAACACUAUCAACAAUAAAAUGAAUUCUAAGUAUACACAACCUAAUGAAUGAAUGCUUUUAAGCUAACUUAAAGUACAAUUAUGGUUUUCUCUAAAAUGAGUUUAUUUAAGGUUUUCAUAAGUAAUGUAAGUUAGCUUAGCCAUUUCGGUGGCUAAUGUAGCCUUCUCAUUCUAGCCAUAACGUCUAGGCCAGGUUUGGGAGGUUACAGUAUUGAUAGGAACUGUGGUAUAAAUUUUAUUUUGGACAUUCUUAAAGUGUUAUUUGGACUAAACUUUAGAAACUAUGGAUUUUAUACUGAGCCUAAAUUUACGAAGUUCAUGCGUGGUUUUUACGAAAAUGAAACUAAUAUGAAUUUUUAAAACCAUGAUUUUUUUUAAAGCUCCAAUUUGAAAUUGUACAAGAAAUGUCAAUUUGAAUUAUUUUUGAAUGUUUUUUUAUGCCAAUAAAAUAUUGUUUCAAAACAUAGCUAAGUAUUAUUUAAUUUCGUAAAGACGAAGCAAACUCCAAACAAUCUAAAACUUUAAGGACUAGUUUGUAAUUUUUGUUUUUCCUCAAUUGUCUCUGGUUUGAUUCAAUUCUUGAUCUAUACAAUUAUUCCAUUCAAUUCAUCAAUAUUAAACAUUUAUACAUUAUGUCAUGUCAUGAAUGAACCUAGAUAAAUUCAUUUUUUGAUACCCUUAAAGUUUUACAUUUAUUUCAAUUUAGUCUCUAAAAUCGAAAUAGUCAUAACUUUAAAUUCUGAACUUCAGUUUGAAAAUCGACCUCAAUUUCAUUUUAGACUGUCUGUUAAAAAUUAGUGCAUCUUACUGGAUUUUUUAAUUUACUUGUUUUCUUUAUCAAAUAAGUUGGUUCCUAUUAUAUAGGGAUAUGAUCAGAUUAUGUUUUGUUAGUUGAGGUUUUAGUGGGCUAUUAGUUGCAGGUUUUUUAACUUUAACGUUACAUGUAGUUAAGCUAUUUAUAUGUCAUUUUAUCUAAUGUAAUUUUGUGUGUUUUUUUUAGUAAUCAAAAACGUUCUUUAAUACUUUAAGCUUUUCUUGUUAUUAUUUCUUUCAUUACCUCGGUCAUUCUUUUUUGUUUUAUGGUGUCAGUGCCAGGUUAUUCAUUGGUUAAUUGUGUGAAAGGGUGUUUUGCUAGUUGCUGCAAUGGAGGUUUCAAAUGGAGGAAAUAAUCAGAUUGGUAUGGAGAAGCUUGUAGGCACUAACUACAAGUAUUGGAGGAUGUGUAUGGAGGCAUUUCUUCAAGGCUAGGACUUGUGGGGAUUGGUUGUUGACCUGAUGCAACAAUCCCUCCCAAUAUUCUCGAGAAUGCCAAGUCACGAAGGAGGUGGAAGGUCAAAUGCGGUAAAGCUUCAUUGAUCAUGUUCAUGAUGUUAACUCUCCAAAAGAAGUUUGGGAAACGCUUGAAAGGUUGUUUACCAAGAAGAAUACUGCAAGGUUGCAAUUGUUGGAGAACGAAUUGGCCGGGUUAAAACAAUGAGGUAUGUCAGUUUUAGAAUAUUUUUUACGAGUUAAAAAUAUUUGUGCUGAAAUUUCAGAGAUAGAUACGGAUGAGAAAGUUAGUGAAGCUCGUUUGCGUCGUUAUCUUAUCCGCAGUUUGAAGAAGGAGUAUGGGCCUUUUGUCACUUCUAUUCAAGGGUGGUCGACACAGCCUUCGGUGGAGGAGUUAGAGAAUUUUCUCUCUAAUUAAGAAGCUUUGGCAAAGAAGAUGGUGAAAAGUUUCGAAUCUGAUGCCAGUCUCUUCUCAAAAGGGAAGCCAAACAAGAAGAAUGAGUCUGGAAAUAAAGGCAGAUCUGAAGACUCUAGUUCGAAAAAAGAUGGCAACUCACAAAGCAAAAAGUCUUUCAAAUGCUUCAGAUGCAGAAAGACUGGACAUAUCAAGAGAAAUUGCCGUGUGUAGAUUUCCAAGGCCAAUAUCGUGUCCACGGAAGAAACCGAUGAUCGACUCAAAUGGGAGCAUUGCUUUACUGUUGAAGCUAUUGAACAAAAGUCAUCAAAAGCUUUUGUCAAUUAUGCUGAUAACAAGAAGGAGGAGUGGAUCAUUGAUUCUGGUUGUUCUCACCAUGUAACCGGAAAUGAUACUUUGUUCUUAGAGAUGCAUGAACACCAUGGAGAUCGAGUUAUUGUGACUGCAGAUAACUCCACUCAUCCGGUAGCAAAAGAGGGCAUUGUGGUGAUCGAUGUUGUCGACGAUACGAGAACCGAAAGUGUCAAAUUGACUGAUGUGUAUCAUGUUCUAGAUGAAGCUUAUGUGAAGAAAACAAGCCAAACCGAUAACGCUGCUAUUUGGCAUGCUCGAUUGGGUCAUGUGGGGUACCAAAUGCUGCAACAAAUUUAUUCGAAAAGGUUGUUAGAUGGGAUGCCGAUCUUGAAGAGUGUACGUGAAGAUGUGAUUUGUCAAAGCUGUCAAUAUGGUAAAUCUCAUCGUCUUCCUUUCAAAAGCUCAUCAAAUCGGAGAUCUUCUUUGCUCGAAUUGGUUCAUACAGACUUGACGGGACCAACGAGAACACUGAGUUGUAGCAGCCACUGUUAUGUUAUGGUUUUGGUGGAUGAUUACUCAAGGUUCUCUUGGGUGAAAUUUUUGAAAGAGAAGAGUGAAGCAUUAUCCAAGUUUGUGGAGUUCAAAGCUGCUGUUAAAAAAGAGUUUGGAAAGAAGAUUAAGUGUCUUCGAAGUGACAAUGGCGGAGAAUACAUGUCCAAUAAUUUUUUUCAGUAUUGUGUUGACAACGGCAUCUGUCGUCAAAUGACUUGUCCAGAUACUCCAUAGCAGAACAGAGUUGCAGAAAGAAAGCUUGGUUAUCUUGCUUCGAUUUGCCUUUCAUGGCUGCAUGACAAGAAUCUUCCUCGAGAGCUUUGGGCGGAAGCUGUUCUUUGUGCAUGUCAUGUGACAAAUAGGCUGCCUCCUUGGCCAGGUACACAGAAAUCUCCUUUUGAGAUUUUAUAUGGUGAAAAGCCAAAUGUGAAUUAUUUUCGAGUCUUCGAUUCUAUUUGUUAUGUACAUGUUCCGAAAUCGAAAAGAACUAAACUUGAUCCGAAAGCAAAAAAGUGUGUAUUUGUUGGCUAUGAUUCUUAUAGGAAGGGAUGGAGGUGUAUGGAUCCGGAUACAAAGAAGUUUACUACUUCGAGAGAUGUCGUGUUCGAUGAAGUAUCAUCUUUCUACUCCACUCAAAGAUUUGCUGCAGAAAAUAUUAUUCUUGAAGAUGAUGAUGAAAACUUGGAUGAGCUAUUUCCAAGAGUUAAUUUGCAACCAUUCAUUGAUGAUGAGUUGGAAAAUGAAUCUCCAACACCAACUCCAAGUCAAAAUGUUCAAUGACAUGAAGGUGGUUAGCAACAGAGUGAGGAGGUCUACUAGAGAAACGAGACAACCUGAGUAUCUCAGAGACUAUGAGGUGCAGCUUAAUCAUUGUAGUAUCACUUCUUGUUUCUUUGUUUGAGCGUUUGAUGAAGAACCAGUAAGUUAUGAGAAGCCAAAAGCCAUUCAAAAUGGGAGGCAGCCAUGAAAGAAGAAAUUGAAGCUUUAGACAAAAAUGAGACGUGGGAGUUGGUUCUUAAACCAGAAAAUUGUAAGCCGAUCACUUGUAAAUGGGUUUUUUGCGUGAAGAAAAAAUUAGAUGGCACCAUUGAUAGAUUUAAAGCUCGUCUGGUGGCUCGUGGUUUUUCUCAAAAUUAUGGAUUGGACUACGAGGAGACGUUUAGCCUAGUAGCAAAGAUGGUGACGGUGAGAUCGAUUAUUUUGCUUGCUGCGUUUAAAGGUUGGAGACUAUGGCAACUUGAUGUAAAGAAUGCUUUCUUUACGGAGAUUUAGAUCGUGAAGUAUUUAUGGAGCAACCUAUUGGCUUUGUCUCUAAGGAAUUUCAAAAUCGUGUUUGCCGUUUGAAGAAAGCGUUAUAUGGCCUUAAGCAAGCGCCACGAGCAUGGUAUGGUAAAGCUGCUCAAUAUCUCAUUUUUUGUGGCUUUAGAGUUUCUGAAUCAGAUUCUAGUUUAUUUAUAAAAUUGGAAUCAGGUGCACAUCUCUUGGUAUUAUUAUAUGUUGAUGAUAUGAUAAUAACUGGAGAUAAUGAAUCAGAAAUUUGUAAUUUGAGGAAUGACUUGUCUGUUCGUCUUGAGAUGAAAAUUUUGGGGGAGAUUGGAUGUUUUCUUGGUCUAGAAGUGGAAAAAUCAGAUCAAAGUUGUUAUAGCCCGAUUUUGGGUCUAGUCAGAACAGUGGUUUUGGGACCACAAAUUCAACAAAAAGAAAAUGGGUAAAAAAUAUUAUUAAUUUAGUAAGUAUAAGUUAAAUGUGAAGUUAGGAAAAUUUUUUAAAUACUGAAUAGUGCACUAGAAAUAAAUAUUAAAAUAAUUAGAAUCGAAAUGAGGUAUCAAGACCUCGGGGAUUUUAAACCGAGCCAUAAAUAUUUUUAUAAAUAUUUAUGGAGUGUUAAAAAGUUAGUAUUAAAGUUUCGUUAGGAAAUUUUAAAGUUCCGAUAAUUAAUUGAACAAAAAGGACUAAAUUGUAACAAAUGCAAAAUUUUGGGAAAUGAUUAAGUAGCUUAAAUGAUAAAAGGAAGAGGGCUUAAAAGGCAAAUAGACCCAAGGUUUAUUUGGGCUGGACGGCAAAGGCAUGAAAUCAGCAAGAAAGUAAGGAGAAUUAAGGGCAAAAUUGGAAUAUUGCAAAAUUUGCUUAAUAAAGUUAGGACCCAAGUGGAAUUAUCUAGAUUUCUCUUCAUUUUUCUGAAUUCUCAUCAGCAAAAACACCAUGGAAGGGCUUCUUCAAGCUGGUUCUUCAUAUUUUUACUACAAGUAAGUUCAAUUCUUGACUAUUUCUUGAAAUUUUUGUAUUUUUAUGACUUUUACAAUUAGGCUCACUUGUUAAAUUCAUUAGUUUUUGAUUUUAUGAAAGAAGUUGAAAGUUGAUAUGAAUAUGUGCUGGAAUUAUAUGAUGAUUUAGCAUGGAAUUAGAGCUUUAAAUUGUUCAUAUGCUGAUUUUAUUGAAAGAAUUGAAUAGAAAGUGAAUGUUUGGGACCUAAUAGUAAAAGAGUUUGAAGAUAGAAUUAUAUGUGGAAAUUCUGAAUUUCAAUAGUUGUGUAACAACUUAUAAUGUCUAGGUAAAGUAUUAAUUCAGAAAAUUGGAUUAAUUGAGGGGUUAAUUGAGAAAGGACCGAAUUGUAUAAACUGUAAAAUUUGGGGCAAAAUGGAAAUCAACAUUUUGCACUAAAGCAGUUUUGGACAGCAGCAGUAGUGUAACUUUGAAAAAUCACAAAAAAUUGUAGAGAUUGAAUUAGAGGAUGAAUAAAAUAUGAAAUUAAAUCUUAUUGAGUCUAGUUUCUUAUAAAAGAAACGGUGUGAGCAAUGAAAUUGUAAAUCAUGAGAUAUAAUAGAUUUUGUGAGACAAGGUCAGAAUGAAUUCGGGUUCCCCUGUUCUGACUUUGGAAAAUCAUUAAAAAUUUUACAAAAAUUAUUAUGAGUUAUAAUUUAUAUGGUUAGAAUCCUUAAUGAGUCUAUUUUUAUAAGAAACAAACAAAAACAGCAUCCGAAUUCUGUACAAUGAGAUAAUUAAUUUUUAGUGAAGAGUGGUCGGAACUGUCAGACAGCAAAACAGGGAAAAAUUUAAAGAAUAAACUGUACUAUUUGGCUAAACAAAAAAUUCUGAAAAUUUUAUGGAAAUAAUAUAUGUGAGUCUAGUUCCAGGUAAAAUUAACGGAUCUUAAUUUGGAGCUUUUUAGCUCCGGAUAAAAAUAAUUUAGUGACUCUAACUCAGACAGACAGCCUAAAUUUUUCAUACAAGAAAAUAGUGAAAGUAUGAAUAAUGUUGUUUAAAUGUGUUAUACACAUUAAGGAUGAGGAAUGGAGAGGAGGUGGAGGAAAAUUGGGAAAUAUAUGAAUGGUUUAUCAUGUUGUUAGUUCCAAAAAGAGUUAUGUUUCAAUACACUAGCUUGCAACUAUGGUUGAAUGAUAUGUUUAUAUCUUGUGUGAUGUGCAUAGGAAACAAGUGUGGAAAGAUAAUGAAAUAGUAAGUUCAUAUGGCUGAAAUUUAAUGGUUAAAUGUUAAUUCCAUGAAUUAUAUGAUGUAUGAUGAGAUAUUUUUAUUGUUGAAAUAAGAAUAAAAUAAAAGUGCGAAAGCUGAAUAAAUGAUCAAAUUGAGCGGAACGCCGGAUUUGAGUACUUCUGAUCAAGUGACAAAGUGAUAAGUGAUAGCUUUAGCUACACUUAUUUGAUCAAGAACAAGUGAUAAGCGGUGACAAAGUGAUAAGUGGUAGCAUUAGCUACACUUAUCUGAUCAAGUGAGAAAGUGAUAAGUGGUAGCAUUAGCUACACUUAUCUAAUCAAGUGAGAAAGUGAUAAGUGGUAGCCUUAGCUACACUUAUCUGAUCAAGUGACAAAGUGAUAAGUGGUAGCCUAGCUACACUUAUCUGAUCAGGGACAGGUGAUAAGUGAUCAUACGUAAGACCAUAGUUAUACUAUGGCAAAGUGAAAGUGAAGUACUCAAUUUUCCGUGACCGUUCCCUAAUUUGAUUAAGGAUGGUAAGUGACAAAUGAGCCCAAAAGAAUUAAAGUAAAUGGAUAAGUGGUAGUAUAUUUAUAUCAGGACGAUGUUGUUAUUCAAGCUAAAGUGAUAUUUUCAUUGCAAAAUUGAGAAUUUCAUAAAUGUGUUAUUGAAUGGUAUAAUCAAUAAACAUUGAGUUAAAUGGUAAAUACGUAAUAGUGUUGAACUUGAUGUCAUUGAAUUGUAUGUGAAUUAAAUGGAAAUUGCUAGUGAUAUGAUGUAAAUUGUGAGCAUGAGAAAUUGCGACUUGAAUGAAAUGGAAAUGAAGCAUUGAAUUGCAUGAGUAUGUAUCGGGUCUCAUAGGCCCUAAUUAUUAUGAUUAUAAUAUUUCGAGGAUAUAUUGUGAAAAGUUAUAGAAGCAUGUUAAUUAUUUUGAAAGUUUAAAUUUAUAUGAAAUUUUAUAACUCGGUUAAAUAUGCUUACAAGUGCAUAUGUUUUGGUGAUACCUCGUACCCUAUUUCGGCGUUGGAUACGGGUAAGGGGUGUUACAAGGUUACUUUGUUUCUCAAAAAGGCUAUGCAAGGAAUCUCUUGGAGCUUUUCGGUAUGGGGGAGUCGAAAGAAAAAGCUACUCCGAUGGAGCCGAAUUUGAAGUUGAAGAAAGAUGAUGGGAGGCCGUUGGAAGAUGCAAGGAAGUUUCGACAACUUGUUGGAAGCUUAAUCUAUUUGACCAUUACAAGGCCUGAAAUUUCAUACUCUGUUAGUGUUGUUUCUCAAUUUAUGCAAAAUCCAACAAUUAUUCAUAUGGAUGGAGCAAAGAGGAUUUUGCGUUAUGUUAAAGGAACUAUUGGUUAUGGUCUUCUAUACAAGAGAUGUGAUAGCUUUAUGUUGAGUGGAUUUACUGAUGCUGAUUGGGCUGGAGAUACAAACGAUCGUCACUCGACUUCGGGAUAUUGUUUCAGUAUCAAUUCAGCAAUGGUUUCUUGGUGUAGCAAAAAGCAAGGUGUUGUUGCUUUGUUGAGUAUCGAAGCCGAGUAUCUGGCAGCAACUAUGGCUGCACAAGAGUGCAUUUGGUUGAAGAGGUUGAUUGGAGACAUAUGCAAAGUUAAUUAUGCUGUAAAAAUCAAGUGUGAUAAUGAAAGUGCUAUUAAGCUUGCAUCGAACCCGGUUUUUCAUGCUCGAACGAAGCACAUCGAGGUUCGACAUCAUUUUGUUCGAGGAAAGGUUCUAAGUGAAGAGAUUGAGCUUGUAAACAUUCGCACCAACGAUCAAGUGGCUGAUAUUUUCACUAAGGCUUUGGUGAAGCCUAAGUUUCAUCAAUUUAGAGAUGCUCUUGGAGUUCUUGAUCGUAAGCAUGCACUAAGGGGGAGUGUUAAAAAUUAGUGCAUCUUACUAGAUUUUUUAAUUUACUUGUUUUCUUUAUCAAAUAAGUUGGUUCCUAUUUUAUAGGGAUAUGAUCAGAUUAUGUUUUGUUAGUUGAGAUUUUAGUGGGCUAUUAGUUGCAGGUUUUUUAGCUUUAACGUUACAUGUAGUUAAGCUAUUUAUAUGUCAUUUUAUCUAAUGUAAUUCUGUGUGUUUUUUUUUUAGUAAUCAAAAACAUUCUUCAAUACUUUGAGCUUUUCUUGUUAUUAUUUCUUUCAUUACCUCGGUCAUUCUUUUUUGUUUUACUCUCUACUAUCCAUUAUUAUCAAAAUUUCACAUCAAUUUCACAAUUUAUUUACUUUAGUUAUUAUGUACAAAAUUAACAACCAAACAUCACAAUUUAGUCAUUUUUCAUAAUUUAAGCUUAAAAUCUAUAAAUUUAACACCAAUUUCUUCAAGAAAUCAACCAUGAAAUCUAUAAAAAAAAUUUAACAGUUUUGCAAAUUGAUACAUAGGUUAUUUAAAUCAAACUCUCAUGACCUCAGAAACACAAAAAAAAUUAUACGAAAAUGAUUUAGAAAUGCAUACCAAUUGAGGACCGAAAGCUUGAAGCUCAAAAAUGGCUUUUCCCCUUGAGGUUUUAUGUUGAUUAGAUGAAGAAGAAGAAGAAAUAAAGAUGACAACUUGCACUAAGUCACCUUUAUAUACUUAGAUUAAAUCUUAAUUAAUCAAAUUUAAUUAAUUAAAUCUUAAUUAAUUAACCUUAAUCACAAUUAAUAAAAAUUGGUGGAUGUUAACAUCAUCCUACACUAUUUGAUAUAACCAAAUGAUCUAUUUACCAUUUUGAACCUUUAGCUAAUUAGAAAUCUAUAGCGAUAAGACUUUCAAAAUUUAGUCUCUGUAUCUUAAUUAAGCAAUUAAUAGACAAAGUUGAAGGUUUAAAUUUUAAUGUUCUAUUAUACCAACUCUGUAAAUAUUCAUAUUUAAUAUUUACAGACCUGAAUUACGAAAAUGAGAUUUUGAAAUUGUAUUUUCCAGUACCACUGAAAAUCGGACAAUUACGUAACCUAUUUGCACCAAUGGGCCAAACAUGGCAAAUACUUGACAUGUAUGUCUUAAUAUCCUCAUCUAUUCUCUUCAAUAUAAUAACAUCCAAUAAUUGUUCCAUCCACUGUAACUAUCACGAAGAUUAGAUUGACCAAUACAGCCUACAAUUUGAAGAAGCGCGAUAUUUUCAUUCUAGAGAAAGAUAUAAUUGAAACAAAAUUGAAAUAAAGAUUUCAAUACAGAAUCAACAGACAUUCCAGCUAAUACUUAUCAAUUAUUUGCAGCUUUAUUGCUCCAACUAAGAUGGUUUUUAGUCGAAUAUGGUAAAUGAAAUCAAUGAACACCAGCUACUUGAUGAACGAGUGAAUCAAAGUCCUGAUAUGUGCCGGCUUAUUGGUGAAAAAAUACAUGGGCUAGUUUUGCAGCAAUUCAUGAUCUUACAUUUUAUAACCUUUGCUUACAAUUAUUCACUGACUAAUCAUUCAAUGAAUGUAGGCCUCAAAUUUAGCCACUAAACUUUAUUCUUUAUUUUUAGAUACAUAUUAUUUGAUCACUUCAUACAGCCUAUUACUCAUAAUAACUUCCAAUUUCCCUUCUUUAGGUUAGUUGCAAAUGUACAGCUUUUUCUAGAAGAAGAAAAUUGUCAAGAGCCACCUGUUCAAGAGAGGCGCAAACAAAAUGUAAAAAUACCUGACCUACUUACGGUACAGCCAAGUAAUCAUGUCUUUCUAUGCUAGAUCAUUAAAUCAAUGACUACAAAUUUCAUGCCAUGGUCGUGUAUCAUUUAUGCCAUUGAUGCUGCUAUUUUCUAUUCUAAUGCAUAAUAGGGAUUUAGUGUUUUUACCGUUAAAAUUGUGUCCUUUAAUUUUGGCUCUUUUCAGUUGUUGAUCAUGUCCACCUAUGCUUUAUUUUACUACUAUUGCUUUCUGUAAUGAUAGAUGAUUGAAUCGGUAGAAUUUUAUUAAUCCUCAACAUGUUUUAUCUUGACAUAUGGAUCCUAAGCAUUCCUUGGAUUGUGCCCUUUUUGUUCAUUUAUUUUUUCUUGGAACCUUAUUACAUGUUGUACCACUCCAGCUUUUUGGAGACAAUGAAGACGACUAACUGCUGAAUUCUUUCUUCUGCAGAGGAACCAAUGGCACGAGACUCAAAAAAUCCUACUCUUUUUUAUACCUUCCUCACCUCUUUGUGACAUUAUAGCUGAAAAAUGAUGUAUGCUAAUACAUGAAAUGUUUCCUCUUGCCUUUCUUUUUGUAGUACUAAAACUACAAAUAGUGUUUGCAAAACUCUUUAGAGAAAAACAAAUGUCUGUAAAUCUCUUUACCCGUAAUCUUAUCUUUUCCUCAUUGUAAUAGUUGGAAAACUUUUUAUUUGAAAACGAUGUCAACUACUGGGAUAAGUUAUUGUAAGCAUCUUAAGUGUUUCAUAUUAAAAACAAACACUGUUAUUGUUUAUUUUGUAGUCUAAAUUAUGAUAAUUUCUGCACAAAAUUCACAUAAAUGGUUACCCUCCCGAAGCAGAGCGAGGGUGAUGCAUACUAGUUAUUAAGAAAACAGGACCUUGUAGGGCUUAACUGUUGAAUCAAGAAAGAAAUUUCUUUUAAUGCCUUCAAUUGUAACAUCCCGAUUUUGGGCCUAGUCGAAACAAUGGUUUCGGGACCACAAAUCCGAUGAGGAAAAUUUUAUUUUUACUAUAUUAUUAUGGCCUAUAAUUUCACGGAAAGAUUUCUUGAAAAUUUCGUUCAAAAAUUUUGACGUUAGGGCACUCAAUUUAGCCAAAAGGACUAAAUUGUAAAAAGUGCAAAAGUUGAGUUUUAUUGGUUAAAGGUACUUAAUUGCUAUGGAAUUAUAACUUAGGGGUCCUUAUAUGGUAAUUAGACCAUUAGUUAGUGAUGGACAAAAAUGAACAUAAGUGAAAUAGGAUUUUUUUUAUGUAAGGGUAUUUUAGUCAUUUAGUAAAUAAAUAGAAUUAAAAGGGAAAAAUAUGUAAAAAAAAUUGUGUUCAUCAUCUUUGCUAGGUGCCAAAAUUUGAAGGAAGCCAUAGCUAGGGUUUCUUCACUUUCUCAAGCUCAUAAUCGAGAAGAACGAAAUUUGGAGGUAGAUCGGGGAAAGAAAAAAAUUGAGGACUAAAGUGUUAGAUUUGAUCACAUUUUUGUACCGAGGUAAGUUUACAGUAAAUAAAUGCAAUAUUUCAAUAAUUAUUAUUAAUGCUGUAUUUUUUAGCAAUUAUGUAUUUAUUUCAUGAAUAUAUUUAAUGUUGACUCAAGUAUGAGAUGACAGAGAAUUAGUGACACAAGCCUCAUUGAAACACUAGGAAUGUAUUGGAUACAAAUGCCAUGACAUUUGGGUAAAGAGGUCCCAUGUAAGACCAUGUCUGGGACAUGGCAUUGGCACCGAGAUGAGAGGUCCCCCGUAAGACCAUGUCUGGGACAUGGCAUGGGCACCGAUAUGAGAACUCCCAUGUAAGACCAUAUUUGGGAUAUGGCAUUGGCAGUACAGGAAACAUCCCAUGUGAGACCAUGUCUGGGACAUGGCAUGGGCACCGAUAUGAGAACUCCCAUGUAAGACCAUAUCUAGGAUAUGGCAUUGGCAGUAUGGGAAACAUCCCAUGUGAGACCAUGUCUGGGACAUGGCUUUGGCAUGUUAUUAUCAGAUAUGAGACCCAAGUAUCCUUAUUAUUCCAAUGUGACUCAACGGGCUAGAAAACAGAUUAUGUUCUACGAAAGUUCAAGUAAAAGUAUAAUUAGCAACUUCAGGUGAGUUAUAAGAGUUAAGAACAUAUUAUGUUAUUAGUGAGAACCAAUAUUUUAGCAAGAGAAGAGUAAGUUGUAAUCUUAAGCUAUCUAAGUAGAUAAGUAAGUAAACAAGUAAAUGAGAGUCAGUAAAGAGAAAACUUAAGAACAUGAUACUUGUAUAUCAUUAUUUAUGUUAAAUGAUGUCAUUUAUUUAUUUGUAAACUUACUAAGCUUUAUGCUUACUUCUUUUAUUUCUUUUUCUUUCAUAUAGUAUUAUCAAGCAUAGUCGGGAUCUUGAAGACGUCGGAGAGUGUUCACACUAUCAACCACCACAACUCGGUAUUUUAAGACGAUAAAUAUUUUGGGCUAUGGCAUGUAUAGGGACUUGGUCAUUUCAAUUGUAUAUUCUUAAAAUAUGACCAAAAGAUGAUAUGUAAAUGCUUGAUGAUGAAUAGUUAUUAAAAUGGCUAAGUAUGAAGGUGUUUGUGGUUAUAAAUGUCUAGGUUAUAAAUUAUGCAUAGAAAUCAUGAAAGAGUAAAAAUUUGUAGUGAAUCAGUUUUGAGACAGCAGUAGUGACGUGAAUUUGAAAAAUCACCAAGGAUAGUAGAAAAUGAAUUAGAGAGUGGAUGAGAUAUAGAAUUAAAUCUUAUUGAGUCUAUUUUUAUAGAAAAAUAACAGUGUAGACAAAGAAAUGAUAUAUUCCGAGAUAUUUGCAUUUUAGUUAGACAAGGUCAAAGUUGUUUUCGGAAUCCCCUGUUCUGAAUUUGGAAAAUCAUUAAAAAUUGUAAAAAAAUAUUUAUGAGUUUUAAUUUAUAUGUAGAGAUUCCUUAUUGAGUCUAUUUUCUUUAGAAAGAAUUUAGAACACUAUAUGAAGUAUGUACAAUGAGAUAAUUUAAUUUUAGUGACAAGAGGUUAGGACAGUUGAUUAGUGAAACAGGGGAGACUUUAACUAAUAAACUGUACUAAUUGGCUAAACCAAAAAUUCUGAAAAGUUUACAGUAAAAAUUUAUAUGAGUCUAGUUUCAGGGAAAAUUUAUGGAUCUCAAUUUCAAGUUUCAUAGCUCGAGUUAUAAUUAAUUUAGUAACUAUUGUGCAAGUGAAUAGACUUACUAUGAACAGUGAAUUAACUUUUAAAACUAAAUUUUUAUGCCCCGAACUUUUAAGUUAGUCAAGUAACGCCUCAUGCUCGACUCCGGAAAUGGACUCGGUUAAGGGGUGUUACAUCAAUUUUUUUUAAAGCUGAUUUUUUUUUUUACGAAUUAAAGUUUUGAUUGUAUGUUAAUUGCUUGAGGGAAGGUCGGAUACUUUAUUAUCCCUAUUUUUAUUUGUUAUAUAUUUUAGCCAUAAUGAUUUUUUUGGCUCUACAACUUUACCAAAAAAAUCAUAUUAUCUUUCAUUUAAUUUUCAUCUCUUUUAACCCUUUAACUUGUAUUUUUUUAUCAAAUCACCCCAAAAUGGAUCGAAAACUUAACAUUUGUAAACUUUGAUGAUGUGGCAUACACAUUAAUUGUCACAUGGAUGACAAGUCAACAUUUUUUAAAAAAAACUUAAAAAUAUUAAAGAAAAUAUUUUUGAUAUUUUUAAUGAUUUUUUUAAUUAAAAAAGUUUUUAUAUAUUUUUAAUUUUUAAAAAUUAAUUAAACACAAACAUAGAAAUUCGCAUCUAUGUGUCACAGGCCACAAAUUAAAGCCUGCGACCAUUUCGCAUAGAACACCCCAUAGAGGUCAAUUUAUUAAACGUGGUUCAUUUGACCCGCAUGAACUGGCUCGAAUCGUGGAACCCGUAGAGAAACCCAUCUACUUUAAGCCUUGGUGGUCUAGUGAAAUACUCCAAUAAAACUAGAGUUACUAGGGUAAAUAAUGUAAAUCUUAAAUGGAUAAGAUUGUAUAGAGUUUAAAUUCCUUAUAACUCUCAAUUGUAGAUAAGCGGUAACAUUAAUCAUCGAUGUAACUCAAUCUGUAUCGUUGCUUCUAGGAAGCUCAACUAUAACUAGAGGUCUCCCUCUUCAUUUGUAAUCAUUCCAUUCAUAGUUGUGAAUAUAUUUGAGAGCAUUUACUCAAACACCUUGUGUGCAUUGCUUUUCUUUGGCUAUUCUGCUCUUUCGAGCUUCUGUCUUUGAGUGUCACAUCCCAAAAUUGGGCCUAGAAGAAAUAGGGGGAAAAUUGAGUUUUAAUUUUUUUUUAACAUAGGGUAAGGGAAGUAGAAUGCCUUAAAAUUAAUUUUUUGCUAUAAAUCUAAUAAGAAUGAGUUUGUUGGUUUAGUGCUAAGGUCAUAGCCUACCUAUAGGUUCCAAGUUUGAACCCCUUGGUGAGCAUUCAACCAAAAUAUUUUUAUUUUCUUGUUUUUACCGCACCAAAAGUGACGAAUUUUAAAAUAACCCAGCCCAAAAACUAUAUUUUUUUAAAAUUUAGUCCUUAAUUUAAAAUUUUUCCCAAACCUACAUAAAUUUUUAAAACCUAUUCCAAUUAGGAAAGAUAAGUAUUAUAAAUAAACAAUUUCAAAACAAACCCUAGAAUUUCAUCUAGCAAUUUUUCGAGAAAACAUCCAUAAACACUUUAUUUUCCAAAUCAAACUUUCAAGCGAAAGGAAUCGAAAUCUUCAAAAUCAUCCCUCAAGUAGAUCUUCAAUCUCUUCUCCAACACUAAGGUUUUAAGUCUUCAAAAUAGGUGUGGGAACUAAACCUAAAUCUUUGUGUAUAAUUGAAUCUAAUAGCAUGUAGAGAACCAGUAUUGGCGAACCCUAGGAAAACCCCCCUGUAUGUGCGAUCAUGUAGGUGCGAGCCUGUAGAUGCGAAACCCCUUACACAUGAAAACCCCAUGCAUGCGAACCCUUACGUGAAACCCCCCCUUUCAUGCGAACCCUGUAUGAAUACCAUGCAAACCCUAGGUUGUUAUGUGGAUACUCAUACUGUGAACACAUGUGCACAAACAUAUAGGAAUAUUCAUGUGAACCCUACUAUUAGAUGCGAACCCCCUUAUACGUGAAAACCCCCUUGCAUGCGAACCCUAGUUAGUAUACAUACGAGUCUCAUAUUUACAUGCGAACCACUACUAGUGCGAGUCAAUUAUAUGAUACCACAUGCGAACCCUACUAUUACAUGCAAACCUUUAUACAUGUUAUAUUCUAACUUUUUUUGUUAAAAUAGGUGAGACUUGUCUAGUAUUACAGACGACCCUACAUAUACCUAAUUUGCGAACUCAUAUGUUAAAAGUAUGCAAAACUAUCUAUGUUUGUUAUGUGAACUCACAUGUUAGCAGUAUGUGAACCUAUAUAUAUCAGUUAUGCCAACUCACAUGUUAGCAGUAUAUGAACCCAUAUGUCUGUUAUGCAAACUCACACGUUGGCAAUAUGUGAACCCUAUAUACACCUUUAUGCAAACUCACACAUUAACAGUAUGCGAACCCUAUAUACGCCUUUGUUGAUGUUAGUUCCCAUGCAUCUUGUGGUGCAGCAAUCGUGGCCAUGCAGGUCACAUGGAGAAAAGAAGCAGCACAUGAAGGCAGUAACUGGAGCUUGUGGAUGCUGUCCAAAUUCAACUUAUUUUGUUGGUUUGAUUUUAUAGUUUGUAACUUAGUUCUUUUGGAACUUUCUUGGUAAAACUUUCGAUGUAUUUUUUAUGUUGAUUGACUGAAAAUUCAGCAAAGCAACUUAUGCAAGCUAGUUUAGCAAUUUUCAAUGUAUUAAGUGGUGUUAGGUAAGUGUUUAGGUAGUAUUUUGACUUGUAAGCUUAACUCAUGUUUGAUAUAUGUAAUGGCAACUUGCCAAUGCCUUGUUAAUGAAAAAAUUCAGCUUGUUUUCAAUUUCUGUUCUUAAAAACAAAAAGGUUUCUACUUUGUUUCUUCUCCAAGUCACGAGGCUUGCUGACAAAGCAAAGCUAAAUCAGCUUGCUCACUGCCUUUGACUCCAACAGCCUUUAUACAAACUCACACGUUAGCAGUAUGCGAUCCUUAUAUACGCCUUCAUGCAAACUCAUACGAUUAGCAGCAUGUGAUCCCUAUAUUUAUGCGAACCCUUCUAAUAACAAAUAUGCGAACCUUAACUUGCGAACCCUAGGCAGGAACCCUACACUCGCAAAGCCUUCUUCUGAACCUGUACAUAUGCUAGAUAACCAAGCCUAUUAGUUUACGUUAAAUCACUGUACAUAUGAGAUUGUUUGUUUACUUGCACAAAUUAUAUGUGUAUUUACUAUUCGAUACAAGAGUACCUAUCGACCUUUUGAUGAGAAUUCAGAGAUUAAUGAUGAUAAUUCCAACAAUCGGUGGAAGAACAAGUUAAAUCGAGAAUUGGUGUAAUUUAAGGUAAUAAAGAUUAAAUUUUCAGUAAUAAAUAUAAAAUUGUUAUGGAAAGAAAUGAUGGGUAAAAAAAUGAGAGUUUUAAACAGAAGAGAGGAAAACUUCAAUUUAGGGUUGAAGAGGAACUAAAAAUCCAUGUGAAAUUAGGAAAAAAAUAUUAAAUACCUAGGAUUAAAAAAUUUGAGGGGGCUGAAUGGUAAAAUACCCUUUUUGCUUAAAAAUGAAAAGAAAUGGAAAUGGGGAUUGAGUUUGGCAUGACUUGAACCUUGGAAGCAAAGGAAAAAAUUGCAAAGGCCAUACCAUUUGGGUUGCUACCUACAUUUGGCAUAUUUUUACACUAUUUAAUAUAUAUCCUAGCUUAGUUUUGAUCAUAGGUUGUUGAAAAAAAAACAAGGGGUAAGAGUGUGGCUUCAACCUUAGUUCUCUAGUUAGUAUACUAAGCUCUUAACCAUUAAGAUUAAGGCUCAUCUCUUAGUCAAUUAAUUCAUCUAACUCUAUAUAUUUUGGUGUGUUACAUCUUGAAUUAAAAAAACCCAUAAAAUGCAUGUAGACUUGUAUUGCUUGGUACUUGGUAGUAUAUAUGUAGACUUGUAUGUUGAUUAAGCCACCUUAAUUAAGACCAAUGUGUUAGACUUGUCUAUGCAUUGAACAAUUUAGAAGAAAAUGAAGAAAAAGACUCUAAAAGCACUUGAAAACAGAUAAAACUCAUAUGUCAUUGACUAGUUAAAUGUGGUCACCCAUAAUAGACCCUGUAUUUGACUUUUUGUUGAGGGAGAUUGACUCCUUUGGGAGAAGUCUCCUGAGUGUUGUUUGUCAAGCAGUCAGGGUUGUCCUAAACAACUAAAGGUAUUGUCCCCAUGUCGAGAUUUUAUCCCUAGCCUCUGCAAAAUAAUCAUGGAGAAUAUGUGCGAGAGAAUUCAAACACCAACCAAUGCAUGUGUAGCCUUUACCUUGCCACCAUCUUUGGGAACCCAUAAGGAUAAAAUCCCAACGAGAGAAUAGUAUCAUCUAUUGAGGGGUCUGUCAACCCAAUAAAUGAAAUUUAAAUGCAUACUUUUUUUUUAAUGAAAGUAAAUAUCAUAUUUAAUUAGAGAAAAGCAAUGAAAAAUCCAACAAUAAAAUCCUUAGCAAAAGAUUAAAACACAAUUGUACCAUAAAUUAAAUAAGAAACUAAAAAAAUUCAAAUCUAACGAAGACAAUAACUUGAUUCCUCAAAGCCACCAUAAACAGUAAUUCAUACGAAGGCCUGUUGCUCAUUUUAUAGGUUUCCAUUUUGAUUUUGCAAAAGAAGUUUGAAUUCCGAAGCGAGCCUAGUACAUGAGAGAAAAUUGUCGAAACCGUCUUUUUGAAAACAAAAAUUUAGUUGUCGACUUUAAAAAUAAAACUGGAGUCGCCACCGAUCCUUUAUUAGGGUGUGAUCGGCUCACCUUAAAAAUUAUUUUGGUCUACGAGCUUUAAGAAAACGAGUCCGGGAGUAAGUUACGCAUGAGGAAGGGUUAGCACCCUCGUAACGCCCAAAAUCGGUACCAAAUCGAUUAUUUAAUGUCUUAGUGUCGUGGACUAAAAAGAAGUUAAAAAAACCAAAUGAUGAAAUCAGAAAAGGAUAAUCAAUUGUUCAAGACAUGUAAAGAAAUCGAGUCCCAAUACGUUAGGGUACAAUUUCUCAAAAUUCCCGAACUUUGAAUAUCGCUUUUAUUUUAUGCGAAAACAUUCAUUGUGAGAAAGUAACAUGCCACACCCAAUACGUUAGGACACGACAAGUUAAGUUCCAAAAAAUGAUUUUUAUACUCAUGCAUUUUGAAUAAAAAAUAUUCUCGAUUAUUUAAAAUUAACAAAGAAAAUCGGAACCCAAUACGUUAGGGCUCAAUUUUCUCAGAAUUCCAAAUACCGAAUUGUGCCUUUUAUUCGAAAAUUCUUAUUUCGAGAAGUCAAAAUAUCAUGACCAGUAAGUUAGGACUUGACAUUUUUUGAUUCCCGAGAACAAGCUUCUAUUUGAAAUUUGCAUGAAUUUAUUUCAAAAUAAAUACCUGGUUUUCUAAAUUCACCAAGAAAUAAUCGCAAUCCAGUAAGUUAGGAUACUGUUUUUCUCGAGAAUCAUGAAUGCCAAAUAUUUUGGAAUUUUAUAAAAUAUGAUGAUUUUAAUGCUUUGACAGAACCAAAAUAUAUUUUCUUUAAAAAGUGUAGAAAAAUACUAAUGUAUCACAUAAAAUCAAUAUUUUAAUUUUAAAUUAUAUGCAUAUAUGUAUUUUCAAAAUAUAAGUAUGAUACAUAAAUAAAUUUUGAAAAUAUAAGUAUGAUACAUAAAUAAAUUUUGAAAACAUGUAUAUGCACAUAUUAAAACAAGUAUAUAUAAGUAUACACAUAUAAAAUAAAAUAAUGAAUGAGAUAUGUAUAUCAAAAUAAAAAUUAUCAAAAUUUCUACAAAAAAAAAUCAUGUAUGUAUAUACGUAAUGAAAAUUGUAAAAAUAAAAAUAAAAAAUAUGCAGAUGUGUAUAUAUUUACAAAAAAAAAUUUAAGUAUACAUGCUUUAGUAAAACAGAAAUAAUAAUAGUAUAUGAAGAAAUUAGGAAAAUGUGUAUAUAGAUGUACAUAUAUAAAAAAAAUGCAAAAAUAUAUUUACAAUAAUUUUGAAGGGCGUACGUGUAUAUCAAUAUCUAUUUAUGCAUAUAUAUUAUAAAAUAUGAAAGAAUAUAUAACUAUAAUAGAAAUAUAAAUGUAUAUACGUAUAUAUGUAUAUAAAAGCUAAAAAAGAAAUAAUAACAAUAUAUAUAUAUAUAAAUAUGUAUAUGUAUUAGAGAAAUAUUUAAUAUAUAUAUCUAUUAGCAUACAUAUGCGUAUGUAUGUAAGUAUAAUUAUAAUACUAUAUAAUAUAAUAAUAAUAAUAAUAGUAAUAAUAAUAAUAAUAAUAAUAACAAAAACUACAAAAAAAACCUUAAAAAGCACCAUUAAGGAUUAAACUGAGAGCUAAACGAAGUUAAAAGGCCAAAUUUAAAAAUAGAAAACACCAGGAAGGACAAAGUGAUACGCGCGCCAUGAGAGGAGGACUUAAAAAACAAUUUUCCCAAGUCGCUGAAGCACUGUGCAGUGACAUGGAUUAAAUCGUCACGCGAGCAAAAUAUUUGGGCCGAAUUUAAAAAGGAAAAAAAACUUGAUUGAAACACGUAGCAAAAGGGGAAGGGCUAAAAUAUAUAACAAAAAAACACAAAAAGUCAAUCUGGUAAAUCGAUGUUGGGUACUCUAAUUUUAGGAUUCAGAAGGCUUAAGAGUGUUUUCGCAUCAAAAUCGUACUAGGUGUGUCCCCAAAACACAAAAAGUCAGGUUUCGAUAAAAGCCGAAAAUGCAUCCAGUCGAUGCCACACGGACGUGUGCCUGGUCGUGUGGCUAGCCGUGUGUGAGACACGACCUUGUGGUGGUGUGAGUGUAGCGGUAUGGGCCACACGGGCUAGGCCAGUCUGGGCAUAUAGGCCCACAAUUUUAAAAUUUUCCUUAAGGCCACAUGGUUCGUUUCGAAUGAUUGUGGACCUACCAUAGGGUCGGUAAUGGCUAAUCAAACACUAAAUUAUGUGAUAUGAUAUUUUGAUAGUCUGCAUUGUGUAGGAUAUCGAUAUGUACAUCUGUUCUAUUUAAGUAUAUAUAUGCUAUCUGUAUAUGAGCAUGUUAUGCAUAAUAUUACUGUAUCUAUUAUUUCUAUAUUCUGUAUCUGUGAUUGUGGUGGGUUUUGUAUAUGUAGAGGAAGUGAUCUGUAUGGUGACACUUCCCUUAUAUUCUGGCAGUUGAUUGUAUAUUAUCUGUAAUGUGUUGUAUUGACACUAUAUGGUGUGUAGGGAUGGGUAGGUGUUUUAAACCUCAUAUGGUGUGAUGGGAUGGCCGAAGAUGUUGUGUAGAGGAUGGGGGUAAGAUUCUACAUAUCUGUACUACUUAUCUCAUUCUGUUAUCUAGAUUUGGAAUGGAUAUAAGUCCGAAUCUGGAUCUGACUGUAUAUAAGACUUCUGUUUGUAUUGCAUGUCUAUUUUUGUUGGGUUACACACUGAGUUUAUGAAAGCUCACAUAUGUUUGUCUGUUCUAUUCAGGUCUAUAGACUUAGGCGAAUCAGUGUGACGGAGCCUCACAGUGACCACGAGAUCGUAAACUGUUUAAGAUUAUGGUUUUUAUUUAAUUUAAGGAUUAUUUCUAGAAGUUUGUAAUAAUUGGACUUUCUAGACUAUUUGACUUUUAUUUCAAUUUUGGAGGCAUUUUAACUUUUAUGGCCACGUUUGACCAAAAUCACGGUUUUACUAAAAUAAAGGAUUUUCUAAAUACAUGAAUUAGAUUUCCAAGAUUCAAUGCUUUUUGAAAACUUCGACCUUAGAUUAUGUAUUGGAAAAUUAAUUAAUUAAAUAACGCUUCUAGUAACAAAUAGUACACUUGGGGUAUUUAUCAAAUGACUAAAUAAAGCUUUAUCAAAAUAUCACUGUUUUCAAAACCAUUCCAUGUAACACUCUUGGAUUCAGCCACAAUGUCUAGGCCGAGAUUAGGGUGUUACAUUUAAUGCUAUCAGAGCCAGGUUGCAAAACUCAAGCUAUGAAUUUUGGGUUUCAAAAAUUAUAUUUUGAAAAAGAACAGGUUUUCAAAUAAUUUGGAUCAUUCUGAGUAAGUAUGUGGUACACUGAGUCUAUGGUAUUGAUCCUGUAAGUACUUUUGAAAUUAGAUAGAACUUUCUGAAAACAUUGUAGUUAGUACUUUCUAAAACUAUACUGAAUUAGUUAAAAAUAGAAACCUCUGAAAUAUGUUCAAACUUCUGCUAAUUUGAGCAUAAAAUAUCUGUUAAUAAAGAUUGGAACUGAUGCAUAAAAUUUUGUAAUGUAGAUAAAUUUGAAAAUAUACGAUGAGCAAUUGUGGAACUCACGGUCAUGGUAUUCGUGGGCGCGUAGGGUCGUAGGGGGCUGGAGCUGAGUCUUUUUCUCUGGGCAGUAUGCCAAACUUAGAUAUGAGUGAGACACCGGUUUCACCUGCCAUUGAGACAAGGUCUCAAAGUCGCUUGGCUAGGGACGACGCACUGUCUCAAGCCAUGUUGAGGGUUUUGGAGAGGGUCACUAGACCUCAUUCUGGAUCUGUGGGUCGAUAACUGAACGACUCCGAUCCAAUAGAGCUGAGCUGUUUAGGUGUGUCAUUGGAGUCACCCCUACUGUGGCCGAGUAUUGGUUGGAGGCCACUGAGAGGAUUAUGAACGACAUUGACUGUACUCCUAAGUAGAAACUUAAGGGUGCAGUCACUUUACUUUGUGAUGAGGCAUAUCAAUGGUGGUUGUCGAUUGAGGAGGGUACUCAACGGGACUGUCUGAACUGGGAUUAUUUUAAGACUACCUUCUAGGGGAAGUAUGUGGGUGCGAGCUAUGUUGAUGCUUGUAGGCGUGAGUUCAUGAAUCUCACGUAAUGUGAUAAAUCUGUGGCUGAGUACGAGGUUGAGUUUCUGAGGUUGAGCCGCUACGCUUGAGGCAUAGUGGCGACUGAAUAUGAGAAAUGCAUAUGUUUUAAGGAUGGCUUGAGGUAUAAUCUGAGGGUAUUGAUUGCUCCACAGAGGGAGCGAGAGUUUUCAGUUCUUGUGGAUAUGGUGAAGAUCGCCAAGGAGAUUAAAUGCAUAGAGCGCUAAAAUAGGGAUCAUGAGUGAGGCAAGAAUAAGAGGGAUUCAGAGCCCUCUAGUUCUGUUUAGAGGCCUAAGAAACAGGUCAGACCUGAUUGGCUUGUUAGAGUAGGGGUUCCUAUUGCUUCUACUAGGAUUUAGCCAUGUGGUGAUUGUUUUAGGCGCCAUUCAGGUGAGUGUUGGAGGAGGUUAGAGGCUUGCCUGAGGUGUUGGUAUUUGGAGCACCACAUUAGAGAAUGUCCACUCCAUACGGAUUAGAUGCAAGCUUCAGGACUGAGUUUUAUAUAACCUCAGAGGGCAGUUCAACAGCCACCUAGGGGCCGUGGUCCGACUAGGGGUGGUAAUGGUAUGGGCCGAGGACAAAGAGCACUGGGAAAAGGUGUUAGUCAAACUGAGGCAAGGCAGCCUGCACUGGUUUAUGUUGCUUGAUGCCAAGAGGAUAGAGACGCUCUUGAUGUGAUCACAGGUACGUUCUUUAUUUUUGGUGUUCCAUAUACUACUCUGAUAGACAUAGGUUCUACUCAUUCCUAUGUAGGUAGUACUAUUUCCAAAAAUUUAUUGAUUUCUGGUGAGGGUACUUCUAGUGAAAUUAUUGUACUGAGUCCGUUGGGGCAGUCUGUUCGAGUAAGUAGACUUUAUAGGAAUGUACAUUUGGAAGUACAAGGGAUUGUGUUUUUGGCAGAUCUGGUAAGGGUAGUUCUAGUGAAAUUAUUAUACUGAGUCCUUUGGGGCAUUCUGUUCGAGUAAGUAGACUUUAUAGGAAUGUACCUUUGGAAGUACAAGGGAUUGUGUUUUCAGCGUUUUAUUCACAUAAAAGCAGCAAAAUUUAGCGGCGUUGUCUACAGCGGCAUUUUUUACGGUGCUUGUGAAAGCGCCGCUAUAGGCCUAAAAACACCGCUAAAAGCUUGUUUUGCUGCAGUGAAUUAAUAUUAUUAUAAGUGUAUUUUCACCUUUUCAUACUUUUAUAUAAUCUUUAAGUAAAACGAUUGAAAAUUAUUAUUUGAGAAUCAAACACAAGAGUAACAAUAUUCAUAUAGAAAACGCUUACCACUCCACUAAUAAUCAUUUGUUGAUGUAUUUUUGGUAAAAAGACCCCUCCAAUCCCUCUUAAUUUCACAAUUGCUCAAAUUAGUCCCUCUCAUAAAAAUUGGAGCAAUUUAAUCCCUAUCAAUUUUGAAAGUGAGUAACUAAGGACAAUUAAUUAUGGUGUUAAAUUCUUCCAUCAAUUGUACAUAAUUUUGAUUGGUAUAAGAAUAAAUUUAGCCUUCAAUGUUUAUAUAUUUUGUCAUUUUGGCCAUAAUUUAAAAAAAAUUCAAGAAAUUGAACCUCAACAUUUACAUAUUUACACAAACGUUGCGGGAAAAUUUUGUUAAAUUAAGACCAAAUUGCAAGUGUAAGUUUUGAGGGCUAAAUUUAUUAUUAUACCAACCAAAAUCAUGUACAUUUUAUGGGAAAUUAACAUCCUAAUUAAUUAUUCUUAGUUACUCACUUUCAAAAUUAAUAGGGACUAAAUUACUCUGAUUUUUUUAGGGUGACCAAUUUCCUCAAUUUGGAAUUUGAGAGAGACUAUUGAGAUCUUUUACAUAUUUUUUUAUAAAUAUAUAUAUUUAAUAUAAAAUAUAUUUGUUCACACACAUCGUGAGUAUGAUAAAAUAUUUUUAUUGUUAAUUAGUUGGUGUCAAAAAUUAACUCGACGCCAACUCAAUAUUAAUGAUAACAAUAUGAUAAAUAAUUGAUUUAUUUAAUAUUCUUAAUUUAACAUAUUGAUAUAAAUUUUAAGACAUGCUUGUCUUGAAGAAUUGUGAUUAUACUUUUCGAGUAUUGACUCAGUUUUCCACAAUUGUGGGUCUCUAUUUAAGACAAACAAUUUCAACAUUUCUUCAUAUUGUUUAAUCCAAAUGCAUUAAGGAUUUUCUUAUAUCAUUGUUUCAAAAAUGAUAAAAAAAAACAACGUCGACAUUGAAUUUGCUGUUUCACAUUCAAUUUUUGGAGAAGUAGAAUCUUCUAACUUAUUUUCCAUCAACUUCACUUCAAUUUUCAAUCACAAUCAAUUGCAUUCAAGAGCACCACAUAUUUUUUGGAUGAAACAAACCUAUCAAUUUUAAGAUAAACGGGUCUUUAGGGUUAUUAAUUGAGGGCCUUUUCCACAAUUGUCAUCGUUAAGCAUUUUUCAAUCUUGUCUACUGUGAAUAUCGUUUUUAAGCAUUUUUCAUUGAAAUAACGAUUAAUAGACAAAUAAUAUUCAAGUAAAACAAUUUUUGUAUAUUGGUUUGAAAGGUUUUCUAAAUAGUACAAGGACCUGAAACAGAACCACUGGACAAAGCUAACCAAAUCUAAGAGUUGGAAAUAUUUGGGAAUGAAUAGUUUAAAUUGUGAUUAUUUCUUCGGGUUCCUGUCAAAGAUAUCAGCUGAGCAAGAAGGCAGGGUAAUGUGCCAAUGAUAGAACCUUGAUGAACAACGAGCAAAUGUCAACCUAAGCAUUAAAAGGGGAUCAUUCUCAAAAAAUGACAUUCUACAUGUAACGCCCCAAAAUUUUAAUUUUGGGUAUUGUGAAUGUAUGACACAAAUAUCUGUCUGCUUUAGUGGUUAUGUGUUUUGGGUGUGUUUGGGAGGUCUCAAGUUCAAGUCAAUACUUGGGCAAAUUUUGGUAAUUUUAUGAAUAAGCCCUAUCUCUGGUUAUAGGCUUUUAAGUAAAAGUUGGCAAAUAAUUAAUAGAAUGGGUCUGUUGGUCUAGUGGUUAAGUGGAGUGUUGGUGUGAAGAAGGUCAUGGGUUCAAAUCUUUGGGACGGCAAGGUAAGUCGUUUUACUCUCCAUCUUUCUGACGUUUUCUCUCCCCCAUGUCUGCCGAAUUUUUUUUCUUUCUUCUUUACUUGUUACUCGGUUAUCUUUUCUUUUCUUUCCUCUACUACUGUCGAAAUUCCCUUGUUUCCCCUAAACCAUUCUUUCCUCUUGAUUUCGUAGCUUUAAGCAGCACUUGUUCAAAUUUAGUAAGUUGUUGGGUAUCAUUUUAAGAUAUUAUUUUGUAUUCAAUAGUCUAAUUUUGGGGUGUUGACAGUAGCAUUUCACGAGGAUUAAGGCUCUCCUCGUGAUUUUUGCAACGUACCGAUUUUAAGUUUUGCGGUAAGUGUUCAUCAUUUUAUGGGUAAGUAUUUUGGUUUCGGGAUUUUAAUUACUCACAAGGUAAGACUGAUUAUGGUGUUAUUUGCUCAAUUAUACGCUUAGGAGUGCUCGGGGACUAUUUUAGCAUCAAACAAAACCAAGUGUGCACCCGAAUCGCAAAAAUAAGGGAUUCGGCGAAAAGCCGAAAUUGCUUGCUGUUUGGACAGCAGCAGUAGGCUAACUUUGAAAAAUCAGCAUAAAUUGUGGAAAUCGAAUUAGAGGAUGAAAAAAAUAUGAGAUUAAAGCUUAUUGAGCCUAGUUUCUCAUAGAAGAAACGGUGUAAGUAAUGAAAUUGUAAAUCGUGAGUUAUAAUAGACUUAGUGAGACAAGGUCAGAAUGAAUUUGGGUUCCCCUGUUUUGACUUUGGAAAAUUAUCAAAAAUUGGAGAAAAAUAAUUAGGGGUUAAAUUUUACAUGCUUAAACUAUUAAUGAGUCUAUUUUCAAUAGAAACAAAUGAAAAUGUCAUCCAAAUUUUGUACUAAGAGAUAACUCAUUUUUAGCAAAGAAGAGUCAAAGUUGUCAGACAACAGAAAAGGGAUAAGUUUAAAUAUUUUACUGUACUUAUUAGCUGAACCAAAAAUUUUGGAAAUUUAUGGUAGAAAGUUAAUUGAGUCUAGUUUCAAAGACAUCAAACGGAUCUUAAUUCGGAAUUCUGUAGCUCAAGAUAUAAAUUUAUGUUUAUCUUAUUAUCUUUCUUAUUUUAGAAUUGAUUACAUGAAAGUUAAUUGCUAAUAUUAUUAGUUAAUUAUUAGUUUUCUUCAAAUCAAAUUAAACCCCGAAAGGUAUCUCUUUUUUUAUAUUAGUUUUAGUUAUCCAUUAAAUUUGUUUCUUUGUAGUAAAAUUAAAUUAUAGAAAUAACAUUAAAAUUUUAAAUAAAAAUAAUUCACAAUAAUUUAUUAUUUAAAAAACGCCCUGAAAUUUAAAAUUAUUGCUAUAAAUAUAUCAUUAAAUUAUACAGAAUUUAAUUUUUCUUUCAAAUACUAAAGUUAAUAAGGAAAGAGAAUAUAGUACAUAUCAAUAAAACUAUUAAAAAAGAAAUAUUGUUUAAAAUCAAUAGCGUCUAAAAAUUGUCAGAAUGAAAUAUUUGAUUUUAUAAGAUUUCAUUACUCUAAAAAAAUAAAAUAUGACAAUGCUUAAAAAUUUUAUUAAAAAAAGUUUUAAAUUUUAUAUAAAAUUUUAAAAAAUAAAAAAUAGUACUAAAAAUUUUUAUAAGCAAAUUUAAAUAUUAAUUAGUAAAUUUUUUUGUAAUAUUUAUAUGUAUUUUCAUUUUUAUAAAUACUAUUAAAACUUUUUAAAAAAAAAUUGAAUGCUAUUUAAAAACAUUAUUAAAAAAUAAAAUAUUAUAUGAAAGUUAAAAUGACCUAAAAACAUAUUUUAAAAAUUUAAAUACUUUAUACAAUAUUUAAAACUGCUUAAAAUUUCUAAACCCUAAAAAAUAAAUAAAAUAUAAUUUUUUUCUAAGAAAUCAAUAAAAAUAUAUUUAUAAUUGAACUGUCAACAAAAUUGUGGGAAAUAUUUAAAUUUUAUGAAAUUUUAAACUUAAACUGUCAAUAAUAGAAAAUUGCCUGAGUGACUUGGGAUAAGAGGUUCAACAUUUCUGGAUCGCAUUGCAUUUAAGGCGGGUCUUUAGGGUUAUGCUUUAGUUUUUUAGAACAUUUUCCACAAUUUGCCAUCAUUACUUGUGAGUGAUUUGUGGGGUAAGAGGUUGAACACUUCUGGAUCACAUUGCAUUUAAGACUGGUAUCAUUCAUAAAUUAUAUAUCUACAACAAGAAUGGUAGCCUCUUAUAUUAUAUUCAUGUAUCUAUUUUGCAUCUUUCAUUAUAAUAUGAUUUAGUAAUUUUAAUAUUUUUAUAGAAUAAUAUGCUUUAAUUUUUUUUGUAUCAUUCAUAAAAAUUAUAAUAAACUUACAAAAUGAUUUAAUGAUAUUUAAUUAUUAACGGAAAAAAUUUAUAUCAUAUAUAUUCUGUAUAUAUUAAGAUUUUGAAUGAUUAAUUAUAUAUCUACAUAUUAUAAUAAAUUCAUCUUUCAAAAUUUUCCUAAACUAUAUUCAUAAUAUUAUAAAUAUAUUAUAUCAUAAAUAUUCUUUCAAAUGUUUUUUAAUGUUUAAUAAUAAGUUAAUUUAUAAAAUAUUCUUUCAAUAAAUUAACGUGAUGAGAUCGUUAGGUGCUUGGAUUUGGUGACGGGGACGAGGAGAAAAGGGAUGGAAGUGAAGAGAAAUGUUGGGAAAUUGAAAGGGUUAGCAAGGGAGGCCUCCGUGAAAGGUGGUUCUAUAGAUGUGAACCUUCAAGCUUUUGUGGAUGAUGUUGCUCAAGGUUGUUGCAAGUAAAUUUAAAAAUAUUUUUUUAAUUAUUUUUUGUUAAAAAAUAUUUUUUUCUAUGUAGCAUGCCACAUUAGCAUACUACCAUGUGGUAACUUCUAGUGAUUUUCGUAUGUAACAUUAGACAAAUUAAUCGUUAAAUCGUUCAACUGACAGAUUUCGUUAAAGGAAGAGGUCAAUUGAUUUUUUUGGAAUCAUUGAGUACUCAAUUGGUGCACUAUUUUCAUAAAGACUAAAUUAAUUUUUUUAAUUUGUUAUCGCUGAGGGCUACAGUAAUAAAAAAUUUUGAGGUAAAAUUAGAAUAACGUCCCAAAAAUCUUAUAUUUAAUUUGUAAAAUUUUACCAUUAAUAAGUAUUUGUUUUAGUGGUUAAGUAUUUGAGUCGUGUUUAUAAUAUCUUGGAUUCAAGUCCCUACGUGAAUGGAUUGUUUUUUUUGUUUUUAAUUUUUGCAUGGGUCGGGUAGGUGGUUGAGUUUGAGUCCAUUUCGAACUUUGGAAAAAGGUGGUUAGUUAUCUGAGAUGGGUUAGUGUUAGUAGAUUUGGAUUUGGUUUAUUUUAAAAUUUAUUAAUUAAUUUGUUAAAAAAUUAAAUUAGUUUUUUCCUAAUUUUUGGCUCACCAUUCUUUCUCUUGUUCUUCUUUAUUCUUUCUUUUUCUGCUACCUUUCAAAUCACGUCGAUUUGUUCCUAUUUUGCUUUUGAGUUUUUCUUUUCUUUCCUUUACGCUCCUCUACGAUCGUGUCUUAAUUCCUUCAUUAUUUUCUCGUUGUUGGCGUUGCUCGUUCGAGAGUGGGUUAGUUUCCGUUUUGAUGUGUUUUUACGAGGUUAGUAAAAGAAAUGCGUUAAUUUUUGGAUUAUGGAGUUGAUCGUUUUUAAUCAAUUCUCCAGUAAGUUGACUCCUUUGCUGUUGUUAUGUGCUAGGUUAAGAGAUUAAUUCUGAUUUGGGCCUGCGUGGUUGUGUAGAUUUUCCAUGUGAAUUCGUUUGGUAUUUUUAGGAUAAAUCAUUCUUUAAGUCGUAUUGCUACCAUCGCUAAUGUGAUGUUUUAAUUUAUGCAUUUAGGAUUUGGUAGUUUUAUGGGUGUUUUCGUAUAAAAAUCAAACCAAGUGUGUAACGAAAAACCCGACAACAACGAGCGACGAAAGUCAAAAAAUUGCACUGUCGACACCACACGGCCGUGUGUCGGGCCGUGUGACAAGCCGUGUUUCAGACCGUGUGCGACACACUGUUUGGGCUAGUUAAGCCGUGUGGAACACACAGGUGUGUGUGAGGACGUGUGCCACGCCAUGUGAGCCACACGGGCUGGCCAUUUAGGCCGUUUGAGACCAAAAUACUAAGGGCACGUUUGGUUUGCUGUAUUGGAUUAGAGGUGUAUUGGAUUAGAGGUGUAAUGGAAUAGAUGUGUAAUAGCAAAUCAACUGUUUGGUUGAAUGUAAUGGAAUAGAGGCGUAAUAGUAAAACUGUGUUUGGUUGAAUGUAAUAGAGGUGUAAUAGCAUAAUGGAGAAAACUAAAAUGACCAGAAUACCCUUAGCAUAAAUUUGUUUUGGUAAAUGAUUAUUGUUAUUGUUAUUUAAAUUUUAAUAAGAUUAUUUAUUAUCAAAAAUAAAUAAUUUAAUCAUAUUUAAACAUAAUUAUUAUUUAAUAUAUUUUAAUUAAAAUAUAUAAUUUAAUAAAAUUCUUAAUAAUUAGCAGAAAUUUGUUUUGGUAAAUUAUUUUAUUUAAAUUUUAAUAAGAUUAUUAAUAUCAAUAAUAAAUAAUUUACUCAUAUUUAAACAUAAUUAUUAUUAAAUAUAUUUUAAUUAAAAUAUAUAAUUUAAUAAAAUUCUUAAUAAUUAAUAUUCUUAUAUGAAUUUACUCAAAUCAUAAUAUAUGAUACUGUAAAAUAUAAAUUAAAAUAAUAAUUAUUAAAUAUAUUUUAAUUAAAAUAUAUAAUUUAAUAAAAUUCUAAUAAUCAAUAUUCUUAUAUGAAUUUACUAAAAUCAUAAUAUAUGAUACUAUAAAAUAUAAUUUGAAAUAAUUAAUAUUAAAUAUAUUUUUAUUAAAAUAUAUGAUUUAAUAAAAUUUAAAAUAAUUAUCUAGAUUCAAAUUUAAGAAUUAUUUACAUGAACAAAAAUAUAAUAUUUGUUUCUAAGUUAAUUAUUUUAAUAAAAUAAUUAAAUAUUUAUAUAACGGUGUUCUCAUCUUUUGGUAUUUUUAUAUGCAAUUUUAAAGAUUGAAUCCAAACUUAAAAGAAUAUUUAUUUGUAAGCAUUUCACCGGUUUACUUCAACUCAAUUAUUGAUUAAUUUUUAAUAAACAUAAAUUCAAUCACUAAUUCUCUUGGCUCCUCUGUUUCAAUAUAUGAAACAUGACUCAAUCACUAAUCCUCAUAACUCAAAGGUGAGCCAGAUGGUCCAUCAGGGGGUGCAGAAGCAGCAUGAGUCAAAGCAACUAUGGCAUUUUUCCAGAAAGAGGAGCCAAGAGAAUUAGUGAUUGAUCUUAACAAUGGCAGAUCAUUAAGAUCCCGGGUCUGGCUGUCCAACCGAUCAACAUAGACUACAACAUCGGGGGGACACUUCUUUAUGUAUUGCUUUAUAGAAGCUAGGACUUUGUGAUUGGCACCUUGCUCCAUGGCAGAAGAUUUCAAACCUGGGGUAUCAAUGAUUCUCAGUUUAACACCAUCUACCAUUCCAGUAAUCUCUUUCACUACUGUAGUGGCAGGUUCAAAUGCAUGAAUUGAGGUCUUUGACUCACCAAAGAUUGAAUUUAUUGUGGCACUCUUGCCCACCCCAAUCUUCCCAAGCACAAGCAUGUUUAUGGAGAAGCUUAAAUCAUCUUUACCCUCUGUUUCAAGUUCCAAAGCUUUCCUCUUCGCAGAAUCAACACUAAACAGUUCACUGGUUUGUCUCCUUGCAACAUGUGCCAGUCUAUAAAGAACCUGUGCUGCUAAAGAAUCUUCAGUAGAAAGUCCGAGCCUUUGAAGAAUCCUCAAAAAUUUGACUCUUAUAAGCUGUAACUUUUCCAAUUUUAUUUUAUCUUCUUCUGUCAAGUUGUUGUCAGAAUCUCCCCUACUUGUUACAGCAGGACUAAAUAUGUUAGGCCUGUUUGAUCGAGGUGCGGAUGUUGCAUUUUGCAGUGAGGAUCCUAAGCCUGCAGGACGUUCAACAGUGAAAAGCCUAGAUCCAUCUUGAGAGGUUAUAGUAAUGUUGCCGCCAUCAGAGCCAGCACCAGUUGCUGCUUUCAAGAGGGCUGCCAAAGCAGCAGAAUCAAAUAACUCCUUCCCCUCUCCUUCUUCAUCCGUAUCCCCUUCUUCAUCUGAAUCAACAGCAUUUGUCUGUAUAUGAUUAUGAGAAGUAUCAGCACCCGAGUGAGAACCAAUGGCAGAUCCUCGUUCUAGCUCCUCCAAGAAUUGCUUAGCAGCUUCAGCAUUCUUAAAGAACAUACUUUCAGCCUCUCCAUCAGUCUCUGAGCCUUCAUUCUAAUGCUGCUUCUCUUCCAUUUCACCUUCAAAACUAACUUUUCCAGCCACUGUAGUUUGCUCUACUGACUCAGGCCAAUGAGAUUCUUCUCCUGGCAGGGUUACUGACCUUUUGCUUUGAGAAUCACUAUCUAAAUUCUCUGUUUCAUGAGCUGCCAUUAUUUCUGUAGGUUGAGCAGAACUAUCCUUUGCCUGAAUUCCAUCUCCACCCCCUCCAUCUACUUUCUCAGCAAAUGCUUGUUCCAAAAUAUCUAUGAUCUCCUCAUCUUUGAGAUCAUUUAGCUCAGUCCCAGAAUUGUCUUUACCAAGCAUAACCCCACUGGCAAUAUCAGCUUUAUUCUCAGCAUCAACAGCCAACUCGUCUCCGCCGGAAAACUUCGAACCAUCAGCAUGAUUCAAGCCGUUAUCCAAGCUCGCAUUAUCGUCAACUGGAACCACCUCUGUCUCCUUCAUCACCAAUGUCUCAAUGCCUAAAGCAGCUCCAGUCAAAGGUUUCGCAUCGACAGCCAACUCCUCUUCGCCAGAAAAUUUCGAACCAUCGACUUCAACUACCUGAUGAUCUACUGUUUCUACAAUCAUAGGAUUGAAACCCUUAGCUCCACCAUCUAACACCAAAUUAUUCUCAAAAAUCCCAAUUCUACCUUCCUCUCCACUUUCCAUUGAUAAAACAGAUUGGUCGACUUCUCCAAUGGAACCCAUUUCCACCUUAUCGUCCUUUUCACCAUUACCAACACUAUCAACAUCAACCUUCCCCAUCGAACCCUCACCUCUAUAUUCCUCUAAACCAUUAUCGCCAUCCCCAAACGAGUCCUCAUUCAAAAUCACAUUCGAACCAUCAGAACCAACAAAAGGGGCAUCACUAACAUCCCUCACGGUCGGAAUUACUUCAUCAGGGUCAGCCAUAAAUGGCCUCUCGGGUACUGUUUCAAACUUCCCCUCACCAUUCUCGUUACUAUCAUUAGUUUUACCAUUCCCAUUAUCUUCCAAAGUACGUUCACUUACUGAACUAGUUACAAACUCAGAAUCAUCAUUCGAAGUUAAAGAAGAAGAAGAGGAAGAAGAACCUGGAGAGGUAGAGAGCGACUGAGAAGUGAUUUCCGGGGCAGAAAGCAAGGCGUCCAUGGUUGAAAGAGAGGAAAGGGAGAUAGAGAGAAUUGGGUUUUAGGAUAUGGAAUGAAUUUUGAGUGGCACACAGAGGGAGCAAAUCGGCAGAAAGGGUAAAACAGGGAGGGGAAACCGAAGGGGCAACUAAUCUGCAGAAAAGAGGGGGAUUAGAAAUCGGUGGUUUUCACCGAUUAGGAAGGUAAAGGAUUACACCCGUAUUAGAAAUACAUCAAACCAAACGAUGGAAUACAGUCGCAUUAGGUGGGGCCCACCGAUUAGGGGUGUAUUGGCUAUGCCAAUACACCCAACCAAACAUGGUGUAAAUUUUUCCCUAGGGUUAUACACAUCGUUAUGAUCGAUCGUAGGCCUUUCGUGGGGUCGAUAUAUAAUCAAAUAGACUGUAAAGUAUGAAAUCCGGUCAACUAAUAGUAUAAAUUCUGAUAUCUGUUCAUAUAUUUGAGAUGUUAUUUGUUCAAUAAACCUUGUAAUAGGCUAUGAGAAACUUGAGAAAUAUUAUGUAUGCUUUGUAUCUGUUAUGUCAUACAUGUAUAAUGUAUUAUGUCUGAUUUUGUUCUAUUCUUUUCUGUAUUUGCAUCUGGGGUGGGUUAUAUUAUGUGGAGGAAGCGUUUCUUUGAAUGGCGAUAAUUCGCCUAUUACACUGGCAGCUCAGCUACAAAUAUUCUGAAAAGUGUCAUAUCAACACUAAGUGGUGUGCAGGGCUGGAUGAGUGUUUCAUACCCCAUAUAGUGUGUUGGAAAGGUCGGAGAUAGUGUUAGCGGAUGGGGGUAGGAAUAUAUGUCUGUAUCUGUACUGCUCUAAUAUGAAUAUGUUCUGCUAAAUCUAUCUUAUACAAAAUAAAUAUUUAAAGUUAUUCGUUAUACAUUGAGUUUUGUAAACUCACUUUCUAUUUGUUUGAUAAUUUUAGGUAUUCCUCAGACUUUGGCAAAUCGGUGUGAAAGAACUUGGUUAAAUUGAUUUAGUUUCAUUAUCUAUUAUAAUUAAAUUUUGGGUUAUUGUGUUUCAUUAUUUUUGGACUGUUGGGAAUUUUUGGAUUGUUUUGGUUUUUGAGAUUUUAUUUUCAAUUUUUGCAUGAUACUAUUAAAAAUGUUUUAUUGGAAAUGUUUGUUUUCCUGCAAAACAACUAAUUUCAGACAAAUAAACUUAGUUUUCCAAACAUAAUGAUAUGAGAAUUUUCGCUUUUAAGUAUUCAUUUUAGAAAAUGUAAGCAAACAUCGUUUCAACUAUAAAGUUAAGUUAGAUGUAUUUUUCUCUUAAAUCGAGGUUUAAGUAAUAAAAGUUUACGACAUUUUUCCAAAUUUUACAAAAAAUUGGAUUUACAAUUGUUUUAUGUAACAUCUCCAGAUUUGGUCAUAACAUCUAGUCGGAUUUCGGGUGUUACAUUUAGUGAUAUCAGGUCAGGUUGCAAAACUCAGGCUGUGAACUUUUUGGUUCAAAAUUUUGUGAAAACUAUUUUUCGAGUAAAGUUUGUCGAAACCACUUUUUCGAAACAAAAAAUAGCGUCGACUUAAAAAAUGAAAAUUGGAGUCGCCACCAGUCUUUUUUAUUUAGGUGUGAUCGGAUCACCUCCUAAUUUAAUCAUUUAAAUAAAAGUUAAAAUUUACUAAAACGAUUAAUGGGUUUAAAAAACCUUUUUCUUUACAAACAUUAACAAUAAUAAACGAACAUCGAAGAAAUAGAAAAGAAAAAAGAAAUCGAAAAGAAAAAAAAUUAGAUUUCAAAUCACCUCUCAAAAAUUUAAUUGCUUUCUGAUUUCUUUGGUAUCUUUUUUUACUGAUUUCUUAUUGUUCGCGUAAAAAACUUACAAAGGUCUUUUCUUCCGUUUUAUAGGCAAAAUAUGAAAUAAAUAAAAAAAUACAAUAUAUGUUUUUUCUGUGUUGCUUUUCGUCCUAUUUGUAGGUACGAAGACCAGCUAGCGCUGUACAGAGGCGGUGCAGCACGUGCUUGGCUGAGGUGACUAGAGGCGUGCGGUGGCUGGGUCUGCUGUGUAGUUUAGGGUUUCUGUUGAUUUUUGGUUAUUGGGCUGGGGUUUAAUUUGGGCUUGGGAUUGUGUUUGAUUUUUAAUCUGUAAAUGGACUUUUUAAUAUUGGACUUUUAUUUUUUAUUUGGAUUAUUAUUAUUUUUUGUGUAUGCGGGUCCGGGCUCUACAAAGUUCAUUUCUGGAUUAAUCUGAAAAUUAAUUAUGUGAAGUACCGAGUCUCUGACGUUGAUCCUGUAAGUACUUCUGACUUAGAAAAAUUUUAGUUUAGAAAACUCUAAAAUGAUUAGAACUGUAGUUGGAUAGUUAGAGACAGAAACAUUUCUAUAAAUUCUUUUGAUAACUUUUUGAGUAUAAAAUAUCUACUAAUAAAUACUAAAAUUGAUACAUAAAAUUCAUAAUAUAGGUAAUAUAUACGAUGAGUACUCGUGGAACACAUGGACGUGGUAACCGUAGGCGUGGCAGGCGCCGAAGAGGGGCUCGAGCUGAGUCAUCCUCGAUAGGUACCUGAUAGGCUAUCGCUGGAGAGAGCAAUAGUCUUGAGAGAAGAAAUUUGAAGAUCGAAGUCGGAAUCUGACCUUUAAGGCCUUUAAUUGCUUGAAUAAUAAGCAUUUCCAAACUAAAAGGAUUACAAUUUCUUCAAGAAUUUGACCUGCAGACAUAGUUGAAACAUGAAGGUGUUAAAUUACCUAUUUUGUUAGUGUAAAUCAAAGAGGCUUUUUAUUUUUAUUUUUCGUUGUGAAAUAAUAUGGAUAUGUUAGAUUCUAAUCAUAUUUAAGUAUAUAUUAGUUCUUGAAGAGUUCUUAUUUUUGGUAUUUAUAUUGCAAAUAAUUUUUUUAAAUUAAGAAAAAAGGGGGGAGGGGCAAAUGUGUUUAAACUAAAGACAUCAAGGAGAGUUGUGUCAAAUUCCCAAUGCUUUUUGGAAUGAUCCCACUAAAUUGAUUAACAGACAAUUCCAAAAUUUGAAAAUUGCAGCAUUUGUCUAUACUUGAUGGAAUAGAACUUGAUAAUUCAUUUCUACUGAUCAAGUAAAGCUCUUUAAGCUUGGGAAGAUGGACACACAAAUCAUCAGGCAAGCCACCAGAAAGACUAUUAUCACGUAAAUGAAUCCUUUUCAAAGAAGAAAUGUUAAACAUGGUGCAACCUGGCCAGGUAAUUGAUAAAAUUUUGAUUUAAUCCCUUAAAAAAUAUAAAAAUAUAGACUAUUAAAAUGGUAAAAUUACAUUUUUACUAUUGUAAAAAUUACAAUUUAAUUUCACUCCUAAAAAGAUUUUCUGGCUUCGACCCUAAUAAAUUCUUUGGCAAAAGAUUAAAAUAAAAUUAUACCGUAAAUGAAAAAAGGAAACUAUAAGAAAAUCCAAUCUAACAAAGAAAAUAACUUGAUGUCCAAAAGCUACCAUAAACCGUAAUUCAUGGGAAGGCUUGUUGCUCAUUUUAUUGGUUUCCAUUUUGAUUUUGCAAAAGAAGCUUGAAUUUUGAAGAGAGCCUACUACGUGAGAGCAAAAGAAAAAAAAAUUGUUUAUUAAUUUUUAGGAAUACCGAAAUAUUAUAUAUAUGAUUAAAAAUGUUGAAUUAAAGAUAAAAUUAAGUGUGAAUUAAUAACCACAAGUGUACUUAUUACUCACCAUCUCUGUUAAAAAUGUUGGAUGUUGUUUAGCAACCUUUGUUUGAUUUUCUUCAGCUCAACCACAACAUCUUUCAUAUCUUUUCUUUCUUCUGGCAACUCAGCUGAACAAUUCAAAGCCAACUCCAUGAUAGAUGUAAUACAAUUUGCUUUAACGACAAUGUACUCAUCCUCUCUUCUUAAUAAAUCAACAUCUGCAAUUUCUAUCGCUCCUUUAGGCAAUGAACUUUCCAUCCAAUGCCUUAUACUCUCUUCUUCAACAAAAACAUUAUCAGUAGGCUUUUUCUUCGUGAAAGUUUCUAUAAGGACGACCCCAUAACUAUAGACGUCAGAUUUUAUAGAAACAAUUCCUGCUGAUCCAAAUUCUGCAUUCAAGUAUAAUUAGAACGUCAUUCAUCCUCAAUUAUUUCUAAAAUGCUUAUUCAAAUAUAUAUUCACAUCCACAUGAAACAAAAAUAUAAAAUGCAUAUUAGGAAAAUAAUCAUACAAAAAUAAAAAAGAAUUCACCUGGUGCCAUAUACCCGAUAGUUGCAAGAGUCAUGGUUUGCUUCAUUACUUCACCUUCCCCCAACAAUUUGGCAACGCCAAAAUCUCCAACAUGUGCAACCAUGUCUUCAUCUAGUAAAAUAUUGCUUGGUUUUAUGUCACAGUGAAUUAUAGGUGUUGGAUGUCCAUUGUGGAGGUGUUCUAUAGCUACCGCAACAUCUAUCAUUAUAUCGACCCUUUGUAUGAUAUCAAGGAAACAAUUUUCAGAAUGUAACCAUUUCUCAAGGUUUCCAUUAGACAUGUAAUCAAGCACCAAGGCUUUGAAGUCAACACUUGAGCAGCAAGUAAUGACCUUCACAAUAUUACGAUGAACUAUAUUACGCAUAGCAUCACAUUCAAUGUCAAAACUCCUAAAUGCUCCCUCUGUUUGCAAAUUGAAAACUUUUAUUGCAACUUCCAUUCCAUCUGAAAGCCUCCCUUUAUAUACAUAUCCAAAACUCCCUGAACCAAGCAUAUUGCUUUCCUCAAAUCCAUUAGUUGCUCGUGAAAGUUCAGCAUGUGAAAUUCUUCUCGGUGUCUUCAAAGACAACAAAUCAUCUUUAACUGGUAGAGUUGUACUCCUUUGGCAUCUUCUAUACAUAAUAGUUAAGACUAUUAGUACUAGGACAAUACCAAUUGUUGGUAAACCAUACCUAAAAGCAUGCAAUAUAAUCAUUUGGGAGUUUUUGUGGAUGUCAUUUUUGCAAGGUGGGACUAGCAAUCUAGGUGGACCACAAAGUGCACAAUUCUUCAUGAAUGAUGUGCUAGAAAAGUUUGAAAAACAUCCUUUGCUGGGAAUUUCCCCUUCAAGUCUAUUGAAAGACACAUUAAAAUACUUUAGAUAUAAAAGUUGUUCCAAAGAUUUGGGAAUGACUCCAGAGAAAUUGUUAUUGCAUAAAUCCAAGAAUUCCAAACUAAUCAACCCAUCAAAUGAUUCAGGGAUACGACCAUGUAGUAUAUUAUUUGAUAAAUCUAAUGAAACCAAAGUUUGAAGACCCCCAAAUGUGGAUAAGAUAUCGCCCAUGAGAAGAUUCCUUGAUAAAUUUAGUCUCAGUAGACUCCUAAAAUUUCCAACAUCAAUAGCAUGUGAAUUGUGAAGACGGUUUGAUGAUAAAUCUAUUUCUAAGAUAUCUUUAAGACUCCACAAAGUUGAGGGUAUUGUAGAACUCAAUUUGUUGGAAUCUAACCAAAGAUAUCUCAAAGCAGAAAUAUUACCUAAACAAGAGGGUAUGGAUCCAUGCAGCUUAUUCAACCCUAAAUGCAUCUCGUAUAGUCUCUCCAAACCACAGAGGCUUUCUGGGAUAGGCCCUCCUAAUUUAUUAGAGGAAAGAUCUAGACCUUGCAGAUUCCGCAGUCCUCCUAUUGAUGCUGGAAUGAAUCCACUUAAUUUAUUAUGGCCAAGUUCUAAAACCAAUAAGUUGGUUAAGUUACCUAUUUCCAUAGGAAUAAUGCCUUGAAGCUCACAAUUAUAGGCAAGAAAGAAUUGAAGGGAUUUUGAAAGGUUCCCGAUAUAAGUAGGAAGAACACCACUCAAUGGAUUUCCCGAAACUCCUAUGGCUUUCAAAUUCCUACAAUUCGUCAAAGAAGAAAGAAAGCUCCACUCAUGAUCAGUAGCAGAUCCUGUGAUCAAAUUAUUGUCAAAGAUUUUGAGCACUUCAAGGUGUUUUAAGCUGCCUAGCGUUUUAGGGAUUGGGCCAGAGAAUAAGUUAUGUGACAAGGAUAGAAUCUUUAGCAUGGAAGCAUUGGAGAUAGAGUUGGGAAUGUUUCCGCUAAGUUUAUUUCCCCACAAUAAAAGAAUCUCAAGCUUUGGAGCAUUGGUGAUGGGUGGUAAAUUACCUGUAAAAUAGCAUCUUUUAGUAUACAUAUUCACAAAAUAUAUAAUACAUUAAAAUAAAAACUGUAAAACUUUAAAUCAAUUAAGAAUAAAAUUUUGGCAUGGAAAAAUGUGAUGAAAUCAAUUAGAAAGUUGAGACAUAAUAAGAAGUUUUGAGUACUAAUUAGUCUUUGUGAUUUGUAUAGACAAAACAUAUAAUACACUAAUAAUUUUUUAAAAUAUUGUAAAACUUGAAAUAAAAUAAAAAUAAAAGUUUGGCAUGAGAAUGUGGCAUCUAAUCAAUCUUAAAAAUGAGACUCACACUGAAUAAUAAUUAGUUAUGAUUUGGGAAACAAAAAUGUUAAAGCCAUUGUUUUUAAUGUAAACUGGUAUGAUUCUUAUCUAUUGGGUUAAUUAUUUAUUUUUAUUAAAUUAUAGUGUAAAAUUUAAAUAUUAUUAUUUGCUCAAAAUUUUUGUAUUUUUCGUAUAUUUGAAAUUCAAUCUUUAUAUUUUUUAUUUUCUGUGAUUUAGUCUCUCUACUUUUUUUAUUAAAAAUUUUAGGUUCAUUUAUUAACACUGUUAAAAAGUUUUUGUAUUAGUAUGACAUUUUGAAAAAUAAAAUAAACUUGAUAUCUAUGUUUUUAAUUAUUCCAAAUAUUGUUUUACUAUUUCAAGAUAAAUUAUUUGUGUCUAGACCAAUAUCUUAAGAACUAUUGUUGCAUGUUUAAUUAUUCUAAAAAAUUAUUGAUUGAGUCUUAGCUUGAUUGGCAUGUGCAUUGUUGCCAAUAUAAGAGAAUGUGGGAUCAAAUAUGCUGAAGUUCAUUAUCCUCCUGUUAUGAAUUGGGGAGUUGGUAAAGUAUUAAAUUUUGAUAUAUUUUAAAAUAUUAAAAAUUUAUUAAAAUAUUUUUUAUAAAAAUCGGUUGUACCACAAUAUACAAUUUUAAUAUCAAAUUUUUAAUAUUUUUAAAAUAUUAGCGAAUAUAUACUUUAUUUCAAGUUACACAAUUUUUACUAGUUUUUAACUUUUUUUAAAAUUUUUAUCGUCUUUUAUAAUUUCUAAUAAUUUUUUACAAUAUUUAACAAUUUCUAACCAUUUUUAAUAAUUUUAUUACUUAUUAAAAAUUAACAAAUUAACUAUUUUUUAUUUUUUUAAAACAAUUAUAUAUUUAUAAUGUAGUUAUUUUUUUAUAAUUUUAUUUGAAAUUUUAAAGUUUUUUUGGUUUGUUUUCUAGAUGAUGAUGCCAUCAUGAUGUCAUCAUAUGCCACAUGGCAAUUUAUGAUUAGUUGAAUAUCUCAAUUUAUUUUUUUAAUGUCCAAUGGACUAAACCAAGAACACUUGAUUAUGUUAGAGACUACACUAGGAAUGUUUGAUAACAUUAGGUACUAAAGUAGGAAAAAAAAAAAAAGGAGCAAUACGAUGUAGGGAGUAAACUGUGCAUUAAGCCAUUAAAAAUAUAUCUAUAAUAUAUAUAAAUGCAUGGAUUUUGAGAAACUUUUGAAAUGAUAAUUAUAUAGUCUUUGUUUUUUUACUAUAUUAUUGAAUUUGUUAUUUUAAAUAUUUUUUUAUUACUUUUAAGAUUUAUCAUAUGUAUGGAUAAGAAUUUUGGUUUUACUAAAAUAUUUGGUUAAAUAAAUUCACUUCAUAAGAAGAUUUAGCAUCCUUGUAAAUAACAAUUUUGAUUCUAUUAAAAAAUUAUUUUAAAAUAUAUAUAAUAAAAUUUUAAAAUUUAUAUUGAAUUACUUUAUACUUAAAUUAUUAUUAGAAACUUUAUCAUACACAUACGUGUAUGAGAACUAUGUAUUUAGAACAUAAAUUUGUGUUUUAAAAUAACUUAUGAUAAAUAAUGAAAUGUAUAAUUUGAAACUAUUUAAUAAAAACACAUGGCUUAUCUACAAUAUUAAAAUAAAAAUAGCUUAAAUUGUAAGCAAAACAUAAUUUAAACAUAUGAAUACAUUAAAUUAAGAAUACUAAAUGAAUACAGUUAUUUAUGAUGGUGUUGUCUUCAAUUCCUAAGUUGGUGUCAAGUUAAUUUGUGACAUCAUAAAUUUAAGGUUUUAUGUAUUGAUGUGGAUUCAAAUAUCACCAUUUUUUUUAAAAUAAAAUUUAAAAUAAAUACAUUUUCCACAUUGGUUUCUUUUCUUCUACAGACAAAGGAUUUCUAAUGAUUUUUUUUUUAAAAAAAAUUACUUAUAUAAAAUAGAUUAGUUUAUGCAAUAAAAAUAAUUUCUUUUUUAAAGUUUAAUAGAAAUUAAAAAACAAAAAAAAAAUCAAUUCAUAUAAAGCUUAUUGUUUAUUAUCAGAUUAAAAUGAUAAAAGUAUACGAUAAACCCAUACUUGACGGAAUGUUACCAGAUAAUUCAUUUUUAUUCUAGUAAAGCCCUUCAAGCUUGAGAAUAUGUUGACACAUAUCAUUAGGCAAACUACCUGAUAGGUUAUUGUUGGAGAGAUCAAUGGCCUUCAGAGAAGAAAUGUUGAAGAUCGAAGUUGGAAUCUGACCUGUAAGGCCUUUAAUUUCUCUAAUAUUAAGCAGUUCCAAACCAAGAAGAUUACCGAUUUCCUCAGGAAUUUGAUCUGCACACAUAGUCGAAAAAUCAAGAUGUGAAACUACCUAUUUUGUUAGCAUAAGUCAAAGAGGUUUUCUUUUCUGUUCUACAUAAUUUGCAGAUGUUAGAUUUUAAUAUUUUUAAGCAUAUUUGUUUUCAUCAAAUUAACUAUUUUGAACUAUUUUGCCUUGAAUGAAAUAAAAUGCUCAUAUUUUUGUUAUCUAUUACUAAUCAAACUCUUUUAUAAAAAAAAAUACUUUAAACUAAAGAAACCAAGAAAAUUCAAUACCUUCUAAGUUAUUCAACUCCAAAUAUAAUUCUUUGAGUCGUGUCAGAUUUCCAAUACUUCUUGGAAUGAUCCCCCUCAAUUUAUUAUCGGAAAAUGCCAAUAUUUUAAGGUUGCUGCAUUUGCCCAUACUUGAUGGAAUGUUACCAGAUAAUUCAUUUUUAUUCAAGUAAAGCCCUUCAAGCUUGGGAAGAUGUUGACACAUAUCAUUAGGCAAACUACCUGAUAGGCUAUUGCUGGAGAGAGCAAUAGUCUUGAGAGAAUAAAUGUUGAAGAUCGAAGUUGGAAUUUGACCUGUAAAGCCUUUAAUUGCUUGAAUACUAAGCAUUUCCAAAUUAAAAAGAUUACCGAUUUCUUCAGGAAUUUGACCUGCUGACAUAGUCGAAACAUCAAGGUGUUAAAUUACCUAUUUUGUUAGUGUAAAUCAAAGAGGAUUUUUAUUUUUCUCGUUAUGAAAUAAUAUGGAUAUGUUAGAUUCUAAUCAUAUUUAAGUAUAUAUUAGUUCUUGAAAGAAAGAGUUCUUAGUAUUUAUAUUGCAAAUAUUUUUUUUAAAAUUUAAAAAAAGGGGGGGGGGCAAAUGUGUUUAAACUAAAGAGAUCAAGGAAAAGGCAUACCAUCUAGGUUAUUUAACCCCAAGUAUACUUGUUUAAGUUGUGUCAAAUUCCCAAUGCUUUUUGGAAUGAUCCCACUAAAUUGAUUAAUAGACAAUUCCAAAAUUUGAAGGUUGCAGCAUUUGUCUAUACUUGAUGGAAUAGAACUUGAUAAUUCAUUUCUACUCAAGUAAAGCUCUUUAAGCUUGGGAAGAUGGACACACAGAUCAUCGGGUAAGCCACCAGAAAGACUAUUAUCACGAAAAUGAAUCCUUUUCAAAGAAGAAAUGUUAAAGAUGGAAGAUGGAACCAGGCCAGAUAAUUGAUUGAAUCCCAAGUUCAAGAUCUCUAGAUUGGAUAAGUUGACAAGUGUUUGAGGGAUUGUGCCUGUGAAGUUAUUAUUUCUCAUUUCCAACCUUUGAACUCUGUGCAAGUUCCCAAGCCAUGAUGGAAUUUCCCCAUUAAGACGGUUGUAGCUUAAUCGAAUGAUCCUCAAACGAUGCAAUUGGCCCAAUUCUUUAGGCAGAUGGCCAUAGAAAUUGUUGUUGCUCAGGUCGAGAGAAAAUAGAAAUGAAAGAUUUCCAAGGUGUGGAGGGAUAGUACCCCUAAGAUUCAUGUUUGUAAGAUUCAAAGCUACAACUCUUUCAUGGAUGAUGUCACAAGAAACACCAGCCCACUUACAAACAGAGGUAGAGUUCGUCCAAUUGUUUGCCAACACAUUUUGAGGAUCGACAAUGCGAUCUUUAAACUCAAAGAGUGCAAACUGAUAGGAGUUGAGAUUCCGGACUGUCAUAGCCAAGGAAACAAUGGAACAUUGUAUGAAUAAAAGUGAAAGAAGAUGAAAGCAAGUGUUGUAGUUCAUGAUGGCAAGACGAAAUAAGCCAGGAAAAGGGAAGUUGAAUUGAUGAAGAAAUACCCAGCCAACAUGCUUAAAUAGGCUUCAACCCUUGCACACUUCUCAUACAUAAAGUUCACUGCCAUUACAACAAGAAAACUCGUAUCUCCAUUCAUACCUAUCCAUACUUUAUUUGACUAACUUUUCCCUAACAGGUGUUCAGUAAGGAGACAAAUCACUUUGGAGCUAUUCACCGACUUCUCCAACCUUGGUUUCAAACUCCUAGCCCAUCAAUUCACUUUAAUUGAAACGAUAUACACGAGUCUUUCGGCUUAUAUUUUUAACUUACUACUUCUCUUUUUAAUUUAUUUUUUGUUACUUCUCAUAAUAUUUUUUGAGAAAUCCAAUAUUCCAGUCUGAAAUUUCUUCAUUGCCACGUCUAUCUCCUCGGUAAGUUCGUGGCUAGGCGGCCCACUUUGGGGGCAGGAUUGUAAUUUUAGUUCUAUCCGACUCAUUUUACUAUUUAGAAAUAUAAAAGUAAUAUUAUAUUAAUUUUUAUAUUUUUAUAAAUUUAAAUUUAAAUUUAAUUUUUAAACAAUAAAACGAGUCAUUUUUAUUUGCCUAGGCUAAAUUGAAUCAGGAGUGAAAAAUUUUUUAAUCAUAAUUUACUAUUAUUUUAAUUAAUUAAAUUUUAAUUUACUAUAACUAGUAGUUGCAAAAAAAAUGACAUUCCUUUAGAAAAAUGAGAACUUAUGAAGCAUUCAAUAAGAGUUGUUGGAAUACAUGGUAACGAAACCAUAAUUCGAUAUAAAACUAUAUAAAUAAUGUAAGAUUUGUGAUACCUAAAUUGUUAUGUUUUCUAUAAAUAUAUGGAGAUUUUUUAUUAGGAAAUAAUUUUAUAUAUCAACAUUUGUUAUUUUCUUUUGAUAGAAAUUUAAUUAUGUUAUCUGUAGAAAAAAAUAUUUAUAGAAAUAUCAUUAGUAGAAAAUCAUAAAUUUGUGUGUGGCAAAAAAUUUUCACCACCAAGAAAGGGACAAAUUAAACAACUUGAAAGUCAUUGGUUGUUUAAAAUAUUAGAUAAUAAUUUUAGUGAAGAAUCAUUAAAAUUAUGACAAAAUAACCCUAGAUAUUGUAGUAUUAAAUUAGAAAAUCUCAAUAAUAUUAUUAGAGUAAAACCUAUGAUGUAUCUAAACAAGAUAUAGAAGAAUUUGAUAUACAAAUUAAGGGUAGAAAUCAUACGGAAAUAAUAAAAAACAAGAAAAAGCUAGUAUGGUCAUUAAUUAUAAAAGAUUAAAUCAAAAUAUUAUUUUUUGUAGUUACUUGAAUUAAUCAGGAUAAACAAAAAAAAAUAUUUUAGUAAAUUUGACUGUAAAUCAGGAUUCUAGUAAAUCAUGCUAACAGAAAAAUCUAAACCUUUAACAGCUUUUAGUGCACCCAAUGGACAUUAUUAAUGGAAAGUGAUGUCAUUUGAAUUAUGCGAUGCACCACAAAUCUUCCAAAGACAAAUGGAUUUUAUAUUUAAUAAAUAUAAAAAAUUAUGGGUAGUUUAUAUAGAUGAUAUUUUGAUAUUUUCAGAUACACUAGAAUUACAUAAGAAAUAUUUAAAUAUUAUUUCUUAAGAAUUCAUAAAAUAUAGAAUCAUAUUAAACCCUAAAAGUAUGGAGUUAGAAAAAAGAGAGGGAAUUUUUAUAAUAGUGGAAAUAAAAAAUUGUCCUCAAAAGAUUGAAGAAAAAAAGAAGUUACAACAAUUUGUAAUAUAUUCCUCCCAAAUUUUCAGUUGCAAAUUUAUUACAGAAUUUCUUUGCCGACAAUAAGAAAAGAGCAUAUUCACAUUUUCGUCGCAAUUUCAACUAACAACCAAUCUGUUUCCCACUUUCCUUUUUCGGCCAAUUUCAAACGUAACUGUUUUUCGAAUUUUCCUCUUUAUUUCAUUAAUAAAAUGAUCAAUCUAUUUGUUUUUUAAAUAUAUAAUUUUAUUAAUAUUUUUUAAUUAUAAUAUAAGAGUUGUUGUUUAUUUAUAGUUUUAUUACAUUAUUUAAUCUCUUUUUUAUAUCAAGUUUUUAAAAUUAUAAUAUAAGAUUUAUUUUAUCAAAUUGUGGCUUAUCAAAUGUUCAUCUAUUUUAAUAAUAACUUGAGUUCGAAUCAUUAUCAUACCAGAAAGAGUUCCCUUUAUUCUUUAUCGUAAAUUUUAUAAGAAAUUAUAUUUUAUUAUAAUACUAUAUGUGUUAGAAUAAUAUUUUAUUGUGGAUGCCCAUAAUUCUCAAAGUUGUAACCUUGAAUGUAGUAACCUCAAUGAAAUUAUGAGGCUUUUAUAUUGUAAUCAAGCCUCUAUCUAUUCUUUGUAUUCUUUGUAGAAAAUAUGAAGUUGAUUUUACUUUAUUAAAAAAUUUAAAAUAAAUUAUCUUGUUUUUUUUUAAAUGAGUUAACCAAAUUAGCAUAUUUAUUUUGAUCUAAAAUUAUCCAAAAUAAUAUAAAAUAUUAUAUUAAUAAAAUUAAAACUAUGAAAUAAUUUUUUUUAAAGAUUAUUAUUUACUUUUAUCAAACAAUACAAUUAUAUUCAGUACUUAUAUUUACUAGUUUACCAAACAGUUUUCCAAUAUGAAUUCAACACUUAUCAAAUUCAGUAUUAAAAAUUCAGUGCUUAAUUUUUUAGCACUUAACUUUUCAAUUCAUCAAGCACGUCUAAUUCAAUUUAUACAAUUCCCUAUUUGUAUCUCUAUGAAUUUAUAAAAUCCUUCUCGCAUUUAGUUGUUGGGAUCUUUAUAUGAAGAUAGAUGCUUUUAUUUUUUAUUGGUUCAUUUUUAAUUGUAUUGAUUUAUUUAAUUUUAAUUUUGAUUAAUAUAUAUGAUUAUUGUGGAAUGGGAGUAAAAGUAUUUACUUCUCAUAAACUUUGAAAUAUUCACCCUGUCUACAUAUUAAUUAUUGUAAAAUUUGAAUUGAAAUUAUGCCAUAAAAGGUGGAGGUUAGAAAACCUCUUAUUGAGACCUUAUAAUAUUUUGUAAUUUUUUGUGUUAUGGUAUAUAAAAAAAUAUCUAACCAUAGUGAUUGAUUAGUAAUAUAAAUUUGUUAUUUGUUAUGUUUAAUAUAUAUUUUAUUUAUACUUAUUCAUUUUAUUUUUAUAUGAGUAAAUGAAGUGUUUGAAGAUUCGAAAUUUUUAUCAUCCAUGUUGAAAAUAAGUGCAAAAGUGUAUAUUAUUUAAAAUAAAUUACGCAUUCAUUAAUGUUAUGUGAUAAAAUCAUUACAUUUUCUGAAGAACUAAUAUUGCAUCAAACUGUAAAAAGCUCUUGAAGAGCUAAUAUUUAUCUCCCUGUGAUGCAAAAUCUUGUAAAACAUGAUAUUAUUUUUCAAAUCAAGAAGAUUUAUGUUGAAGGAAAUAUUUAUGUGUUUUACAUUAAAACCAUGGAUAGAAAUGACAUGAGACACUCAUGUAUUUGCAUUAUAAAUAUUCCUUGAAGGAAUACACUUCACUUGUAUGAUUGACAUAUGAGAUAAUAGCAAGAAGUUUAUAGUGUUGGUAUGGCCGGCUAGACCAUCUCAAGUCAAUAAUGAUGCAAAAUAAUUUGAAGAGAAUUUAUAUGAUUUUAUUGAAGAAUGAGAAGUUAUUUUCAUUUUGAUAAUUGUCAUCAACAAUAGUUCUUUGGAAAAAAAAAUAUUGAACUAACAUCAACUAAAGUUAGAGGUUGGUUCAUGGUUGCAUUUUUUGAUGAUAUCCAAAUAAUAUAUGAGCUCAUGUAUCACAUGUAUGCAACCCAAAGUUUACAGUAUUAUUUCUUGAAAUAAUUUGAUUCUACACAAUCUCUAUAGCAUGCAAUUUGUGCUAACAACACUGGUGCAUUAUAUCCUAAGCUUGAUUUUCGUAGUUUUAGCUGAGAUAAUAUUAAGUUGUCUAUGCCUAUAUAUAUUAUACUUAAUGGUUAGCAAAAUUAUGCCUCCAUUUAAUUGCUUAACCAUUAAUAUAAGAAUAGCUUUAAAAUAAGCAUGUAAUUUUAUUUGCAUCGAGCCAACAUGUAAGAAAUAUUUGUCCCAUGAGAAUUAGCUUUUAUUUAUAAGCCAAUAGGUUUCAUUUAUGACUAUUUGGAUGUAAAAUAUCUAUUUUAUAUUCCACCAUAAUGCACUAAGAUGGACCAUCAAGUAUGAAGUUGAGAAAAAUUAGAAUUUUUAUUUGAUGGUAAAAGUUGAAAAGAGAUAUAUAUUUAUAAUUUUGAAAAAAAUAGUCAUGUUGCAAAUUUUCUCAGUAUUAGAGGGAGACAAGUUGGACAAAUACGUAUAAUUAUGUCAUCACUUUUUGUGAUCCCUCACUAAUCUUAUGUGCACAAAGUUUGAAGGAAAAAAAUAAUUUGCUAGACAUGUUUAGUGAUGACAUUUAGAGAUUGUAUAUAUUGGAUGAUACAUAUACCAGCUAAAAUGUUCCAAAUAAUUAUGCGUCCUAGAAGGACAAAGUGAUAAAAAUAAUUUUUGGGCACGCUAGAAGGAUGAAAAACUAGUUGGUUCUAUAAAUAAAAAAAUUCUUGACAGAAAAGAGUAAGAAAUGAAUAUGGCCACACGUUAAAGGAGACGAGUACUCAUGAAGAGACCCAAGGUAUAACUUUUAAUAAAACCCCAAAAGAGGUUCAAUACAUGAAAUUAUGAAUAUAAUAAGUGUAAUAACCAAAUUUUUCCCGGGCCCAAUGCCAAACAAAUAAAACCCAAACCAAAUAAAUAAAAUAAGAGUCCAAAUUAUAGUCCGUUAGGGCCCAAUUCAGACCAGCCCACUAUUCAAUCAGACCAGCCGAACAACAAAAAAAAACCUAGUAGCCCACAGCCCAACUAAGCCUAAAAAAUUUUCAGCAAAAGAAAAAACCCUAGCUGCCAUGCUAGCCGCUGCUCCUGCCCUAGCCUCUGCCCACUAUCGUACGCCACCUCUGCCAUCACCAUUAGCCUCUGACACCUGCAAAACAGCAAACAACAUGCAACAACAGAGAAGAAGACGACAAGCAAAAAACAAAUCACUAAAGGACAAAAAUAAUGAUAACAAAUAGCCUUAGUUUGGCUAUAAAAGCAAAAAAAAUGAAAACUUUGUACUUCUUUGGCAAGAUUAAUACAAAAAAGAAAAGAUUUGAACUUUUUAGGGUGAUAUUUCAUUUUUUUUUACGCUUUAGAUCUAUUUUUUUAUUUCAUCUUCAUCUACGAAAAUAAUAGAAAAAAGACUUUGAUUUCAAGGUGAUAUUUUGUUGUUUUUUUAGAUCUAGUGUUUUUUUAUUUAUUUUUAUCUACAAAAAUAAAAAAAGGAAAAGAGAAACGUACCUAAUUCACCCCGUGGCUCCGUCGACGGAAGUCCCAUCGCCAUCGUCGGAAUCGGGCUUAAAAGGGGAAGGUUUUUAUUUUUCUUUACUUUUUUUUGGAUUUUUCGUCUCAAGAAAUGGACUAAGGGAGGGGAAAUGGCCAAAAUGGUCUUUUUCCGAUGAACUCUGGCAACCACAUGUGGCAGUUAACAGUGCCGGUGCUCGGUGGCUGCGGUGGAGCCAUGGUGGUGUCCCAUGGCCGGAUCUAGAGAGGAAGCCUUUAAGAGGGAGAGAGUUUCUAACAUUUUUUUUAUUUUCUAAGGCAGAAAUGAAUUUUUGAAAAAAAAAAGUUGGGUUUUAUAAGUGCGUGAAAUGGCGCCAUUUUGCGCAAGUGCACAUCGACGUCGAAACGACAUCGUUUACCCCUUUACCCGCUUGCCCGAGUCUGGCUCGAUGAAGGUCCGCAUAUUUUCAUGCCUGAUGGGUUAUUUCCCUGCCCGAUCCUUCCGAUUUUGGGCUUCUUCUCAAUCUGGUCCUGAUCCUACUUUUUCCCGCCUUUUAAAUUGUACCAUUUAAUUUCAUUUCAUUUUCAACUCGGUCCCUCGGCUGACCAAAGGAAAUGAUGCGCAUAAAGUUAAGGGAUAUUUUCCCUUUCAAUCCCCAAUAUUUUUAGAGCGAUGCAUUUUAAUCCCUAACCUUUCAUUCCAAUCUUUUACACAUAUUAUUUCAUUUUAUUCGUUUAUUUAUUGACUUAUCAUUUUUACCCUCUUUUUAUACUUAAAAAUAUAUAUUAUUUACACUAUUACUUGCAUUUUUUUACUAUUAAAUUAUUAUUUUUAAUGUAUUAUAUUCCCAUUAUUUUACCAUUUUAUUUAUUUUGAUACUUUCAUGUCACAUUUAUUUAUUUUAAUAUUGCCAUUAUUUAUUUUAUUUUAUUCUUAUGUUUUUUAGUAUUUUAUUAUUUCUUUUAUUGUUCACGGUUUUUUUUUCAUGUUAUACAUUUUUAUCUUUCUAAUCAUGCAUUUUUCCUUUUUUUAUUUUGUUUUAGGUUACGUUAUUUAUUAUUAUUAUUAUGAUAAUAUUAUUAUAAUUAUAUUACCAUUAUUAUAGAAUUCCUUUAUUUGUAUAUUCCAUUAUAACUAUUAUUAUUAUUAGUAGUCUUUAACUCACUUCUAUUUUUAUUAUUAUUUUUUAGAAUAGUAGUCAACAUGCUUAUCCUUAUUGUUAUUUGGUGUUGUUCUUAUGAUUUUAUCAUCAUUAUUGUUGUAUUUCAUUUUUUGUUCACUCUUUAAAUAUUUUGUUCAUAUAGUUAUUUUACACUAUUGCAAUAUUGUUGCAUUACGCAUUAUGUUUCUUAUAUAAUAAUUAUUUCGCUUUCACGCGAUGUUCGAAUCAAUUAAACAUGAAUCUUCUCAAUUAUUACAUUAAUUGUUACUUAAGUUCAAAAAGAAAAUUUUCAAAAUAAGGCAAUAUUUUGCGUUUUGGAAAUUCGAGAAAUCAUACCCUAACUUACGAGGUUUCGAUUUUCUCGUUAAACUUAAAUAGCAAAAUAUUCUUUUAAAUUUCAAAAUGCAUGCAAUUUCAAUAAAAAUCAAAGGCAAGCUUAUUCUCUAAGGUUCCAAAUAUCGCGUCCUAACUUACGGGAUGUGACAUUUCGUUACCUCGAGACGAGUAGGUCUUCAACUCUCUUUUCGAUUUAUUCGAGCGUUUUUAAUAACAUUAAUAAAAAGGGAUCGUAUUUUAAAUUUCUAUUCAAGUUUUCAACCUUGGACAUUAAGACAUUACUUAAUCAACUAGGUACCACCUUUGGGUGUAUUGAGGGUGUGUUUUCUAGAUUUUGUAGACCAAAUAUUAUCGUUUUUAGUAAAUUUAAAUUUUUAUUAAAAUGAUUAAAUUACAAGUGUUGACACCAUUUUUUUGAUGAAAAACGGGGUCGACUUGGGUUUUAAAAAAAAUGAAAAACGGGAGUCGCCACCAAUCCUUUUUGAUAAGGUGUGAUUGGGUCACCUUGAAAAAUGGUUGUUUUUAAUAAAUGAUUUGAUUUUAUUAAAACAACGGUUUUGGUCCAUGAAAUUUAGAAAACGGGUUCGGGAGUCGAUUACGUACGAGGAAGGAUUAGCACCCUCGUAACGCCCAAAAAUUGGUACCUAGUUGGUUAGCUAAUGUCUUGAUGUCGAAAAUUGAGAACUUGGAAAAAAUUAAAAAUACGAUCCUUGUAUUAAAAUGAAAAUUUUAGGAAAAGGGGGGCAUACUUCACGCUAAUCGAGAAAGAGAAUCAUAUCCAGUAAGUUAGGACACAAUGUCUCGAAUUCCCGAUACGCGAAUGAAUGCCAAAAUUUUACUUAUUUAAAAGACAUUUUAGCCGUCUCGAAUUUAAAAAUGAAAUCACGACCAGUAAGUUAGGACGUGAUUUUUUAAAACUUGAGUUUGAAAAGAUUCGUGCAUCUAGAUUUAUCGUGAAAAUCAAUACCCAGUAAGUUAGGGUACGAUUUUCUUGAAUUUAAACACGAAAUGCCAUUUUUUAAAACAAAUUUUGUUAUAUCGAGUGAAAUAAAAACACAAAGUCGUAGUAAAAAAAUGUGUAAGCAAAUUACAUUGUUAUGCAUGGCAAAAUCAUAAUGAAUACAAAAGUAUAAAAAUGAUACGAGCAAUAACAACAAUAUAAAAUAAAUAAAAGUCAAACCUACAAUAAUAUUAAAUAACAAUGUAUAUAAACAAAUAAAAUUAAAACAUUCAUUCAAAAUAAUAAUGAAAAUGAAAUAAAUAAAUAGUAAAUACAAAAUAAAACAAUAGUAAUGAAUAAAAAUAAUAUAAUAUAUAUAUGUAUGUUAGAAUUAUAAAGUAUAAAAAUAUACGUAUGUGUAUAUAAGAAUAUGUAAGCAUGUAUAUACAUAGAUUAUAAAAUAUAGAUAUUUAUAUAAAAAUGAGUAUUUGUAUUAAAUAAGUUGAAAAAAAAUAUAUAUAUACCUACAUAUAUAUAAAAAAUUAUAUAAUAAUAACAAUAUAAUAAAACACAUAUAUCUAAAAUUUACAUAAGUAAAUAUAAAUAAAAACAUACUAAUAACAAUAAUAUUAAUAGUAAAAUGAUAAUACAUAAAAAUGAUGAAGAAAAUAAUAAAAAUGCUUAAAAGGGGACUAAAUCGAAGUAAGAACCAAAAAAAAGGGGCAAAAUCGAAAUAAAGACAAGAGGGACUAAAUUGUAACGCGCGCUGAAAGAGGGGGACCAACAGGGUAACUAAACCAAAGCCUCAAAACGCUGCUCUGUAAAGGACUGAAAUGAGACAAAAAUAAAAUUUUGUGGCCAAAUUGCAAAUAUGCGAAAAACUUCCAUGAAAUCGCUACAAAAUCAAAGGGACUAAUUGCGCAAAUAGACCCUUAAACAAAAACGCGCGGAUCCUUGGGUGCGGGUCGGGUCGACGUGCGGAUCCCCUCACCAAAACGGCGUCGUUUUGUGUUUAAUAUAAAUAUAAAAAAAGGGCUAAAAAAACAGUUUCAUCAUUUUUGUUGAAAAACUGAGAGAAACCUCUCUCUUUUUUCCCUUUCUCAGGCUCAGAUUCCGGAGAUGGCCCGGCCUAGGCUUCUGGCGAAUCUCCGCCGUAGAGCCACCGUGUGUGGCGGCCGGAGGUCCAAAAUCGGACCUUUUCGGUCCCUUUUUGAAACUAAGAAUCCCUAGGGUACGGAUCUGGGACCAAACCCCCGAAAAAAAGAAUCGGAGACCUAAAGAACGAGGGGAAACCGCUCGUCUUCUCUCCUCCGGCGCGGCGCAGGUAAGGUUUCUUUUUCCUUUAUUUAUAUUACGUAAAAAACAUACAAAAAGAAAAAAAAGAAAAUAGAGUUUAAAAAAAAUCUAAAACAGAAAUGAGAGAAAAUCACCUCUCAAGUUUUCUUGUUUUUUAUUUCUUUUUGCUAAUAUCUGUUUCUUCUUUUUACAAAAGUUGAUGGAAGAAGAAAAAAUUACAUUUUGUUGGCUUUUUAUAGCCGACUUCUACUACUGCCUGUGUUAUUUGCUCUCUGUUUCUUUGUUUUGUUUCUUCUUUGCAGGUGACGGUGCAAGUGGUGGUGGUGACGUGACCGUGGCAGUGGCGGUGUGAUGUUGGCGGCGGCGGCAGGCCAAAGGUCAAUAGGUGUGGAGCCUAGGGUUUUAGUUUUUGAAACCCUAGGCAGAUUUUUUUAGGGGAAUUGGGCCUUAGCUAUUGGGUCGUUCGGGUUUGGGCGUUGGGUUAGGCUAGUUGGGCUUUGAGGUUGGGUUGUUUUGUAAUGUGCUUUGGUGUUUGGGUUGGUAGGUGGUGGGUAAGGUUUAUUGUUUUGGGUUCUUGGGCCUGGUUCUGUUUGGUUAGGGUAAUGGGCCAUUUGGGUCUGGGCAUAAAAUUGGGCUAUACAACAAGGUGACCCGAUUACACCUCAUCAAAAAGGAUUGGUGGCGACUCCCAUUUUCAUUUUCAUUUCUUUUUAAAUCAAAGUCAACCCGUUUUUAAAAAAAUGGUUUCGACAAUAAGAUAUAUUGAUUAGUUAUGUCAUAACUAAAGAUGAUGGAGUUGACAAAAGGAAAUUGUAGUUAACAACGAAUAAUCUACGUAGAACAUUUCAAUAUUAUGGAAAAAUGAGUAUUUACCAACCUUCUUUUAGUCAAAUUAUGCAAGCCUAAAAUUUUUAGCUUAAUUUGAGUUUGUUGACUAUGUCUAAUUCAAGUUUUAUUAUUAAGGACUAAAUUGUAACUUAAAAAAAUUAGAAUACCAAUUUAAAGAGACAAAAAUUCAAAACCCCAAAACCCACAUGGGCAUGUGGGUAAGUGACACAGGCGUGUGGAGACUGGAGCUAUCACACACGGGCGAGUGGGACAGAAAAAUAUGAAAUAAAUUAAUCCACUUAAAUUUCAAACAACCAUGCUAUACUACCAAACCAAAUAAUGCUAGAAGCUUUGAAUAGGGGUGAAUCGAAAAAAAAAUAAAAGAAUUAGAAUUAAAUUAUAAAAUUUUCAGAAGUUAUCAUGUAUUAAUUUAUUAUUUUUUAAAGGGUCUUAAUAGAAUUUUUUUUCCAUUUUGGUUUGGCCAAUACCCCUGUCUACCUCUUUCAAUUUGCUUCAACCCUAAACCUAAUAUUCGAUUUGUUGUGGAAGUUUGACGCAUAAAAAUUUCUUUUUUAGAGGUUUAAAUUAUAAAUUUUUGAAAGUUUAAAAUAAAUUUUCAUUUUUAUUAACAAAAUAUAAAAGAAAAAAAACAUGUGUAGACAAACCAAGAAACCUUUGGGAUCAUACGGGUGAUUUUGAUGAUGUUAAUGGUUAUUUUGAUGGAGAGGGUGAAAAAGAAACAAAUGAUUCAUAUAUAUAAUAUAAUUAUGAAAUUCAAGCCAUAUAUUGUAUGUUUCAUCCAUAAAAAUUUCAUGGGAGGUCCGAAGGUAAUUAAAUGACUUGUAGGCUUGCUGAAUUUCUUUGAAAGGCCCAAUGGCAAUUUAACAUUCACAAAAUAAUCUCUAAAUACUGUAAAGACAAAAUCAAAUCCACAGCAGCAUUAGAGUUGAUUAAGCUAAGCAUUGGCAAAUAUUACUUUGAUUUUGCAUGCAAUAUUAGCAAAACCCCCUCUUACAUUAGAUAAACAACAUACUCCAUGAAACAUUGAUAGCCCAAAUACAAAUUUCAUCGACAAAAAAGUCUCUUUGUUUUGUAGAACAUGAUAGUAAAAAUGUGGAGUUUCGUUCUUCUUAUUGGCCUCCUUUAGUUUUCCUUGAUCAACAACCACUAGCCAAAAACACAAUUAGAUUAGAUUAUGAAUGAUACUGACAUUAUUAAAUAUAAAACACUCUAAAUAACUCUAAAUAAAUGGAAAGCAGCAAAUUACCUGACGAGGCAAGCUAGCUCAAUUAAGACCAUUGUGUUAUACUUGUCUCUGAAUUGAAAAAUUUAGAAGGAAAUAAAGAGAAAGACUUAGAAAAUAUUUGAAAACAGAUAAAACUUAUAUGUCAUUUAAAAUAAAAAUUUUGUAUUUAAGCCGUUUAAAAUUUUUAAGAUUUUUGAAAUUUUAAAAUGAUAAAGGUAAAAUUGUACUUUGGCACACCAAAAAUGAUAAAACUUUGAUUUAAUCCUUUAGAAAUUAUAAAAAUAUAGGCUAUUAAAAUGGUGAAAUUACCUUUUUACUAUAGUAAAAAUUACAAUUUAAUUUCACUUUAAGAUUUUCUGACUUCGCCCCUAAUAAAAUCUUUGGCAAAAGAUUAAAAUAAAAUUAUACCGUAAAUGGAAAAAGAAACAAAGAAAAUCCAAUCUAACAAAGAAAAUAACUUAUGUCCAAAAGCUACCAUAAACCGUAAUUCAUGGGAAGAGAGCAAAAGUAAAAACAAAUAGUUUAUAUGAUUAAAAUUCCAGAAUAGGUUAAAAAUGUUGAAUUAAAGAUAAAAUUAAGCGUGAAUUAAUAACCACAAGUGUACUCUUUACUCACCAUCUCUGUUAAAAAUGUUGGAUGUUGUUUAGCAACCUUUGUUUGAUUUUCUUCAGCUCAACCACAACAUCUUUCAUUUCUUUUCUUUCUUCUGGUAACUCAGCUGAACAAUUCAAAGCCAACUCCAUGAUAGAUGAAAUACAAUUUGCUUUAACAACAAAGUACUCAUCCUCUCUUCUUAGUAAAUCAACAUCUGCAAUUUCUAUCGCUCCUUUAGGCAAUGAACUUUCCAUCCAAUGCCUUAUAGUCUCUUCUUCAACAAAAACAUUAUCAGUUGGCUUUCUCUUUGUGAAAGUUUCUAUAAGGACGAUCCCAUAACUAUAAACGUCAGAUUUUAUAGAAACAAGUCCUGCAGAUCCAAAUUCUGCAUUUCAAGUAUAAUUAGAACAUCAUCAGUCCUCAAUUAUUUGAUAAAUCUAUGUAUAUCCACAUACACGAGAAACAAAAAUAUAAAACGCAAAUUAGGAAAAUAAUCGUACAAAGAUAAAAAAAGAAUUCACCUGGUGCCAUAUACCCGAUUGUUGCAAGAGUCAUGGUUUGCUUCAUUACUUCACCUUCUCCCAACAAUUUGGCAACGCCAAAAUCUCCAACAUGUGCAACCAUGUCUUCAUCUAGUAAAAUAUUGCUUGGUUUUAUGUCACAAUGAAUUAUAGGGGUUGGAUGUCCAUUGUGGAGGUGUUCUAUAGCCACCGCAACAUCUAUCAUUAUGUCGACCCUUUGUAUGAUAUCAAGGAAACAAUUUUUAGAAUGUAACCAUUUCUCAAGGUUUCCAUUAGACAUGUAAUCAAGCACCAAGGCUUUGAAGUCAACACUUGAGCAGCAAGUAAUGACCUUCACAAUAUUACGAUGAACUAUAUGAAGCAUAGCAUCACAUUCAAUGUCAAAACUCCUAAAUGCUCCCUCUGUUUGCAAAUUGAAAACUUUUAUUGCAACUUCCAUUCCAUCUGAAAGCCUCCCUUUAUAUACAUAUCCAAAACUCCCUGAACCAAGCAUAUUGCUUUCCUCAAGUCCAUUAGUUGCUCGUGAAAGUUCAGCAUGUGAAAUUCUUCUCGGUGUCUUCAAAGACAACAAAUCAUCUUUAAUUGGUAGAGCUGUACUCCUUCUUUGGCAUCUUCUAUACAUAAUAGUUAAGACUAUUAGUACUACGACAAUACCAAUUGUUGGUAAACCAUACCUAAAAGCAUGCAAUAUAAUCGUUUGGGAGUUUUUGUGGAUGUCGUUUUUACAAGGUGGGACUAGCAAUCUAGGUGGACCACAAAGUGCAUAAUUCUUCAUGAAUGAUGUGCUAGAAAAGUUUGAAAAACAUCCUUCGCUGGGAAUUUCCCCUUCAAGUCUAUUGAAAGACACAUUAAAAUACUUUAGAUAUAAAAGCUUUUCCAAAGAUUUGGGAAUGACUCCAGAGAGAUUGUUAUUGCAUAAAUCCAAGAAUUCCAAACUAAUCAACCCAUCAAAUGAUUCAGGGAUAUGACCAUGUAGUAUAUUAUUUGAUAAAUCUAAUGAAACCAAAGUUAUAAGACCCCCAAAUGUGGAUAAGAUAUCGCCCGUGAGAAGAUUCCUUGAUAAAUUUAGUUUCAGUAGACUCCUCAAAUUUCCAACAUCAAUAGCAUGUGAAUUGUGAAGAUGGUUUGAUGAUAAGUCUAUUUCUAAGAUAUCUUUAAGAUUCCACAAAGUUGAGGGUAUUGUAGAACUCAAUUUGUUGGAAUCUAAGUAAAGAUAUCCCAAAGAAGUAAUAUUACCCAAACAAGAGGGUAUGGAUCCAUGCAGCUUAUUCAACCCUAAAUACAUCUUGUAUAGUCUCUCCAAAUCACAAAGGCUUUAUGAGAUGGGCCCUCCUAAUUUAUUAGAGGAAAGAUAUAGACCUUGGAGAUUUCUCAUUCCUCCUAUUGAUGCUGGAAUCAAUCCACUUAAUUUAUUAUAGUCAAGUUGUAAAAGCAAUAGGUUGGUUAAGUUACCUAUUUCCAUAGGAAUAAUGCCUUGAAGCUCACACUCAUCGGCAUAAAAGUAUUGAAGGGAUUUUGAAAGGUUCCCAAUAUAAGUAGGAAGAACGCCACUCAAUGGAUUUCCUGAAACACCUAUUUUUCUCAAAUUCCUACAAUUCGUCAAAGAAGAAAGAAAGCUCCACUCAUGAUCAGUAGCAGAUCCUGUGAUCAAAUUAUUGUCAAAGAUUUUGAGCACUUCAAGGUGUUUUAAGCUGCCAAGCAUUUUAGGGAUUGGGCCAGAGAAUAAGUUUCGUGACAACUCUAGUUUCUUAAGCAUGGAAGCAUUGGAGAUAGAGUUGGGAAUGUUUCCGCUAAGUUUAUUUCUCCACAAUAAAAGAAUCUCAAGCUUUGGAGCAUUGGUGAUUGGUGGUAAAUCACCUGUGAAAUAGCAUCUUUUAGUAUACACAUUCAUUGAAUACCAAAUUCACAAAAUAUAUAAUACAUUAAAAUAAAAACUGUAAAACUUUAAAUCAAUUAAGAAUAAAAUUUUGGCAUGGAAAAAUGUGAUGAAAUCAAUUAGAAAGUUGAGACAUAAUAAGAAGUUUUGAGUAGUAAUUACUCAUGAUUUCUAUAGACAAAACAUAUAAUACACUGAUAAUUUUUUAAAAAAUAUUGUAAAACCUGAAAUAAAAUAAAAAAUAAAAGUUUGGCAUGAGAAUGUGGCAUCUAAUCAUUCUUAAAAAUAAGACUAACAUUGAAUAAUAAUUAGUUAUGAUUUGAGAAACAAAAAUGUUAAAGAUGUAAACUGGUAUGAUUUUUAUCUAUUGGGUUAAUUAUUUAUUUUUAUUAAAUUAUAUAUAGUGUAAAAUUUAAAGAUUAUUAUUUGCUCAAAAUUUUUGUAUUUUUCGUAUAUUUGAAAUUUAAUCUUUAUAUUUUUUAUUUUCUGUGAUUUAGUCUCUCUACUUUUUGAAUUGAAAAUUUUAAGUUUAUUUAUUAACACUGUUAAAAAGUUUUUGUGUUAGUAUGGCAUUUUGAAAAAUAAAAUAAAAUUGAUAUCUAUGUUUUUAAUUAUUCCAAAUAUUGUUUUACUAUUUCAAGAUAAACUUUUUGUGUCUAUACCAAUAUCUUAAGAACUAUUGUUGCAUGUUUAAUUAUUCUAAAGAUUUGUUGAUUGAGUCUUGGUUGAAGUGCAUUAUUCUCCUAUUUAUGAAUUGGGGAGUUGAUAAAGUACUUUAUUUUAAUAUAUUUUAAAAUAUUAAAAAUUUAUUAAAAUAUUUUUUAUAAAACUUGAUUGUACCACAAUAUACAAUUUUAAUAUCAAAUUUUUAAUUGUUUUUUAAAAAUAUUAGCGAAUAUAUACUUUAUUUCAAGUUACACAAUUUUUACUAGCUUUUAACUUUUUUUAAAAUUUUUAUCGUCUUUUAUAAUUUCUAAUAAUUUUUUAUAAUUUUUUACAAUAUUUACAAUUUCUAACAAUUUUUAAUAAUUUUAUUAUUUAUUUCAAAUUUAAAAAUUAACAAAUUUUUAUUUUUUUAAAACAAUUAUAUAUUUAUAAUGUAGUUAUUUUUUUAUAAUUUUUUUUUGAAAUUUAAAGAUUUUUUUGGUUUUUUUUUUCUAGAUGAUGAUGCCAUCAUGAUGCCAUCAUAUGCCACAUGCCUUCUAAUUUGUUGUCAUAUAGACAUAUUUCUUCGAGCGUAGUUGAAUUAAAAAUACUUGAUGGAAUCUGACCUGCACACAUAGUCGAAAAUUGAAGUGAAAAGCAUACCUUCUAAGCUGUUAAACUAAAAAUACUUUAAGCAUAUUUUAUUUUCCAUCAAAUUAACUAUUUUGCCUUGAAUGAAAUAAAAUGUUCUUAUUUUUGUUAUCUAUUACAAAUCAAACUCUUUUAUGAAAAAACUAUUUUAAAUUAAAGAAACAAAGAAAAUUCAAUAUCUUCUAAGUUAUUCCACUCCAAAUAUAAUCUUCAGUGAAGAAAUCUUGAAGAUGGAAGAUGGAACCUUACCAGAUAAUUGAUUGAAUCCCAAGCUCAAGGACUCUAGAUUAGACAUGUUAACAAGUGUUUCAGGGAUUGUGCCUAUAAAGUUAUUAUUUUUCAUUUUCAGCCUUCGAACUCCCUGUAAGUUCCCAAGCCAUGAUGGAAUUUCCCCAUUAAGACUGUUGUAUUUUAAUCGAAGGAUCCUCAAACGAUGCAAUUGGCCCAAUUCUUUAGGGAGAUGGCCAUAGAAAUGGUUUCUACUCAAGUCGAGAGAGAGUAGAAAUGAAAGAUUUCCAAGGUGUGGAGGGAUACUACCCCUAAGAUUCAUGCUUUUAAGUUUCAAAGCUAUAACUCUUUUAUGGAGGAUGCCACAAGAAACACCAAUCCAAUUGCAAACAGAGGUUGAGGCCGUCCAAUUGUUUGCCAAGACAUUUUGAGGACCGGCAAUGCGAUCCUUAAACUCGAGAAGUGCAAACUGAUCGGAGUUGAGAUUCCUGACUGUCAUACCCCAGCAAAGUCCGGAACAUGGUACGAAUAAAGCUAAAAGAAGAUGAAAGCAAGUGUUGUAGUUCAUGAUAGCAAGACGGAAUAAGCCAAGAAAAUAAAAAAAAGUAGGACAAGGGAAGUUGAGUUGAUAAAAUAGUUUGGAUGAUGAAGAAAAGCCCAGAGAGCAUGCUUUAAUAUGUUUUGAAGAAAUUUCAAAAUAAAUUUCAAAAUAAAUUUCAAAAUAAAAAUUUAAAAAGGAAAGCAAAGUUUUGAAGAAAUUUCAAAAUAAAUUUCAAGUCUUCUUCUUUAAAAAAUACGUACAAAGAGCGAAUUUUCAAAAUUUCUCCUAAAUUUUCUUCACAUUACUCCACAUAAUCCAUUAAAAAAACUUAAAAAAUAUAUUUUAUUAAUUACUAUACAUUCUUUUACUUUCAGAAUAAUAAAUUGUUUAAAAUUUGCUAUUAGUCCCUGUAAUUUAAAAGUUAAAAAAAAAAUUCAAUCCUCCUACUUUUCUAAUUUAAAAAUUCUAGUUCAAUCAAUUUUAAUUUUAAAAUCUUUGUAUAAAAGGUGUUUUUUUUUUGUGACCGAUCACACUUAACCAAUAUUUAAAAAUUAUUAAAAAAUAUUUUUUUUUGAAAUUUAAAGUGAUCUAAAAACAUAUUUUUAAGUACUUUGGACAGUCUAUUGUUGAUUUCCUUAUUAUAUUAAGUGUUUGCAAUCACUCCUAAUAUAUUGUGCUUGAGUUGUGACAAAGUCGAUCAUCAAAUUGCCAUAAUGAUCUAUUGAUGCUGAAAUUAAAGUUUUUGUUAUAUUGAUAGAGCUUGUCCUUCAACGCGUACAACGUGUUUGUUAUUUUUCUCCCUUCAAAUUGUAUGAUCUUAUUCAUUAAAUGAAUUAAUGAAUUUCCCUUUUAAAAAGAUAUAUUUUUAAAAAUUAAAUACUUUAUAAAAUAUUUAAAAAUUUGUAAGCCUUAAAACAAUCAACAAAAUAUUUUUGAAAUUUUAUAAAUAUAUUUUAAAAUUAUAGUAACGCUACAAAAUAUAUAUAUUUACUAAUUAUAUGCACCUUUUUUAUUUUUUUUCCUAACAUAUCAUUAUUUUCAACACUAUCGUAAUCCUGUUUUGAUAAUUCCCUUUCCAUACAUCCUUUUUCUACAUAGAAUUUCAAAAGAAAAUGUGAAUUAAUGUAAACGUGAGAAGACUUAAUUACAUUUAUUAGUUUAUCAAUCAAAACUUAAUUAGAAUCCAUCAAUAUUUCACACAUCAAAAACCCAAACAUAAAAUUCACUUUUAAAUUAUUUGAAGAUACAUUUGUAUUAUAGGAAAUGGAUUAAAUUAGUCUUUUAUUAUUAAAUGUAUUAUUUUAAUCUUUGUAUUAGGUAUGAAUUGUAUCUCCUAGAUUGAAGCCAAAGCUAUUCUUGAAAGACUGAAAUUAAGAUUCAGAUGUGUUGAGAUGGAAAGUGGCAACACAAUGUUGAUUGAAACUAUUUAUAACGGGUUGGCUACAAUAAGUAGUGCUGCCGAAGUAAGACAGAUUCACGAUUGGUGUUCCAAAAAUUGGGAAGUCAAAUUUCGACAUAUUCAACGAAAUGCCAAUAAAGUUGUUGAUUGCAUAGCUAAGGCAAAUGGAGGCGUAAUUGAGCAGCUGGUUAUCUUGGAAGAUCCUCUGCAUUAUGUGAGAUGCUAGCUUGAAGAAGAUAUUAGACAGUCACUAGUGACUGAUGAUAAUUUUCAUUUGGACUGAUGAGCGCUUAAUUUUCUAAGCUUAUGUUCAACAAAAAAAAAUUUAAAUACGUCUAAAUUGUAAUAGAGUUAACAUUUAGUGUUUAAAAAAUAUCUUAAAAAUUAUUUUUUUCCAAUUGCAGUUCAAUUCCACAAAUAUCGACGAUGAACCCGGACAUAAAAAUUACAGAAAAAAAAACACAUCUAUUAUCAAACCAGCAAUCCAUGUCUAAACUUAAAUUAACAAAAUUUGCCACACAACGCCCGGUACACUAUUAUAUAUCUAUACUAGAUUUAUUCUAGAUGCACAUGUUUUAUUAUAUUUAAAAAUUAAAAUGUAUGGUUGACUAAGUUUUAGUUGAGUUAGUAUUGAUAUUAUUGUCAGUGUAGGAAAAUGUGAGUUUAAUCACGCUCAAAUGUGUUUUAUCCUCCAAUUCAAGGGUUAGGAAAAGGUUAUUGAUAAUUAAAUUAUACCAACUUUUAUAAUAUUAAAAAAAAGGAUUUAUAAAUAAUAUAAGGAAAAGAAAAAAAGAGAAACAUAUUCAUAUUGAUGGGCUCUUUCAAUAUUAGACUUUUUUUUCUAUCACAAGUAAAAAUAUCAAAGGUGAUAAUAAUUAAAUUAUAAAAUUUAAAUUGAGAAAAUAGGGGAUAAAAUUUAUAAGUUUUAAAGUAUAAAGAAUGAAUUUAUAACUAACAACAUAUUUUAACCACAUAAUAAAAGUAGUUAUGGAGAGGAUCAUAUAAAAUGCAAAAAUGAAAUAAUAGAAAAGAAAUAAGUGUUGGGUAUAGUGGCAAUGUAUAUUAUACUUCUAAGGGGAGAUCAAGAUUUUAGACAAGGGAAGAAUUUUAAACCUGCUUUUUUCUCUAGAACUCAACGCAAACCUCAAAUUUAUCUUUUUAAAAGAAUUUAAAAAUAUCUAUAUAAAAGGUGAUUUUUUACCGAUCACACUUAACAAAAUUAAAAAAAAAUUGAAAUUUAAAGUGAUCUAAAAACAUAUUUUAAAGUGCUUUUGACCAUCUUGUGCUGAUUUCUUUAGUAAUUUGAUUUGUUCAAUAUAGAUUUUGGUGACUUAAAACAAAAUUAAUAAAAAAAUAUUUUAUCAGAUAUCUUUUUAAUGUUUAAUAAUAAGUUAAUUUAUAAAAUAUACUUUCAUUGGACACAGGGCCUCCAAGGCGGUGAACCACUAAUCAAAUUAAUUUUGAGAUACUUAAAUUUGUUUUCAUCAAUUAAGAAAUUAAAAAAAUUUGUUGAGACCUCAUGAUUAUGUUUUAUAAUUUCAGGCUUAUCAACUAUUUUGAAAAACAACAAAACGUCUUACACCAAAAACUAAAAAAAUAAAAACGUCGACAUUAAAUUUGUUGCCAUGCAAUCAAUUUUAAGAUGGUUUUUGGAGUUAUAUAUCACCUUAGCAUUGACUUACUUUUCUACACUUAGUCUUCUCCAACAAGUUAAAUAUUUCAAUUUUAACAACAUUGACAGGUCUUUGGGGUAGGGUCGAGCAAAACUCAAUAUAGGCUGAGUUGGCUCGGCCAAGUCGAGUCGACUUGUUCAAAUUAUUUAAAUUCGUAAUUUUUAAGGUGCAGUUAGAAUUUUUUGUUUUGAGAUGCUAAGAUUAAAAUAUUUCAGUUGCUAAAACAAAAUAUUUGUAUUUAAAAAGGCAUAAAUUAAAUAAUUAAGUUUUUCGAGUUUCCAUUUAAUCAAAGGUUAAAAGGACUAAAUUGAAGCUUUUUAUUUUUAAGAAAGGCUGAAUGACAAAUUGCCCAAAGCCAUGCCCCUAGCUAUACAACUAACUUCUCUAUGAUUAGUCCUUCGUUUGCUUUGGGUGAAAUCUUCCAACUAGCCUCAUCCUUGGUUUUACUUUCCAACAAUUAGUGUAUCACGAGUUUUGUUUUCUUUAAAAAAUAUUUGUGGAUAUUAGGAGAUAAUGAAAAUUAUUUUACUAUGAAAUUUUAAUAAAACUGGAAAAUAAGUAAUUUAUUUUAAGAGGUCGCAAUUAAACGUUAGAUUUCCAAUUUUUAAAUUUUAAUUUUUUUUUGACAAUUGCAUAAUAUUUUGAGUGUUGUAGGAAUGCCAUAAUAUAACCUUCCCUAAACAUAAUCGACUCUUGAGCAUGAUGGAUCCUAGAACUUCUCCUCUAUUCUCGUACCGCAAAUUGCUUCAAGUGUGGGUUCGAACAAUCACAAAUUAAACACAAAACCAGAAAUGAUUUAUUACUUUCAAUAGCAAGGUAAUUCUCUCUCAAUAGAAACCAAUAGAAGUGUAAUUCUUAGAAAAUAAAAUUUAUUUUUUGAAAAUAUAUUCUCACUACUUUCUAGCAGAAUAACAAUAUGUGAAACUUAUGUCUUGUGUUAAUAGCUCUACCAGUACUCUCUAUUUAUAGGGAGAGAUACGAGAAUCCUGGUUGAAUUAGUAAAACACGAAUAAUAUUUAUUUCAUAGAAAACAAUAUUCCACCCUAAGUAGAUCAAGUUUGUAUGACGCAUGGAUCAAAGCUCAAUCUAGGAGGAAAAAAAUAAAGGAAUUUUCUUUGUAAAGAAAAUUUGAGAUUGUACUAUUUUCAAAGUUAUAAAUAAAAUUAUACGCCAAAUUUUUAAGUCAAUUUCAACUCCAAUUUUGUAUGCACAAAUUUCUAGUACACUUGGUGGGACAUUCUUUGACUUUUAUCUAUUCUCUCAAAAAGUUAAAGUUCAAAGUUACAUUAAACUCAAAGAAGAUAAUCAUUAGUAAACCACCUCACAAGCCUGCUCAAACUAAUCCUACAACUCAUUCCACUUCAUCAUCAAACACCAAUGUUCUUGCUUAUCCUUAUGGAAUUAAACAGUCUCAUUUUCUGCAUUUUGGGUACACACCUGGUUUUAUUUGAUGCUAAAACAGUCCCCGAGCACUCCAAAGCCUAUAAUUGAACAAAUAAUACUAAUUUAAUCUUACAUAACAUGAUCCCAAAUUGAACUUGUAUCGAGGUUUUAACCCAUAAGUGACUAAACCUUACCUUCAACCGAGUGAACAGUAAUUCCCACACAAACUAAGACUCCGAUUGAAGAUUACGAGCCAUUGAAUCCUCCCCUAAUUGGCAUAAACAAAACACUUCAAAAGAAAGUCAACAAAUGGAGACAAAUCACUUAUCUAAAACUUACCGAACGAUCACAGACAAACGUGAAGCGACACGAGGCAGAGUGGGAAAAGAAAAAUCAAGAGGAUGAAGGGUGAAAGAGAGCAGAAAUUCGGUAGCAAUGAAGAGAAAAACGGCAAGAAAGUGGAGGGAUUUUGGGGAAAGUAAAAAAAAAGAUGAAUAGAAUAUUUGAUAACUACCCCAAUCCCUUAUUUCUCUCUAUCAAACUCCCCACUAAAUCCACUACUCAAAUUUUUAGUCCAUCUCAAACUCUCCUGGACGCACGAGCAAAAAAUAAUGCCCAUGCCAAAAUUUAAACAAAAGACCUCCUUCACACCAACACUCCACUUAUCCACCAGACCAAUAGGCUCAUUCUUUUAAUUAUUUUCCAACUUUUACUUAAAAGCCUACUGACCAAAGAUAGGGCUUAUUCAUAAAAAUACCAAAUUUUGCCCAAGACCUGGCUUGAACUUGGGACCUCCCAAACACACCCAGAACACAUAACCACUAAAGCAGACAUAAAUUUUGUGUCACACAUUCACAAUACCCAAAAUUAAAAUUUUAGGGCGUUACAAAAACACAUUAAAUAAUAUCGCAUAAAAUAAUCACAGUUAGAUAACAGUUCAGAAUGUCGAUUUUACAAUUUAACCACCAAUAGUAUCACAGUAUUCACAGUUGUAAUUUCAGAAUAUCAAAUUUCCACAUGAUUCACAAUAUUCACACAUAUAUAAAUAUAUCAUAAUAGAAUUCCAGAUUUGUAUGCACAUGAUUUAGAAGAUGCCAUACAAUUUUGGUUUUUAACAGAAUAAAUCCUACCCCACGUUACAUACCAUAAUGGGAGUUCCCCUAAACUCCCUUCUCCAACACACUAGGUUAUGGAUAAACCACUAUUGGUUCACAAAUAAUAACUGUCAUUUGGCUGUGGACACACAGCAAGUCCCCACAAUUGGAUUCUAGAUUUGGUUGUGGAUUCACAGCAAAAAAAUCCUACAAAUGAAGCCUGCUUUUGCCUGUAGAUUAUACAACAUAUACCCGCAGUUGGAAUCUGUCUUUGGCUGUGGAUGCAGUGUAACACCGCAAACUCGACCUGGACAUUAUGGCUGAAUCUUGAUGAUUUACUUUAACUCGCUAGAAAACCCACGAAUUUACUUUAAAAUCAUGUGGUUAAACUAGUGUUCACUUUGAUAAAUUGUUUUCCAGUUUUAGAGAAAUUUCUUGUUAAAACUGUUACUUUAUUACAAUAAAACAUUAAAGUAAUUGUAUCAUUUUGUAGUGGAAUCUACUAAGCUAUAAGGUUUUGAAAAUCGUGAUUUAGUUUGCAACAAAUCAUUUUGCAAAUAGAAAUUUAAUACUACUUAAUUUGGAAAAUCACGCUAAAACGAAAGCAAAGUCCAAAAUAAUUUACGGUUUGAAAUUCUAAAAAGCCCAAAUUAGACAUAAAGUCUAUUUAAACCAAUUUAUUGAAAGUGUAACACCCUAAACCCGGCCUAUAUGUUAUGGCCAAAUCUAGAUGUGUUACGAAAAAAAGUUUAUAAAAUGACUUCCUUGUUAUUGGCAAACCAUCGUAACCAUUAUUACUUAGUAUAUCUGAUUUGUUUGGAAAACUUAUUGAUAUACUUAUUUGAUUUAAAAUCGUUGCUCGCUUAUGCCUUUUUAUUAAACCAAAUAUUUUGCAGCGGAGUUUCUUUACAACAUCAUAUUUUGGAAAAUCAAAUUGUUUCUUGAAAAUCGUUAUUUUAGAAAAGUUUUCAUUUUCAGAAAAAUUAUUUUAUCAGUUGUUAUGCUGAGAAAACAAAAUAAAAUCCAAAACCAAAAAUAAUCGCAAAAAGUCUAGAGAGUCCCAAAAUGACAAUACUCUUAAAACUAGACAAGCUUAAACUAAUUUUAAAAGAAUGAAAUUUUACAGAAAUGUGGACACCACUGAGCUUCCGUCGCACCGACCCACCUAAAUCUGAGGGUUACUUGAACAGAACAAACAAACAGAGAGUGAGUUUUGAAACUUAGUGUCUAACGCAUAUAUAAACAAAAAUUCAGAAUCAAUCUCAUGCAGAACAGAUACAAGUGUAAACCUUUUAUAAAAUUAGAAUUGUACAGAUACAAAUAUGCAACAUCCUACCCUCAUCCUCUACACACCAACUCCGACCAUCCUAUCACACCACGUGGGGUAUAAAAUACCCAUCCAGCCCUACACACCGUAUAGUGUUUAUAUGACACUUUUUGGAAUAAUCGCAGCAGAGUUGCCAGUAUAUAUGCGAGAUAUCACCUCACAUAGAACACUUCCUCCUCAUAAUACAAAUCCCGCCUCAUAGCUAGAUACAGACAAAAUAUGAUGUAAAAUAAAUUAACAGAUACUAGAGUUAACAUAUCACGCGUGAGCGUAUAAUAGAUAUUACACAUGCUUAUGCAUAACAAAAUAGAUCAUACAUAUUGUAUUCCAUAAUACUCAUAUAAAUGUUAUUUACGUCAAUCUCAAUCUAACAGAGUAGCAGAUUUCAUGCUUUAACGCUUAUACCACACAUAUAGACCCUAUAGAAGGCCCACAGUCGAUCGAGACAACAUGUAUGUCGCUAGGGAAAAAAUUUGUAAUUUGGGCCCAUAUACAUGUAUGAGCCCACACACCCAAAAUGGCCUUGCCCAUGUGGCUCACCAACCUAGCACUCAGCCCAUACGGUCCAAAAUGGCCUAGGUCGUGUGUCACACACAGCCGCAUGUUGCACACAGCCUACCACAUAGCCAGUCACAAAACUGUUUGGAGUUGAAAAGCCCAAUUUUUGGCUUUCGUCAAUCAUCAUUUUCUUACGUUUUCAUUACACACCUGGUUUGAUUCUGACGCAAAAGCAACCCUAUGUCCACCGAAACCUAAAAAUAGCAUUCCAACGCCCAAUUUCAGUGAACAUUUACAAAACUCAAACAAAAACUAUCCAAAAACAUAGCCUCACAAUAGCAUCCAACGCACUCGCACACUUAUCGUCAACAAAUAGGAAACACCCAACACUCAAUUCGUUGGCGGAGCACCAAUUAUGAUAAUGCAAAAAUUUUAUGGAUUCUCAACACUAUCGAUCCGAAUGUAAGAUUGAUGCUUUCCAAUUAUGAUAAUGCGAAAAUUUUGUGGGAUGGUUUACAUGAAUUUUUUUUGUUGUCAACGAUCAACGUAUUCAAUAAUUAAAAUAAAAUAUUAGUCGUUUUUAGAAAACCAAGACUAUGAGUGUUGUAGUUUAUUUCAGUAAAUUAAAGGUUUUGUGGGAUGAACUAGAUAAUCAUGAACCAUUGAUUUGUUGCAAGUGUGGACAAUGUUUAUGUAACUUAGGGAAGGCGCAUGAACAAUGUCGUGAGCAUGAUUGACUUCAUCAAUUACUUCUUGCUCUCUAUUGUAAUUGUUAUGCUCAAACUAGGUUUACACUGUUUUACCAAGAUCCUUUGCCUUCCUUAAAUCAGGCAUUCCAACAAAUUACUUAGGAGGAACAUGUACGUGGAAUUACACUGAUUAAGGAAGAGAAGUCUGAUAUUUUAGGCUUUGCUAUGCGUACAGAGGGUCAUAACAAAGGCCGAGCUAAUUGUAUUGAUAAGUCAACCUUGUUGUGCACUCAUUGCCAUCGCAAAAGGCAUGAGAUGGCUACCCAUUUUGAAUUACAUAGCCACUUGGAUUGGCGGCUUAAGAAGUAUGGGAAGCCAGAGAAGAAAAGUGAUGAUCGUGGUGGUAAGACAAGUGCCACAUCUUCCACGUAAGUGUUUUAUUUCAAAGGAUCACAAUUAAACAUUAGAUUUCUCAUUUUUAAUUUUUUUAUUUUUUUAACAGCUACGUAAUUAACGAGUACCAAUUUUGGGUGUUGUAGGGGUUCUAUAACUUUCCCUAUAUGUAAUCGACUCUUGCACCCACUUUUUUUUCUCUAGAAUUCAAUGCAAACCUUAGAUUUAUCUUUUUAAAAGAAUUUUAAAAUCUCUUUAUAAAAGACGAUUUUUUUAGGUGACCAAUCACACUUAAGAAAAACAAAUCGGUGGCAACUCCUUUCUAAUAAAUGUAAAAAACUUUUUAAACAAAAUAAGGUUGAAAUAAUCUAGUUGUCGUUAUACUUUGAUAAAAUUUUAGAUUUAGUCCUUAUACUUAAAAGGUUAAAAAUUAAGUCUUGUUUUUAUUUAAAAAUCUUAGUCCUAUCGUUAAUAUUGUUUUUUUUUGUCAAAAUUUGUCAAGUUGACAUAUUAAUUAGGUUUCUCUUAUAUAUCGUGGUAUAUGACUAACACAAAAUAAACAAGUUGACAAAAUCUACAAAAAAUAUCAAAGAUGAUAAUAGUUUAAUUAAAAUUUUUAAAUUAAAAAAGUAAGGGAUUAAAUUUAUAACUUUUAAAGUACAAUGAAUGAAAUUAUUGAAAUACAAGAACUAACAACAUAUUUUAAAAUAUUACUAGUAAAUUAUAUAUCUACAACAAGAAUUGUAACCUCUUAUAUUAUAUUCUUGUAUCUAUUUUUGCAUCUUUCAUUAUAAUAUGAUUUAUUAAUUUUAAUAUUUUUAUAGAAUAAUAUGCUUUAAAUAGUUUUUUGUAUAAUUUAUAAAAAUUAUAAUAAACUUACAAAAUAAUUUAAUGAUAUUUAAUUAUUAACCAAAAAAAAUGAUAUCAUAUAUAUUAUGUAUAUAUUAAGAUUCCGAAUCAUUAAUUAUAUAUCUACGCAUUAUAAUAAAUUCAUCUUUCAAAAUUUUCCUUAUAAUUAAAGCAUAAAUUAUAUUUAUAAUAUUAUAAAUAUAUUUUAUCAUAAAUAUUCUUUCAAAUAUUUUUUAAUGUUUAAUAAUAAGUUAAUUUAUAAAAUAUUUUUUCAAUAAAUUAAUGUGAUGAGAUCGUUAGGUGCUUGGAUUUGGUGAAGGGGGAUGAAGAGAAAAGGGAUGGAAGUGAAUAAAAAUGUUGAGAAAUCGAAAGGGUUAGCGAGGGAAGCCGCCAUGAAAGGUGGUUCAAUGGAUAUGAACCAUCAAGCUUUUGUGGAUGAUGUUACUCAAGGUUGUUGCAAGUAAAUUAAAAAAUAUUUUUUUAAAUUAUUUUUUUGUUAAAAAACAUUUUUUAUUUUUUAUGUGGCAUGCCACAUUAUCAUAGUAUCAUGUGACAACUUCUGGUGAUUUCUGUCUGUAACAUUAGUCAAAUCAACAGUUAAAUCGUUCAACUCACAGUUUUUGUUAAAUGAAGAGGUCAAUUGGUUUUUUUGGAAUCAUUGAGUACUCAAUUGGUGCACUUUUAUCAUAAAGGCUAAAUUAAUUUUUUUAAUUUGUUAUUGUUGAGGGCUAUAACAAUAAAAAAAUUAAUGUAAAAUGAAAAAAAUGUUAGAGCUAAAUUUGUCAUUAUAACUAAAAUGUAAAACCAAAAUUUUUUGAAAAAUGAAAAAAAUGGAAAAUCACAAAUUCUAUCACUUAUGUUUGCUUAAAAUUAUAGUUUUGGUCACCAAUCUUUUGAAGUAAAUAUAUGGUCACCAAUAACUCACCUUAAAGUUAUACCCCUACGCAAGAAAGGAUUAAAUGACAUUGGAAUACCAUAAAACUUGUAUCUUUUUUUAUUCAUCUAAUACCAUUUUAACAUUUUCAUUUUAAAAAAUUGACAUAUCAUUUUGAAUUUGAUCUUUUUCAUGGUAUCUCAAAUUCAUUUAAUCUUUCCCUCUCUAAAAAAGCUAAUGUAACACAUUAAUGACAUCAUUUCAAACAAAGUUUUAGGUCAAAUUAUUCAUCUAGUCCUUGUAAUUGUUUUUAUAGGUGAAUUUCAUUAUUAUUCUUUUAUUUUCUUAGGCUUAAAUACACAUUUACCCCUAAUUUUAUCCCAUUCUCCUUAAUUGGUAUUUAUGGUUUAGAAAAUUUUAUAAAUAUAUUAUUUUUUAAGAAAUUAUAAGAAGAUUACAAAAAUUCCAAAAUAAUAUAAAAAAGCCAAGGAAAACCUAGAAAUUCAAAAAAAAAAAAAAAACGUCGACAUUGAAUUUGCUGUUUCACAUUCAAUUUUUGGAGAAGUAGAAUUUUCUAACUUAUUUUCCAUCAACUUGACUUCAAUUUUCAAUCACAAUCAAUUGCAUUCAAGAGCACCACAUCUGUUUGGAUGAAACAAACCUCUCAAUUUUAAGAUAAACGGGUCUUUAGGGUUAUAAAUUGAGGGCCUUUUCCACAAUUGCGGGUGAUUCGUUGAUAAUAACCUCAACAUUUCUGUAUCACAUUUCAAUUUUUAAUUUUUAGAGAGAUGAUUGGGUUACAAGACUGGUUUGAAGUGAAGAUAUUUCAAAAGAAGAUCGAAUACUCUACCAAUAGUCAUAAUUUAAAAUUCAGGUUAUGUUUCAUUUCAGCUAAGUUAAAUGUUAAGAUUGAGGUUAAACCUUUUAGAGGUUGCUCACAAAAGGAUCAAACCUUUAUAAAAUUGCCUAAAUGAAGGUUAAACCUUUUAAAAUAGACAAAUAAGGGCCUAACCUUUUAAAAGGUGUUCAAAUAAGGGUUUCUCAAACGUUGUAUAUCAGGUUAUGUGUUUUACUCUAAACACAUCGACAUUUACCUAUUUUUUCUAUAAAUUUGGUUGAAGUGCAUGAAAAAUCCUUAUUUGAGCACUUUUGUAAAGGUUAAUCUCUUAUUUGACCAUUUUGAAAGGUUUGAUCCUUAUAUAAGUAACCUCUAAAAGAUUGAGCACUAAUUUGACAAGUUUGAGAAAUAUCUAAAUUUGUUUUCAUGAAUCAAGAAAUUAAAAAAGAAAUGUUGAGAAAUAUUUUAGAGAUUCUUAGCUUUGACAAGUUCCCUCCACCAUCUCCCUGCCUCCAGUCCCACCUCUUCUCUUAUGCUCCUUCCAGCUUCUUGCCUUUUGUGUGUUGAAAAUUCAAAGGAACAAAAUAUCAACCUACAUCAUAAGGCACGAUCGCCAGAACUUUACUUUCUAGCCUGUCGAUCCGAUCCAAUCCAAUGAAAGAAGAACAAGGAGUCUUAAGAUCUGUCAACUUUAUUUCAUUUUCAUUUUCUUUGUCAUUUUCUAUGUUUCAUGUCGAAUACAAUGAAAGAAGAACAUAGAAAAAUGUGGCCUAUUUAUUUCCCAAUCAUCAUGAAAUUACUUGCCAUUGACUUAGAAUUUUCUCACCAAUUUUCAAGCAAUCUGACAUGAUUUCUCAAUCACAAUUAAUUGAAUUCAAGAUCUUUUUAGAUGACACAAACAUUUCAAUUUUAACACAAACCAAUAUUUCGGUUAUACUUCAGUGCUUGACAAGCACUUUCACAUUUGUGGGAUAAGAACUCUUAACAUUUUAGGAUCACAUUUAAUUCAAUUGCAUUUAAGACCUCAUGGUUUUAUUCUAUAAUUUCAGUCUUAUCAGCCUUUUCGGAAACAAUAAAACGUCGACAUUAAAUUUGUUGUUGAUGCAUUCAAUUUUUUGAGGGGUCUUUGGAGUUAUAUGUGACUUUAGCAUUGACUGACUUUUUUAUAAUUUAUCUUUUAUAAUAAGGUAAAUAUAUUAAUUUUAAUAACAUCGACAUGUUUUUUAGUAGGGUCGAGCAAAACCCAAUUAAAAUCGAUGAUAUUGGCUUAGUUGACUCGGUCAAGUCCAUUAGAUUGAUAAAAUCAUUUUUAAAAUCAGUUAUAAUGGAUAAAGGUAAUUAAUUAUCGAGUAAUGAAAUACAUAAUCAAAUCAAUUGAUUUUGUUAGAAACUAAAAGAAAAAGGGCUAAGCUGAAAAUUGAUUGCCCUUUAUUAAAAUUAACGAAUCUGUCUUUUACGUAUUAGAUAAUAUGAACAUCGCAUAUAUAAUAAGAAAAAUUACGUAUGAUUAUUUAUUAUCAUAAAAGGUUAGUUUAAAUUUAAAGUAAUCUAAUAUGUUUAUUGAACUUCAACUAUUAAAUAAAGUAUAAGCUAAAUAAGUAUAAAUAUUCUAGAAACCAUUUCUAACUGAUGAUAGGCUAAUUCGAUUAAUUUAUAAAAACUAGAUAGUAGGGUUAUAGUCCUCAAACUACACCUAAUUUAAUAACAUUUAUAUUUUUUUUAGCCUUAAACAUUUAUAGUUUUUGUUAAUUUGGUCCUUACUCUUUAAAAUUACAUAAAAAUUGCAAAAAAAUUAAAAAUUAAUUUUUAUCAUGAUUUUAAUAACAUUUAUAUUUUUUUUGUGGUUUGGUAACUUAUCAACUUGACUCUUACUUGUAACCAACUUUUCUAACCUUUUUCGUACCCUUAACCUAAGUCCCGUUACAAUUUCUAAAGACCUCUUGAUUGGUGUAUCAUCUCGAUUUGUUUUUAUAGUGGUGGAGAUUUGUUUUUUGUAGUGGCAUGAUUGCCAGAACUUUACUUUCUAUCCUGUCGAUCCGAUCCAAUGAAAGAAUAACAAAGAGUCUUAAGAUCUGUCAACUUUAUUUCAUUUUCAUUUUCUUUGUCAUUUUCUAUGUUUCUUGUCACAUACAAUGAAAGAAGAACAUAGAAAAAUGUUGCCUAUUUAUUUCCCAAUCAUCAUUCUAACAGGCCGAAUUAGCCCAGGCCCAAACAUUAAUAAAAUGUCCAGAUUACAAAAUAACCAACCAAAAAUUAAAAGCCCAAAAUAAUAAAAUAAAACCCAUUACAUUAACCCAAAACUCCAGCCCAAUUACAUUGAAGCCCAAAAAAAUAGUUUUUAGAAACCCCUAGGGUUUCUGGAACAAUCCGCGCCGCUCCUCCAUCCGCUUCUCCACGCACGCUGCACCUUUCCACGUGCGCCUCCAGCUGGCAGUGUACCUCCAAUGCAACAAACAAAGCAACAAGCAGCAAAAGAAAUGGAAAAACAACAAAAAAAAAAAGAAAGGAGCAACAAUGUAUAACAGAUUGAUAACAAAUAAUAGAAAAAAUAGCAGUAAAUAGGAAAAAAAAUUAAAAAAUAAUGAGGGUAAUUUCAUUUUUUUCUCUGUUUUGGCUAUAAAGAGAGCCGGUCAAAAUCUCUAAAGGGGGAUUUAGAAAUCAAUCAGAAAACAAGUAUUUUGUACCAACAAUUAGAGAAAAAAAAUACAAAAAUAGGGAUUGAAGGUUUUUUUUUCUUUCGUUUCGAUUUAUUUUAAAAUAGCAUAGAAAAUAAAAAGAAGGCUUACCUUGCGACGCCUUCAGAUCCUCUCGAAAAGGGGCUAAAAGGCCCUAUGUGGCACAGAUUUGACCACUGUUCACGGUGGAACCGCAGCGGAGGCGCAGAGGAUUGGCAUCAAUUUAGGCAGGGUUUGAAACCCUAGCAGAGAAAAAAUUAGGGUUGAUAGAUUUUUUUUAAAAAAAUGGCAAAAUGUUGUUUUAAAAAAUUUUGUUUUAAAAAAAAUUGUUGCUUUUAUAAAGGGUGUAAAACGGCGUCGUUUAGGGCAUGUUUCGAUGGCCCCAAAACGGCGCCUUAUAAGGCAACCCCCGACGACCCGACCUGCUCCAUGGGGGAUCCGCGUGGUUUUUGUUAAAUGGGUUAUGUCUAACCCUGGCCCUUCUACUUUUUAUACUUGUUUUAAUUUGAUCCUCUUUUUAUUUAUUUUUAUUUCUUUAAAUUAAGCCUGAUAAUUUUUUUCCAUUACAUUUUAAUCCUUAAUGAAACGGCGCGUUUUAGAGGAGAAGGGAAAAUUACCCUUCUAGUCCCUUCUUGUUAUUCGAGUGUUCAGAAGGGUCCUUUUUUGUUUAUUUUUUAUUUGCCCCAAAAUUUUGUUUUAAAGCUUAAUUUAGUCCUAUUUUGUUAUUUUAGCUAUUUUAUUAUUAGAUUAAUUAAUUUAAUAUUAUUAUUACUGCUAUUAUUUUACCCCUAUUAUUUAUAUAUUUAUUAUUAUAACUAUAUCAUUAAAUCAAUUAGUUUUUACAUUAUUAUUUCCAUUCUGUUUUUUAUUUACUUACUUAAAUACUUUAAAUGCAUUUAUUUUAUUUCUUAUUUUUUUAUGAAAUUUCAAAACUUUAGACUAUUUUUUUGUUACUAUAACCCUAAUUUCAUUCAUUUUAUAAUAGUUUUUUUUUAAAAUAUUUCUUAGAUUAAUUCCCUCGAUGUUAUUUUGUAUAUUUAUUUAUCUUUUUAAAUUUUCGAUAUUGUCUUAUUGUAUUAUUGUUGUUACUAUCAUUAUUCAUUAUUAUUGUUGAUUUUAUUCUUCUUUGAUUAAUGUUUAUGUUAGAGUAAUAGGUGUUAUGUGAUCAUUGUUAUUAUAUGUUAUAAUUUGUUGACACUCGUAUUGUAGUCAUUCGUCAGCUUAAUAUUUUGAGUAACAUUUUAAAUAUUACAUUAAUUUUGACCCAAAUGCAUAAUUUUUUAAUAAGUAAUAUUUCGUAUUGUGGAAUUUGAGAGAUCAUUCCCUAACUUACGGGGUCUCGAUUUUUUUGAUAAAUCUGAAUAUAAGAACUAUUUUAAAAAAAUACGUUUUAAAAUUAUCUCGGGAAUUUAAAAAGAAGCGUGUUCUAACUUACGGAAUAUGAUCUUUUUUUAAAAAUCGAGAUAAUCAAAUAUCUUUCAAAUAAAUAAACUUUUCGUGUUUAUUCUCGUUUUAGGAUUUAAGAUAUUGUGUCCUAACUCACGGGACACAAUUCUUUUUCUCGAUUAACGUGAAAUACGCCCUUUUUAAUUUUAUCUUUUUAAGUGAUUUUAACAAAAGGAUUGUAUUUUAAAUCUCUUCAAAAUUUUCAAUUUUUCGACAUUGAGACAUUAACUAAUCAAUUAGGUACCAAUUUUGGGCGUUACAAGGGUGUUAACCCUUCCUUGUACAUAACCGACUCCCGAACCUAUUUUUCUGAAUAUUAUAGGCCAAAAUUGUUUUAAUAAAUUAAACCCUUAAGAGGUGACUCGAUCACAGCUCAUAAAAAUUAUCGGUGGCGACCCUUGUUUUAAAAAAGGUGGUUUCAACAGCUUGGCGACUCCGCUGGGGACAAAAAUAAGAGUCAAGCCGCGAGUUGAUUAUUUCUUAUCUUUUUGUCAGAAAUUGUGAAUUCGAUUUAAAUUUAUGAUCUUUUCAUUGCAUUUUAUGGUCUGCAUCAUUUUUAUAUGCUUGCUUUACUACUUCGAGUCUUUUAAUCUUCGCAUAUUGUAUUGCAUAACCGUUCGGUUAUACCCUUUUAAGCGGGAGUGAGAAAUUAUUCUUUCGUGAGGUUUUCACCUUCGUAUAGGAUAGUGGAUUACUUUCAGGAUACAUCCAUACCUAUGUCUUCGUGAGAUUCUCAUCUCCGUAUAGUCAUAGGGAAAUGUAUUCCCCUGAACUGAACUCAGUCCGUAUGAGCCUAUAAUGGGUGAGGAUUGAGGAAUCUGCUGGUUCAGGUACCCUUUCUUUAGAACUAAACCGCAUGUAGUGAGCCCUAAGAGCAUACCCUAGGUAGAACCACUCCAAACCCCUAGUGGUCACCCAAAUAGGUGCUCUAUUUAUUUUUGCUUGCUUGUUUUUGCCUUGUACUAACCUAUUUGUUAUGGUUAUGAGUGCAUUGCAUUUUUAUCAUAAAAAAGAUGUGUUGAUUCACGUUCAGUUGCUAAAUAGAGAGCUUGUCAUGGAAAACGAAUUUCUUGAUAAAGUGGAAGACAAUGCGGUUGUCCGGAUAUGGUCCAAGAAAAUGUGAAGAAAGAAGGGUGAUAGUCUAAUGGAGGACUACACGACCUUGCUUUGUUGCCUGAUGAUUCAAGUUGACAAAGAUUAUUCGAGAGUCUUCAAUGUCCCGACCUUUUUAAAGAAGCUAACGAGCGUCACGAGGAUGAGCGAGUAAUGAGUUGCGGCCCGGAUCAAGCAAAAAAAAGAUAGAGGAGACACCCUUUUUGAAGAGUUCACGAGAUUUAUCUUAACAUCUAGACGAAGAAAAAGAUCAAUCUCUUUGCCUAGAGUAUGAGGGCAAAGCCGUAUAUAUCCGCUUUAUGUAAAUAAAUUUGUUUUCUAGUAAAGUUUUUCUAAUAGGAUUGAAUCAGAAUCAACGUCUCUUUUUGCAUUCAUUCCAUUCAUCUGCAUUGCAUUUCAUUGCAUCUAGAAUUUCACAAAAGGACCCUAAUUAAUCGAAAUUGUUAUAGCUACCUUGAAAAACUAACGAAAAUUUACCAAUUAAAUAUUCCUAUGGUACCCAUUGCAAAACUAAAGUAAUGGAUCAAAUAUUAGAAAGAUUAGAACAAAUGCUGAAGGAUAAACAUAACUGCUUUGGCUUAGGGUACAAGCCAGAUACAAGACAAAGAAGAAAUAGGAAAGGAGAACACGUUUGAGCGGGGAUGAGGUCAAAUGGGAGGGAUUAUUCAUCCCAGGCGAAGAAUGCCAAGAGAAGAAAAUAUUGAAAACAUGUUGGGAAACGUUCACAUCAAUGCCAUAUACGAAGAAGCAAUUGAAGGAGUGACCUUGUUAGAUAUCCGCCCUUAUGAACCUAAGAGUGUGCUAAACAAUUGGACUGCAGAAGAAAUUCUUGUAGUGUUUAGAGCUUACUCAUAGUAAUGUUCAGAACACACUUGUUGCUUUUAGCCUAGAAGUGAUAAGAAUCCCUCUGUGAAAUAGGCUCAUGUAUAAACAUCAUUAUUUUAAUGAAGUACAUCUUUGCAUUCAUUUUGAGCAAAUAUUCUUUUAUUCUUUUCAUACGAGUAAUUAUUUUGGAUUCUUUAAUUCUUUUGGGAUUUUCUUCCAAAAUCAUUCUUUUAUUACAUCCAUAAUCAUACUGUACAAAUAAUGUAAUAGCCUGAAUUUUCAGUGGUGUCGGAAUGGUGAUUCAAGAUCACUAAGUCUGACAAAUGAGUAGAAAAUAUUAUUAAUUUAGUAAGAAUAAGUAAAUGUGAAGUUAGGAAAAUUUUUGAAAUAGUGAAUAGUGUACUAGGAAUAAAUAUUAAAAUAAUUAAAAUAAAAAAUGAGGUAUCGAGACCUCGAAGAUUUUAAACCAAGCCAUAAGUACUUUUAGAAGUAUUUUUAGAGUGUCAUUGAGUUGGUAUUAAAGUUUCGUUAGAAAAUUUUAACGCUCGGAUAGUUAAUUAACCAAAAAGGACUAAAUUGAAAAUAGUGUAAAAUUUGUUAAAUUGUGAUUAAAUAGCUUAAGUGAUUAAAAAGGAGGGAUUUAAAAGGCAAUUAGGCCCAAAUUAUAUGGGCUGGACGGUUGGGUAAGAAAAAUCAGCAGAAUGUAAGGAGAAACAGGGGCAAAAUUGGAAACUUAACAAAUUAAACAUAUAAAACAAAGACAAAAGUGAAAAAUCUAGAGAUCUGCUCACAAUUUAUCAGCAAAAAUGCCAUAGGAGGUCUGAAAGAAGCUGGUUUUUCAUAUAUUUGAAUCAUGUAAGUUUAAUUCUUGAUUAUUUCUUCUAAUUUUUGUGAUUUUGAUACUUUUACAAUUAGGUCCAACUAAUUAUUUCAUUAGUUUUUGAUUUCAUGGCUGAUUUUGAAAGUUACCAUUGAUGAGUGUUGGAUUUUUAUGAUGAAUAAACAUGGAAUUAAAGCUUUAAUUUUGUUAUAUGAUGAUUUUAUUAAGUAAUUUUGAUAGAAAUUGAUUUUUGGGACCUAAUUGUGAAAAAGUUUGGAAUUAGGGUUUGGUGUUGCGGUUUUGAAUAUGAAAGUCUAUGUAGUAGUCUAAAAUAGUUGGAAAAGGUGUUAAUUGAGAAAAAUUAGAUCAAUUGAGGGGUUAAUUGAGUAGGACCAAAUUGUAAAAACUGUAAAGUUUGAGGUAAAAGUGUAAUUUCGAAAAUUUAAGGGCAUAAAUUGUGAAGUGAAUUAGAAUAGAAUUAUAUGCUGAUGAAUGAAUAAAUUUGUAUUUUAGAUCGAGAACCCGAAGCAAGCCGAGGAAAAGAAAAAGUAGUUGAUUAGUCCCUGAACUUUUACAAAUUCUGCAAAUCGACCCAGGUAAGUUCAUAUGGCUGAAAUUUAAUGAUUAAAUGUUAAUUUCAUGAAUUAUGUAAUGUAUGAUGAAAUGUAUUUAGUGUUGAAAUGAGAGUAAAAUAAAAAUGCGAAAAUCGAAUAAAUGAUCAAAUUAAGCGGAACGCCGGAUUUGAGUACUUCUGAUCAAGAGACAAAGUGAUAAGUGGUAGCUUUAGCUACACUUAUCUGAUCAAGUGAAAAAGUGAUAAGUGCUACACUUAUCUGAUCAAGAGACAAAGUGAUAAGUGGUAGCUUUAGCUCACUUAUCUGAUCAAGUGAAAAAGUGAUAAGUGCUAUACUUAUCUGAUCAAGUGACAAAGUGAUAAGUGGUAGCUUAGCUACACUUAUCUGAUCAGGGCCAAAUGAUAAGUGAUCAUACGUAAGACCAUAGUUAUACUAUGGCCAAGUGAAAGUGAAGUACUCAAUUUUCCGUAACCGUUCCUUAAUUUUGAUCAAGGAUGGUAAGUGACAAAUAGGCCCAAAGAAAUUAUGGUAAAAGAAUAAGUAGUAGUGAGUUUAUACCAAGGAACUCUCCAAAGAUUGUGGUUGACAAGUAAACUUAGUAAUGGUGUAUAUUGUAUAAGUGUACAAAUGUUUGGUAAGAUUUAUGUUUGUGCCUAUGAACUUACUAAGCUUUUCUAUAAGCUUACAUGUGUGUGUUUAUUGUUUUUCUAGAUUAACGUAUUUAUACAUUCGGAGGAUCGGAUCUACUUCGAGAAUCACACUAUCCAGAUAUACUCCGGUAGAUUUUGUUAAACAACUUUUUGGAUUUAUAUGGCAUGUACAUAGAAUUGAAGUAAAAAGUAAUAGAAUGAAUGACUGAGUAUGCAAAGUAAAUUUGAAUGUGAUGGUUGUGUUAGAUAUUGAAAAAUACAUGUUUUUAGUUUGAAAUGGUUGAUUGGCUGAACUUCGUUAGUAUUCAAGUGAAGUAGUUGAAAUACUGGAAUUGGUUGUGAUUUGAAAUUUGCAGGGAAGGUUAGAUAAAUAUAAAGGGGUUAUAUUGAUUUUUUUUAAAAAUUUCAAUGGAAUAAUUUUUGGACAGCAGCAUUGAUGUAACUUUUAAAAAUCACCAAAAAUAGUGGAAAUAGAAUUAGAAGUUGAAUGAGAUAUGAAAUUAAAUCUGAAUGAGUCUAAUUUCACAUGAAAGAAGUAGAAUAAGAAAAAGAGUUAUAUAUUUUUAGAUAUUUGAAUUUUAGUGAAACAGGGCAAGAAUGUUUUUGAAGUCCCCUGUUCUGACUUUAGAAAUUUAGUAAAAAUUGUACAAAAGGAAUUAUGAAUUAUAAUUUAUAUGUUUAAAUUCCGUAAUGAGUAUAUUUUAAGUAGAAAUAAUUGGAACCACCAUAUGAAGUCUUUGCAAUGAGAUAAUUGAAUUUUAGCGACAAGAGGUCAGGAUAGUCAAUUAGUGAAAUAGGGGAGACUUCAACUAAUAAACUGUAUUAAUUUGCUAAACCAAAAAUUCUGAAAAAUUUAUGGUGAAUAUACAUAUGAGUCUAGUUUGAGGGAAAAUUUACGGAUCUAAAUUUUUAGUUUCGUAUCUUGAGUUAUAAUUAUUUUAGUGACUACUGCGCAUGUGGACAGCUUUGUUGUGAAUGGUGAAAUUAAUUUUUAAAGUAAAUUUUUAUGCCCCGAACUUUUAAGUUCAGUCAAGUAACGCCUUAUGCUCGACUCCGGCAACCGUCUUGGGUAAGGGGUGUUAUAAAUAAUUAUUCUUAAAUUCAUACAUUCUUUGUAUAUUAUUUUGUACCUACAAUAGGUCCCUAGAUAUUAACAACAUGAGUGACGUUGCUACAGACUCAGAAUUUCCUUUUAAACAAGACAUGUGUUUAGAGGGAUCCCAUGGCUUUGAAGAUGACGUAGACUGUGGCUUAUCUCUGAAUUUGUUAAGGAUGGUAAAACAAGAGGAGAAGCAAAUCCUACCUCACAAGGAAUCAAUGGAAAUUGUGAGCUCAGAAGGGGGAAAAGAGGUGAAGAUUGAGACUAACAUUGCCACAAAGACAAAGCAUGACCUCGUUGAGUUACUCCAAGAAUUUAAAGAUGUCUUCGCAUGGUCAUACCAGGAUACUCCCGGGUUAAGUACUGGCAUUGUAGUACACUACCUUCUUAUAAAAGAAGAUUGCAAGCCAGUUUAGCAGAAACUCUGAAGGAUGAUGCCUGAUAUUGUGCUAAAAAUAAAAGAAGAAGUUAAAAAGCAAUUUGAUGUUGGGUUCUUACAAGUGGUUAAAUAUUCAGAAUGAGUAGCCAACAUCGUCUCAGUCUCUAAAAAAGAUGGGAAAGUACGAAUGUGCAUAGAUUACAGAGACAUGAACAAGGCCAGCCAAAAAGAAAAUUUCCCAUUGCCUCACAUUGACACUUUGGUGGAUAAUACAGUAGGCUACUCACUGUUUUCCUUCAUGGACGACUUCUCUGGAUACAACCAGAUAAAGAUGCAUCCCAAAAACAUGGGAAAGACUACAUUCGUGACCCUAUGGGGAAUGUUUUGCUAUAAAAUGAUGUCAUUCGGAUUAAAGAAUGUGGGAGCGACGUAUCAAAGGGAAUGGUAACCUUGUUUCAUGACAUGAUGUACAAGGAAAUCGAGGUUUAUGUUGGCGAUAUGAUUGCAAAAUCCAGAACAGAAGAGGAACAUGUGUAGGCCCUAAGAAAAUUAUUCUUAAGACUGAGAAAGUUCCAGCUCAAGCUUUCCAACGAAAUGCACAUUCAGAGCUAGGUUAGGAAAGCUGUUAGGCUUCACAGUUAGUGAAAAAGGAAUCGAGAUCAACCCAGAUAAAGUCAAGGCGAUACGAGAUUUACCUCUACCAUGCACUCAGAAGGAAGCUCGAGGUUUCCUAGGAAGACUGAAUUACAUUGCUCGAUACAUUUCACAACUAACCGAAAAAUGUGACACCAUAUUAAAAUAAAAAUAGAUUAAAUUGUAAGUAAAACAUAAUUUAAACAUAUGAAUACAUCAAAUUAAUAAUACUAAAUGAAUACAGUUAUUUAUGAUGAUGUUGUUGCCAAUUCCUAAUUUGGUGUCUAGUUAAUUUGUGACAUCAUAAAUUUAAGUGAUAAAUUUAAGGUUUUAUGUAUUGAUGUGGAUUCAAAUAUCACCAUAAUUUUUGUAAAUAAAAAACUAAUAAGAUAACUUAUAUUAAGUACGAAAGGGUAUUUUUAUAAUUUCUCUAAUCGAGUUGGUGCCCGGUUGACUCAUGACACUAACUCAAUCAGAAGCUUUAAUAAUAAUAUAGAUAUUCAUGUUAAAAAAACAAAAAAAAAGUACUUUAGUUCCAAAUAAUUAUAUAACAAGUAAAUUUAUAAUUGAUGAAUAAAUUUAUAAAUAAUAUAUUUAUAUGAUCUAAUAUAUUAUAUUUAUAUUAAUUAUAUAUCAUCUACAAACUUUGAAGAUCAAUUUAUUAAGUAAAAAUGAAAUUGUUAACACUAAAUCAAUUUUUAGAUUUUGUAUAGAUGAUUUAGUGAUGAUAAAAACAUUAUUAACACUAUUUUUUAAUUAACAAAAAAUUAGUGAUAUAUUUAAAUUAUAUUUAUCAUUUAUUAUUUUUAAUAAUAUUUUUUAAUUAUAUGAAGUAAAAUUAUAUUGUAUACUAAAUAUGGUACAUAUACUCUAAUUAUAACUUGAAAUUUUAUUAUAUAAAUUAAUAUAAAUUUGAAUAACAAAAUAAAAAAAAACUAAUUAGAAUAAUUUUAAAAAACAUUAUUUAAAAGUAGUUAAAAAUCACGUGCAACAGGUGAGAUCAAUGGUCUUUAGAGAAGAAAUGUUGAAGAUCAAAGUUGGAAUCUGGCCUAUAAGGCCUUUAAUUGCUUUAAUAUUAAGCAGUUCCAAACCAAGAAGAUUACCGAUUUCCUCAGGAAUUUGACCUGCACACAUGGUCGAAAAAUCAAUGUGUCAAACUACCUAUUUUGUUAGCAUAAGUCAAAGAGGUUUUCUUUUCUAUUCUACAUAAUUUGCAGAUGUUAGAUUUUAAUAUUUUUAAGCAUAUUUGUUUUCAUCAAAUUAACUAUUUUGAACUAUUUUGCCUUGAAUGAAAUAAAAUGCUCUUACUUUUGUUAUCUAUUACUAAUCAAACUCUUUUAUAAAAAAAAUACUUUAAACUAAAGAAACCAAGAAAAUUCAAUACCUUCUAGGUUAUUCAACCCCAAAUAUAAUUCUUUGAGUCGUGUCGGAUUUCCAAUACUUCUUGGAAUGAUCCCCAUCAAUUGAUUAUAGGAAAAUGACAAAAUUUUAAGGUUGUUGCAUUUGCUUAUACUUGACGGAAUGUUACCAUAUAAUUCAUUCCGACUCAAGUAAAGCCCUUCAAGCUUGGAAAGAUGUGACACAUAUCAUUAGGCAAGCUACCUGAUAGGCUAUUGUUGGAGAGAUCAAUGGCCUUCAGAGAAGAAAUGUUGAAGAUCGAAGUUGGAAUCUGACCUGUAAGGCCUUUAAUUGCUUUAAUAUUAAGCAGUUCCAAACCAAGAAGAUUACCGAUUUCCUCAAGAAUUUGACCUGCACACAUGGUCGAAAAAUCAAUGUGUCAAACUACCUAUUUUGUUAGCAUAAGUCAAAGAGGUUUUCUUUUCUGUUCUAUAGUAAUUUGGUGAUGUUAGAUUUUAAUAUAAUUCAGCACAUGUUUUUCAUCAAAUGAAAUAAAAAGUUUUUCCUUUUGUUAUCUAUUACAAAUCAAGCUCUUUUAUUAAAAAAAUACUUUAAAUUCAAGAAAUCAAGGAAAUUAAUUACCUUCUAAAUUAUUAAACCCCAAAUAUAAUUCCUGGAGUCGUGUUAGAUUUCCAAUACUUCUUGGAAUGAUCCCCAUAAAUUGAUUAUGGGGCAACAACAAAUUUUUAAGGAUGUUUCAUUUGCCUAUGCUUGACGGAAUGUUACCAGAUAACUCAUUGCUAUGCAAGUGAAGCCCUUCAAGCUCGGGAAGAUGUUGACACAUAUCAUUAGGCAAACUACCUAAUAGGCUAUUCCUGGAGAGAGCAAUAGUCUUGAGAGAAAAAUGUUGAAGAUCGAAGUCGGAAUCUGAUCUGUAAGGCCUUUAAUUGCUUGAAUAUUAAGCAUUUCCAAACUAAAAAGAUUACCGAUUUCUUCAGGAAUUUGACCUGCAGACAUAGUCGAAACAUCAAGGUGUUAAAUUUCCUAUUUUGUUAGUGUAAAUCAAAGAGGCUUUUUAUUUUUUUUCGUUAUGAAAUAAUAUGGAUAUGUUCGAUUCUAAUCAUAUUUAAGUAUAUAUUAGUUCUUGAAAGAAUGAGUUCUUAUUUUUGGUAUUUAUAUUGCAAAUAUAUAUUUUUUUAAAUUUAAAAGAAGGGAGGGGGCAAAUGUGUUUAAACUAAAGACAUCAAGGAAAAGGCAUACCAAGUAUAAUUGUUUAAGUUGUGUCAAAUUCCCAAUGCUUUUUGGAAUGAUCCCACUAAAUUGAUUAAUAGACAAUUCCAAAAUUUGAAGGUUGCAGCAUUUGUCUAUACUUGAUGGAAUAGAACUUGAUAAUUCAUUUCUACUCAAGUAAAGCUCUUUCAGCUUGGGAAGAUGGACACACAAAUCAUCGGGCAAGCCACCAGAAAGACUAUUAUCACAAAAAUGAAUCCUUUUCAAAGAAGAAAUGUUAAAGAUGGAAGAUGGAACCUGGCCAGAUAAUUGAUUGAAUCCCAAGUUCAAGAUCUCUAGAUUGGACAAGUUGACAAGUGUUUGAGGGAUCGUGCCUGUGAAGUUAUUAUUUCUCAUUUCCAACCUUUGAACUCUGUGCAAGUUCCCAAGCCAUGGUGGAAUUUCCCCAUUAAGACGGUUGUAGCUUAAUCGAAUGAUCCUCAAACGAUGCAAUUGGCCUAAUUCUUUAGCCAGAUGGCCGUAGAAAUUGUUGUUGCUCAAGUCGAUAGAAAAUAGAAAUGAAAGAUUUCCAAGGUGUGGAGGGAUAGUACCCCUAAGAUUCAUGUUUGUAAGAUUAAUCAAAGCUACAACUCUUUCAUGGAUGAUGCCACAAGAAACACCAACCCACUUACAGACAGAGGUAGAGUUCGUCCAAUUGUUUGCCAACACAUUUUGAGGAUCGACAAUGCGAUCUUUAAACUCAAAGAGUGCAAACUGAUCGGAGUUGAGAUUCCGGACUGUCAUAGCCAAGGAAACAAUAGAACAUUGUAUGAAUAAAAGUGAAAGAAGAUGAAAGCAAGUGUUGUAGUUCAUGAUGGCAAGACGAAAUAAGCCAGGAAAAGGGAAGUUGAAUUGAUGAAGAAAUAGCCAGCCAACAUGCUUAAAUAGGCUUCAACCCUUGCACACUUCUCAUACAUAAAGUUCGCUGCCAUUACAACAAGAAAACUCAUAUCUCCAUUCGUACCUAUCCAUACUUUAUUUGACUAACUUUUCCCUAACAAGUGUUCAGUAAGGAGAUAAAUCAGUUUGGAGCUAUUCACCGGCUUCUCCAAUCUUGGUUUCAAACUCCUAACCCAUCAAUUCACUUUAAUUGAAACGAUAUACACGAGUCUUUCGGCUUAUAUUUUUAAUUUAAUUUUUGUUACUUUUCAUAAUAUUUUUUGAGAAAUCCAAAUAUUCCAGUCUGAAAUUUCUUCAUUGCCACGUCUAUCUCCUGGGUAAGUCCGUGGUUAGGCAGCCCACUUUGGGAGCAGGAUUGUAAUUGUAAUUCUAUCCGACUCAUUUUACUAUUUAGAAAUAUAAAAGUAAUAUUAUAUUAUUUUUUAUAUUUUUAUAAAUUUAAUUUUAAUUAUAAUUUUUAAACAAUAAAACGAGUCAUUUGUAUUUGCCUAGUCUAAAUUGAAUCAGGAGUCAAAAAAAUUUUAAUCAUAAUUUACUAUUAUUUUAAUUAAUUAAAAUUUAACCUACUACAACUAGUAGUUGCAGAAAAAAUGUCAUUCCUUUAGAAAAACGAAAAUCCUUUAGAAAAAUGAGAACUUAUGAAGCAUUCAAUAAGAGUCAUUGGAAUAAAUGGUAACGAAAUCAUAAUUCAAUAUAAAGCUAAAAAAUGUACCAAUCUAUAUAAAUAAUGUAAGAUUUGUGAUACCUAAAUUAUUAUAUUUUCCAUAAAUAUAUGAAGAUAUUUUAUUAGGAAAUAAUUUUAUAUAUAAAAUUUUUUAUUUUCUUUUGAUAGAAAUUUAAUUAUGUUAUCUGUAGAAAAAAAUAUUUAUAGAAAUAUUAUUAGUAGAAAAUCAUAAAUUUGUGUGUGGCAAAAAAAAUUCACCACCAAGAAAGGGGCAAAUUAAACAACUUGAAACAAGUCAUUGGUUGUUUAAAAUAUUAGAUAAUAAUUUCAGUGAAGAAUCAUUAAAAUUAUGACAAAAUAACCCUAGAUAUUGUAGUAUUAAAUUGGAAAAUCUCAAUAAUAUUAUUAGAGUAAAACCUAUGAUCUAUCUAAACAAGAUAUAGAAGAUUUUGAUAUACAAAUUAAGGUUAGAAAUCAUGCGGAAAUAAAAAAGAAAAAAAAGCUAGUAUGGUCAUUAAUUAUAAAAGAUUAAAUCAAAAUAUUAUUUUUUUAUAGUUACUUGAAUUAAUCAGGCUAAACAAACAAAAUAUUUUAGUAAAUUUGACUGCAAAUCAGGAUUCUAGCAAAUCAUGAUAACAGAAAAGUCCAAACCUUUAACGGCUUUUAGUGCACCCAAUGGACAUUACCAAUGGAAAGUGAUGUCAUUUCAAUUAUGUGAUGCACCACAAAUCUUCCAAAGACGAAUGGAUUUUAUAUUUAAUAAAUAUAAAAAAAUUCUAUGUAGUCUACAUAGAUGAUAUUUUUUAUAUUUUUAGAUACACUAGAAUUACAUAAGAAACAUUUAAAUAUUAUUUCUUAAGAAUUCAUAAAAUAUAGAAUCAUAUUAAACCCUAAAAAUAUAGAGUUAGAAAAAAGAGAGAGAAUUUUUAUAAUAGUGGAAAUAAAAAAUUGUCCUCAAAAGAUUGAAGAAAAAAAGAACUUCCAACAAUUUCUAAUAUAUUCCUCCCAAAUUUUCAGUUUCAAUUUUAUUACAGAAUUUCUUUGCCGACAAUAAGAAAUUAAGAGCGCUCUUUAAGUUGAAUAUAGUCCGUCAGAUAUGGCUAUCUAUAACAUGGAACCUUUGGUUUUCAAGCUGAAUAGGAGAAUUGAUUCACUUGAUAAGUAUGAAAAAUUGAAACUGCUAAAUUUAAGUGCACUAACUCUGGAUAUCAUCAUUAUUUUUCUGUACAUUAAAGUACCUGUUUGAUAUGCGAUUUCUGCCUCAAACUAUCAACAUCUUUAACAUCCUUUUGCUAUAGUUAGCAUGGGUACUUCCUUUUAGAUUAACAGUUAGGUUUGAACUGUGAAUUAGAUUUCUGUGGCUGCUGGGAUUGAAGAAGUUAGUAUGCGAAUGACAUUGGACAAAUUUGGCAAAGUCUUCUCCAUCAGUGAAGAAAACCCCUUGGCGUAUGAAAAAUGUUCACCAUCUUAGACAUUUGUUUUCUUAUUGUAAGAAUAUUUUUAACAUUGUAACUUUUAACAUUAUUGUAAGAAUAUUUUGAAUUAUACUUCAGUUAUCAAUUUAUAUCAUAUAUCUUUUGUUGAAUUUGAAGUAUAAUUUAUAUUUGCUGUUUUUGGUUAGAUUUCAUGCUAUAGGAAGGGUUGUAUAUGGAUAGAAAUUGAAUGUUACAAAUCUGCCAAAGUUAGUGGCGUUUUUUCAUAAGAGCUGCUAAAGAAUGCUAUUUUUGGCGGUGUUUGUAAUAAAAGAGCCGCUAAAGGUCAUGUUCUUUAGCGAUGUUUGUGGGUAAAGCGCCGCUAAAGAUCAUGUUCUGUAGCGGUGUUUGUGGAUAAAGCGCCGCUAAAGAACAUGACCUUUAGCAGCGUAUUUUCACAUAAACGCCGCAAAAUUUAGCGGCUUUGUCUAUAGCGACUUUUUUUGCAGCGCUUUAAGUUUUAGCGGCGCUUUUAGGCCUAAAAAAGGGCCGCUAAAAGCCUGUUUUGCUGUAGUGAGCAUAUUUACAUUUUCGUCCCAAUUUCAACUAACACCCCAUCUAUUUCCCACUUCCCUUUUUCGGGCAAUUUCAACUAACACCUUCAUAUCAAACAUAACUAUUUUUCAAUUUUUCUUCUUUAUUUCAUUAAUAAAAUUAUCAAUCUAUUUGUUUUUAAAUAUAUAAUUUCAUUAAUAUUUUUUAAAUUAUAAUAUAAGAGUUGUUGUUUAUUUAUAGUUUUAUUACAUUAUUUACUCUCUCUUUUCUAUCAAGUUUUUUAAAUUAUAAUAUAAGAUUUAUUUUAUCAAUUUGUGGCUUAUCCAGUAUUCAUCUAUUUUAAUAAUAACUUGAGUUCCAGUCAUUAUCAUACCAGAAAGAGUUCCAUUUAUUCUUUAUCGUAAAUUUUAUAAAAAAAUAUACAUUUUAUUAUAAUACUAUAUGUGUUACGAAUAAUAUUUUAUUGUGGAUGCCCAUAAUUUUCAAAGUUGUAACCUCUAAUGUAGUAACCUUAAUGAAAUUAUGAGGCUUUUAUAUUGUAAUCAAGCCUCUAUUUAUUCUUUGUAACUUAAACAGAAGCAUAUUUUCUAUUAUAUUGAUAUUUUUUAUAGAUAUAUAUAUAUAUAUAAGGAAUCAAAUAAAAAGUUAUUUACCUUUCUAUUAUAUUGAUAUUUUCUAUUUGAUUUGUUCUUUUCUUUCACUAUUCCAUAAUAUAUUAUCAGUACGAUUUUAACCAAGAGUAACAUGUUAUUAGAUUGUGUCAAAAUUUUGUUGAGAAUCAUUAGAUUGUUUCCUUUUUCUUCUAUUUAGCCCCAAAUUGCACCCCUACACAAAAUUCAACAAAAACAUGGAAAAAUUAGUGGUGCACUCUCAUAAAUUAACCAAUUUAAUUACAUAAAAUAUGUAACUUUAGCAUUUUAUCAAUCAUGUUCUUUAGCGGCAUUUGUGGGUAAAGCGCCGCUAAAGGUCAUAUUCUUUAGCAGCGUUUGUGAUAAAAGUGCCACUAAAUAUCAUGUUCUUUAGCGGCGUUUGUGGAUAAAGCGCCGCUAAAGAACAUGACGUUUAGCAGCAUUUUUUUACAUAAACGUUGUAAAAUUUAGCGGCGUUGUCUAUAGCGACGUUUUUUGCGGUGCUUUCAAAUAGUUUUAGCGGCGCUUGUAGGCCUAAAAAAAUGCCGCUAAAAGUCUGUUUUGCUGUAUGAGCAUAUUUACAUUUUCGUCCCAAUUUCAACUAACACCCCAUCUAUUUCCCACUUCCCUUUUUCGGCCAAUUUCAACUAACACCUUCAUUUCAAACGUAAUUGUUUUUCGAUUUUUCCUCUUUAUUUCAUUAAUAAAAUUAUCAAUCUAUUUGUAUUUUAAAUAUAUAAUUUUAUUAAUAUUUUUUAAUUAUAAUAUAAGAGUUUUUGUUUAUUUAUAGUUUUAUUAUAUUAUUUACUCUCUUUUUUCUAUCAAGCUUUUUAAAUUAUAAUAUAAGAUUUAUUUUAUCAAAUGGUGGCUUAUCGAGUAUUCAUCUAUUUUAAUAAUAACUUGAGUUCCAAUCAUUAUCAUACCAGAAAGAGUUCCAUUUAUUCUUUAUCGUAAAUUUUAUAAAAAAAUAUAUAUUUUAUUAUAAUACUAUAUGUGUUAGGAAUAAUAUUUUAUUGUGGAUGCCCAUAAUUUUCAAAGUUGUAACCUCUAAUGUAGUAACCUCAAUGAAAUUAUGAGGCUUUUAUAUUGUAAUCAAGCCUCUAUUUAUUCUUUGUAACUUAAACAGAAGCAUAUUUUCUAUUAUAUUGAUAUUUUUUUAUAGAGAUAUAUACAUAAGGAAUCAAAUAAAAAGUUAUUUACCUUUCUAUUAUAUUGAUAUUUUCUAUUUGAUUUGUUCUUUUCUUUCACUAUUCCAUAAUAUAUUAUCAGUACGAUUUUAAUCAAGAGUAACAUUUUAUUAGAUUGUGUCAAAAUUUUGUUGGACUUCAAGUAUUGGAAUUUAAUUGUUUAAGUUAAGAAUCAUUAGAAUCAAUGGCUAUUUGAGAUAUGCUUGAGGAUGAUCUCAUUCUCUUCAUCACAAAGGUGGAGGUUAGAAAAUCUUUAUGUUUAAACAUUUAUAGCUUUAAAGUUAUUUUAACCUCUUAUUGUGACCUUAUAAUAUUUUGUAAUUUUUUGUAUUAUGGUAUAUAAAAAAAAUCUAACCAUAGUGAUUGAUUAGUAAUAUGAAUUUGUUAUUUGUUAUGUUUAAUAUAUAUUUUAUUUAUACUUAUUCAUUUUAUUUUUAUAUGAGUAAAUGAAGUGUUUGAAGAUUCGAAAUUUUUAUCAUCCAAGUUGAAAAUAAGUGCAAAAGUGUACAUUAUUUAAAAUAAAUUACGCAUUCAUUAAUGUUAUAUGAUAAAAUCAUUACAUGUUCUAAAGAACUAAUAUUGCAUCAAACUGUAAAAAGCUCUUGAAGAGUUAAUAUUUUACCUCCUUGUGAUACAAAAUCAUAUACAAUAUGAUAUUAUUUUUCAAAUCGAGUAGAUAUAUGUUGAGGGAAAUCUUUAUGUGGUUUACAUUAAAACCAUGGAUAGAAAUGACAUGAGAUACUCGUGUAUUUUUAUUAUAAAUAUUCCUUGAAGGAAGACACUUCACUUGUAUGAUUGACAUAUGAGAUAGUGGCAAGAAGUUCAUAGUGUUGGUAUGGUCGUCUAGAUCAUCUCAAAUCAAUAAUGAUGCAAAAUAAUUUGAAGAGAAUUUAUAUGAUUUUAUUGAAGAAUGAGAAGAUAUUUUCAUUUUGAUAAUUGUCAUCAAUACUAGUUCUUUGGAAAAAAAAUAUUGAACUAACAUAAAGUUAGAGGUUGGUUGCAUUUUUUGAUGAUAUCCAAAUAAUAUAUGAGCUCAUGUAUCACAUGUAUGCAACCCAAAGUUUACAGUAUUAUUUCUUGAAAUAAUUUGAUUCUACACAAUCUCUAUAGUAUGCAAUUUGUGCUAACAACGUUGGUGCAUUAUAUCCUAAGCUUGAUUUUCGUAGUUUUAGCUGAGAUAAUAUUAAGUUGUCUAUGCCUAUAUAUGUUAUACUUAAUGGUUAGCAAAAUUGUGCCUCCAUUUAAUUGCUUAACCAUUAAUAUAAGAAUAACUUUAAAAUAAGCAUGUAAUUUUAUUUGCAUAGAGUCAACAUGUAAGAAACAUUUGCCCCAUGAGAAUUGGCUUUCAUUUAUAAGCCAAUAGGUUUCAUAUGACUAUUUGGAUGUAAAAUAUCUAUUUUAUAUUCCACCAUAAUGCACUAAGAUGGUCCAUCAAGUAUGAAGUUGAGAAAAUUUAGAAUUUUUAUUUGAUGGUAAAAGUUGAAAAGAGAUAUAUACUUAUAAUUUUGAAAAAAAUAGUCAUGUUGCAAAUUUUUCUCAAUAUUAGGGGGAGACAAGUUGGACAAAUAAGGAUAAUUAUGUCAUCACUUUUUGUGAUCCCUCACUAAUAUUAUGUGCACAAAGUUUGAAGGAAAAAAGUAUUUGCUAGACAUGUUUAGUGAUGACACUUAGAGAUUGUAUAUACUAGAUGAUACAUAUACCAGCUAAAAUGUUCCAAAUAAUUAUGAGUCCUAGAAGGACAUAGUGAUAAAAAUAAUUUUUGGGCACGCUAGAAGGAUAAAAAACUAGUUCAUUCUAUAAAUCAAAAAAUUCUUGAAAGAAAAGAGUAAGAAAUGAAGCUGGCCACACAUUAAAGGAAACGAGUACUCAUGAAGAGACCUAAGGCAUAACUUUUAAUAAAACCCCAAAAGAGGUUCAAUACAUGGAAUUAUGAAUAUAAUAAGAUAUCUCGAUUAGUUAUAUCAUAACUAAAGAUGAUGGGGUUGAUAAAAGGAAAUUGUUGUUAACAACGAUAAUCUAAGUAGAACAUUUCAAUAUUAUGGUAAAAUGAGUAUUUUGAAUGAAAAUAUACUUGAAAGUAUUUAGAUGGGAACAACUCAUCAAAAUAAAUAGACGUUUCUAUUAUAACUUAUGAAAUGUGUCUCGGACAUGAAGUCCAAACAUUCGACAGGUGUAAAGCCAAGUGGAGUAUAUGUUAGCAUAAUAGUGAAAAAAUACAAAUCAUAAUAUAUAAAAUUGACUUGUAAGACAAACUUUCCCAAGACACUUGAUUUUGAUUAUGAAAAAUGAUUAAUUUGUGAUCUUAUCAAUUGAACAUACUUUGUAUAAUCAACAAAUUAUUAAUUAACCUCAUUUAACCAAUUUCCUUCAACACAUUUCAAAUCAAAUUAAUGUGUUGAGCACGCCCUUAACCCUUUUUCUUGAUUCAUUGCAUAGUCUAUUUCCAAGUACCAUAAUCAUCAACAUUUCAAUAUAUAAAGUCAUAACAUAAUGAAUCAUAGUUAGAAUUUUUUUUACCCUAUUAACCAAGUAUGGAACAAAAAUAAAAACCUAAUUUGUCAAGCUCAUUCAAUCAGCUUAUAUAUUAUAAGAAGAGCCUAAGUAUAAAUCCUAUACAUGAUUUCAAAUUCAACUAUUUAUAUUUGAGAUUCAAUUUAAAAUUCAUACUGAAAUUAUCAAAUUAACUCGUAAGCUACUCACGCUAAACAUUAAGGUACUCGAAUUCAAGUGGCUAGAUAUCAUAAACACUUUUAGCUUGUAAAACUAUUUCUAAGGGUCAGCCCAGAAUCAUGGUUGAACCCAAAAUCUGGUAACAAAAAUUUAAUUGAGCCAUCAGCCUAAAACAAAUAAGGCUUAAAAGGUUGGCACCCGAACAAUCAAAGAUAAACACCACCAUAUGCCACUCCCUGAAUCCGAUACAUACAAUAACACCCUUCACCACUUUUAUUCUUCUCCUUUUUUUUAACCUCAAUUUGGAUGGUCGCAUUUCUCUUUUUAGUGCUUUAUAGGGUUUGGGCUUUCAGAAUCCUCAGAGAUGCAAUUCAUGGAUCCCUCUAAGAAAUGCAAGCUUGAUGAAAAUGGUAUUAUUUCAACGGCAUCAGAACCUGACCCAAUCACCAAACUAACCCCACAAGAUGGCCGCAAGCUAAUCGAGCAAUUUAUCGUCGAUCAACUCCUUGACGUCCUCCAAGAUGCUGUUUGUUGUCACCUUGAUGUUCUUUCCGCCGUACACUCUAUUGCCGAUCAAGAUCCAUCUCAAAGGAAGCUUUUCAUCCGUGGUUGGGUUGGGAUACUACAACCCAACCCAACCCACAUUAGCAUACUACCAUGCGGUAACUUCUAGUGAUUUCUGUCUGUAACAUUAGACAGGUUAACAGUUAAAUCGUUCAACUGAAAGAUUUCUUUGAAGGAAGAGGUCAAUUGAUUUUUUUUGGAAUCAUUGUGUACUCAGUUGCAUUUAAGACGGGUAUCAUUCAUAAAGUAUAUAUCUACAUCAAGAAUGGUAGCCUCUUAUAUUAUAUUCAUGUAUUUAUUUUGCAUCUUUAAUUAUAAUAGGAUUUUUUUUGUUUAUUUAUAGUUUUAAUUAUAAUAUUUUUUAAAUAUGCCAAAGUAAAUUAUGUACCAAUUUUAAACUUCUCCUAGGUAAUUUAACGUAAGGGCAUUUAUGUUAUUUUACCACUUAUGAUAAAACUAACCUAAUUUUAGAUCUAAGUGUUUACCAACCUUCUUUUAGUCAAAUUAUGCAAGCCUAAAAUUUUUAGCUUAAUUUGAGUUUGUUUACUAUGUCUAAUUCAAGUUUUAUUAUUAAGAACUAAAUUGUAACUUAAACAAAUUAGAAUACCAAUUUAAAGAGACAAAAAUUCAAAGCCCCAAAACCCACACGGGCAUGUGGGUAAGUGACACAGGCGUGUGGAAACUGGAGCUAUCACACACGGGUGAGUGGGACUGAAAAAUAUGAAAUAAAUUAAUCCAUUUAAAUUUCCAACAACCAUGCUAUACUACCAAACCAAAUAAUGUUAGAAGCUUUGAAUAGGGGCGAAUCUUAAAAAAAAAUAGAAGAAUUAGAAUUAAAUUAUAAAAUUUUGAGAAGUUGUCAUGUAUUAAUUUAUUAUUUUUUAAAGGGUCUUAAUAGAUUUUUUUUCCCCAUUUUGGUUUGGCCAAUACCCCUGUCUGCCUCUUUCAAUUUGCUUCAACCCUUAGCCCAAUAUUCGAUUUGUUGUGGAAGUUUGACGCAUAAAAAUUCCUUUUUUAGAGGUUUAAAUUAUAAAUUUUUAUUAACAAAAUAUAAAAGAAAAAAACAUGUGUAGACAAGCCAAGAAACCUUUGGGAUCAUACAGGUGAUUUUGAGAUGUUCAUGGUUAUUUUGGUGGAGAGGGUAAAAAAGAAACAAAUGAUUCAUUAUAUAUGAUAUAAUUAUGAAAUUCAAGCCAUAUAUUGUAUGUUUCAUCCAUACAAAUUUCUUGUAGCAUUAAAUGACUCGUAGGCUUGCUGAAUUUCUUUGAAAGGCCCAAAGGCAAUUUAACAUUCACAAAAUAAUCUCUAAAUAGUGUAAAGACAAAUCAAAUCCACAGUAGCAUUAGAGUUGAUUAAGCUAAGCAUUGGCAAAUAUUACUUUGAUUUUGCAUGCAAUAUUGGCAAAACCCCCUCUUACAUUAGAAAAACAACAUAAUCCAUGAAACAUUGAUAGCCCAAUACAAAUUUCAUCGAGAAAAAAGUCUCUUUGUUUUGUAGAACAUGAUAGUAAAGAUGUGGAGUUUCGUUCUUCUUAUUGGCCUCCUUUAGUUUUCCUUGAUCAACAACCACUAGCCAAAAACACAAUUAGAUUAGAUUAUGAAUGAUACUUUCAACUAUGACAAUAUUAAAUACAAACCACUCUAAAUAACUCUAAAUAAAUGGAAAGCAGCAAAUUACCAGACGAGGCAAGCUAGCUCAAUUAAGACCAUUGUGUUAUACUUGUCUCUGAAUUGAAAAAUUUAGAAGGAAAUAAAGAGAAAGACUUAGAAAAUACUUGAAAACAGAAAAAAAAAUUAUGUCAUUUAAAAUAAAAAAUUUCUAUUCAAGCCAUUUAAAAUUUGUAAGAUUUUUAAAAUUUUAAAAUGAUAAAGGUAAAAUUGUACUUUGGCACCCCAAAAAUGAUAAAACUUUGAUUUAAUUAUUUAAAAAUUAUAAAAAUAUAGGCUAUUAAAAUGGUGAAAUUAUAUUUUUACUAUAGUAAAAAUUACAAUUUAAUUUCACCCCUAAAAGGAUUUUCUGGCUUCGCACCUAAUAAAAUCUUUGGCAAAAGACUAAAAUAAAAUUAUACCAUGAAUGGAAAAAGAAACUAAUAAAAUCCAAUCUAACAAAGAAAAUAACUUGAUGUCCAAAAGCUACCAUAAACCGUAAUUCAUGGGAAGGCUUGUUGCUUAUUUUAUUGGUUUCCAUUUUGAAAGAAGUUUGAAUUUUGAAGAGAGCCUACUACGUGAAAGCAAAAGAAAAAAAAAUAGUUUAUAUGAUUAAAAUUCCAGAAUAGAUUAAAAAUGUUGAAUUAAAGAUAAAAUUAAGUGUGAAUUAAUAACCACAAGUGUACUCUUUACUCACCAUCUCUGUUAAAAAUGUUGGAUGUUGUUUAGCAACCUUUGUUUGAUUUUCUUCAGCUCAACCACAACAUCUUUCAUAUCUUUUCUUUCUUCUGGUAACUCAGCUGAACAAUUCAAAGCCAACUCCAUGAUAGAUGAAAUACAAUUUGCUUUAACAACAAUGUACUCAUCCUCUCUUCUUAAUAAAUCAACAUCUGCAAUUUCUAUCGCUCCUUUAGGCAAUGAUCUUUCCAUCCAAUGCCUUAUACUCUCUUCUUCAACAAAAACCUUAUCAGUUGGCUUUUUCUUUGUGAAAGUUUCUAUAAGGACGAUCCCAUAACUAUAGACGUCAGAUUUUAUAGAAACAAUUCCUGCUGAUCCAAAUUCUGCAUUUCAAGUAUAAUUAGAACAUCAUUCAUCCUCAAUUAUUUCUAAAACGCUUAUUCAAAUAUCUAUCCACAUACACGUGAAACAAAAAUAUAAAAUACAAAUUAGGAAAAUAAUCAUACAAAAAUAAAAAAAAGAAUUCACCUGGUGCCAUAUACCCAAUAGUUGCAAGAGUCAUGGUUUGCUUCAUUACUUCACCUUCUCCCAACAAUUUGGCAACGCCAAAAUCUCCAACAUGUGCAACCAUGUCUUCAUCUAGUAAAAUAUUGCUUGGUUUUAUGUCACAAUGAAUUAUAGGUGUUGGAUGUCCAUUGUGGAGGUGUUCUAUAGCUACCGCAACAUCUAUCAUUAUGUCGACCCUUUGUAUGAUACCAAGGAAACAAUUUUCAGAAUGUAACCAUUUCUCAAGGUUUCCAUUAGACAUGUAAUCAAGCACCAAGGCUUUGAAGUCAACACUUGAGCAGUAAGUAAUGACCUUCACAAUAUUACGAUGAACUAUAUUAAGCAUAGCAUCACAUUCAAUGUCAAAACUCCUAAAUGCUCCCUCUGUUUGCAAAUUGAAAACUUUUAUUGCAACUUCCAUUCCAUCUGAAAGCCUCCCUUUAUAUACAUAUCCAAAACUCCCUGAACCAAGCGUAUUGCUUUCCUCAAAUCCAUUAGUUGCUCGUGAAAGUUCAGCAUGUGAAAUUCUUCUCAGUGUCUUCAAAGACAACAAAUCAUCUUUAACUGGUAGAGCUGUACUCCUUUGGCAUCUUCUAUACAUAAUAGUUAAGACUAUUAGUACUAGGACAAUACCAAUUGUUGGUAAACCAUACCUAAAAGCAUGCAAUAUAAUCAUUUGGGAGUUUUUGUGGAUGUCAUUUUUGCAAGGUGGGACUAGCAAUCUAGGUGGACCACAAAGUGCACAAUUAUUCAUGAAUGAUGUGCUAGAAAAGUUUGAAAAACAUCCUUUGCUGGGAAUUUCCCCUUCAAGUCUAUUGAAAGACACAUUAAAAUACUUUAGAUAUAAAAGCUUUUCCAAAGAUUUGGGAAUGACUCCAGAGAGAUUGUUAUUGCAUAAAUCCAAGAAUUCCAAACUAAUCAACCCUUCAAAUGAUUCAGGGAUAUGACCAUAUAGUAUGUUAUUUGAUAAAUCUAAUGAAACCAAAGUUAUAAGACCCCCAAAUGUGGAUAAGAUAUCGCUCGUGAGAAGAUUCCUUGAUAAAUUUAGUCUCAGUAGACUCCUAAAAUUUCCAACAUCAAUAGCAUGUGAAUUGUGAAGACGGUUUGAUGAUAAAUCUAUUUCUAAGAUAUCUUUAAGACUCCACAAAGUUGAGGGUAUUGUAGAACUCAAUUUGUUGGAACCUAACCAAAGAUAUCUCAAAGCAGAAAUAUUACCUAAACAAGAGGGUAUGGAUCCAUGCAGCUUAUUCAACCCUAAAUACAUCUCGUAUAGUCUCUCCAAACCACAAAGGCUUUCUGGGAUAGGCCCUCCUAAUUUAUUAGAGGAAAGACCUAGAAUUUGGAGAUUUCUCAUUCCUCCUAUUGAUGCUGGAAUCAAUCCACUUAAUUUAUUAUACCCAAGAUCUAAAAGCAAUAGGUUGGUUAAGUUACCUAUUUCCAUAGGAAUAAUGCCUUGAAGCUCACACUCUGUGGCAUGAAAGUAUUGAAGGGAUUUUGAAAGGUUCCCGAAAUAAGUAGGAAGAACGCCACUCAAUGGAUUUCCUGAAACAUCUAUUAUGCUCAAAUUCCUACAAUUCGUCAAAGAAGAAAGAAAGCUCCACUCAUGAUCAGUAGCAGAUCCUGUGAUCAAAUUAUUGUCAUAGAUUUGGAGCCAUACAAGUUGUCUUAAGCUGCCAAGCGUUUUAGGGAUUGGGCCAGAGAAUGAGUUAUCUCCCAAGUCUAGUUCCUUAAGCAUGGAAGCAUUGGAGAUAGAGUUGGGAAUGUUUCCGCUAAGUUUAUUUCCCCACAGUAAAAGAAUCUGAAGCUUUGGAGCAUUGGUAAUGGGUGGUAAAUUACCUGUAAAAUAGCAUCUUUUAGAAAACAUUCACAAAAUAUAUAAUACAUUAAAAUAAAAACUUUAAAUCAAUUAAGAAUAAAAUUUUGGCAUGGAAAAAUGUGAUGAAAUCAAUUAGAAAGUUGAGACAUAAUAAGAAGUUUUGAGUAGUAAUUAGUCCUUGUGAUUUGUAUAGACAAAACAUAUAAUACACUGAUAAUUUUUUUAAAAUAUUGUAAAACCUGAAAUAAAAUAAAAAAUAAAAGUUUGGCACGAGAAUGUGGCAUCUAAUCAUUCUUAAAAAUAAGACUAACAUUAAAUAAUAAUUAGUUAUGAUUUGAGAAACAAAAAUGUUAAAGAUGUAAACUGGUAUGAUUUUUAUCUAUUGGGUUAAUUAUUUAUUUUUAUUAAAUUAUAUAUAGUGUAAAAUUUAAAGAUUAUUAUUUGCUCAAAAUUUUUGUAUUUUAGGAUUUUAGGAUCGCAUUUAAUUCAAUUGUAUUUAAGACCUCAUGAAUUUAUUCUAUAAUUUGAGUCUUUUCAACCUUUUGGGAAAUAAUAAAACAUCGACAUUAAACUUGUUGUUGAUGCAUUCAAUUUGAUUUUUUGAGGGGUCAUUGGAGUUAUAUGUGAAUUUAGCAUUGAUUGACUUUUUUAGAAUUAAUCUUUUAUACCAAUUUAAUAACAUCGACAUGUUUUUGGGUAGGGUCGAGCAAAACCCAAUUAAAACCGAUGAAAUUGGUUUAGUUAACUCGGUCAAGUCCAUUAGAUGGAUAAAAUCAAUUUUAAAAUCAGUUAUUAUGGAUUAAGGUAAUUAAUUAUCGAGUAAUGAAAUACAUAAUCAAAUCAAUUGAUUUUGUUAGAAACUAAAAGAAAGUGGGAUAAGCUGAAAACUGAUUGCCCUUUUUUAGAAUUAAGGAAUCAGCCUUUUACAUGUUAGAUAAUAUGAACACCCCAUAUAUAAUAAGAAAAAUUAUGUACGAUUAUUUAUUAUCAUAAAUGGUUAGUUUAAAUUUAAAGUAAUCUAAUAUGUGUGUUGAACUUCAACUAUUACAUAAAGUAUAAGCUAAAUAUGUAUAAAUAUUCUAGAAACCAUUUCUAACUGAUGAUAGGCUAAUUUGAAAUUAAGAUUAAUAUAUAAAAACUAGAUAGUAGGGUUAUAGUCCUCAAACUACACCUAAUUUAAUAAAAUCUAUAGUUUUUAUAGCCUUAAACAUUUAUAGAUUUUGUUAAUUUGGUCCUUACUCUUUAAAAUUACAUAAAAAUUGCAAAAAUAUUUUAGAAAUACAAUUUUUUCGUAUUUUUAAUAACAUUUAUAGUUUUUUUUUUGGUUUGGUAACUUAUCAACUCGACUCUUAAUUGUAACCAACUUUUCUGAUUUUUUCGUACCCUUAACCUAAGUCCCGUUACAACUUUCUAAAGACCUCUUGAUUGGUGUAUCAUCUCGAUUUGUUCUUAUAGUGGUGGGGAUUUGGUUUUCAAGCAAGCCUAUGCUAAUCACAUUUUUCGUUCAACUAUUGAGCACACAGUACUUGAACCUUAAACACUUUGAGUGCUUUGAGUGAAUCUUAGUUAGGGUAUUGAUUAUUGUUGAGUUUGAAUUUUAGGUAAUUAUUGAGAUGGAGGAGAUGCCUAUUUUUUUGUGCUUUACAAAUUUCUGCUUAGAUUGCUUUUAUUCUUUAGUUUCAUGCUAGUUUCAAUUUCCAGUGCAUGAUUAUCUAUAGAUUAUUCAUAAGGCAUUGUCGGUGAAAACAAUAAAUUGAGGGAGAUUAACUUGAAAUAAAUUGAGGGAUAUUAACUUGAAUAAAGGUUGAGAAUUUUGCUUAAGGACAAACAAAUGCUUAAGUGUGGGGAUAUUUGAUAAGUGCUAAAAUUGAUAUGUUUUAACAUCAUUCUUAAUGUGUUUUUGGUUGAUUAUUCGAUGUUAAUGAUGCUCCUAAUCCUUACAAUUCGUGUUUUUAUGCUUAAUAGAACAUUUGGGAGGAAAAUGAGCUAAAAAUGAACGAAAACCUGAAAAUGGGGGCAAACUAUAGGACAUGGGCUGACCUAUUCCUCAUGACCGUAUGACUCACACGAUCAUGUGGUAGGUUGUGUCGAUUUCGUAGAUUUGCACUCUGAACUGUAAAAAAAGAAAAUUUUAGAUUUUUUGAGCAUUUUAAUACGUAUAUAUGAAAAAAAUAAGAAGAUAGGAGAGAACCUUCCUAGAAUAUUUAAGAAAACAACUCCAAAGACACUAUUGAAGUCGACUCUGAAGCAAAUUUUCCUCAAGAUUGAAGAUUCCCAGUUGGUUUCUUAAGAGAUUAUCAUGAGUUUCUUUAUUUCUUCUGGUUAUACUGCCCUUUGGAUGUUUUUAUUUUUAAGCAUGAACUAAUUUUCUAAAUACCGAAUUAGAGAGAUGAACCCUAUGAUAGAUUGUGACACCCCAAACCCAACCGGAUAGACCCGCCCGAAUUCAAAGCAUUUCAUUAGCCACCUAAGUGACUCUCCAGCUAACGACCACCCAAGACACACCUCGACCUUAUAACACCUCAAUCUUAUCUAAUUACUAGUUAUUUAUUAAUGUAGAAGUAAAUUAAUAUGAGCCAAUUUUAAACUUUUUCUAGGUAAUUUAACCUAAAGGCAAUUUUGUCAUUUUACCACCUAAUGUAAAACUAACCCGAUUUUAGAUCUAAGUGUUUACUAACCUUCUUUUAGUCAAAUUAUACAAGCCUAAAAUUUUCAGCUUAAUUUGAGUCCGUUUACUAUGUCUAAUUCAAGUUUUAUUAAUAAGGACUCAAUUGUAACUUAAACAAAUUAAAAUACCAAUUUAAAGAGACAAAAAUUCAAAACUCCAAAACCCACACGGGCAUGUGGGUAAGUGACAAGGGCUUGUGGGAUUGAAAAAUAUGAAAUAAAUUAAUCCACUCAAUUUUCCAACAACCAUGCUAUACUACCAAACCAAAAAAACACUUGAAGUUUUGAAUAGGGGCGAAUCUAAAAAAAAUUAGAAGAAUUAGAAUUAAAUUAUAAAAUUUUGAGAAGUUAAAAUAUAAUUUUAUCAUGUAUUAAUUUAUUGUUUUUUAAAGGGUCCUAAUAUAAUUUUUUUCCCAUUUUGGUUGGGCCAAUACCCCUGCCUGCCUCUUUAAAUUUGCUCCAACACUAAACCCAAUAUUCGAUUUGGAUUAACAACAACAUAUAGGUUAGUAUUUGUGGGAGUUUGACGAAUAAAAAUUCCUUUUUUAGAUGUUUAAAUUAUAAAUUUUUGAAAGAUUAAAAUAAAUUUGUAUUUUUUUAUUAACAAAAUAUAAAAGAAAAAAAAAUAUGUUUAGACAAGCCAAGAGAACUUUGGGAUCAUACAGGUGAUUUUGAGAUGUUAAUGGUUAUUUUGGUGGACAGCGUAAAAAAGAAACAAAUGAUUCAUUAUAUAUAAUAUAAUUAUGAAUUUCAAGCCAUAUAUUGUAUGUUUCAUCCAUAAAAAUUUCAUGGGAGGUCCAAAGGUAAUUAAAUGACUUGUAGGCUUGCUGAAUUUCUUUGAAAGGCCCAAAGGCAAUUUAACAUUCACAAAAUAAUCUCUAAAUACUGUAAAGACAAAUCAAAUCCACAGUAGCAUUAGAGUUGAUUAAGCUAAGCAUUGGCAAAUAUUACUUUGAUUUUGCAUGCAAAAUUGGCAAAACCCCCUCUUACAUUAGAAAAACAACAUAAUCCAUGAAACAUUGAUGGCUCAAUACAAAUUUCAUCGAGAAAAAAGUCUCUUUGUUUUGGAGAACAUGAUAGUAAAGAUGUGGAGUUUCGUUCUUCUAAUUGGCCUCCUUUAGUUUUCCUUGAUCAACAACAAUUAGCCAAAAACACAGUUAGAUUAGAUUAUGAAUGAUACUUUCAACUAUGACAAUAUUAAAUACAAAACACUCUAAAUAAAUGGAAAGUAGCAAAUUAAGACCAUUGUGUUAUACUUGUCUCUGAAUUGAAAGAUUUAGAAGAAAAUAAAGAGAAAGAGUUAGAAAAUACUUGAAAACAGAUAAAACUUAUAUGUCAUUUAAAAUAAAAAAAAUUUCUAUUUAAGCCAUUUAAAAUUUUUAAGAUUUUUUAAAUUUUAAAAUGAUAAAGGUAAAACUAUAUUUUGGUACCCAAAAAUGAUAAAACUUUGAUUUAAUUCUUUAGAAAUUAUAAAAAUAUAGGCUAUUAAAAUGGUGAAAUUAUAUUUUUACUAUAUUAAAAAUUACAAUUUAAUUUCACUUGCUAAAAGGAUUUACUGGCUUCGCCCCUAAUAAAAUCUUUGGCAAAAGAUUAAAAUAAAAUUAUACCGUGAAUGGAAAAAGAAACUUAAGAAAACCCAAUCUCACAAAGAAAAUAACUUGUCCAAAAGCUACCAUAAACCGUAAUUCAUGCGAAGGCUUGUUGCUCAUUUUAUUGGUUUCCAUUUUGAUUUUGCAAAAGAAGUUUGAAUUUUGAAGAGAGCAAAAGAAAAAAAUAGUUUAUUAAUUUUUUACGAAUACCGACAUAUUAUAUACAUGAUUAAAAUUCCAGAAUAGAUUAAAAAUGUUGAAUUAAAGAUAAAAUUAAGUAUGAAUUAAGAACCACAAGUGUACUCAUUACUCACCAUCUCUGUUAAAAAUGUUGUUUAGCAACCUGUGUUUGAUUUUCUUCAGCUCAACCACAACAUCUUUCAUAUCUUUUCUUUCUUCUGGUAACUCAGCUGAACAAUUCAAAGCCAAUUCCAUGAUAGAUGAAAUACAAUUUGCUUUAACAACAAUGUACUCAUCCUCUCUUCUUAGUAAAUCAACAUCUGCAAUUUCUAUUGCUCCUUUAGGCAAUGAACUUUCCAUCCAAUGCCUUACAGUCUCUUCUUCAACAAAAACAUUAUCAGUUGGCUUUUUCUUUGUGAAAGUUUCUAUAAGGACGAUCCCAUAACUAUAGACGUCAGAUUUUAUAGAAACAAUUCCUGCUGAUCCAAAUUCUGCAUUUCAAGUAUCAUUAGAACAUCAUUCACCCUCAAUUAUUUCUAAAAUGCUUAUUCAAAUAUAUAUCCGCAUACACAAGAAACAAAAAUAUAAAAUGCAAAUUAGGAAAAUAAUCGUACAAAAACAAAAAAGAAUUCACCUGGUGCCAUAUACCCGAUAGUUGCAAGAGUCAUGGUUUGCUUCAUUACUUCACCUUCUCCCAACAAUUUGGCAACGCCAAAAUCUCCAACAUGUGCAACCAUGUCUUCAUCUAGUAAAAUAUUGCUUGGUUUUAUGUCACAAUGAAUUAUAGGUGUUGGAUGUCCAUUGUGGAGGUGUUCUAUAGCUACCGCAACAUCUAUCAUUAUGUCGACCCUUUGUAUGAUAUCAAGGAAACAAUUUUCAGAAUGUAACCAUUUCUCAAGGUUUCCAUUAGACAUGUAAUCAAGCACCAAGGCUUUGAAGUCAACACUUGAGCAGCAAGUAAUGACCUUCACAAUAUUACGAUGAACUAUAUUAAGCAUAACAUCACAUUCAAUGUCAAAACUCCUAAAUGCUCCCUCUGUUUGCAAAUUGAAAACUUUUAUUGCAACUUCCAUUCCAUCUGAAAGCCUCCCUUUAUAUACAUAUCCAAAACUCCCUGAACCAAGCAUAUUGCUUUCCUCAAAUCCAUUAGUUGCUCGUGAAAGUUCAGCAUGUGAAAUUCUUCUCGGUGUCUUCAAAGACAACAAAUCAUCUUUAACUGGUAGAGCUGUACUCCUUUGGCAUCUUCUAUACAUAAUAGUUAAGACUAUUAGUACUAGGACAAUACCAAUUGUUGGUAAACCAUACCUAAAAGCAUGUAAUAUAAUCAUUUGGGAGUUUUUGUGGAUGUCAUUUUUGCAAGGUGGGACUAGCAAUCUAGGUGGACCACAAAAUGCACAAUUAUUCAUGAAUGAUGUGCUAGAAAAGUUUGAAAAACAUCUUUUGCUGGGAAUUUCCCCUUCAAGUCUAUUGAAAGACACAUUAAAAUACUUUAGAUAUAAAAGCUUUUCCAAAGAUUUGGGAAUGACUCCAGAGAGAUUGUUAUUGCAUAAAUCCAAGAAUUCCAAACUAAUCAACCCAUCAAAUGAUUCAGGGAUAUGACCAUGUAGUAUAUUAUUUGAUAAAUCUAAUGAAACCAAAGUUUGAAGACCCCCAAAUGUGGAUAAGAUAUCGCCCAUGAGAAGAUUCCUUGAUAAAUUUAGUCUCAGUAGACUCCUAAAGUUUCCAACAUCAAUAGCAUGUGAAUUGUGAAGAUGGUUUGAUGAUAAAUCUAUUUCUAAGAUAUCUUUAAGAUUCCACAAAGUUGAGGGUAUUGUAGAACUCAAUUUGUUGGAAUCUAACCAAAGAUAUCUCAAAGCAGAAAUAUUACCCAAACAAGAGGGUAUGGGUCCAUGCAGCUUAUUCAACCCUAAAUACAUCUUGUAUAGUCUCUCCAAACCACAGAGGCUUUCUGGGAUAGGCCCUUCUAAUUUAUUAGAGGAAAGAUCUAGACCUUGCAGAUUCCGCAGUCCUCCUAUUGAUGCUGGAAUGAAUCCACUUAAUUUAUUAUGGUCAAGUUCUAAAACCAAUAAGUUGGUUAAGUUACCUAUUUCCAUAGGAAUAAUGCCUUGAAGCUCACAAUUAUAGGCAUGAAAGGAUUGAAGGGAUUUUGAAAGGUUCCCAAUAUAAGUAGGAAGAACGCCACUCAAUGGAUUUCCUGAAACACCUAUUUUUCUCAAAUUCCUACAAUUCGUCAAAGAAGAAAGAAAGCUCCACUCAUGAUCAGUAGCAGAUCCUGUGAUCAAAUUAUUGUCAGUGAUUUUGAGCACUUCAAGGUGUUUUAAGCUGCCAAGCAUUUUAGGGAUUGGGCCAGAGAAUGAGUUAUCUUCCAAGUCUAGUUUCUUAAGCAUGGAAGCAUUGGAGAUAGAGUAAGGAAUGUUUCCGCUAAGUUUAUUUCCCCACAGUAAAAGAAUCUGAAGCUUUGGAGCAUUGGUAAUGGGUGGUAAAUUACCUGUAAAAUAGCAUCUUUUAGAAAACAUAUUCAUUGAAUACCAAAUUCACAAAAUAUAUAAUACAUUAAAAUUAAAACUUUAAAACUUUAAAUCAAUUAAGAAUAAAAUUUUGGCAUGGAAAAUUGUGAUGAAAUCAAUUAGAAAGUUGAGACAUAAUAAGAAGUUUUGAGUAGUAAUUACUCAUGAUUUCCAUAGACAAAACAUAUAAUACACUGAUAAUUUUUUUAAAAAUAUUGUAAAACCUGAAAUAAAAUAAAAAAUAAAAGUUUGGCAUGAGAAUGUGGCAUCUAAUCAUUCUUAAAAAUAAGACUAACAUUGAAUAAUAAUUAGUUAUGAUUUGAGAAACAAAAAUGUUAAAGAUGUAAACUGGUAUGAUUUUUAUCUAUUGGGUUAAUUAUUUAUUUUUAUUAAAUUAUAUAUAGUGUAAAAUUUAAAGAUUAUUAUUUGCUCAAAAUUUUUGUAUUUUUCGUAUAUUUGAAAUUUAAUCUUUAUAUUUUUUAUUUUCUGUGAUUUAGUCUCUCUACUUUUUGAAUUGAAAAUUUUAAGUUUAUUUAUUAACACUGUUAAAAAGUUUUUGUGUUAGUAUGGCAUUUUGAAAAAUAAAAUAAACUUGAUAUCUAUGUUUUUAAUUAUUCCAAAUACUGUUUUACUAUUCCAAGAUAAAUUAUUUGUGUCUAGACCAAUAUCUUAAGAACUAUUGUUGCAUGUUUAAUUAUUCUAAAGAAUUGUUGAUUGAGUCUUAGUUGAAGUGCACUAUUCUCCUAUUUAUGAAUUGGGGAGUUGAUAAAGUACUAAAUUUUGAUAUAUUUUAAAAAAUUAAAAAUUUAUUAAAAUAUUUUUAUAAAAAUUAAUUGUACCAAAAUAUACAAUUUUAAUAUCAAAUUUUUAAUUUUUUUAAAAAUAUUAGCGAAUAUAUACUUUAUUUCAAGUUACACAAUUUUUACUAGUUUUUAACUUUUUUUUUAAAUUUUUAUCGUCUUUUAUAAUUUCAUAUAUUUUUUUAUAAUUUUUUACAAUAUUUACAAUUUCUAACAAUUUUUAAUAAUUUUAUUAUUUAUUAUAAAUUUAAAAAUUAACAAAUUUUUAUUUUUUUAAAACAAUUAUAUAUUUAUAAUGUAGUUAUUUUUUUAUAAUUUUUUUUGAAAUUUAAAGAUUUUUUUGGUUUUUUCUAGAUGAUGAUGCCAUCAUGAUGUCAUCAUAUGCCACAUGGCAAUUUAUAAUUAGUUGACUAUCUCAAUCUAUUUUUUUAACGUCCAAUGGACUAAAACAAGAACACCUGAUAAUGUUAGAGACUACACUAGGAAUGUUUGAUAAUAUUAGGUACUAAAGUGGGCAAAAAAAAUUAAGGACUAUAUUAAAAAUAUAUCUAUAAUAUAUAUAAAUGCAUGGAUUUUGAGAAACUUUUGAAAUGACAAAUAUAUAGUCUUUGUUUUUUUUUACUAUAUUAUUGAAUUUUUUAUUUUAAAUAUUUUUUUAUUACUUUUAAGAUUUAUCAUAUGUAUGGAUAAAAAUUUUGGUUUUACUAAAAUAUUUGGUUAAAUAAAUUCACUUUAUAAAAAAAUUUAGCAUCCUUAUAAAUAACAAUUUUGAUUCCAUUAAAAAAAUUAUUUAAAAAUAUAUAAUAAAAAUUUAAAAUUUAUAUUGAAUCACUUUAUACUUAAAUUAUUAUUAGAAACUUUAUCAUACACAUAUGUGUAUGAGAACCACGUUUUCAGAACUUAAAUUUGUGUUCUAAAAUAACUUAUGAUAAAUAAUUAAAUGUAUAAUUUGAAAUUAUAUUGAAAUAAAAAUAGAUUAAAUUGUAAGUAAAACAUAUAUAAUUUAAACAUAUGAAUACAUCAAAUUAAAAAUACUAAAUGAAUACAUUUAUUUAUGAUGAUGUUGUUGUCAAUUCAUAAGUUGGUGUCGAGUUAAUUUGUGACAUCAUAAUUUUAAGUGAUAAAUUUAAGGUUUUAUGUAUUGAUGUCGAUUCAAAUAUCACCAUAAUUUUUUUAAAUAAAAAACUAAAGCACCCUCAAAUAAUAUAACUUAUAUUAAAUAUGAAAGGGUAUUUUUGUAAUUUCUCUAACGAGUUGGUGCCCGGUUGACUCAUGACACCAACUCAAUCAAAAGCUUCAAUAAUAAUAUAGAUAUUCACGUUUAAAAAAAGUACUUUAGUUCGAAAUAAUUAUGUAACAAGUAAUUUUAUAAUUGAUGAAUAAUUUUAUAAAAAUAUAUUUAUAUGAUCUAAUAUAUUAUAUUUAUAUUAAUUAUAUAUCAUCUACAAACUUUGAAGAUCAAUUUAUUAAGUAUCAGGAAAAGAAAAAAUGAAAUUGAAUUAACACUAAAUCAAUUUUUAGAUUUUGUACAGAUGAUUUAAUGAUGAUAAAAACAUUAUUAGCACUAUUUUUGAAUUAACAAAAAAUUAGUGAUAUAUUUUAAUUAUAUUUUUUAUUUUUUAUUUUUAAUAAUAUUUUUUUAAUUAUAUGAAGUAAAAUUAUAUUGUAUACUAAAUAUGGUACAUAUACUUUAAUUAAAACUUGAAAAAGUAUUAUAUAAAUUAAUAUAUUUUAAUUAUAUUCAACCAUUUGAAUAACAAAAUUAAAAAAAAACUAAUUAGAAUUAUUUACUUUUUAAAGUUUAAUGGAAAAUAAAAAAUAAAAAAUAAAUCAAUUCAUAUAAAUCUUAUUGUUUAUUAUCAGAUUAAAAUGAUAAAAGUAUAUGACAUACAUAGAAGAAACAAAUUCAACACCAUGUUUUUGGAGUUUGGAAAAAAUUAAAGUGAAAAACCUACCUUCUAAACUGUUGUUAAAUAGAUCUAUUUCUUCGAGCGUAGUUGAAUUAAAAAUACUUGAUGGAAUCUGACCUGCACACAUAGUCGAAAAUUGAAGUGAAAUCAAACUCUUUUGUGAAAAAAAUAUUACCAGAUAAUUCAUUCCAACCCAGGUAAAGCCCUUCAAGCUUGGGAAGAUGUUGACACAUAUCAUUAGGCAAACUACCUGAUAGGCUAUUGUUGGAGAGAUUAAUGGUCUUCAAAGAAGAAAUGUUGAAGAUCGAAGUUGGAAUCUGACCUAUAAGGCCUUUAAUUGCUCUAAUACUAAGCCUUUCCAAACUAAGAAGAUUACCAAUUUCCUUAGGAAUUAGACCUGCAGACAGUCGAAAAUUCAAUGUUUUUCAGCAUAUGUUUUUCAUCAAAUGAAAUAAAAAGUUCUUCCUUUUGUUAUCUAUUACAAAUCAAACUCUUUUAUAAAAAAAAUACUUUAAAUUCAAGAAAUCAAGGAAAUUGAUUACCUUCUAGAUUAUUAAACCCCAAAUAUAAUUCUUGGAGUCGUGUUAGAUUUCCAAUACUUCUUGGAAUGAUCCCCAUAAAUUGAUUAUAGGACAACGACAAAAUAUUAAGGUUGUUGCAUUUGCCCAUGCCAAAUGGAAUGUUACUAGAAAACUCAUUGCUAUCCAAGUAAAGCCCUUCAAGCUUGGGAAGAUGUUGACACAUAUCAUUAGGCAAACUACCUGAUAGGUUAUUGUUGGAGAGAUCAAUGGUCUUCAAAGAAGAAAUGUUGAAGAUCGAAGUUGGAAUCUGACCUGUAAAGCCUUUAAUUGCUUUAAUAUUAAGCAUUUCCAAACUAAGAAGUUUAAAUCAAUUAAGAAUAAAAUUUUGGCAUGGAAAAAUGUGAUGAAAUCAAUUAAAAAGUUGAGACAUAAUAAGAAGUUUUGAGUCGUAAUUAGUCCUUCUGAUUUGUAUAGACAAAACAUAUAAUACACUAAUAAUAAUUAGUUUGGCAUGAGAAUGUGGCAUCUAAUCAAUCUUAAAAAUGAGAUGACACUGAAUAAUAAUUAGUUAUGAUUUGGGAAACAAAAAUGUUAAAGCCAUUGCUUUUAAUGUAAACUAGUAUGAUUUUUAUCUAUUGGGUUAAUUAUUUAUUUUUAUGAAAUUAUAGUGUAAAAUUUAAAGAUUAUUUUUAUCUAUUACAAAUCAAACUCUUUUAUGAAAAAAAUAUUUUAAAUUAAAGAAACAAAGAAAAUUCAAUAUCUUCUAAGUUAUUCCACUCCAAAUAUAAUCUUCAGUGAAGAAAUCUUGAAGAUGGAAGAUGGAACCUUACCAGAUAAUUGAUUGAAUCCCAAGCUCAAGGACUCUAGAUUAGACAUGUUAACAAGUGUUUCAGGGAUUGUGCCUAUAAAGUUAUUAUUUUUCAUUUUCAGCCUUCGAACUCCCUGUAAGUUCCCAAGCCAUGAUGGAAUUUCCCCAUUAAGACUGUUGUAUUUUAAUCGAAGGAUCCUCAAACGAUGCAAUUGGCCCAAUUCUUUAGGGAGAUGGCCAUAGAAAUGGUUUCUACUCAAGUCGAGAGAGAGUAGAAAUGAAAGAUUUCCAAGGUGUGGAGGGAUACUACCCCUAAGAUUCAUGCUUUUAAGUUUGGAAACAAAUUCAACACAAUGUUUUUGGAGUUUGGAAAAAAUUAAAGUGAAAAACAUACCUUCUAAUUUGUUGUCAGAUAGUCCUAUUAUUUCGAGCAUAGUUGAAUUAAAAAUACUUGAUGGAAUCUGACCUGCACAUAUAGUUGAAAAUUGAAGUGAAAAACAUACCUUCUAAACUGUUCAACUAAAAAAACUUUAAGCAUAUUUGUUUUUCCAUCAAAUUAACUAUUUUGCCUUGAAUGAAAUAAAAUGCUCUUACUUUUGUUAUUUAUUACUAAUCAAACUCUUUUCUAAAAAAAAACUUUAAAUUAAGAAACUAAGAAAAUUCGGUACCUUCUAGGUUAUUAAACCCUAAAUAUAACUUCUGGAGUCGUGUUAGAUUUCCAAUACUUCUUGGAAUGAUACCCAUAAAUUGAUUAUAGGACAACGACAAAUUUUUAAGGUUGUUGCAUUUGCCCAUGCCAAAUGGAAUGUUACCAGAUAAUUCAUUCCAACUCAGGUAAAGCCCUUCAAGCUUGGGAAGAUGUUGACACAUAUCAUUAGGCAAACUACCUAGGUUAUUGUUGGAGAGAUCAAUGGUCUUCAAAGAAGAAAUGUUGAAGAUCGAAGUUGGAAUCUGACCUGUAAGGCCUUUAAUUGCUUUAAUAUUAAGCAAUACCAAAUCAAGAAUAUUACCGAUUUCCAAACCAAGAAUUUAUAGAAGAAACAAAUUUAACACAAUGUUUUUUGAGUUUGGAAAAUGUUAAAGUGAAAAACAUACCUUCUAAUUUGUUGUCAGAUAGUCCUAUUAUUUCGAGCAUAGUUGAAUUAAAAAUACUUGAUGGAAUCUGACCUGCACAUAUAGUUGAAAAUUGAAGUGAAAAACAUACCUUCUAAACUGUUCAACUAAAAAAACUUUAAGCAUAUUUGUUUUUCCAUCAAAUUAACUAUUUUGCCUUGAAUGAAAUAAAAUGCUCUUACUUUUGUUAUUUAUUACUAAUCAAACUCUUUUCUAAAAAAAAACUUUAAAUUAAGAAACUAAGAAAAUUCGGUACCUUCUAGGUUAUUCAACCCCAAAUAUAAUUCUUUGAGUUGUGUCAGAUUUCCAAUACUUUUUGGAAUGAUCCCCAUCAAUUGAUUAUAGGACAAUGACAAAAUUUUAAGGUUGCUGCAUUUGCCCAUGCCAAAUGGAAUGUUACCAGAUAAUUCAUUCCGACUCAAGUAAAGCCCUUCAAGCUUGGGAAGAUGUUGACACAUAUCAUUAGGCAAACUACCUGGUAGGCUAUUGCUGGAGAGUUUAAUAAUCUUCAGAGAAGAAAUAUUGAAGAUGGAAGAUGGAACCUGACCAAAUAAUUGAUUGAAUCCCAAGUUCAAGAUCUCUAGAUUAGACAUGUUAACAAGUGUUUCAGGGAUUGUGCCUGUAAAGUUAUUAUUCUUCAUUUCCAGCCUUCGAACUCUCUGUAAGUUCCCAAGCCAUGAUGGAAUUUCCCCAUUCAGACGGUUGUAGCUUAAUUGAAGGAUCCUCAAACGAUGCAAUUGGCCAAAUUCUUUAGGGAGAUGGCCAUAGAAAUGGUUGCUACUCAAGUCGAGAGAGAGUAGAAAUGAAAGAUUUCCAAGGUGUGGAGGGAUAGUACCCCUAAGAUUCAUGCUUGUAAGAUUCAAAGCUAUAACUCUUUUAUGGAGGAUGCCACAAGAAACACCAAUCCAAUUGCAAACAGAGGUUGAGGCCGUCCAAUUGUUUGCCAAGACAUUUUGAGGACCGGCAAUGCGAUCCUUAAACUCGAGAAGUGCAAACUGAUCGGAGUUGAGAUUCCUGACUGUCAUACCCCAGCAAAGUCCGGAACAUGGUAUGAAUAAAGCUAAAAGAAGAUGAAAGCAAGUGUUGUAGUUCAUGAUAGCAAGACGGAAUAAGCCAAGAAAAUAAAAAAAAGUAGGACAAGGGAAGUUGAGUUGAUAAAAUAGUUUGGAUGAUGAAGAAAAGCCCAGAGAGCAUGCUUUAAUAUGUUUUGAAGAAAUUUCAAAAUAAAUUUCAAAAUAAAUUUCAAAAUAAAAAUUUAAAAAGGAAAGCAAAGUUUUGAAGAAAUUUCAAAAUAAAUUUCAAGUCUUCUUCUUUAAAAAAUACGUACAAAGAGCGAAUUUUCAAAAUUUUUCCUAAAUUUUCUUCACAUUACUCCACAUAAUCCAUUAAAAAAACUUAAAAAAUAUAUUUUAUUAAUUACUAUACAUUCUUUUAUUUUCAGAAUAAUAAAUUGUUUAAAAUUUGCUAUUAGUCCCUAUAAUUUAAAAGUUAAAAAAAAUUCAAUCCUCCUACUUUUCUAAUUUAAAAAUUUUAGUUCAAUCAAUUUUAAUUUUAAAAUCUCUGUAUAAAAGGUGUUUUUUUUGUGACCGAUCACACUUAACCAAUAUUUAAAAAUUAAUAAAAAAUAUUUUUUUUUGAAAUUUAAAGUGAUCUAAAAACAUAUUUUUAAGUGCUUUGGACCGUCUAUUGUUGAUUUCCUUAUUAUAUUAAGUGUUUGCAAUCACUCCUAAUAUAUUGUGCUUGAGUUGUGACAAAGCCGAUCAUCAAAUUGCCAUAAUGAUCUAUUGAUGCUGAAAUUGAAGUUUUUGUUAUAUUGAUAGAGCUUGUCCUUCAACGCGUACAACGUGUUUGUUAUUUUUCUCCCUUCAAAUUGUAUGAUCUUAUUCAUUAAAUGAAUUAAUGAAUUUCCCUUUUAAAAAGAUAUAUUUUUAAAAAUUAAAUACUUUAUAAAAUAUUUAAAAAUUUGUAAGCCUUAAAACAAUCAACAAAAUAUUUUUGAAAUUUUAUAAAUAUAUUUUAAAACUAUAGUAACGCUACAAAAUAUAUAUAUUUACUAAUUAUAUGCACCUUUUUUAUUUUUAUUUCCUAACAUAUCAUUAUUUUCAACACUAUCGUAAUCCUGUUUUGAUAAUUCCCUUUCCAUACAUCCUUUUUCUACAUAGAAUUUCAAAAGAAAAUGUGAAUUAAUGUAAACGUGAGAAGACUUAAUUACAUUUAUUAGUUUAUCAAUCAAAACUUAAUUAGAAUCCAUCAAUAUUUCACACAUCAAAAACCCAAACAUAAAAUUCACUUUUAAAUUAUUUGAAGAUACAUUUGUAUUAUAGGAAAUCGAUUAAAUUAGUCUUUUAUUAUUAAAUGUAUUAUUUUAAUCUUUGUAUUAGGUAUGAAUGAUAUCUCCUAAAUUGAAGCCAGAGCUAUUCUUGAAAGACUGAAAUUAGGAUUCAGAUGUGUUGAGAUGGAAAGUGACAACACAAUGUUGAUUGAAACUAUUUGUAACAGGUUGACUACAAUAAGUAGUGCUGCCGAAGUAAGACAGAUUCACGAUUGGUGUUCCAAAAAUUGGGAAGUCAAAUUUAGACAUAUUCAGCGGAAUGCCAAUAAAGUUGUUGAUUGCAUAGCUAAGGCAAAUGGAGGCGUAAUUGAGCAGCUGGUUAUCUUGGAAGAUCCUCUGCAUUAUGUGAGAUGGUAGCUUGAAGAAGAUAUUAGACAGUCACUAGUGACUGAUGAUAAUUUUCAUUUGGACUGAUGAGCGCUUAAUUUUCUAAGCUUAUGUUCAACAAAAAAAAUUUUAACUACGUUUAAAUUGUAAUAGAGUUAACAUUUAGUGUUUAAAAAAUAUCUUAAAAAUUAUUAUUUUUUCCAAUUGCAGUUCAAUUCCACAAAUAUCGACGAUGAAUCCGGACAUAAAAAUUAUAGAAAAAAAACACAUCUAUUAUCAAACCAACAAUCCAUGUCUAAACUUAAAUUAACAAAAUUUGCCACGCAACGCCCAGUACACUAUUAUAUAUAUACUAGAUUUAUUCUAGAUGCACAUGUUUUAUUAUAUUUAAAAUUUAAAAUAUAUGGUUGACUAAGUGUUAGUUGAGUUAGUAUUGCUAUUAUUGUCAGUGUAAGGAAAUGUGAGUUUAAUUGCGCUCAAAUGUGUUUUAUCCUCCAAUUCAAGGGUUAGGAAAAGGUUAUUGAUAAUUAAGUUAUACCAACUUUUAUGAUAUUAAAAAAAGGAUUUAUAAAUAAUAUAAGGAAAAGAAAGAAAGAGAAACAUAUUCAUAUUGAUGGGCUCUUUCAAUAUUAGACUUUUUUUUCUAUCACAAGUAAAAAUAUCAAAGGUGAUAAUAAUUAAAUUAUAAAAUUUAAAUUGAGAAAAUAGGGGAUUGAGUUUAUAAGUUUUAAAGUAUAAAGAAUGAAUAUAUAACUAACAACAUAUUUUAACCACAUAAUAAAAGUAGUUAUGGUAAAAUAAUGACCUGAAUAAUUUUAAACGUCUCAUCCUUGCAAAAAUGAAAUAAUAGAAAAGAAAUAAGUGUUGGGUGUAGUGGCAAUGUACAUCAUACUUCUAAGGGGAGAUUAGGGUUUUAGACAAGGGAAGAAUUUUAAACUUGCUCUUUUCUCUAGAACUCAACGCAAACCUCAAAUUUAUCUUUUUAAAAGAAUUUAAAAAUAUGUAUAUAAAAGGUGAUUUUUUUACCGAUCACACUUAACAAAAUUUUAAAAAAAAAUGAAAUUUAAAGUGAUCUAAAAACAUAUUUUUAAGUGCUUUAGACCAUCCUGUGCUGAUUUCUUUAGUAAUUUGAUUUGUUCAAUAUAGAUUUUGGUAACUUAAAACAAAAUUAAUAAAAAAUUAUUUUUUUAGAUAUCUUUUUAAUGUUUAAUAAUAAGUUAAUUUAUAAAAUAUACUUUCAUUGGACACAGGGCCUCCAAGGCGGUGAACCACUAAUCAAAUUAAUUUUGAGAUACUUAAAUUUGUUUUCAUCAAUUAAGAAAUUAAAAAAAUUGUUGAGACCUCAUGAUUAUGUUUUAUAAUUUCAGGCUUAUCAACUAUUUUGAAAAACAACAAAACGUCUUACACCAAAAACUAAAAAAUAAAAACGUCGACAUUAAAUUUGUUGGCAUGCAAUCAAUUUUAAGAUGGUUUUUGGAGUUAUAUAUCACCUUAGCAUUGACUUACUUUUCUACAGUUUGUCUUCUCCAACAAGUUAAAUAUUUCAAUUUUAACAACAUUGACAGGUCUUUGGGGUAGGGUCGAGCAAAAUUCAAUAAAAACAGAUGAUAUAAGUUGAGUUGGCUCGGCCAAGUCGAGUCGAUUUGUUCAAAUUAUUUAAAUUAGUAAAUUUUAGGGUGCAAUUAGAAUUUUUUGUUUUGAGAUGCUAAUUAGAUUAAAAAAUUUCAGUUGCUAAAACAAAAAAAUUGUAUUUAAAAAGGCAUAAAUUAAAUAAUUAAGUUUUUCGAGUUUCCAUUUAAUCAAAGGUUAAAAGGACUAAAUUGAAGCUUUUUAUUUUUAAGAAAGGCUGAAUGACAAAUUGCCCAAAGCCCAUGGCCCUAGCUAUACAACUAACUUUUCUAUGAUUAGUCCUUGGUUUGCUUUGGGUGAAAUCUUCCAACUAGCCUCAUCCUUGGUUUUACUUUCCAACAAUUAGUGUAUCGCGGGUUUUGUUUUCUUUAAAAAAUAUUUGUGGAUAUUAGGAGAUAAUGAAAAUUAUUUUACUAUGAAAUUUUAAUAAAACUGGAAAAUAAGUAAUUUAUUUUAAGAGAUCACAAUUAAACGUUAGAUUUCCCCUUUUUAAAUUAUAAAUUUUUUUUUGACAAUUGCAUAAUAUUUUGAGCGUUGUAGGAAUGCCAUAAUAUAACCUUCCCUACGCAUAAUCGACUCUUGAGCAUGAUGGAUCCUAGACCUUCUCCUCUAUUCUCGUACCACAAAUUGCUUCAAGUGUGGGUUCGAACAAUCACAAAUUAAACGCAAAACCAAAAAUGAUUUAUUACUUUCAAUAGCAAAGUAAUUCUCUCUCAAUAGAAACCAAUAGAAUUGUAAUUCCUAGAAAAUAAAAUUUAUUUUUUGAAAAUAUAUUCUCACUACUUUCUAGCAGAAUAACAAUAUGUGAAACUUAUGUCUUGUGUUAAUAGCUCUACCAGUACUAUCUAUUUAUAGGGAGAGACACGAGAAUCCUGGUUGAAUUAGUAAAACACGAAUAAUAUUUAUUUCAUAGAAAACAAUAUUCCACCCUAAGUAGAUCAAGUUUGUAUGACGCAUGGAUCAAAGCUCAAUCUAGGAGAAAAAAAACAAAGGAAUUUUCUUUGUAAAGAAAAUUUGAGAUUGUACUAUUUUCAAAGUUAUAAAUAAAAUUAUACGCCAAAUUUUCAAGUCAAUUUUCAACUCCAAUUUUGUAUGCACAAAUUUCUAAUACACUUGGUGGGACAUUCUUUGACUUUUAUCUAUUCUCUCAAAAAGUUAAAGUUCAAAGUUACAUUAAACUCAAAGAAGAUAUUCAUUAGUAAACCACCUCACAAGCCUGCUCAAGCUAAUCCUACAACUCGUUCCACUUCAUCAUCAAACACCAAUAUUCUUGCUUAUCCUUAUGGAAUUAAACAGUCUCAUUUUCUGCAUUUUGGGUACACACUUAGUUUUGUUUGAUGCUAAAACAGUCCCCGAGCACUCCAAAACCUAUAAUUGAACAAAUAAUACUAAUUUAAUCUUACAUAACAUGAUCCCAAAUUGAAAUUGUAUCGAGGUUUUAACCCAUAAGUGACUAAACCUUACCUUCAACCGAUGAACAGUAAUUCCCACACAAACUAAGACUCCAAUUGGAGAUUACGAGCCAUUGAAUCCUCCCCUAAUUGGCAUAAACAAAACACUUCAAAAGAAAGUUAACAAAUGGAGACAAAUCACUUAUCUAAAACUUACCGAACGAUCACAGAAAAACGUGGAGUGACACGAGGCAGAGUGGGAAAAGAAAAAUCAAGAGGAUGAAGGGUGAAAGAGAGCAAAAAUUCGGUAGCAAUGAAGAGAAAAACAGCAAGAAAGUGGAGGGAUUUUAGGGAAAGUAAAAAAAAAGAUGAAUAGAAUAUUUGAUAACUACCCAAUCCCUUAUUUCUCUCUAUCAAACUCCCCACUAAAUCCACUACUCGAAUUUUUAGUCCAUCUCAAACUCUCCUGGACGCACGAGCAAAAAAUAAUGACCAUGCCAAAAUUUAAACAAAAGACCUCCUUCACACCAACACUCCACUUAUCCACCAGACCAAUAGGCUCAUUCUUUUAAUUAUUUUCCAACUUUUACUUAAAAGCCUACUGACCAAAGAUAGGGCUUAUUCAUAAAAAUACCAAAUUUUGCCCAAGACCUGGCUUGAACUUGGGACCUCUCAAACACACCCAGAACACAUAACCACUAAAGCAGACAGAAAUUUUGUGUCACACAUUCACAAUACCCAAAAUUAAAAUUUUAGGGCGUUACAAAAACACAUUAAACAAUAUCGCAUAAAACAAUCACAGUCAGAUAACAAUUCAGAAUGUCGAUUUUACAAUUUAACCACCAAUAGUAUCAUAGUAUUCACAGUUGUAAUUUCAGAAUAUCAAAUUUCCACAUCAUUCACAAUAUUCACACAUAUAUAAAUAUAUCAUAAUAGAAUUCUAGAUUUGUAUGCACAUGAUUUAGAAGAUGCCAUACAAUUUUGGGUUUUAACAGAAUAAAUCCUACCCCACAUUACAUACCAUAAUGGGAGUUCCCCUAAACUCCCUUCUCCAACACACUAGGUUGUGGAUAAACCACUAUUGGUUCACAAAUAAUAACUGUCAUUUGGCUGUGGACACAUAGCAAGUCCCCGCAAUUGGAUUCUAGAUUUGGUUGUGGAUUCACAGCAAAAAAAUCCUACAAAUGAAGCCUGCUUUUGCCUGUAGAUUAUACAACAUAUACCCGCAGUUGGAAUCUGUCUUUGGCUGUGGAUGCAGUGUAACACCUCAAACUCGACCUAGACGUUAUGGCUAAAUCUUAAUGAUUUACUUUAACUCGCUAGAAAGCCCACGAAUUUACUUUAAAAUCAUGUGGUUAAACUAGUGUUCACUUUGAUAAAUCGUUUUCCAGUUUUAGAGAAAAUUCUUGUUAAAACUGUUACUUUAUUACAAUAAAACAUUGAAGUAAUUGUAUCAUUUUGUAGUGGAAUCUACUAAGCUAUAAGGUUUUGAAAAUCGUGAUUUAGUUUGAAACAAAUCAUUUUGCAAAUAGAAAUUUAAUACUACUUAAUUUGGAAAAGCACGCUAAAACGAAAGCAAAGUCCAAAAUAAUUUACGGUUUGAAAUUCUAAAAAGCCCAAAUUAGUCAUAAAGUCUAUUUAAACCAAUUUAUCGAAAGUGUAACACCCUAAACCCGGCCUGUAUGUUAUGGCCAAAUCUAGAUGUGUUACGAAAAAAAGUUUAUAAAACGACUUCCUUGUUAUUGGCAAAUCAUCGUAGCCAUUAUUACUUAGUAUAUCUGAUUUGUUUGGAAAACUUAUUGAUAUACUUAUUUGAUUUAAAAUCGUUGCUCACUUACGCCUUUUUAUUAAACCAAAUAUUUUGCAGCGGAGUUUCUUUAAAACAUCAUAUUUUGGAAAAUCAAAUUGUUUCUUGAAAAUCGUUAUUUUAGAAAAGUUGUCAUUUUCAGAAAAAUUAUUUUAUCAGUUGUUAUGCUGAGAAAACAAAAUAAAAUCCAAAACCAAAAAUAGUCCCAAAAAGUCUAGAGAGUCCCAAAAUGACAAUACUCUUAAAACUAGACAAGUUUAAACUAAUUUUAAAAGAAUGAAAUUUUACAGAAAUGUGGACACCACUGAGCUUCCGUCGCACCGACCCACCUAAAUCUGAGGGUUACUUGAACAGAAUAAACAAACAGAGAGUGAGUUUUGAAACUUAGUGUCUAACGCGUAUAUAAACAAAAAUUCAGAAUCAAUCUCAUGCAGAACAGAUACAAGUGUAAACCUUUUAUAAAAUUAGAAUUAUACAGAUACAAAUAUGCAACAUCCUACCCUCAUCCUCUACACACCAACUCCGACCAUUCUAUCACACCACGUGGGGUAUAAAAUACCCACCCAGCCCUACACACCGUAUAGUAUUUAUAUGACACUUUUUGGAAUAAUCGCAGCAGAGUUGCCAGUAUAUAGGCGAGAUAUCACCUCACACAGAACACUUCCUCCUCAUAAUACAAAUCCCGCCCCAUAGCCAGAUACAGACAAAAUAUCAUGUAAAAUAAAUUAACAGAUACUAGAGUUAACAUAUCACGCAUGAGCGUAUAAUAGAUAUUACACAUGCUUAUGCAUAACAAAAUAGAUCAUACAUAUUGUAUUCCAUAAUACUCAUAUAAAUGUUAUUUACGUCAAUCUCAAUCUAAUAGAGUAGCUGAUUUCAUGCUUUAACUCUUAUACCACACAUACAGACCCUAUAGAAGGCCCACAGUUGAUCGAGACAACAUGUAUGUCCCUAGGGAAAAAAUUUGUAAUUUGGGCCCAUAUGCAUGUAUGAGCCCACACACCCAAAAUGGCCUUGCCCAUGUGGCUCACCUACCUAGCACUCAGCCCAUACGGUCCAAAAUGGCCUAGGUCGUGUGUCACACACAGCCGCAUGUUGCACACAGCCUACCACAUAGCGAGUCACAAAACCGUUUGGAGUUGACAAGCCUAAUUUUUGGCUUUCGUCAAUCGUCAUUUUCUUACGUUUUCAUUACACACUUGGUUUGAUUCUGACCCAAAAGCAACCCUAAGUCCACCGAAACCUAAAAAUAGCAUUCCAAUGCCCAAUUUCAGUGAACAUUUACAAAACUUAAACAAAAACUAUCCAAAAACAUAGCCUCACAAUAGCAUCCAAUGCACUCGCACACUUACCGUCAACGAAUAGGAAACACCCAACACUCAAUUCGUUGGCGGAGCACCAAUUAUGAUAAUGCAAAAAUUUUAUGGAUUCUCAACACUAUCGAUCCAAAUGUAAGAUUGAUGCUUUCCAAUUAUGAUAAUGCAAAAAUUUUAUGGGAUGGUUUACAUGAAUUUUUGUUGUUGUCAACGAUCAAUGUAUUCAAUAAUUAAAAGAAAAUAUUAGUCGUUGUUAGAAAACCAAUACUAUGAGUGUUGUAGUUUAUUUCAGUAAAUUAAAGGUUUUGUGGGAUGAACUAGACAAUCAUGAACAAUUGAUUUAUUGCAAGUGUGGACAAUGUUUAUGUAACUUAGGGAAGACGGAUGAACAAUGUCGUGAGCAUGAUCGACUUCAUCAAUUACUUCUUGCUCUCUAUUCUAAUUGUUAUGCUCAAACUAGGUUUACAUUGUUUUACCAAGAUCCUUUGCCUUCCUUAAAUCAGGCAUUCCAACAAAUUACUUAGGAGGAACAUGUACGUGGAAUUACACUGAUUAAGGAAGAGAAGUCUGAUAUUUUAGGCUUUGCUUUGCAUACAGAAGGUCAUAACAAAGGCCGAGCUAAUUGUAUUGAUAAGUCAACCUUGUUGUGCACUCAUUGCUAUCGCAAAAGGCAUGAGAUGGCUACCUAUUUUGAAUUACAUAGCCACUUGGAUUGGCGGCUUAAGAAGUAUGGGAAGCCAGAGAAGAAAAGUGAUGAUCGUGGUGGUAAGACAAGUGCACAUCUUCCACGUAAGUAUUUUAUUUCAAAGGAUCACAAUUAAACAUUAGAUUUCUCAUUUUUAAAUUUUUUUUAUUUUUUUAACAACUACGUAAUUAACGAGUACCAAUUUUGGGUGUUGUAGGGGUUCUAUAACUUUCCCUAUAUGUAAUCGACUCUUGCACCCUCUUUUUUUCUCUAGAAUUCAAUGCAAACCUUAAAUUUAUCUUUUUAAAAGAAUUUUAAAAUCUCUUUAUAAAAGACGAUUUUUUUAGGUGACCAAUCACAGUUAAGAAAAACAAAUCGGUGGCAACUCCUUUCUAAUAAAUGUAAAAAACUUUUUAAACAAAAUAAGGUUGAAAUAAUCUAGUUGUCGUUAUACUUUGAUAAAAUUUUAGAUUUAGUCCUUAUACUUAAAAGGUUAAAAAUUAAGUCUUGUUUUUAUUUAAAAAUCUUAGUCCUAUCGUUAAUAUUGUUUUUUUUUUGUCAAAAUUUGUCAAGUUGACAUAUUAAUUAGGUUUCUCUUAUAUAUCGUGGUAUAUGACUAACACAAAAUAAACAAGUUGACAAAUUCUACAAAAAAUAUCAAAGAUGAUAAUAGUUUAAUUAAAAUUUUUAAAUUAAAAAAGUAAGGGAUUAAAUUUAUAACUUUUAAAGUAUAAUGAAUGAAAUUAUUGAAAUACAAGAACUAACAACAUAUUUUAAAAAUAUUACUAGUAAAUUAUAUAUCUACAACAAGAAUUGUAACCUCUUAUAUUAUAUUCUUGUAUUUAUUUUUGCAUCUUUCAUAAUAUGAUUUAUUAAUUUUAAUAUUUUUAUAGAAUAAUAUGCUUUAAAUAGUUUUUUGUAUCAUUUAUAAAAAUUAUAAUAAACUUACAAAAUAAUUUAAUGAUAUUUAAUUAUUAAUCGAAAAAAAUGAUAUCAUAUAUAUUAUGUAUAUAUUAAGAUUCCAAAUCAUUAAUUAUAUAUCUACGCAUUAUAAUAAAUUCAUCUUUCAAAAUUUUCCUUAUAAUUAAAGCAUAAAUUAUAUUUAUAAUAAUAUAAAUAUAUUCUAUCAUAAAUAUUCUUUCAAAUAUUUUUUAAUGUUUAAUAAUAAGUUAAUUUAUAAAAUAUUCUUUCAGUAAAUUAACGUGAUGAGAUCGUUAGGUGCUUGGAUUUGGUGAAGGGGGAUGAAGAGAAAAGGGAUGGAAGUGAAUAAAAAUGUUGAGAAAUGGAAAGGGUUAGCGAGGGAAGCCGCCAUGAAAGGUGGUUCAAUGGAUAUGAACCUUCAAGCUUUUGUGGAUGAUGUUACUCAAGGUUGUUGCAAGUAAAUUUAAAAAUGUUUUUAAAUUAUUUUUUUGUUAAAAAAACAUUUUUUACUUUUUUAUGUGGCAUGCCACAUUAUCAUACUAUCAUGUGACAAUUUCUGGUGAUUUCUGUCCGCAACAUUAGUCAAAUCAACUGUUAAAUCGUUCAACUCACAGUUUUUGUUAAAUGAAGAGGUUAAUUGAUUUUUUUUUGGAAUCAUUGAGUACUCAAUUGGUGCACUUUUUUCAUAAAGGCUAAAUUAAUUUUUUAAUUUGUUAUUGUUGAAGGCUAUAGCAAUAAAAAAAAUUGAGGUAAAAAAAUAUUAGAGCUAAAUUUGUCAUUAUGCCUAAAAUGUAAAACCAAAUUUUUUUGAAAAUGAAAAAAAAUGGAAAAUCGCAAAUUCCGUCGCAUAUUUUUGCUUAAAAUUAUAGUUUUGGUCACCAAUCUUUUGAAGUAAAUAUAGGUCACCAAUAUUAUCAAUUUGUUACUUUGUAAUAACUCACCUUAAGUUAUACCCCGACGCACGAAAGGAUUAAAUGACAUUGGGAUACCAUCAAACUUGUAUCUUAAAUACACAUUUACCCCUAAUUUUAUCACAUUCUUCUUAAUUGGUAUUUAUGGUUUAGAAAAUUUUACAAAUAUAUUAUUUUUUAAGAAAUUAUAAGAAGAUUACAAAAAUUCCAAAAUAAUAUAAAAAAGCUAAGGAAAACCUAGAAAUUCAAAAAAAAAAACGUGGACAUUGAAUUUGCUGUUUCACAUUAAAUUUUUGGAGAAGUAGAAUUUUCUAACUUAUUUUCCAUCAACUUCACUUCAAUUUUCAAUCACAAUCUAUUGCAUUCAAGAGCACCACAUCUUUUGGGAUGAAACAAACCUCUCAAUUUUAAGAUAAACGGAAUCUAUUGCAUUCAAGAGCACCACGUCUUUUUGGAUGAAACAAAGCUCUCAAUUUUAGGAUAAACGGGUCUUUAGGGUUAUAAAUUGAGGUCCUUUUCCACAAUUGCGGGUGAUUCGUUGAUAAUAACCUCAACAUUUCUGUAUCACAUUUAAUUCAAUUCCACAUUCAAUUUUUAGUUUUUAGAGAGAUGAUUGGGUUACAACAAUGGUUUGAAGUGAAGAUAUUUCAAAACAAGAUGAAUACUCUACCAAUAGUCAUAAUUUAAAAUGCAGGUUAUGUUUCAUUUCAGCUAAGUUAAAUGUUAAGAUUGAGGUUAAACCUUUUAGAGGUUGCUCGCAAAAGGAUCAAACCUUUAUAAAAUUGUUUAAAUGAAGGUCAAACCUCUUAAAAUAGACAAAUAAGGGCCUAACCUUUUAAAAGGUGUUCAAAUAAGGGUUUCUCAAAUUUUGUAUAUCAGGUUAUGUAUUUUACUCUAAACACAUCGACAUUUACCUAUUUUUUCUAUAAAUUGGGUUGAAGUGCAUGAAAAAACCUUAUUUAAGCACUUCUGUAAAGGUUAAACUCUUAUUUGACUAUUUUGAAAGGUUUGAUCCUUAUAUAAGCAACCUCUAAAAGAUUGAGUACUAAUUUGACAAGAUUGAGAAAUACCUAAAUUUGUUUUCAUGAAUCAAGAAAAUAAAAAAGAAAUGUUGAGAAAUAUUUUAGAGAUUCUUAGCUUUGACAAGUUCCCUCCAUCAUCUUCCUGCCUCCAGUCCCACCUCUUCUCUUAUGCUCCUCCCAGCUUCUUGCUUUUUGUGUGUUGAAAUUUCAAAGGAACAAAAUAUCAACCUACAUCAUAAGGCACGAUUGCCAGAACUUUACUUUCUAGCCUGUCGAUCCGAUCCAAUGAAAGAAGAACAAAGAGUCUCAAGAUCUGUCAACUUUAUUUCAUUUUCAUUUUCUUUGUCAUUUUCUAUGUUUCAUGUCGAAUACAAUGAAAGAACAUAGAAAAAUGUUGCCUAUUUAUUUCCCAAUCAUCAUGAAAUUACUUGCCAUAGACUUAGAAUUUUCUCACCAAUUUUCAAGCAAUCUGACAUGAUUUCUCAAUCACAAUUAAUUGAAUUCAAGAUCUUUUUAGAUGACACAAACAUUUCAAUUUUAACACAAACCAAUAUUUAGGUUGUACUUCAGUGCUUGACAAGCACUUUCACAUUUGUGGGAUAAGAACUCUUAACAUUUUAGGAUCACAUUUAAUUCAAUUGCAUUUAAGACCUCACGAUUUUAUUCUAUAAUUUCAGUCUUAUCAGCCUUUUCGGAAACAAUAAAACGUCGACAUUAAAUUUGUUGUUGAUGCAUUCAAUUUUUUGAGGGGUCUUUGGAGUUAUAUGUGACUUUAGCAUUGACUGACUUUUUUAUAAUUAAUCUUUUAUAAUAUAUCAAUUUUAAUAACAUCGACAUGUUUUUUAGUAGGGUCUAGCAAAACCCAAUUAAAACCGAUGAUAUUGGCUUAGUUGACUCGGUCAAGUCCAUUAGAUUGAUAAAAUCAAUUUUAAAAUCAGUUAUAAUGGAUUAAGGUAAUUAAUUAUCGAGUAAUGAAAUACAUAAUCAAAUCAAUUGAUUUUGUUAGAAACUAAAAGAAAAUGAGAUAAGCUGAAAACUGAUUGCCCUUUAUUAAAAUUAACGAAUCCGCCCUUUACGUAUUAGAUAAUACGAACAUCACAUAUAUAAUAAGAAAAAUUACGUAUGAUUAUUUAUUAUCAUAAAAGGUUAGUUUAAAUUUAAAGUAAUCUAAUAUGUUUAUUGAACUUCAACUAUUAAAUAAAGUAUAAGCUAAAUAAGUAUAAAUAUUCUAGAAACCAUUUCUAACUGAUGAUAGGCUAAUUCGAUUAAUUUAUAAAAACUACAUAGUAGGGUUAUAGUCCUCAAACUACACCUAAUUUAAUAAUAUUUAUAGUUUUUUUUUUAGCCUUAAACAUUUAUAGUUUUUUGUUAAUUUGGUCCUUACUCUUUAAAAUUACAUAAAAAUUGCAAAAAAAAUUAAAAUUAAUUUUUUUUCAUAAUUUUAAUAACAUUUAUAGUUUUUUUUUUGUGUGUGGUUUGGUAACUUAUCAACUCGACUCUCACUUGUAACCAACUUUUCUAACCUUUUUCGUACCCUUAACCUAAGUCCCGUUACAACUUUCUAAAGACCUCUUUAUCAGUGUAUCAUGUCGGUUUGUUUUAUAAUGGUGGAGAUUUGUUUUUUGUAGUGGCACGAUUGCCAGAACUUUACUUUCUAGCCUAUCGAUCCGAUCCAAUGAAAGAAGAACAAAGAGUCUUAAGAUCUGUCAACUUUAUUUCAUUUUCAUUUUCUUUGUCAUUUUCUAUGUUUCUUGUCAAAUACAAUGAAAAAAGAACAUAGAAAAAUGUUGCAUAUUUAUUUCCCAUUCAUCACUCUAACAGGCCCAAUUAGCCCAGGCCCAAACAUUAAUAAAAUGUCUAGAUUACAAAAUAAUCAACUAAAAAUUAAAAGCUCAAAAAAUAAAAUAAAACCCAUUAUAUUAACCCAAAACCCCAGCCCAAUUACAUUGAAACCCAAAAAAAAAAUAGUUUUCAGAAACCCCUAGGGUUUCAGAAGCCCCUCAAUGUUAUUUUGUAUAUCUAUUUAUCUUUUUAAAUUUUCGAUAUUGUCUUGUUUUGUUUUUGUAUUAUUGUUGUUACCAUCAUUAUUCAUUAUUAUUAUUGUUGAUUUUAUUGUUCUUUGAUUAAUGUUAAUGUUAGAGUAAUAGAUGUUAUGUGAUCAUUGUUAUUAUAUGUUAUAAUUUGUUUACACUCGUAUUGUAGUCAUUUGUCAGCUUAAUAUUUUGAGUAAUAUUUUAAAUAUUACAUUAAUUUCGACCCAAAUGCAUAAUUUUUUAAUAAGUAAUAUUUUAUAUUUUGAAAUUUGAGAGAUCAUUCCCUAACUUACGGGGUCUCAAUUUUUUCGAUAAAUCUGAAUAUACUAACUAUUUUCAAAAAAUAUGUUUUAAAAUUAUCUCGGGAAUUUAAAAAGGAGCGUGUUCUAACUUACUGAAUAUGAUCUUUUUUUUAAAAUCGAGAUAAUCAAAUAACUUUCAAAUAAAUAAAUUUUCAAUGUUUAUUCUCAUAUCAGGAUUUAAAAUAUUAUAUCCUAACUCACGGGAUACAAUUCUUUUUCUCGAUUAACAUGAAAUAUGCCCGUUUUAAUUUUAUUUUUUAAGUGAUUUUAACAAAAGGAUUGUAUUUUAAAUCUCUUCAAAAUUUUCAAUUUUUCGACAUUGAGACAUUAACUAAUCAAUUAGGUACCAAUUUUGGGCGUUACGAGGGUGCUAACCCUUCCUCAUACGUAACCGACUCCCGAACCUAUUUUUCUGAAUAUUGAAGGCCAAAAUUGUUUUAAUAAAUUAAACCCUUAAGACGUGACCCCAUCACACCUCAUAAAAAUUAUCGGUGGCGACUCUCGUUUGCGUUUUUGUUUUCGUUUUCAAAAUAAAAGUCGACCCCUUGUUUUAAAAAAGGUGGUUCGAUAGCUUGGCGACUCCGUUGGGGAAAAAAAUAAGAGAGUCAAGCCACGAGUUGAUUAUUUCUUAUUUUUUGUCAGAAAUUGUGAAUUCGAUUUAAAUUUACGAUCUUUUCAUUGCAUUUUAUGGUCUGCAUCAUUUUGAUAUGCUUGCUUUACUGGUUCGAGUCUUUUAAUCUCCGCAUAUUGCAUUGCAUAACCGUUCGGUUAUACCCUUUUAAGUGGGAGUGAGAAACUAUUCAUUUGUGAGAUUUUUACCUCCGUAUAGGAUAGUGGAUUACUUUCGGGAUACAUCCGUACCUAUGUCUUCGUGAGAUUUUCAUCUCCGUAUAGUUAUAGGGAAAUGUAUUCCCCUGAACUGAACUCAGUCCGUAUGAGCCUAUAAUAGGUAAGGAUUGAGGAAUCUGCUGGUUCAGGUACCCUUUCUUUAGAACUAAACUGCAUGUAGUGAGCCCUAAGAGCAUACCGUAGGUAGAACCACUCCAAACCCCUAGUGGUCACCCAAAUAGGUGCUCUAUUUAUUUUUGCUUGCUUAUUUUUGCAUUGUACUAACCUAUUUUUUUGUUAUGAUUGCAUUGCAUUUUCAUCAUAAAAAAGAUGUGUUGAUUCACGUUCAAUUGCUAAAUAGAGAGCUUGUCAUGGAAAACGGAUUUCUUGAUAAAGUGGAAGACAAUGUGGUUAUCCGGAUAUGGUCCAAGAAAAUUUGACGAAAGAAGGGUGAUAGUCUAAUGGAGGACUACACGACCUUGCUUUAUUGCCCGAGGAUUCAAGUUGACAAAGAUUAUUUGAGAGUCCUCAAUGUCCCGACCUUUUUCAAGAAGCUAACGAGUGUCACGAGGAUGAGUGAGUAAUGAGUUGCGGCCCGGAUCAAGCAAAAAAGAGAUAGAGGAGACACCCUUUUUGAAGAGUUCGCGAGAUUUAUAUUAAUAUCAAAAUGAAGAAAAAGAUCAAUGUCUUCGCCUGGAGUAUGAAAGCAAAGCUGUAUAUAUAUCCGCUUUAUGUAAAUAAAUUUGUUUUCUAGUAAAGUUUUUCUAAUAGAAUUGAAUCAGAAUCAAUGUCUUUUUUUGCAUUCAUUCCAUUCAUCUGCAUUGCAUUUCAUUGCAUCCAAAAUUUCACAAAAGGACCCUAAUUAAUUGAAAUUGUUAUAGUUACUCUGAAAACUAAUAAAAAUCUACCAAUUAAAUAUUCCUACGGUACCCGUCGCAAAACCAAAGUAAUGGAUCAAAUAUUAGAAAGAUUAGAACAAAUUCUGAAAGACAAGCAUAAUCGUUUUUGCUUAGGGUACAAGCCAGAUACAAGACAAAGAAGGAAGGAGUUAGAGAAGAAAUAGGAAAGAAUGACAGCAUAUUUGAGCGAGGAUGAGGUCAAAUGGGAGCCUAUGAACUUUCCCUACAUAUCCAAAACUUUUGUAUCGGGAGGGAUUAUUCAUCCCGAGCGAAGAAUGCCAAGAGAAGAAAAUAUUGAAGAAAUGUUGGGAAACGUUCACAUCAAUGCCAUAUACGAAGAAGUAGUUGAAGGAUGGACCUUGUUAGAUAUCCGACCUUAUGAACCUGGGAGUGUGCUAAACAAUUGGACUACAGAAGAAAUUCCUGUAGUGUUUAGACCUUACUCAGAGUAAUAUUCAAAACACACUUGUUGCUUUUAGCCUAGAAGUGAUAAGAAUCCCUCUGUGAAAUAGGCUCAUGUAUAAACAUCAUUAUUUUAAUAAAGUAAAUCUUUGCAUUCAUUUUGAGCAAAUAUUCUUUUAUUCUUUCCAUACGAGUAAUUAUUUUAGAUUUUUCAUUAUUUUAGGAUUUUCUUCCAAAAAUCAUUCUUUUAUUACAUUCAUAAUCAUACUGUACAAAUAAUUAUUCUUAAAUUCAUUCAUUCUUUGUAUAUUCUUUUGUACCUAUAAUAGGUCCCUAGAUAUCAACGACAUGAGUGACGCUGCUACAGACUUAGAAUUUCCUUUUAAACAAGACAUGUGUUUAGAGGGAUCCCAUGACUUUGAAGAUGACGUAGACUGUGGCUUAUCUCCGGACUUGUUAAGGAUGGUAAAACAAGAGGAGAAGCAAAUCCUACUUCACAAUGAAUCAAUGGAAAUUGUGAGCUUAGAAGGGGAAAAUAGGUGAAGAUUGGGACUGACAUUGCCACAAAUACGAAGUAAGACCUCAUUGAGUUACUCUAAGAAUUCAAAGAUAUUUUUGCAUGGUCAUACUAGGAUACGCUCGGGUUAAGUACUGACAUUGUAGUACACUGCCUUCCUAUAAAAGAAGAUUGCUAGCCAGUUCAGCAGAAACUCCAGAGGAUGAGGCCUGAUAUUGUGCUAAAAAUAAAAGAAGUCAAAAAGUAAUUUGAUGUUGGGUUCUUACAAGUGGUCAAAUAUUCAGAAUGGGUAGCCAACAUCGUCUCAGUUCCUAAAAAAAAUGGGAAAGUACGAAUGUGCAUGGAUUACAGAGACUUGAACAAGGCCAGUCGAAAAGACAAUUCCCUAUUGCCUCACGUUGACACUUUGGUGGAUAAUACAGUAGGCUACUCACUUUUUUCCUUCAUGGAUGGCUUCUCUGGAUACAAUCAGAUAAAGAUGCAUCCAAAAACAUGGGAAAGAUUACAUUCGUGACCCUGUAGGAAACGUUUUACUAUAAAGUGAUGACAUUCAGAUUAAAGAAUAUGGGAGCGACGUAUCAAAGGGUGAUGGUAACCUUGUUUCAUGACAUGAUUUACAAGGAAAUCGAGGUUUAUAUUGACGAUAUGAUUGCAAAAUCUAGAACAGAAGAGGAACAUGUGCAGGUCCUGAGAAAAUUAUUCUUAAGACUGAGAAAGUUCUAGCUCAAGCUUUCCAACGAAAUGCACUUUCGGAGCUAGGUCAGGAAAGCUAUUAGGCUUCAUAGUCAGUGAAAAAGGAAUCGAGAUCAACCCAGACAAAGUCAAGGUAAUAAGAGAUUUACCUCCACUAUGCACUCAGAAGAAAGUUCGAGGUUUCCUAGGAAGACUAAAUUACAUUGCUCGGUUUAUUUCACAACUAACCGAAAAAUGUGACCCCAUAUUUCAUCUUUUAAAGAAACAUAAUCCAGAUGUAUAGGAUGAAGAAUGUCAGGAAGUUUUUGAUAGGAUAAAGCAGUACCUAUCAAAUACUCUAGUGCUGUUACCACCUAGCCCAGAUAGGCCACUGAUAUUGUAUUUAACAGUGUUUGAUAAUUUUAUGGGAUGCAUGCUAGGCCAACAUGAUGAGACAGGAAGGAAAGAAAGGGUUAUAUACUAUCUCAGUAAGAAAUUCACUGAUUAUGAAAUAAGAUACUCGUCUAUUGAGAAAUUAUGUUGUGCCUUGAUCUGGAUAACUCGGAGGCUAAGGCGGUACAUGUUGUACCAUACGACUUGACUAAUUUCAAAGUUAGACCCUUUAAAGUAUAUGAUGGAGUCAACUACUUUGAAUGGGAGGAUGGCCAGAUGGCAGAUUUUACUUUUUGAAUUUGACAUACUUUAUGUGAGCCAGAAGGCUAUAAAAUGGAGUGCAAUAGCGGAUUUUCUAGCUAGCAGAGCCUUGGAGGAUUAUGAGCCUUUAAAUUUUGAUUUUUUGAACGAGGACUUAAUGUAUGUGGCAACCACUAAAGAAAAUGCUCAAGUGGAUCGCAUUUGGAAGCUAAAAUUUGACGGAGCCUCAAAUGCUAUGGGUAAUAAAAUUGAGGCAGUCUUAGUAUCCCCGAGCAGAGAUCAUUAUCCUAUUGCUGGCAAAUUGGAUUUUGAUUGUACAAACAAUAUAGCAGAAAAUGAAGCGUGUAUUAUGGGCAUCCGUAUAGCCAAAGAAUGUAAAAUCAAAGUGCUAAAGGUAUAUGGGGAUUCUGCAUUGGUGAUAUAUCAGCUCAAAGGAGGAUGAGAGAUAAGAGACCUCAAAUUGAUUAAUUAUCGAAAGUUUAUUCUCGAAUUGAUUGAUGAGUUUGAUGAUAUUACUUUCUCCUAUCUCCCACUAGAUGAAAACCAGAUGGCUGACACGUUGGCUACUCUAGCUUUCAUGAUCAAAGUAAACAAACUAGAAGACAUGAAGCCUAUCCAGAUGAGCAUUUAUGAGACUUUGGCUCAUUGCUACAGUAUCGAGGAAGAGGAAAAGGAUGAUCAUCCUUGGUACCAAGAUAUACUGCAAUAUGUAAAGAAUCACGAGUACCCUGAUCAGGCAACGAAGAAUGAUAAGAGGACAUUGAGAAGACUAGCCACUAACUAUGUCUUACAUGGAGAGAUUUUAUACAAAAAGGGAAAGGAUCGGGUACUACUAAGAUGCUGGAUGCUAUAAAAGCUUAGAAAAUCUUGGAGGAAGUCCAUGAAGGUAUCUGCAAAAUGCAUGCCAACGGUUUCACAAUAGUAAGACAGAUUAUGAGAUUCGGGUACUACUGGUCGACCAUGGAAGGAGAUUGCAUCAAUUAUGCCAAGAAGUGCCAUAAAUGUCAAAUUUAUAGAGACAAAAUACACGCACGUUCUUCACCUCUCAACGUUAUGACUUCUCUAUGGCCUUUCUCUAUGUGGGAUAUGGAUGUCAUCGGGCCAAUAUUGCCAAAGGCUUCUAAUAGGUAUCGUUUCAUCUUCAUGGUCAUUGGUUACUUCACUAAAUAGAUGGAAGCUGAUUCAUAUGCUAAUGUCACGAAGUCAGGAGUCAGCAAGUUCUUGAAAAGGGAGAUCAUAUGUUGAUAUAUAAUGCCUGAAAGAAUCAUAUCUGACAAUACAUUGAAUUCGAAAAAUAGCAAAAUAGCGGAGGUCUGCAAUCAAUUCAAGAUCAAACACCAUAAUUCGUCACCAUAUCGCCCAAAAAUGAACGGAGCAGUGGAGGCGGCCAACUAAAAUACCAAGAAAAUUGUGGGGAAAAUGUCUGAGACUUACAAAGAUUGGCAUGAAAAAUUACCAUUUGCCCUCUUUGUUUAUCGAACAUCAAUCAGGACUUUCGUCGGGGCAACGCCUUUCUCUCUAGUUUAUAAGAUGGAGGCAGUUUUACCCAUUAAAGUUGAAAUCCCUUCUCUCUGGGUAUUGGCUGAGCUAAAGUUGGAUGAAGCUGAAUAGAUCCAACCUCGAUAUGAUCAGUUGAACCUAAUAGAAAGAAAAAGGCUAAAAGUUAUUCACCACGGUCAGAUGUACCAAAAACGAAUGAUGCGAGCCUACAACAAAAAAGUUCAUCCCAAAGAAUUCUAUGAGGGGGACCUAGUGUUGAAAAAGAUUUUUCCUCUACAAAAGAAUUUUAGAGGAAAAUGGAUGCCAAAUUAGGAAAGACCUUAUGUUGUAAUAAAGGCCUUUUCUGGAGGAGCAUUGAUUUUGAGUGAGAUGGAUGGUAAAAAUUUUCCUAAUCUUGUAAACUCAGAUUCAUUCAAGAAAUACUUCACCUAAAGAAGGAGAAGGGACCAAUGUGAAAACCUGCAAAGGGCACUUUGAGUCUUAAAAAAAAGAGACCAAGGUGAAAACCGCAAAUGGUGUCUUAAGUCCUAAAAAAAAGAGGCCAAGGUGAAAACUAGCAAAGGGCGCCUUGAGACCAAAGGGGAUUUGAGUUGAAAACCCGAAAAGAGCGACUCAAAUAUUGAUUAAAAUGGGGCAUGCAGUGAUCUUGCUAUACUUGAAUUAAUAGGAAAGGGGUAUACGACAUCUUGGGGCAUCGACAAAGUACUAUAGAUCUCCUAAACACAUUUCAAACUCAAAAUGGUCUUUAGGAAGUUUGUACAGAGAAAUUCAAGCUGCGAUGUCUAGGGCACCUAGUCUUCAUACUAUUUAUAUUAAAUUUGCUAUUCUUGGAAUACUUUAUUCUUUUCAAGAUACGUGUUCCCAAUCAAUUCCCUUUUUAUUCUUCUUUAUCCUUGAUAAUUUAUUCAUUUCGAGCUAUGCUCCAAAUCAAUUCUAUUCUUAUCCAUUGUUAUUAUCUUUUGCAAGCAUGUUGUAUUGGAAUAAUGAUUAAUAGACUAAUAAUACUUUUACAAAUAAAGUGCUGUAUAUUACUCUAAAAGUUUCUAAAUAAUACAAGAACCUAAAACAGGACUAUUGUUUAGAACGCACCGGGUUUAAAGGUUAGAAAUAUCUGAGAAGGAAGAGUCCAAAUUAAGACUAUCCCUUCGAAUUUUGUUGUCAAAAUAUUGAUUGAACAAAACGACAAGAUAUCGUAUUGGUGAACAAACGAGCAAUGAUCACCAGGUAAUAAAAAGAGGUUAUUUUGGAAAAAAAAUUACAUUGGUACGACACCUUAGGAAUGGUGUAAGAGACCAAAGAGGUUCACAUCUUGUAUUCUUGAAUUGCAAUAGGAGAGGAUUGAGAAAGAGCUAGAUAUUAUACUCCUGAAUUAUAAUGGAAGGGAAAUGGUACAAAUUUUAUGUACCAAAAGUACAGUGGAUUGAACCUUGAAGAUUACAGUAGGGGAAAUCUGAUUAAGUAAAAUAUGAAGUGUUUCUUUGGAGAUACCAGUCGAACAAGAUGGCAUUAUGACGUGUCGGUGAUAGAGCCUUAAUGAAUAAUGAGCAAUAACAACUCAAGCAUUAAGGGAUCAUUUUCAUAACAUUCUGUAUUCAUUCAUACACAUCUAGUUAGGAGAUUUUGAUUCAUUCCGAUCAUAACAUCCAAAUCACUAGACAUAAAUAGGCCCAUGAAAUGGAUUCUACAGGUCAUGUUCCCCAUAGAACAGAUGGGUGAAACCACAAAUCCUAUACCGCUGAAGUUGCAGUGGGAUGGAUUGAAGUCAUUAUGGCGAGUCUUAUCUCCCUGAAGUUGCAAUGGAGCAUAUUAAAGCUAGUAAUCUUAUCUCCCUGAAGUUGCAGUAGAGCGGAUUGAAGUUACAAGUCUUAUCCCCCUAAAGUUACAGUGGAGCAGACUGAAGAUAGUGAAUCUUAUUUCCCUGAAGCUGCAGUGGAACAAAUUGAAGCUAUAAAUUGUAGAUUUUAUCUCUCUAAAGUUGCAAUAGAGAAGAUCAUAUCAAACUUUAUCUCCCUGAAGUUGUAGUGGAACAGGUUGAAAAUACCAAUCUUAUCUCCCUGAAGUUACAGUGGAGUAGACUGAAGAUAGCGAAUCUUAUUUCUCUGAAGUUGCAGUGGAACGGAUUGAAGCUAUAAAUUACAGAUCUUAUCUCUCAGAAGUUGCAGUAAAGCAGAUCAUAGAAAACCUUAUCUCCCUGAACUUGCAGUGGAGUAGGUUGAAGUUAUAAGUCUUAUCUCCCUAAAGUUGCAGUGGAGCAGACUGAAGAUAGCGAAUCUUAUUNNNNNNNNNNNNNNNNNNNNNNNNNNNNNNNNNNNNNNNNNNNNNNNNNNNNNNNNNNNNNNNNNNNNNNNNNNNNNNNNNNNNNNNNNNNNNNNNNNNNNNNNNNNNNNNNNNNNNNNNNNNNNNNNNNNNNNNNNNNNNNNNNNNNNNNNNNNNNNNNNNNNNNNNNNNNNNNNNNNNNNNNNNNNNNNNNNNNNNNNNNNNNNNNNNNNNNNNNNNNNNNNNNNNNNNNNNNNNNNNNNNNNNNNNNNNNNNNNNNNNNNNNNNNNNNNNNNNNNNNNNNNNNNNNNNNNNNNNNNNNNNNNNNNNNNNNNNNNNNNNNNNNNNNNNNNNNNNNNNNNNNNNNNNNNNNNNNNNNNNNNNNNNNNNNNNNNNNNNNNNNNNNNNNNNNNNNNNNNNNNNNNNNNNNNNNNNNNNNNNNNNNNNNNNNNNNNNNNNNNNNNNNNNNNNNNNNNNNNNNNNNNNNNNNNNNNNNNNNNNNNNNNNNNNNNNNNNNNNNNUCAAAGGAACAAAAUAUCACCUACAUCAUAAGGCACGAUCGCCAGAACUUUACUUUCUAGCCUGUCGAUCCGAUCCAAUCCAAUGAAAGAACACAAGGAGUCUUAAGAUCUGUCAACUUUAUUUCAUUUUCAUUUCUUUGUCAUUUUCUAUGUUUCAUGUCGAAUACAAUAAAGAGAACAUAGAAAAAUGUGGCCUAUUUAUUUCCCAAUCAUCAUGAAAUUACUUGCCAUUGACUUAGAUUUUCUCACCAAUUUCAAGCAAUCUGACAUGAUUUCUCAUCACAAUUAAUUGAAUUCAAGAUCUUUUUAGAUGACACAAACAUUUCAUUUUAACACAAACCAAUAUUUCGGUUAUACUUCAGUGCUUGACAAGCACUUUCACAUUUGUGGAUAAGAACUCUUAACAUUUUAGGAUCACAUUUAAUUCAAUUGCAUUUAAGACCUCAUGGUUUUAUUCUAUAAUUUCAGUCUUAUCAGCCUUUUCGGAAACAAUAAAACGUCGACAUUAAAUUUGUUGUUGAUGCAUUCAAUUUUUUGGGUCUUUGGAGUUAUGUGACUUUAGCAUUGACUGACUUUUUUAUAAUUUAAUAAUAAGGUAAAUAUAUUAAUUUUAAUAACAUCGACAUGUUUUUUAGUAGGGUCGAGCAAAACCCAAUUAAAAUCGAUGAUAUUGGCUUAGUUGACUCGGUCAAGUCCAUUAGAUUGAUAAAAUCAUUUUUAAAAUCAGUUAUAAUGGAUAAAGGUAAUUAAUUAUCGAGUAAUGAAAUACAUAAUCAAAUCAAUUGAUUUUGUUAGAAACUAAAAGAAAAAGGGCUAAGCUGAAAAUUGAUUGCCCUUUAUUAAAAUUAACGAAUCUGUCUUUUACGUAUUAGAUAAUAUGAACAUCGCAUAUAUAAUAAGAAAAUUACGUAUGAUUAUUUAUUAUCAUAAAAGGUUAGUUUAAAUUUAAAGUAAUCUAAUAUGUUUAUUGAACUUCAACUAUUAAAUAAAGUAUAAGCUAAAUAAGUAUAAAUAUUCUAGAAACCAUUUCUAACUGAUGAUAGGCUAAUUCGAUUAAUUUAUAAAAACUAGAUAGUAGGGUUAUAGUCCUCAAACUACACCUAAUUUAAUAACAUUUAUAUUUUUUUUAGCCUUAAACAUUUAUAGUUUUGUUAAUUUGGUCCUUACUCUUUAAAAUUACAUAAAAAAUUGCAAAAAAAUUAAAAAUUAAUUUUUAUCAUGAUUUAAUAACAUUUAUAUUUUUUUUUGUGGUUUGGUAACUUAUCAACUUGACUCUUACUUGUAACCAACUUUUCUAACCUUUUUCGUACCCUUAACCUAAGUCCCGUUACAAUUUCUAAAGACCUCUUGAUUGGUGUAUCAUCUCGAUUUGUUUUUAUAGUGGUGGAGAUUUGUUUUUUGUAGUGGGCAUGAUUGCCAGAACUUUACUUUCUAUCCUGUCGAUCCGAUCCAAUGAAAGAAUAACAAAGAGGUCUUAAGAUCUGUCAACUUUAUUUCAUUUUCAUUUUCUUUGUCAUUUUCUAUGUUUCUUGUCACAUACAAUGAAAGAAGAACAUAGAAAAAUGUUGCCUAUUUAUUUCCCAAUCAUCAUUCUAACAGGCCGAAUUAGCCCAGGCCCAAACAUUAAUAAAUGUCCAGAUUACAAAAUAACCAACCAAAAAUUAAAAGCCCAAAUAAUAAAAUAAAACCCAUUACAUUAACCCAAAACUCCAGCCCAAUUACAUUGAAGCCAAAAAAAUAGUUUUUAGAAACCCCUAGGGUUUCUGGAACAAUCCGCGCCGCUCCUCCAUCCGCUUCUCCACGCACGCUGCACCUUUCCACGUGCGCCUCCAGCUGGCAGUGUACCUCCAAUGCAACAAACAAAGCAACAAGCAGCAAAAGAAAUGGAAAAACAACAAAAAAAAAAGAAGGAGCAACAAUGUAUAACAGAUUGAUAACAAAUAAUAGAAAAAAUAGCAGUAAAUAGGAAAAAAAAUUAAAAAAUAAUGAGGGUAAUUUCAUUUUUUUCUCUGUUUUGGCUAUAAAGAGAGCCGGUCAAAAUCUCUAAAGGGGGAUUUAGAAUCAAUCAGAAAACAAGUAUUUUGUACCAACAAUUAGAGAAAAAAAAUACAAAAAUAGGGAUUGAAGGUUUUUUUUUUCUUUCGUUUCGAUUUAUUUAAAAUAGCAUAGAAAAUAAAAAGAAGGCUUACCUUGCGACGCCUUCAGAUCCUCUCGAAAAGGGGCUAAAAGGCCCUAUGUGGCACAGAUUUGACCACUGUUCACGGUGGAACCGCAGCGGAGGCGCAGAGGAUUGGCAUCAAUUUAGGCAGGGUUUGAAACCCUAGCAGAGAAAAAAUUAGGGUUGAUAGAUUUUUUUUAAAAAAAUGGCAAAAUGUUGUUUUUAAAAAAUUUUGUUUUAAAAAAAUUGUUGCUUUUAUAAAGGGUGUAAAACGGCGUCGUUUAGGGCAUGUUUCGAUGGCCCCAAAACGGCGCCUUAUAAGGCAACCCCCGACGACCCGACCUGCUCCAUGGGGGAUCCGCGUGGUUUUUGUUAAAUGGGUUAUGUCUAACCCUGGCCCUUCUACUUUUUAUACUUGUUUUAAUUUGAUCCUCUUUUUAUUUAUUUUUAUUUCUUUAAAUUAAGCCUGAUAAUUUUUUUCCAUUACAUUUUAAUCCUUAAUGAAACGGCGCGUUUUAGAGGAGAAGGGAAAAUUACCCUUCUAGUCCCUUCUUGUUAUUCGAGUGUUCAGAAGGGUCCUUUUUUGUUUAUUUUUUAUUUGCCCCAAAAUUUUGUUUUAAAGCUUAAUUUAGUCCUAUUUUGUUAUUUUAGCUAUUUUAUUAUUAGAUUAAUUAAUUUAAUAUUAUUAUUACUGCUAUUAUUUUACCCCUAUUAGUUAUAUAUUUAUUAUUAUAACUAUAUCAUUAAAUCAAUUAGUUUUUACAUUAUUAUUUCCAUUCUGUUUUUUAUUUACUUACUUAAAUACUUUAAAUGCAUUUAUUUUAUUUCUUAUUUUUUUAUGAAAUUUCAAAACUUUAGACUAUUUUUUUGUUACUAUAACCCUAAUUUCAUUCAUUUUAUAAUAGUUUUUUUUUAAAAUAUUUCUUAGAUUAAUUCCCUCGAUGUUAUUUUGUAUAUUUAUUUAUCUUUUUAAAUUUUCGAUAUUGUCUUAUUGUAUUAUUGUUGUUACUAUCAUUAUUCAUUAUUAUUGUUGAUUUUAUUCUUCUUUGAUUAAUGUUUAUGUUAGAGUAAUAGGUGUUAUGUGAUCAUUGUUAUUAUAUGUUAUAAUUUGUUGACACUCGUAUUGUAGUCAUUCGUCAGCUUAAUAUUUGAGUAACAUUUUAAAUAUUACAUUAAUUUUGACCCAAAUGCAUAAUUUUUUAAUAAGUAAUAUUUCGUAUUGUGGAAUUUGAGAGAUCAUUCCCUAACUUACGGGGUCUCGAUUUUUUUGAUAAAUCUGAAUAUAAGAACUAUUUUAAAAAAAUACGUUUUAAAAUUAUCUCGGGAAUUUAAAAAGAAGCGUGUUCUAACUUACGGAAUAUGAUCUUUUUUAAAAAUCGAGAUAAUCAAAUAUCUUUCAAAUAAAUAAACUUUUCGUGUUUAUUCUCGUUUUAGGAUUUAAGAUAUUGUGUCCUAACUCACGGGACACAAUUCUUUUUCUCGAUUAACGUGAAAUACGCCCUUUUUAAUUUUAUCUUUUUAAGUGAUUUUAACAAAAGGAUUGUAUUUUAAAUCUCUUCAAAAUUUUCAAUUUUUCGACAUUGAGACAUUAACUAAUCAAUUAGGUACCAAUUUUGGGCGUUACAAGGGUGUUAACCCUUCCUUGUACAUAACCGACUCCCGAACCUAUUUUUCUGAAUAUUAUAGGCCAAAAUUGUUUUAAUAAAUUAAACCCUUAAGAGGUGACUCGAUCACAGCUCAUAAAAAUUAUCGGUGGCGACCCUUGUUUUAAAAAAGGUGGUUUCAACAGCUUGGCGACUCCGCUGGGGACAAAAAUAAGAGUCAAGCCGCGAGUUGAUUAUUUCUUAUCUUUUUGUCAGAAAUUGUGAAUUCGAUUUAAAUUUAUGAUCUUUUCAUUGCAUUUUAUGGUCUGCAUCAUUUUUAUAUGCUUGCUUUACUACUUCGAGUCUUUUAAUCUUCGCAUAUUGUAUUGCAUAACCGUUCGGUUAUACCCUUUUAAGCGGGAGUGAGAAAUUAUUCUUUCGUGAGGUUUUCACCUUCGUAUAGGAUAGUGGAUUACUUUCAGGAUACAUCCAUACCUAUGUCUUCGUGAGAUUCUCAUCUCCGUAUAGUCAUAGGGAAAUGUAUUCCCCUGAACUGAACUCAGUCCGUAUGAGCCUAUAAUGGGUGAGGAUUGAGGAAUCUGCUGGUUCAGGUACCCUUUCUUUAGAACUAAACCGCAUGUAGUGAGCCCUAAGAGCAUACCCUAGGUAGAACCACUCCAAACCCCUAGUGGUCACCCAAAUAGGUGCUCUAUUUAUUUUUGCUUGCUUGUUUUUGCCUUGUACUAACCUAUUUGUUAUGGUUAUGAGUGCAUUGCAUUUUUAUCAUAAAAAAGAUGUGUUGAUUCACGUUCAGUUGCUAAAUAGAGAGCUUGUCAUGGAAAACGAAUUUCUUGAUAAAGUGGAAGACAAUGCGGUUGUCCGGAUAUGGUCCAAGAAAAUGUGAAGAAAGAAGGGUGAUAGUCUAAUGGAGGACUACACGACCUUGCUUCGUUGCCUGAUGAUUCAAGUUGACAAAGAUUAUUCGAGAGUCUUCAAUGUCCCGACCUUUUUAAAGAAGCUAACGAGCGUCACGAGGAUGAGCGAGUAAUGAGUUGCGGCCCGGAUCAAGCAAAAAAAAGAUAGAGGAGACACCCUUUUUGAAGAGUUCACGAGAUUUAUCUUAACAUCUAGACGAAGAAAAAGAUCAAUCUCUUUGCCUAGAGUAUGAGGGCAAAGCCGUAUAUAUAUCCGCUUUAUGUAAAUAAAUUUGUUUUCUAGUAAAGUUUUUCUAAUAGAAUUGAAUCAGAAUCAACGUCUCUUUUUGCAUUCAUUCCAUUCAUCUGCAUUGCAUUUCAUUGCAUCUAGAAUUUCACAAAAGGACCCUAAUUAAUCGAAAUUGUUAUAGCUACCUUGAAAAACUAACGAAAAUUUACCAAUUAAAUAUUCCUAUGGUACCCAUUGCAAAACUAAAGUAAUGGAUCAAAUAUUAGAAAGAUUAGAACAAAUGCUGAAGGAUAAACAUAACUGCUUUGGCUUAGGGUACAAGCCAGAUACAAGACAAAGAAGAAAUAGGAAAGGAGAACACGUUUGAGCGGGGAUGAGGUCAAAUGGGAGGGAUUAUUCAUCCCAGGCGAAGAAUGCCAAGAGAAGAAAAUAUUGAAAACAUGUUGGGAAACGUUCACAUCAAUGCCAUAUACGAAGAAGCAAUUGAAGGAGUGACCUUGUUAGAUAUCCGCCCUUAUGAACCUAAGAGUGUGCUAAACAAUUGGACUGCAGAAGAAAUUCUUGUAGUGUUUAGAGCUUACUCAUAGUAAUGUUCAGAACACACUUGUUGCUUUUAGCCUAGAAGUGAUAAGAAUCCCUCUGUGAAAUAGGCUCAUGUAUAAAAAUCAUUAUUUUAAUGAAGUACAUCUUUGCAUUCAUUUUGAGCAAAUAUUCUUUUAUUCUUUUCAUACGAGUAAUUAUUUUGGAUUCUUUAAUUCUUUUGGGAUUUUCUUCCAAAAUCAUUCUUUUAUUACAUCCAUAAUCAUACUGUACAAAUAAUGUAAUAGCCUGAAUUUUCAGUGGUGUCGGAAUGGUGAUUCAAGAUCACUAAGUCUGACAAAUGAGUAGAAAAUAUUAUUAAUUUAGUAAGAAUAAGUAAAUGUGAAGUUAGGAAAAUUUUUGAAAUAGUGAAUAGUGUACUAGGAAUAAAUAUUAAAAUAAUUAAAAUAAAAAAUGAGGUAUCGAGACCUCGAAGAUUUUAAACCAAGCCAUAAGUACUUUUAGAAGUAUUUUUAGAGUGUCAUUGAGUUGGUAUUAAAGUUUCGUUAGAAAAUUUUAACGCUCGGAUAGUUAAUUAACCAAAAAGGACUAAAUUGAAAAUAGUGUAAAAUUUGUUAAAUUGUGAUUAAAUAGCUUAAGUGAUUAAAAAGGAGGGAUUUAAAAGGCAAUUAGGCCCAAAUUAUAUGGGCUGGACGGUUGGGUAAGAAAAAUCAGCAGAAUGUAAGGAGAAAACAGGGGCAAAAUUGGAAACUUAACAAAUUAAACAUAUAAAACAAAGACAAAAGUGAAAAAUCUAGAGAUCUGUUCACAAUUUAUCAGCAAAAAUGCCAUAGGAGGUCUGAAAGAAGCUGGUUUUUCAUAUAUUUGAAUCAUGUAAGUUUAAUUCUUGAUUAUUUCUUCUAAUUUUUGUGAUUUUGAUACUUUUACAAUUAGGUCCAACUAAUUAUUUCAUUAGUUUUUGAUUUCAUGGCUGAUUUUGAAAGUUACCAUUGAUGAGUGUUGGAUUUUUAUGAUGAAUAAACAUGGAAUUAAAGCUUUAAUUUUGUUAUAUGAUGAUUUUAUUAAGUAAUUUUGAUAGAAAUUGAUUUUUGGGACCUAAUUGUGAAAAAGUUUGGAAUUAGGGUUUGGUGUUGCGGUUUUGAAUAUGAAAGGCUAUGUAGUAGUCUAAAAUAGUUGGAAAAGGUGUUAAUUGAGAAAAAUUAGAUCAAUUGAGGGGUUAAUUGAGUAGGACCAAAUUGUAAAAACUGUAAAGUUUGAGGUAAAAGUGUAAUUUCGAAAAUUUAAGGGCAUAAAUUGUGAAGUGAAUUAGAAUAGAAUUAUAUGCUGAUGAAUGAAUAAAUUUGUAUUUUAGAUCGAGAACCCGAAGCAAGCCGAGGAAAAGAAAAAGUAGUUGAUUAGUCCCUGAACUUUUACAAAUUCUGCAAAUCGACCCAGGUAAGUUCAUAUGGCUGAAAUUUAAUGAUUAAAUGUUAAUUUCAUGAAUUAUGUAAUGUAUGAUGAAAUGUAUUUAGUGUUGAAAUGAGAGUAAAAUAAAAAUGCGAAAAUCGAAUAAAUGAUCAAAUUAAGCGGAACGCCGGAUUUGAGUACUUCUGAUCAAGAGACAAAGUGAUAAGUGGUAGCUUUAGCUACACUUAUCUGAUCAAGUGAAAAAGUGAUAAGUGCUACACUUAUCUGAUCAAGAGACAAAGUGAUAAGUGGUAGCUUUAGCUCACUUAUCUGAUCAAGUGAAAAAGUGAUAAGUGCUAUACUUAUCUGAUCAAGUGACAAAGUGAUAAGUGGUAGCUUAGCUACACUUAUCUGAUCAGGGCCAAAUGAUAAGUGAUCAUACGUAAGACCAUAGUUAUACUAUGGCCAAGUGAAAGUGAAGUACUCAAUUUUCCGUAACCGUUCCUUAAUUUUGAUCAAGGAUGGUAAGUGACAAAUAGGCCCAAAGAAAUUAUGGUAAAAGAAUAAGUAGUAGUGAGUUUAUACCAAGGAACUCUCCAAAGAUUGUGGUUGACAAGUAAACUUAGUAAUGGUGUAUAUUGUAUAAGUGUACAAAUGUUUGGUAAGAUUUAUGUUUGUGCCUAUGAACUUACUAAGCUUUUCUAUAAGCUUACAUGUGUGUGUUUAUUGUUUUUCUAGAUUAACGUAUUUAUACAUUCGGAGGAUCGGAUCUACUUCGAGAAUCACACUAUCCAGAUAUACUCCGGUAGAUUUUGUUAAACAACUUUUUGGAUUUAUAUGGCAUGUACAGAGAAUUGAAGUAAAAAGUAAUAGAAUGAAUGACUGAGUAUGCAAAGUAAAUUUGAAUGUGAUGGUUGUGUUAGAUAUUGAAAAAUACAUGUUUUUAGUUUGAAAUGGUUGAUUGGCUGAACUUCGUUAGUAUUCAAGUGAAGUAGUUGAAAUACUGGAAUUGGUUGUGAUUUGAAAUUUGCAGGGAAGGUUAGAUAAAUAUAAAGGGGUUAUAUUGAUUUUUUUUUUAAAUUUCAAUGGAAUAAUUUUUGGACAGCAGCAUUGAUGUAACUUUUAAAAAUCACCAAAAAUAGUGGAAAUAGAAUUAGAAGUUGAAUGAGAUAUGAAAUUAAAUCUGAAUGAGUCUAAUUUCACAUGAAAGAAGUAGAAUAAGAAAAAGAGUUAUAUAUUUUUAGAUAUUUGAAUUUUAGUGAAACAGGGCAAGAAUGUUUUUGAAGUCCCCUGUUCUGACUUUAGAAAUUUAGUAAAAAUUGUACAAAAGGAAUUAUGAAUUAUAAUUUAUAUGUUUAAAUUCCGUAAUGAGUAUAUUUUAAGUAGAAAUAAUUGGAACCACCAUAUGAAGUCUUUGCAAUGAGAUAAUUGAAUUUUAGUGACAAGAGGUCAGGAUAGUCAAUUAGUGAAAUAGGGGAGACUUCAACUAAUAAACUGUAUUAAUUUGCUAAACCAAAAAUUCUGAAAAAUUUAUGGUGAAUAUACAUAUGAGUCUAGUUUGAGGGAAAAUUUACGGAUCUAAAUUUUUAGUUUCGUAUCUUGAGUUAUAAUUAUUUUAGUGACUACUGCGCAUGUGGACAGCUUUGUUGUGAAUGGUGAAAUUAAUUUUUAAAGUAAAUUUUUAUGCCCCGAACUUUUAAGUUCAGUCAAGUAACGCCUUAUGCUCGACUCCGGCAACCGUCUUGGGUAAGGGGUGUUAUAAAUAAUUAUUCUUAAAUUCAUACAUUCUUUGUAUAUUAUUUUGUACCUACAAUAGGUCCCUAGAUAUUAACAACAUGAGUGACGUUGCUACAGACUCAGAAUUUCCUUUUAAACAAGACAUGUGUUUAGAGGGAUCCCAUGGCUUUGAAGAUGACGUAGACUGUGGCUUAUCUCUGAAUUUGUUAAGGAUGGUAAAACAAGAGGAGAAGCAAAUCCUACCUCACAAGGAAUCAAUGGAAAUUGUGAGCUUAGAAGGGGGAAAAGAGGUGAAGAUUGAGACUAACAUUGCCACAAAGACAAAGCAUGACCUCGUUGAGUUACUCCAAGAAUUUAAAGAUGUCUUCGCAUGGUCAUACCAGGAUACUCCCGGGUUAAGUACUGGCAUUGUAGUACACUACCUUCUUAUAAAAGAAGAUUGCAAGCCAGUUUAGCAGAAACUCUGAAGGAUGAGGCCUGAUAUUGUGCUAAAAAUAAAAGAAGAAGUUAAAAAGCAAUUUGAUGUUGGGUUCUUACAAGUGGUUAAAUAUUCAGAAUGAGUAGCCAACAUCGUCUCAGUCUCUAAAAAAGAUGGGAAAGUACGAAUGUGCAUAGAUUACAGAGACAUGAACAAGGCCAGCCAAAAAGAAAAUUUCCCAUUGCCUCACAUUGACACUUUGGUGGAUAAUACAGUAGGCUACUCACUGUUUUCCUUCAUGGACGACUUCUCUGGAUACAACCAGAUAAAGAUGCAUCCCAAAAACAUGGGAAAGACUACAUUCGUGACCCUAUGGGGAAUGUUUUGCUAUAAAAUGAUGUCAUUCGGAUUAAAGAAUGUGGGAGCGACGUAUCAAAGGGAAUGGUAACCUUGUUUCAUGACAUGAUGUACAAGUAAAUCGAGGUUUAUGUUGACGAUAUGAUUGCAAAAUCCAGAACAGAAGAGGAACAUGUGUAGGCCCUAAGAAAAUUAUUCUUAAGACUGAGAAAGUUCCAGCUCAAGCUUUCCAACGAAAUGCACAUUCAGAGCUAGGUUAGGAAAGCUGUUAGGCUUCACAGUUAGUGAAAAAGGAAUCGAGAUCAACCCAGAUAAAGUCAAUGCGAUACGAGAUUUACCUCUACCAUGCACUCAGAAGGAAGCUCGAGGUUUCCUAGGAAGACUGAAUUACAUUGCUCGAUACAUUUCACAACUAACCGAAAAAUGUGACACCAUAUUAAAAUAAAAAUAGAUUAAAUUGUAAGUAAAACAUAAUUUAAACAUAUGAAUACAUCAAAUUAAUAAUACUAAAUGAAUACAGUUAUUUAUGAUGAUGUUGUUGCCAAUUCCUAAUUUGGUGUCUAGUUAAUUUGUGACAUCAUAAAUUUAAGUGAUAAAUUUAAGGUUUUAUGUAUUGAUGUGGAUUCAAAUAUCACCAUAAUUUUUGUAAAUAAAAAACUAAUAAGAUAACUUAUAUUAAGUACGAAAGGGUAUUUUUAUAAUUUCUCUAAUCGAGUUGGUGCCCGGUUGACUCAUGACACUAACUCAAUCAGAAGCUUUAAUAAUAAUAUAGAUAUUCAUGUUAAAAAAACAAAAAAAAAGUACUUUAGUUCCAAAUAAUUAUAUAACAAGUAAAUUUAUAAUUGAUGAAUAAAUUUAUAAAUAAUAUAUUUAUAUGAUCUAAUAUAUUAUAUUUAUAUUAAUUAUAUAUCAUCUACAAACUUUGAAGAUCAAUUUAUUAAGUAAAAAUGAAAUUGUUAACACUAAAUCAAUUUUUAGAUUUUGUAUAGAUGAUUUAGUGAUGAUAAAAACAUUAUUAACACUAUUUUUUAAUUAACAAAAAAUUAGUGAUAUAUUUAAAUUAUAUUUAUCAUUUAUUAUUUUUAAUAAUAUUUUUUAAUUAUAUGAAGUAAAAUUAUAUUGUAUACUAAAUAUGGUACAUAUACUCUAAUUAUAACUUGAAAUUUUAUUAUAUAAAUUAAUAUAAAUUUGAAUAACAAAAUAAAAAAAAACUAAUUAGAAUAAUUUUAAAAAACAUUAUUUAAAAGUAGUUAAAAAUCACGUGCAACAGGUGAGAUCAAUGGUCUUUAGAGAAGAAAUGUUGAAGAUCAAAGUUGGAAUCUGGCCUAUAAGGCCUUUAAUUGCUUUAAUAUUAAGCAGUUCCAAACCAAGAAGAUUACCGAUUUCCUCAGGAAUUUGACCUGCACACAUGGUCGAAAAAUCAAUGUGUCAAACUACCUAUUUUGUUAGCAUAAGUCAAAGAGGUUUUCUUUUCUAUUCUACAUAAUUUGCAGAUGUUAGAUUUUAAUAUUUUUAAGCAUAUUUGUUUUCAUCAAAUUAACUAUUUUGAACUAUUUUGCCUUGAAUGAAAUAAAAUGCUCUUACUUUUGUUAUCUAUUACUAAUCAAACUCUUUUAUAAAAAAAAUACUUUAAACUAAAGAAACCAAGAAAAUUCAAUACCUUCUAGGUUAUUCAACCCCAAAUAUAAUUCUUUGAGUCGUGUCGGAUUUCCAAUACUUCUUGGAAUGAUCCCCAUCAAUUGAUUAUAGGAAAAUGACAAAAUUUUAAGGUUGUUGCAUUUGCUUAUACUUGACGGAAUGUUACCAUAUAAUUCAUUCCGACUCAAGUAAAGCCCUUCAAGCUUGGAAAGAUGUGACACAUAUCAUUAGGCAAGCUACCUGAUAGGCUAUUGUUGGAGAGAUCAAUGGCCUUCAGAGAAGAAAUGUUGAAGAUCGAAGUUGGAAUCUGACCUGUAAGGCCUUUAAUUGCUUUAAUAUUAAGCAGUUCCAAACCAAGAAGAUUACCGAUUUCCUCAAGAAUUUGACCUGCACACAUGGUCGAAAAAUCAAUGUGUCAAACUACCUAUUUUGUUAGCAUAAGUCAAAGAGGUUUUCUUUUCUGUUCUAUAGUAAUUUGGUGAUGUUAGAUUUUAAUAUAAUUCAGCACAUGUUUUUCAUCAAAUGAAAUAAAAAGUUUUUCCUUUUGUUAUCUAUUACAAAUCAAGCUCUUUUAUUAAAAAAAUACUUUAAAUUCAAGAAAUCAAGGAAAUUAAUUACCUUCUAAAUUAUUAAACCCCAAAUAUAAUUCCUGGAGUCGUGUUAGAUUUCCAAUACUUCUUGGAAUGAUCCCCAUAAAUUGAUUAUGGGGCAACAACAAAUUUUUAAGGAUGUUUCAUUUGCCUAUGCUUGACGGAAUGUUACCAGAUAACUCAUUGCUAUGCAAGUGAAGCCCUUCAAGCUCGGGAAGAUGUUGACACAUAUCAUUAGGCAAACUACCUAAUAGGCUAUUCCUGGAGAGAGCAAUAGUCUUGAGAGAAAAAUGUUGAAGAUCGAAGUCGGAAUCUGAUCUGUAAGGCCUUUAAUUGCUUGAAUAUUAAGCAUUUCCAAACUAAAAAGAUUACCGAUUUCUUCAGGAAUUUGACCUGCAGACAUAGUCGAAACAUCAAGGUGUUAAAUUUCCUAUUUUGUUAGUGUAAAUCAAAGAGGCUUUUUAUUUUUUUUCGUUAUGAAAUAAUAUGGAUAUGUUCGAUUCUAAUCAUAUUUAAGUAUAUAUUAGUUCUUGAAAGAAUGAGUUCUUAUUUUUGGUAUUUAUAUUGCAAAUAUAUAUUUUUUUAAAUUUAAAAGAAGGGAGGGGGCAAAUGUGUUUAAACUAAAGACAUCAAGGAAAAGGCAUACCAAGUAUAAUUGUUUAAGUUGUGUCAAAUUCCCAAUGCUUUUUGGAAUGAUCCCACUAAAUUGAUUAAUAGACAAUUCCAAAAUUUGAAGGUUGCAGCAUUUGUCUAUACUUGAUGGAAUAGAACUUGAUAAUUCAUUUCUACUCAAGUAAAGCUCUUUCAGCUUGGGAAGAUGGACACACAAAUCAUCGGGCAAGCCACCAGAAAGACUAUUAUCACAAAAAUGAAUCCUUUUCAAAGAAGAAAUGUUAAAGAUGGAAGAUGGAACCUGGCCAGAUAAUUGAUUGAAUCCCAAGUUCAAGAUCUCUAGAUUGGACAAGUUGACAAGUGUUUGAGGGAUCGUGCCUGUGAAGUUAUUAUUUCUCAUUUCCAACCUUUGAACUCUGUGCAAGUUCCCAAGCCAUGGUGGAAUUUCCCCAUUAAGACGGUUGUAGCUUAAUCGAAUGAUCCUCAAACGAUGCAAUUGGCCUAAUUCUUUAGCCAGAUGGCCGUAGAAAUUGUUGUUGCUCAAGUCGAUAGAAAAUAGAAAUGAAAGAUUUCCAAGGUGUGGAGGGAUAGUACCCCUAAGAUUCAUGUUUGUAAGAUUAAUCAAAGCUACAACUCUUUCAUGGAUGAUGCCACAAGAAACACCAACCCACUUACAGACAGAGGUAGAGUUCGUCCAAUUGUUUGCCAACACAUUUUGAGGAUCGACAAUGCGAUCUUUAAACUCAAAGAGUGCAAACUGAUCGGAGUUGAGAUUCCGGACUGUCAUAGCCAAGGAAACAAUAGAACAUUGUAUGAAUAAAAGUGAAAGAAGAUGAAAGCAAGUGUUGUAGUUCAUGAUGGCAAGACGAAAUAAGCCAGGAAAAGGGAAGUUGAAUUGAUGAAGAAAUAGCCAGCCAACAUGCUUAAAUAGGCUUCAACCCUUGCACACUUCUCAUACAUAAAGUUCGCUGCCAUUACAACAAGAAAACUCAUAUCUCCAUUCGUACCUAUCCAUACUUUAUUUGACUAACUUUUCCCUAACAAGUGUUCAGUAAGGAGAUAAAUCAGUUUGGAGCUAUUCACCGGCUUCUCCAAUCUUGGUUUCAAACUCCUAACCCAUCAAUUCACUUUAAUUGAAACGAUAUACACGAGUCUUUCGGCUUAUAUUUUUAAUUUAAUUUUUGUUACUUUUCAUAAUAUUUUUUGAGAAAUCCAAAUAUUCCAGUCUGAAAUUUCUUCAUUGCCACGUCUAUCUCCUGGGUAAGUCCGUGGUUAGGCAGCCCACUUUGGGAGCAGGAUUGUAAUUGUAAUUCUAUCCGACUCAUUUUACUAUUUAGAAAUAUAAAAGUAAUAUUAUAUUAUUUUUUAUAUUUUUAUAAAUUUAAUUUUAAUUAUAAUUUUUAAACAAUAAAACGAGUCAUUUGUAUUUGCCUAGUCUAAAUUGAAUCAGGAGUCAAAAAAAUUUUAAUCAUAAUUUACUAUUAUUUUAAUUAAUUAAAAUUUAACCUACUACAACUAGUAGUUGCAGAAAAAAUGUCAUUCCUUUAGAAAAACGAAAAUCCUUUAGAAAAAUGAGAACUUAUGAAGCAUUCAAUAAGAGUCAUUGGAAUAAAUGGUAACGAAAUCAUAAUUCAAUAUAAAGCUAAAAAAUGUACCAAUCUAUAUAAAUAAUGUAAGAUUUGUGAUACCUAAAUUAUUAUAUUUUCCAUAAAUAUAUGAAGAUAUUUUAUUAGGAAAUAAUUUUAUAUAUAAAAUUUUUUAUUUUCUUUUGAUAGAAAUUUAAUUAUGUUAUCUGUAGAAAAAAAUAUUUAUAGAAAUAUUAUUAGUAGAAAAUCAUAAAUUUGUGUGUGGCAAAAAAAAUUCACCACCAAGAAAGGGGCAAAUUAAACAACUUGAAACAAGUCAUUGGUUGUUUAAAAUAUUAGAUAAUAAUUUCAGUGAAGAAUCAUUAAAAUUAUGACAAAAUAACCCUAGAUAUUGUAGUAUUAAAUUGGAAAAUCUCAAUAAUAUUAUUAGAGUAAAACCUAUGAUCUAUCUAAACAAGAUAUAGAAGAUUUUGAUAUACAAAUUAAGGUUAGAAAUCAUGCGGAAAUAAAAAAGAAAAAAAAGCUAGUAUGGUCAUUAAUUAUAAAAGAUUAAAUCAAAAUAUUAUUUUUUUAUAGUUACUUGAAUUAAUCAGGCUAAACAAACAAAAUAUUUUAGUAAAUUUGACUGCAAAUCAGGAUUCUAGCAAAUCAUGAUAACAGAAAAGUCCAAACCUUUAACGGCUUUUAGUGCACCCAAUGGACAUUACCAAUGGAAAGUGAUGUCAUUUCAAUUAUGUGAUGCACCACAAAUCUUCCAAAGACGAAUGGAUUUUAUAUUUAAUAAAUAUAAAAAAAUUCUAUGUAGUCUACAUAGAUGAUAUUUUUUAUAUUUUUAGAUACACUAGAAUUACAUAAGAAACAUUUAAAUAUUAUUUCUUAAGAAUUCAUAAAAUAUAGAAUCAUAUUAAACCCUAAAAAUAUAGAGUUAGAAAAAAGAGAGAGAAUUUUUAUAAUAGUGGAAAUAAAAAAUUGUCCUCAAAAGAUUGAAGAAAAAAAGAACUUCCAACAAUUUCUAAUAUAUUCCUCCCAAAUUUUCAGUUUCAAUUUUAUUACAGAAUUUCUUUGCCGACAAUAAGAAAUUAAGAGCGCUCUUUAAGUUGAAUAUAGUCCGUCAGAUAUGGCUAUCUAUAACAUGGAACCUUUGGUUUUCAAGCUGAAUAGGAGAAUUGAUUCACUUGAUAAGUAUGAAAAAUUGAAACUGCUAAAUUUAAGUGCACUAACUCUGGAUAUCAUCAUUAUUUUUCUGUACAUUAAAGUACCUGUUUGAUAUGCGAUUUCUGCCUCAAACUAUCAACAUCUUUAACAUCCUUUUGCUAUAGUUAGCAUGGGUACUUCCUUUUAGAUUAACAGUUAGGUUUGAACUGUGAAUUAGAUUUCUGUGGCUGCUGGGAUUGAAGAAGUUAGUAUGCGAAUGACAUUGGACAAAUUUGGCAAAGUCUUCUCCAUCAGUGAAGAAAACCCCUUGGCGUAUGAAAAAUGUUCACCAUCUUAGACAUUUGUUUUCUUAUUGUAAGAAUAUUUUUAACAUUGUAACUUUUAACAUUAUUGUAAGAAUAUUUUGAAUUAUACUUCAGUUAUCAAUUUAUAUCAUAUAUCUUUUGUUGAAUUUGAAGUAUAAUUUAUAUUUGCUGUUUUUGGUUAGAUUUCAUGCUAUAGGAAGGGUUGUAUAUGGAUAGAAAUUGAAUGUUACAAAUCUGCCAAAGUUAGUGGCGUUUUUUCAUAAGAGCUGCUAAAGAAUGCUAUUUUUGGCGGUGUUUGUAAUAAAAGAGCCGCUAAAGGUCAUGUUCUUUAGCGAUGUUUGUGGGUAAAGCGCCGCUAAAGAUCAUGUUCUGUAGCUGUGUUUGUGGAUAAAGCGCCGCUAAAGAACAUGACCUUUAGCAGCGUAUUUUCACAUAAACGCCGCAAAAUUUAGCGGCUUUGUCUAUAGCGACUUUUUUUGCAGCGCUUUAAGUUUUAGCGGCGCUUUUAGGCCUAAAAAAGGGCCGCUAAAAGCCUGUUUUGCUGUAGUGAGCAUAUUUACAUUUUCGUCCCAAUUUCAACUAACACCCCAUCUAUUUCCCACUUCCCUUUUUCGGGCAAUUUCAACUAACACCUUCAUAUCAAACAUAACUAUUUUUCAAUUUUUCUUCUUUAUUUCAUUAAUAAAAUUAUCAAUCUAUUUGUUUUUAAAUAUAUAAUUUCAUUAAUAUUUUUUAAAUUAUAAUAUAAGAGUUGUUGUUUAUUUAUAGUUUUAUUACAUUAUUUACUCUCUCUUUUCUAUCAAGUUUUUUAAAUUAUAAUAUAAGAUUUAUUUUAUCAAUUUGUGGCUUAUCCAGUAUUCAUCUAUUUUAAUAAUAACUUGAGUUCCAGUCAUUAUCAUACCAGAAAGAGUUCCAUUUAUUCUUUAUCGUAAAUUUUAUAAAAAAAUAUACAUUUUAUUAUAAUACUAUAUGUGUUACGAAUAAUAUUUUAUUGUGGAUGCCCAUAAUUUUCAAAGUUGUAACCUCUAAUGUAGUAACCUUAAUGAAAUUAUGAGGCUUUUAUAUUGUAAUCAAGCCUCUAUUUAUUCUUUGUAACUUAAACAGAAGCAUAUUUUCUAUUAUAUUGAUAUUUUUUAUAGAUAUAUAUAUAUAUAUAAGGAAUCAAAUAAAAAGUUAUUUACCUUUCUAUUAUAUUGAUAUUUUCUAUUUGAUUUGUUCUUUUCUUUCACUAUUCCAUAAUAUAUUAUCAGUACGAUUUUAACCAAGAGUAACAUGUUAUUAGAUUGUGUCAAAAUUUUGUUGAGAAUCAUUAGAUUGUUUCCUUUUUCUUCUAUUUAGCCCCAAAUUGCACCCCUACACAAAAUUCAACAAAAACAUGGAAAAAUUAGUGGUGCACUCUCAUAAAUUAACCAAUUUAAUUACAUAAAAUAUGUAACUUUAGCAUUUUAUCAAUCAUGUUCUUUAGCGGCAUUUGUGGGUAAAGCGCCGCUAAAGGUCAUAUUCUUUAGCAGCGUUUGUGAUAAAAGUGCCACUAAAUAUCAUGUUCUUUAGCGGCGUUUGUGGAUAAAGCGCCGCUAAAGAACAUGACGUUUAGCAGCAUUUUUUUACAUAAACGUUGUAAAAUUUAGCGGCGUUGUCUAUAGCGACGUUUUUUGCGGUGCUUUCAAAUAGUUUUAGCGGCGCUUGUAGGCCUAAAAAAAUGCCGCUAAAAGUCUGUUUUGCUGUAUGAGCAUAUUUACAUUUUCGUCCCAAUUUCAACUAACACCCCAUCUAUUUCCCACUUCCCUUUUUCAGCCAAUUUCAACUAACACCUUCAUUUCAAACGUAAUUGUUUUUCGAUUUUUCCUCUUUAUUUCAUUAAUAAAAUUAUCAAUCUAUUUGUAUUUUAAAUAUAUAAUUUUAUUAAUAUUUUUUAAUUAUAAUAUAAGAGUUUUUGUUUAUUUAUAGUUUUAUUAUAUUAUUUACUCUCUUUUUUCUAUCAAGCUUUUUAAAUUAUAAUAUAAGAUUUAUUUUAUCAAAUGGUGGCUUAUCGAGUAUUCAUCUAUUUUAAUAAUAACUUGAGUUCCAAUCAUUAUCAUACCAGAAAGAGUUCCAUUUAUUCUUUAUCGUAAAUUUUAUAAAAAAAUAUAUAUUUUAUUAUAAUACUAUAUGUGUUAGGAAUAAUAUUUUAUUGUGGAUGCCCAUAAUUUUCAAAGUUGUAACCUCUAAUGUAGUAACCUCAAUGAAAUUAUGAGGCUUUUAUAUUGUAAUCAAGCCUCUAUUUAUUCUUUGUAACUUAAACAGAAGCAUAUUUUCUAUUAUAUUGAUAUUUUUUUAUAGAGAUAUAUACAUAAGGAAUCAAAUAAAAAGUUAUUUACCUUUCUAUUAUAUUGAUAUUUUCUAUUUGAUUUGUUCUUUUCUUUCACUAUUCCAUAAUAUAUUAUCAGUACGAUUUUAAUCAAGAGUAACAUUGUAUUAGAUUGUGUCAAAAUUUUGUUGGACUUCAAGUAUUGGAAUUUAAUUGUUUAAGUUAAGAAUCAUUAGAAUCAAUGGCUAUUUGAGAUAUGCUUGAGGAUGAUCUCAUUCUAUUCAUCACAAAGGUGGAGGUUAGAAAAUCUUUAUGUUUAAACAUUUAUAGCUUUAAAGUUAUUUUAACCUCUUAUUGUGACCUUAUAAUAUUUUGUAAUUUUUUGUAUUAUGGUAUAUAAAAAAAAUCUAACCAUAGUGAUUGAUUAGUAAUAUGAAUUUGUUAUUUGUUAUGUUUAAUAUAUAUUUUAUUUAUACUUAUUCAUUUUAUUUUUAUAUGAGUAAAUGAAGUGUUUGAAGAUUCGAAAUUUUUAUCAUCCAAGUUGAAAAUAAGUGCAAAAGUGUACAUUAUUUAAAAUAAAUUACGCAUUCAUUAAUGUUAUAUGAUAAAAUCAUUACAUGUUCUAAAGAACUAAUAUUGCAUCAAACUGUAAAAAGCUCUUGAAGAGUUAAUAUUUUACCUCCUUGUGAUACAAAAUCAUAUACAAUAUGAUAUUAUUUUUCAAAUCGAGUAGAUAUAUGUUGAGGGAAAUCUUUAUGUGGUUUACAUUAAAACCAUGGAUAGAAAUGACAUGAGAUACUCGUGUAUUUUUAUUAUAAAUAUUCCUUGAAGGAAGACACUUCACUUGUAUGAUUGACAUAUGAGAUAGUGGCAAGAAGUUCAUAGUGUUGGUAUGGUCGUCUAGAUCAUCUCAAAUCAAUAAUGAUGCAAAAUAAUUUGAAGAGAAUUUAUAUGAUUUUAUUGAAGAAUGAGAAGAUAUUUUCAUUUUGAUAAUUGUCAUCAAUACUAGUUCUUUGGAAAAAAAAUAUUGAACUAACAUAAAGUUAGAGGUUGGUUGCAUUUUUUGAUGAUAUCCAAAUAAUAUAUGAGCUCAUGUAUCACAUGUAUGCAACCCAAAGUUUACAGUAUUAUUUCUUGAAAUAAUUUGAUUCUACACAAUCUCUAUAGUAUGCAAUUUGUGCUAACAACGUUGGUGCAUUAUAUCCUAAGCUUGAUUUUCGUAGUUUUAGCUGAGAUAAUAUUAAGUUGUCUAUGCCUAUAUAUGUUAUACUUAAUGGUUAGCAAAAUUGUGCCUCCAUUUAAUUGCUUAACCAUUAAUAUAAGAAUAACUUUAAAAUAAGCAUGUAAUUUUAUUUGCAUAGAGUCAACAUGUAAGAAACAUUUGCCCCAUGAGAAUUGGCUUUCAUUUAUAAGCCAAUAGGUUUCAUAUGACUAUUUGGAUGUAAAAUAUCUAUUUUAUAUUCCACCAUAAUGCACUAAGAUGGUCCAUCAAGUAUGAAGUUGAGAAAAUUUAGAAUUUUUAUUUGAUGGUAAAAGUUGAAAAGAGAUAUAUACUUAUAAUUUUGAAAAAAAUAGUCAUGUUGCAAAUUUUUCUCAAUAUUAGGGGGAGACAAGUUGGACAAAUAAGGAUAAUUAUGUCAUCACUUUUUGUGAUCCCUCACUAAUAUUAUGUGCACAAAGUUUGAAGGAAAAAAGUAUUUGCUAGACAUGUUUAGUGAUGACACUUAGAGAUUGUAUAUACUAGAUGAUACAUAUACCAGCUAAAAUGUUCCAAAUAAUUAUGAGUCCUAGAAGGACAUAGUGAUAAAAAUAAUUUUUGGGCACGCUAGAAGGAUAAAAAACUAGUUCAUUCUAUAAAUCAAAAAAUUCUUGAAAGAAAAGAGUAAGAAAUGAAGCUGGCCACACAUUAAAGGAAACGAGUACUCAUGAAGAGACCUAAGGCAUAACUUUUAAUAAAACCCCAAAAGAGGUUCAAUACAUGGAAUUAUGAAUAUAAUAAGAUAUCUCGAUUAGUUAUAUCAUAACUAAAGAUGAUGGGGUUGAUAAAAGGAAAUUGUUGUUAACAACGAUAAUCUAAGUAGAACAUUUCAAUAUUAUGGUAAAAUGAGUAUUUUGAAUGAAAAUAUACUUGAAAGUAUUUAGAUGGGAACAACUCAUCAAAAUAAAUAGACGUUUCUAUUAUAACUUAUGAAAUGUGUCUCGGACAUGAAGUCCAAACAUUCGACAGGUGUAAAGCCAAGUGGAGUAUAUGUUAGCAUAAUAGUGAAAAAAUACAAAUCAUAAUAUAUAAAAUUGACUUGUAAGACAAACUUUCCCAAGACACUUGAUUUUGAUUAUGAAAAAUGAUUAAUUUGUGAUCUUAUCAAUUGAACAUACUUUGUAUAAUCAACAAAUUAUUAAUUAACCUCAUUUAACCAAUUUCCUUCAACACAUUUCAAAUCAAAUUAAUGUGUUGAGCACGCCCUUAACCCUUUUUCUUGAUUCAUUGCAUAGUCUAUUUCCAAGUACCAUAAUCAUCAACAUUUCAAUAUAUAAAGUCAUAACAUAAUGAAUCAUAGUUAGAAUUUUUUUUACCCUAUUAACCAAGUAUGGAACAAAAAUAAAAACCUAAUUUGUCAAGCUCAUUCAAUCAGCUUAUAUAUUAUAAGAAGAGCCUAAGUAUAAAUCCUAUACAUGAUUUCAAAUUCAACUAUUUAUAUUUGAGAUUCAAUUUAAAAUUCAUACUGAAAUUAUCAAAUUAACUCGUAAGCUACUCACGCUAAACAUUAAGGUACUCGAAUUCAAGUGGCUAGAUAUCAUAAACACUUUUAGCUUGUAAAACUAUUUCUAAGGGUCAGCCCAGAAUCAUGGUUGAACCCAAAAUCUGGUAACAAAAAUUUAAUUGAGCCAUCAGCCUAAAACAAAAAAGGCUUAAAAGGUUGGCACCCGAACAAUCAAAGAUAAACACCACCAUAUGCCACUCCCUGAAUCCGAUACAUACAAUAACACCCUUCACCACUUUUAUUCUUCUCCUUUUUUUUAACCUCAAUUUGGAUGGUCGCAUUUCUCUUUUUAGUGCUUUAUAGGGUUUGGGCUUUCAGAAUCCUCAGAGAUGCAAUUCAUGGAUCCCUCUAAGAAAUGCAAGCUUGAUGAAAAUGGUAUUAUUUCAACGGCAUCAGAACCUGACCCAAUCACCAAACUAACCCCACAAGAUGGCCGCAAGCUAAUCGAGCAAUUUAUCGUCGAUCAACUCCUUGACGUCCUCCAAGAUGCUGUUUGUUGUCACCUUGAUGUUCUUUCCGCCGUACACUCUAUUGCCGAUCAAGAUCCAUCUCAAAGGAAGCUUUUCAUCCGUGGUUGGGUUGGGAUACUACAACCCAACCCAACCCACAUUAGCAUACUACCAUGCGGUAACUUCUAGUGAUUUCUGUCUGUAACAUUAGACAGGUUAACAGUUAAAUCGUUCAACUGAAAGAUUUCUUUGAAGGAAGAGGUCAAUUGAUUUUUUUUGGAAUCAUUGUGUACUCAGUUGCAUUUAAGACGGGUAUCAUUCAUAAAGUAUAUAUCUACAUCAAGAAUGGUAGCCUCUUAUAUUAUAUUCAUGUAUUUAUUUUGCAUCUUUAAUUAUAAUAGGAUUUUUUUUGUUUAUUUAUAGUUUUAAUUAUAAUAUUUUUUAAAUAUGCCAAAGUAAAUUAUGUACCAAUUUUAAACUUCUCCUAGGUAAUUUAACGUAAGGGCAUUUAUGUUAUUUUACCACUUAUGAUAAAACUAACCUAAUUUUAGAUCUAAGUGUUUACCAACCUUCUUUUAGUCAAAUUAUGCAAGCCUAAAAUUUUUAGCUUAAUUUGAGUUUGUUUACUAUGUCUAAUUCAAGUUUUAUUAUUAAGAACUAAAUUGUAACUUAAACAAAUUAGAAUACCAAUUUAAAGAGACAAAAAUUCAAAGCCCCAAAACCCACACGGGCAUGUGGGUAAGUGACACAGGCGUGUGGAAACUGGAGCUAUCACACACGGGUGAGUGGGACUGAAAAAUAUGAAAUAAAUUAAUCCAUUUAAAUUUCCAACAACCAUGCUAUACUACCAAACCAAAUAAUGUUAGAAGCUUUGAAUAGGGGCGAAUCUUAAAAAAAAUAGAAGAAUUAGAAUUAAAUUAUAAAAUUUUGAGAAGUUGUCAUGUAUUAAUUUAUUAUUUUUUAAAGGGUCUUAAUAGAUUUUUUUUCCCCAUUUUGGUUUGGCCAAUACCCCUGUCUGCCUCUUUCAAUUUGCUUCAACCCUUAGCCCAAUAUUCGAUUUGUUGUGGAAGUUUGACGCAUAAAAAUUCCUUUUUUAGAGGUUUAAAUUAUAAAUUUUUAUUAACAAAAUAUAAAAGAAAAAAACAUGUGUAGACAAGCCAAGAAACCUUUGGGAUCAUACAGGUGAUUUUGAGAUGUUCAUGGUUAUUUUGGUGGAGAGGGUAAAAAAGAAACAAAUGAUUCAUUAUAUAUGAUAUAAUUAUGAAAUUCAAGCCAUAUAUUGUAUGUUUCAUCCAUACAAAUUUCUUGUAGCAUUAAAUGACUCGUAGGCUUGCUGAAUUUCUUUGAAAGGCCCAAAGGCAAUUUAACAUUCACAAAAUAAUCUCUAAAUAGUGUAAAGACAAAUCAAAUCCACAGUAGCAUUAGAGUUGAUUAAGCUAAGCAUUGGCAAAUAUUACUUUGAUUUUGCAUGCAAUAUUGGCAAAACCCCCUCUUACAUUAGAAAAACAACAUAAUCCAUGAAACAUUGAUAGCCCAAUACAAAUUUCAUCGAGAAAAAAGUCUCUUUGUUUUGUAGAACAUGAUAGUAAAGAUGUGGAGUUUCGUUCUUCUUAUUGGCCUCCUUUAGUUUUCCUUGAUCAACAACCACUAGCCAAAAACACAAUUAGAUUAGAUUAUGAAUGAUACUUUCAACUAUGACAAUAUUAAAUACAAACCACUCUAAAUAACUCUAAAUAAAUGGAAAGCAGCAAAUUACCAGACGAGGCAAGCUAGCUCAAUUAAGACCAUUGUGUUAUACUUGUCUCUGAAUUGAAAAAUUUAGAAGGAAAUAAAGAGAAAGACUUAGAAAAUACUUGAAAACAGAAAAAAAAAUUAUGUCAUUUAAAAUAAAAAAUUUCUAUUCAAGCCAUUUAAAAUUUGUAAGAUUUUUAAAAUUUUAAAAUGAUAAAGGUAAAAUUGUACUUUGGCACCCCAAAAAUGAUAAAACUUUGAUUUAAUUAUUUAAAAAUUAUAAAAAUAUAGGCUAUUAAAAUGGUGAAAUUAUAUUUUUACUAUAGUAAAAAUUACAAUUUAAUUUCACCCCUAAAAGGAUUUUCUGGCUUCGCACCUAAUAAAAUCUUUGGCAAAAGACUAAAAUAAAAUUAUACCAUGAAUGGAAAAAGAAACUAAUAAAAUCCAAUCUAACAAAGAAAAUAACUUGAUGUCCAAAAGCUACCAUAAACCGUAAUUCAUGGGAAGGCUUGUUGCUUAUUUUAUUGGUUUCCAUUUUGAAAGAAGUUUGAAUUUUGAAGAGAGCCUACUACGUGAAAGCAAAAGAAAAAAAAAUAGUUUAUAUGAUUAAAAUUCCAGAAUAGAUUAAAAAUGUUGAAUUAAAGAUAAAAUUAAGUGUGAAUUAAUAACCACAAGUGUACUCUUUACUCACCAUCUCUGUUAAAAAUGUUGGAUGUUGUUUAGCAACCUUUGUUUGAUUUUCUUCAGCUCAACCACAACAUCUUUCAUAUCUUUUCUUUCUUCUGGUAACUCAGCUGAACAAUUCAAAGCCAACUCCAUGAUAGAUGAAAUACAAUUUGCUUUAACAACAAUGUACUCAUCCUCUCUUCUUAAUAAAUCAACAUCUGCAAUUUCUAUCGCUCCUUUAGGCAAUGAUCUUUCCAUCCAAUGCCUUAUACUCUCUUCUUCAACAAAAACCUUAUCAGUUGGCUUUUUCUUUGUGAAAGUUUCUAUAAGGACGAUCCCAUAACUAUAGACGUCAGAUUUUAUAGAAACAAUUCCUGCUGAUCCAAAUUCUGCAUUUCAAGUAUAAUUAGAACAUCAUUCAUCCUCAAUUAUUUCUAAAACGCUUAUUCAAAUAUCUAUCCACAUACACGUGAAACAAGAAUAUAAAAUACAAAUUAGGAAAAUAAUCAUACAAAAAUAAAAAAAAGAAUUCACCUGGUGCCAUAUACCCAAUAGUUGCAAGAGUCAUGGUUUGCUUCAUUACUUCACCUUCUCCCAACAAUUUGGCAACGCCAAAAUCUCCAACAUGUGCAACCAUGUCUUCAUCUAGUAAAAUAUUGCUUGGUUUUAUGUCACAAUGAAUUAUAGGUGUUGGAUGUCCAUUGUGGAGGUGUUCUAUAGCUACCGCAACAUCUAUCAUUAUGUCGACCCUUUGUAUGAUACCAAGGAAACAAUUUUCAGAAUGUAACCAUUUCUCAAGGUUUCCAUUAGACAUGUAAUCAAGCACCAAGGCUUUGAAGUCAACACUUGAGCAGUAAGUAAUGACCUUCACAAUAUUACGAUGAACUAUAUUAAGCAUAGCAUCACAUUCAAUGUCAAAACUCCUAAAUGCUCCCUCUGUUUGCAAAUUGAAAACUUUUAUUGCAACUUCCAUUCCAUCUGAAAGCCUCCCUUUAUAUACAUAUCCAAAACUCCCUGAACCAAGCGUAUUGCUUUCCUCAAAUCCAUUAGUUGCUCGUGAAAGUUCAGCAUGUGAAAUUCUUCUCAGUGUCUUCAAAGACAACAAAUCAUCUUUAACUGGUAGAGCUGUACUCCUUUGGCAUCUUCUAUACAUAAUAGUUAAGACUAUUAGUACUAGGACAAUACCAAUUGUUGGUAAACCAUACCUAAAAGCAUGCAAUAUAAUCAUUUGGGAGUUUUUGUGGAUGUCAUUUUUGCAAGGUGGGACUAGCAAUCUAGGUGGACCACAAAGUGCACAAUUAUUCAUGAAUGAUGUGCUAGAAAAGUUUGAAAAACAUCCUUUGCUGGGAAUUUCCCCUUCAAGUCUAUUGAAAGACACAUUAAAAUACUUUAGAUAUAAAAGCUUUUCCAAAGAUUUGGGAAUGACUCCAGAGAGAUUGUUAUUGCAUAAAUCCAAGAAUUCCAAACUAAUCAACCCAUCAAAUGAUUCAGGGAUAUGACCAUGUAGUAUAUUAUUUGAUAAAUCUAAUGAAACCAAAGUUUGAAGACCCCCAAAUGUGGAUAAGAUAUCGCCCAUGAGAAGAUUCCUUGAUAAAUUUAGUCUCAGUAGACUCCUAAAGUUUCCAACAUCAAUAGCAUGCGAAUUGUGAAGAUGGUUUGAUGAUAAAUCUAUUUCUAAGAUAUCUUUAAGAUUCCAUAAAGUUGAGGGUAUUGCGGAACUCAAUUUGUUGGAAUCUAACCAAAGAUAUCUCAAAGCAGAAAUAUUACCUAAACAAGAGGGUAUGGAUCCAUGCAGCUUAUUCAACCCUAAAUACAUCUUGAAUAGUCUCUCCAAACCACAGAGGCUUUCUGGGAUAGGCCCUUCUAAUUUAUUAGAGGAAAGAAAUAGACCUUGGAGAUUUAUCAUUCCUCCUAUUGAUGCUGGAAUCAAUCCACUUAAUUUAUUAUAGCCAAGUUGUAAAACCAACAUGUUGCUUAAGUUACCUAUUUCCAUAGGAAUAAUGCCUUGAAGCUCACACUCUGUGGCACGAAAGUAUUGAAGGGAUUUUGAAAGGUUCCCGAAAUAAGUAGGAAGAACGCCACUCAAUGGAUUUCCUGAAACAAUUAUUCUUUUCAAAUGCUUGCAAUUCGUCAAAGAAGAAAGAAAGCUCCACUCAUGAUCAGUAGCAGAUCCUGUGAUCAAAUUAUUGUUUACGAUUCCGAACCAUUCAAGGUGUCUUAAGCUGCCAAGCAUUUUAGGGAUUGGGCCAGAGAAUAAGUUUUCUGACAAGGAUAGAAUCUUAAGCAUGGAAGCAUUGGAGAUAG